AUUGUAUUGAAGGGAAAGAGAUGGCCCUUGUAUACGAGUUCAUGCCCAAUGGUACACUUAAAGAUCAUCUUUGCAAAGCUGAUUGUACCUUAUCUUGGUCACAACGACUCAAGAUAUGCAUAGGUGCAGCUCGGGGAUUAGACUACCUUCACACAGGCACAUCAACCCAAAAUGGAGUUAUACAUCGUGAUGUGAAGACGUCCAAUAUUUUAUUGGAUGCAAACUUUGCUGCUAAAAUUUCAGAUUUUGGAUUGGCCAAAGUUGGUCGAAUAGAUCAGACACAAACUUAUGUCAGCACCAAUGUCAAAGGGACAUUUGGGUAUAUGGACCCAUGCUACUUCUAUACUGGAAAUUUGACUAGAAAAUCCGAUGUUUACGCCUUUGGAGUUGUUCUGUUUGAGGUGUUGUCUGGGAGGCAAGCGGUGGAUUCAACCCUAGAUGAAGAGCAAUGGGGUUUGGCAGCUUGGGCUCAAGACCAAAUAAAAGAGGGAAAAUACAAUCAAAUUAUUGACAGAAGACUGAUGGGCCAAAUCUCAAAAAAAAUGCUUGAAGGAGUUUGCAAGCUUAGCAAGUCGUUGUUUACAUACCCAACCAAAAAAGCGCCCUACAAUGGCAGAGGUUGUUGUCAAGCUCGAGUCAAUUCGGUCACAAAAAAGAGAAAAUGUGAAUUCUGUCAUUGAUGAAGGAAGAUUCAUUUACAAGGUAAUGUCUUUUUUCACAGGAAGAGUUGACAUGAUUUUGGAUAAUGCAGUAGGAAGGAAAUCUGUGAUGCCGGAUGAGGUAGUAGGAAAACAAUCUUCUACACCUGAUCAUGCAGAAAGCAGAAAAUCUAUGAUGUUGGAUGGUGAAGUAGCAGGAACAUAUGAGAUGCCCGAUGGAACAGUAGGAAGAAGAUCUGAUUUCAGUGGUCUGAAUCUUCAGUUAUCUAAUAAUCGAAGUGUAAGACAUUUUACAUACACUGAAGUGGUACGUGCAACAAAUAAUUUCAAACACACGGAGCAUUCCUCAAGUUUAAAUGAACUCAUUUACAAAGGCUGGGUUGAUGAAAGAACAUAUGCACCAACAAAAUAUGGGGUUGGUUUGACGAUUUAUGUUAGGAAGAAAUAUAUUGAAACGUGGAAGGUAUUUCAGUAUGUGAUAUGAUGAAGUGGAACUUAUUUGAGCUAGCAUAAUGAUUACACCUCAUGUACUGUAUAGUCAUGGUUUCUAGUCUAUUCUAUAUUAUUAAGUUACUGAUGUACAUUUGACAAUUUAGCUGUGCAGCUCGAACUUGAACUAGAAGAUUUCAAUCAUCCAAACCUUGUCAAACUCUUGGGAUAUUGCUCUCAAUGGGGAGAAUUUUAUUGCUUGUACGAGCUUGUUCGUGACACUACAUGUUUAGAUAAAUAUCUUUUCAUAGGUAAACAUGUCUUCCAAUUAUAAUUUUGCAGAACUCUUCAGACUUACAUCUCACAAAGUUGGUACAUGUUGAUAAACAUCCCCUAAAAUCAACACUAAUUAAUAAGACCCUGCUUUUCGGUUGUUCACGACAUAGUGCAAAAGUAGACUGGCUUUGUUUUCUUCAAGACAUAAAUUAUAUGUUAUAUAUGCAGAGCCAGGUAGCACAUCACUUCCUUGGGUUUUAAGACUGAAAAUAGCAGUAGGAGCAGCUAAAGGCUUGGCUUUCUUACAUCGAAGGAAACAUCCAGCAUAUAGCCAAUUUAAAACGAAUCAUAUAUUGGUGGAUAUGGUAAAUUAGACUGCAUGUGAUGCCCUUGGAUUUUUCAUCUUAGCAUAGCAUAGGUUUUAAUUUCUUUCUCAAGUUUUUUUUUUCAGGAUUUUAAUGCUCGACUAUCGGAUUUUGAAGUGGAAAAUUUAUACGCCACAAAAGAACGGUUUGGUUAUGUACUCGAUGGAUUGGCUGGUAUUUUCAGUUCACUACCUGAAGACGGUAUCUUCUUUUUUAAAAGUGAAUUCCUUUGCAUAUUCUUUACACCACACCAGAACAUAGAGACAUCCACUUGUCUGAGAAAUCAUUUACUCAACGGCUAAAAAGCUUGACUUAGAUGAGAAGAGUGACCAAUCAAACCCCAUUUUGGCAGGUGCUGGAGUGAAGAGUGAGAUCUCUGCUUUUGGAGUGGUACUACUCGAAAUACUAACUGGGAUGAAGUUGUAUGAUGAGAAGAGUCCCUCAGGAAAGCAAAAUUUGGUGGAAUGGGCUACUAUAUUUCUAGCAAAUGAGUUUAAAUUGGGAUUGAUUUUGGACCCACAACUUCUACAUAAUGGUUAUCCUCCAAAUGGAGCAUUCAAGUUGGCUCAACUUGUUAUAAAUUGUCUUCAAUCAACACAAACCGGUUGUCCUUCAAUGAAAGAAAUCGUGCAGGUCUUGUGUGGGUGCUAUGAAGAAGAAAUCAGAUCAUUGUGUAGUCAAACAUUAUAGUGUUUUCUUUUGGCAUAAAUAGAUGUAAAAAAAAGUAAGCUAUAUCAUCUUGGAAGUUGUAGAAGUGUGAAGUCUUGAUCAGCUCUCACUAUUUCAACAGCCUUAGACUAUUCCAUUCAAAUCUAGGGCAGGCUUCACCAAACGGACACAGUAAUACUAUUUGAUUGGCCAAUCAUCUUAAGAGAUUAGGUUGAUUCCCUAAGAUAUAGGAGUCAUAAAUAUCACAUAUACCUUCAUCUCUUUCACUCGACUCUUGUCCACAAUUGUUACCAAACCUUCAAUACUUGACCAGCAUAAGCCACACAUCUGGUAUUCGCAAUAAUGAGCAUUAUAUCUUUGUGUUCAUUAGCCAUUUUUCAUUUAUAGGUAGACUGUGCUUCUGUGAAACUCCAGAUAGGAAGUUUGGUACGUUUAAGCCCUUCAAGUCUUCAACAAAUGAUAGAAUAUUUCACAUUGGGUAAUAACGCAAAACGAAAACAAAGACACAAUCAAUUUACGUAUGUUGCUCACAGGAUCAAGAAUACCGGUUAUGCCAAUGGCUAACACACGAGAAAGACUAUUAUUUUGUCGAAUGGCUUUCUAAUAAUACAUUAGGUUACAUGAAUUCAAUGAAUAUAAACAGGGUAAAUGGCAGAAAAAGUCAUUAACUUUUCACAUUUUUUUGAUUUUGACAAUUCAUUUUUUCUGUUACAAUUAAGGCACUAUGUUUUCAACUUGUUGCAAUUUUGACUAAUUGACCGGUUUACUUUAGGUCAUUCGGUUGCCACUACUGACGUGAUAUGAUGACGUGUCGGAAGGAAAAAAAAAAAGUGGCACAAAAGAUACCAUGUUUUCAUUUUUUUUUCUUUUUUGCAAUUUGACACUAAGUUUUCAAUAUUUUCCAUUUUUGACACUAAGUUUCCAUUUUCUCCAAUUUGCAACAUAAAUAUAUGCAAAGUCAUAAUUGCUCUAUUUACCCUAUAAUAUAAUAAAAUAUAUGUACAAUAGAUUAAAAAUGCAUAUUGAAUUUAAUUCCCAUACAUGGAACUCCGUGAAAUGUCAUUUAAAGAUUUGUGUCUAAACAGUUCUGAUUCGACAGUUUCCGUGCAUUUGAUUUCGCUUUGUGUUAAAAAGAUAUUAUAGAAAGGAAAUCAAAUAUUAGGCCCAUGCCUGAGUUAGGAAUUGAGUAAUCCGCAAGUAAUUAAGGAUAAUAGAACCUUAAUUGCUUAUAAAAAUAUAGAUCAACAUACAAUAUGUCCUAUUAUAGUGGGGUUGCAAUGGUUUGACUAAGGAAAUUUGACCUAUUUUUACCAAUUGUUACAGUGUGACAUCUCGUGUUUAGAUGUGUCACCUAGGAAGCAAGUGUGUUACUCAUGAAGUUGGAUGUACCACUAUGGUGAGAGUAUGCCACUUUGGUGUAUAUGUAACACCUGAUUCCUGGUAUGCCUAUGAUUCCUCGUCGAGUAGAGUCAUGACCCGCGGACAAUUUAAGUAACCUACUCGACGAGUCGGGGGACUGACUCGGCGAGUAGGUGCUGGUUGAGUGAAACCCUAAAUCUGAGGGUUUGCACCCUAUUUAAACACCUUAUCUCAUCCUCCAUCGCCUUUAUUUCUCUAAGAAAACUGUGUAUCGAAACUCUAGUUGUUUUUGUGUGUUCUAAGGCAAUUUUGGUACAUUUGGUGGGUUGUGAAGCUUGAAUAAGAAGAGAGAAGCUUGAGAGUUCGAGUUGGGGCUUAGAGAUUCAGAGAUCCAGUUCCAUUUUUAGCACAAUCAAGGUAAAAUGCCCCUGUCUUGGUCUUCUAUGUGUUUAUUCAUCUUUAGACUUGGGCUUUGGGCACAUUUAGGGCUUUCCAAGCCAUAUUCGGAUUUGUGGAGUGUUAUAUGGGGUCUUAACUUCAGAUCUGAGUCAUUGGAAGGGUCUCAUGGCAUAAAUGUGCCAACUUUAUGGCCAUGAGAGCCCCAUGCAUCUUGUAGAGCACCUUUUAUGGCUUUUUGAGCGAAAGCCCCCAUGUAUGUGCACCAAGUUUCGAGCUUUACGUAUGAAAUGGACAUUAGGGGGCCAGAUCUAUGGUUUUGAGGUGUAAAGGCUCAUCUAAAUUGACUGUAUAGUGUUGUUCAAGGAUGGACUCAAUGAGUUGUUCUUGGGACUCGACGAGUUGCGGUGUAAUGACCACCAAAUCCUUUCUGUGGAUGGACCAGUUAUUAGGGAGGAAAGUCCCAUAGAUGUUUAGAUGCAAAAAGGGACCUGGGAAUCAUGGGACUCGACGAGUGUAUGAAAAGACUCGGCGAGUCCAAGGAAAUCUCCUAAUCUUUGAAGAUGGACUCGACGAGUUGUUCAUACAACUCGGCGAGUCGUAGACUGGGCACAUUCUUAUGAGGGAGAUGAACUUACCGAUUUCAAGGAAGAACUCGGCGAGUCGGAUGAAGAUGGUCCUGGUGGUUUGAAUGAAGGAGAACUCAUCGAGUUCUUGCUAGACUCGACGAGUUGGGGUUGGAUCGGGUUAGUGGAGUAUGGAUUCGACGAGUUGGUAGACUAAAUCGGCGAGUAAGGUCAACUAGGAGUUGACUUUGACCAAUGUUGACUCUGCCUGGUUUUGGUAUUGACCCUGCUUAGGGUUGUAUGUUAUAUUUGAUGACUUGAGGGUUAUCGUGUAGGGAUUGAGGAGUCGAGGAGAGCCGAANAGGAGUCGAGGAGAGCCAACCUUCACGCCGAGGACAGUUCAGACACUACACAACAUCGAGGUGAGUUACCUUCCAGUAGGAGUGGGUCUAAGGCACCAACGCUGGCCCACUGGUAAUUGUUAGUUGGGAUGGUUAUCUUUGUGAUAAUUGUCUGGUUUGUUAUUAUUGGAUAUGUGAGUAUACUAGAAUACUAGAUAUGUGAGUAUGCUAGUAUGCUAGUUGCCAUGUUAUAUGAGAUAGUAUCAGUAGAAGGGGACUAGUCCCCGAUUCGGUCGUUAGGACCAAUGGGUAGGUCGGACACCCUAGAUAUAUCGGACAACAUGAUUAUGAUAUGAUUUUACGUGUUAGUAGUAAGGGUGAAAUAGUCCCCGUAUUCGGUUGAGAUAGACCGGAGGGUAGGUCAGCACCCCAUAAUAGCUUGACAUGUGUAGGUCAGCACCCCAGAAUAACUUGAUAUGGGUAGGUCAGCACCCCAGAAUGGCUUGACAUGGGUAGGUCAGCACCCCAGAAUGGCUUGACAUGGGUAGGACGGGCACCCCAGAAUCGCCUGGUAGUAUGUAUGCUAUGUGAUUGUAUGGUAUGUGGUAUAAUGGGGGAACUCACUAAGCUUUGUGCUUACAGUUUCAGUUUUGUUUCAAGUACCUCUUUGUCCAAGGGGAAGGAGUCGGCGGUGUAGGAGCGCAUCACACACGCACACAUAUGAUUUCCGCUUAUAGUUUUCUGGGAUUAUACUCUGAUAUUUUGUUAUUUCAGAUGAUUUGGUUUUGAGACAUGAUAUUAUGGUUUUAUGUAUUAACAUGAUUUUGUCAAUGUUUUGAUGAACCAUUUUAUAAAUCACCUAAUCAAAAGUGAAAUUUUUGGCCUCUAAUUUUGGGAUGUUACAAGUUGGUAUCAAAGCCCUGGUUUGAGGGAUUUAGACACACCCUCAGGGGUGUCUAGACUCAAACUGAGGGACUAAAAGAUUUUUCACAAAGAAAAUAGUUUCUAAAAUUUUAAGUUAAAGAAUUUUGAGAAAGGACAAGGUGUGUGAUGCGUGCGACCGGACGAGCUCAAGUAGGUUUUCCCCAAGAUACCCAUACUUGUUAUGUUAUGUGUAUGAUUUAUGAUUCUGAGAACUGCAUGCUAGAUUAGGGCUAAGGAUCUCGGAGGAUGCCUUGUAUGCCUGAUAUAUGAUUCUGAGAACUGCAUGCUAGAGUAAGUCUAAGGAUAUAGGAGGAUGCCUUGAAUGCUUGUUGUAUGAGCUGUAUGCUAGGACUGUUUAGCCAACGGUAGGAUAGCCUGAUUAGGCUAUGCCUGGUGUGGUUACUCAUUGCACGAAUGCUGCUUGCUUUGUGCUAAAUGGGUCCUGACUAACUUUAACUAACUAGUGAGCGGAUAUGUAACAGUAUUCGCAAGCUAGUUAGGGAAGGGAAGUAAGGACUCCUACUGUAGCUGAUGACGGAGAGUAGGUCGGAGGGCGCCCUAGGAGAGCCUAGGACAAGAUUAGUGGAAAAAGGUAUCGGUAAAGGGACUUGGUGAAGUUGAAGCAAUCCUUGAGGAAAGUACGUAUAGAUGUGGAAGGUAGUAUGGGCCGGUACUACUGGAAGCAGAGGAUCUGUACUCAAGUCAAGGAGGGUCGAGAUGGAACCAGGGAACUUGGAGAGUGUGUGAGACCUCUCGAGAGCAUGUAUGAUCCUAACGUUUAUGUGUUUAUUUGCAGUAUGGUGACAACACGACAUGGAGCAGGAGGCUCAGGAUCAGGAUCGGGCUCGGGUGCAUGAUUCGAGCAGGUUGAUGAUAGCUACACGAGUUCAUCGCGUCUGAGAUCACGAGAGGUAUCCUUGACUCGACCCCGAUUAUUUUUGGGUCGAUCAAGGAAGGGAUUGUUGAGCUAAUGGAGGAUCACCUUUGUGCAUUCAGGAGUGACUUGGUGUCCAGCCAGUCGGGUACGCACACACUAUCCAUUAAGGACUUCAAAGGGAGUGGUAUGCCGGAUUUUCACGGGGUGAAGGACCCCAUUGCUGCUAGGAGAUGGAUCAUAAACAUUGAGUCUGCGCAGUCGACGAGCUUCUGCCCAGAAGGGUCGAAGGUCUGCUUUGUUGCGGGCUGUCUGAGGGAUAAAGCUAGAGAUUGGUGGGAUUCGGUUGGUGACUCAUUGGGAGCCCCAGCCGUCAAGGCUAUGGCUUGGUCAGAUUUUGUGACCAGAUUCAGGGCUGAGUUUGCGCCGGCUGUAGAGCUUCAGUAGCUGGCCAUGGAGUUUUUGGAUAUGAGGCAGACGACUGAGACAGUGGCGGAGAUCACCGCCAAGUUCAGGGAGAGGGACCUGUUGGUACCCCAGUAUGCGAGGGAUAAAAAGAUGCGGAAGACCCGUUGCCAUAAUAUGUUGAGGGCUAAUAUUCGGGAGCAUGUCAACUAUUAUGUCUACCCGACCCUGGAGUUCAUGAUUUCCAGGGCGCGGGAGAGGGAGCUUGAUUUGGAGCACGUCAGGAAGAGGAAAGCAGAGACUAAGUAGGUGACAGGGGUUUCAGGGAAGAAACCCAAGGGAUCCGACGUUAGGUCGAAGGGCCAGCCGGGCCAAAGCCGUUGUAGGAAAUGCGGCAGGCCACAUGAGGGAGCUUGUAGAGCGGGAUCAUCGGACUACUACAAGUGCGGCAAUAUGGGGCACUUUGGCAGGGAUUGUACUACCCCCGCCCCUACAGUGCAGAUGUCAGGCCUGAUUUGCUUCCAUUGUAAUCAAAGGGGCCAUAAGAAGGCCAACUGCCCUAGAUUGACAACAGCAGGGCCAGCGGCGGCGCCGAACCAGUGUCAGCACAGGUUAUAGAUGACCAGAAGGCCAAGGUAGAGGCUCCAGUGGUGCGGAGCCAAGCAUUUCAGUUGACAGCCGAUGAGGCACGCGCUGCACCCGAUGUGGUGACAGGUAUGAUUUCUUUCUUAUGAUUUUAUGUUAUGUUGUUGUGAUUUUGAUAUGUUAUGUAUGUGCUCUUUUUAGGAUCGUUCCAUGCGAACGGUAUCCCAGUUCAGGUAUUGUUCGAUUCGGGUGCUACCCGAUCGUUUGUCUCUCUUGCGCUUAGCAAGAAGUUUCCUAAGUCUUCGGGCAUGUUGGAUUGCCCUCUAGAGGUCGAGAUUGCGGACAACCGGUCAGUGCGAGCAUCAGAGGUCUACCGAGAUUGUGUUUAGGAUGUUCGAGGAGUGUUACCUGGUAGAUCUGAUUCUUAUACCUUUGUAGGGGCACAAAGUUAUUAUUGGUAUGGAUUGGCUAAGCCCCAAUGGGGCAGUGAUUGACUGCGCGCAACAGUUGGUGCGGAUCAGGACCCCAAGUGGGGAGAGGUGGUGAUUCAGGGCGAGAGGCCAUAGCGAGGACCAACUUUAUGUUCAACAGCGAGAGCUAGGCGCUACCUUUAAUAGGGUUGCGCAUGAUUUUUUGCCGGCGGGUAAGGCGAUAGUGGGUGAUGUGCCCGUGGUACGAGAGUUUGCGGAUGUAUUCCCCGAGGAAUUUCUUGGGAUACCUCCGGAGAGGCAGGGAGAGGUCAAGAUCGACCUAGUCCCUAGUACGGCCCCGAUAGCCAAGGCACCGUAUCGGUUGGCUCCUCCUGAGAUGCAGGAGUUGUCUACAUAGCUUCAGGAACUGUUAGAAGAAGGACGGGUCGCAUCGGAUGUGUAUAGACUAUCGGGAGCUGAAUAAGGUAACGGUGAAGAAUCGUGACCCACUUCCGAGGAUCGAUGACUUCUUUGACCAGCUACAAGGAGCAUCUCGGUUCUCCAGGAUCGAUUUGGGUUUAGGGUAUCACCAGAUGAGGGUCAGAGAGGACGAUGUGCAGAAGACUGCUUUUCGGACGCGUUAUGGCCUCUAUGAGUUCGUCGUGAUGCCUUUCAGGCUCACCAAUGCUCCUGUCACGCUCAUGGAUCUCAUGAGCCGCAUAUGUAGACCGAUGUUGGAUCGGUCUGUGAUAGUUUUCAUCGAUGACAUCUUGGUUUAUUCCAAGACGCGAGAGCAACAUGAGGAGCACUUGCGAGAGGUUUUGGAUACUUUGAGGACAGAGAGGUUGUAUGCUAAGUUCUCCAAGUGUGAGUUCUGGUUGCGCGAUGUGCAAUUUCUUAGGCACCUUGUCAACCAGGACGGGAUUUCAGUUGAUCCAGCCAAGGUGGAGGCUGUGAUGAGGUGGGAGGUUCCGAGGUCUCCAUCUGAGUUUCGGAGCUUCCUGGGACUGGCAGGCUACUAUCAGAGGUUCAUUCAGGACUUCUCCAAGAUAGCCGUUCCCCUGACCCGAUUGACGAGGAAAGCCAUGGUCUUCCACUGGGAGCCAGAGCAGCAAGCCGCAUUUGAGACGUUGAGACAGAGAUUGUGCGAGGCACCAAUCUUAGUCCUGCAAGAGGGCCUAGAGGAUUUUGUGGUAUACUGCGAUGCGUCUAUCUCGGGUUUGGGCACGGUAUUGAUUUAGAGGGGGCAUGUUAUAGCUUAUGCUUUGAGGCAGCUGAAGCCUCACGAGGCGAAUUACCAGACGCAUGAUUUGGAGCAGGGGGCUGUUGUUUUCCCCCUCAAGAUUUGACGCCAUUACCUCUAUGGGGUUCAUUGUACCAUUUACACGGACCACAAGAUCCUGAGGUAUCUCAUGGAUCUGGCAAAUCUGAAUAUGAGGCAGCGUCGGUGGCUUGAUGUGGUGAAAGAUUAUAAUUUCGAGAUCCUCUACCACCCGGGGAAGGCUAAUUUAGUGGUCGAUGCACGUAGACGCAAGGCAACACCAAUUAGGGACAUUUGUCUAAGGAUGACAGUUGUGACACUGUUGUUGGAGCAGAUUCGGGAGGCCCAACAGGUGGCCAUGAAGGAGGAACAUCGGAAGCGUGAGCGAAUUGUGGGUCAGGUUUCCUCCUUCGAUUAUAAUAGUCGGGGAUUGUUGACUUUUCACCGUAGGGUGUAGGUCCCUUAUCAUGGGUGGUGUGCGCCAAGUAUUAAUGGCAGAGGUGCACAAAUUCAGGUUCUCUAUCCAUCCCGGGGUGACAAAGAUGUACAGGGAUCUUCGUCUCGAUUAUUGGUGGCCUUGUAUGAAGAGGGGCAUAGCUUGGUUUGUGGAAAGGUGUCUGGCCUACAGGAAGGUCAAGGCUGAGCACCAGAUACCUCACAAAAAGGUCCAGCCAUUGGAUACCCCACUGUAGAAGUGAGAGGAUAUUACUAUGGACUUCAUUACGAAGCUUACCAGGACCGCACGAGGGGUGGAUUCGAUUUGGGUCAUCGUUGAUCGAUUGACCAAGAGCGCCGAUUUUAUUCCAAUUCAGGAGAGUAUUUCGGCCGAAAAGUUGGUCGACAUCUAUAUCCGUGAGGUAGUGGCGUGGCACGGGGUGCCAGUUUCAGUGAUUUUAGACAGGGACGUGCGGUUCACUUCCAGGUUUUGGAAGAAGUUUCAUGACGAGCUGGGUACUCGACUGCAUUUUAGCACCGCCUUUCCCCUACAGACGGAUGGUCAGAGCGAGCAGACCAUCCAGACUCUGGAGGAUAUGUUGCGGGCCUGUGUUUUAGACUUCGAAGGUAGUUGGGAUACUUACCUUCGGGAUGUUGUAUGGAUGAGUUCUCCUAUAACAAUAGUUAUCAUGCGAGUAUCGACAGUCCUCCUUUCGGGAUGUUGUAUGGGAGUAAGUGCAGGACCCCGAUAUGUUGGGCAGAGGUUGCGCAGAGGGUCAUGGGGAGUAAUGAAGUGGUACUCAAGACUGUGGAGAAGAUCCAGUAGGUUCGGAGCAGGCUUCAGACUGCUCAGAGUCUGCAGAAAAGUUAUGUCGACAAGCGGCGGUCAGACUUGGAGUUUCAGGUCAGGGAUAUGGUGCUCCUGAAUGUGUCACCAUCGAAAGGCGUCUUUCGGUUCAGAAAGCGGGGCAAGUUGGGCCCUAGGUAUAUUGGACCUUUCAGGGUUAUGGCCCGGGUGGGCAAGGUAGCAUAUAGGCUGGAUCUGCCAGCCGAACUCAGUUAGACUCAUAGCACUUUUCACGUCUCCCAGUUACAGAUAUGUCUGGUGUACGAUUCGGCAGUGGUGCCUUUAGAGGAUAUUCAGGUUGAUGACAGCCUGAACUACAUUGAGCGGCCAUUGGAAAUCCUUGACAAGAAAUCAAGGGAUCUGAUGAACAAGAGGGUGGAGCUGGUAAAGUUGUAGUGGCAGCACCGCAAGGGCUCAGAAAGGACCUGGGAGUCGGAGGACGAGACGAGGGAGCAUUACCCCUAUCUUUUUCAGGAUCGAGCAGCAGACUUCGGGGACGAAUUCUAAGAUAAGUGGGGGAGAUUUGUAAAAUGCCCCUCCUCUUUCAAAAAAAAAAAGGUAAAAUGCCCCUGUCUUGGUCUUCUAUGUGUUCAUUCAUCUUUAGACUUGGGUUUUGGGCACAUUUAGGGCUUUCCAAGCCAUAUUCGGAUUUGUGGAGUGUUAUAUGGGGUCUUAACUUCAGAUCGGAGUCAUUGGAAGGGUCUCAUGGCAUAAAUGUGCCAACUUUAUGGCCAUGAGAGCCCCAUGCAUCUUGUAGAGCACUUUUUAUGGCUUUUUGAGCCAAAGCCCCCAUGCAUGUGCACCAAGUUUCGAGCUUUACGUAUGAAAUGGACAUUAGGGGGCCAUAUCUAUGGUUUUGAGGUGUAAAGUCUCAUCUAAAUCGAUUGUAUAGUGUUGGUCAAGGAUGAACUCACUAAGUUGUUCUUGGGACUCGGCGAGUCGCAGUGUAAUGACCACGAAAUCCUUUAUGUGGAUGGACCAGUUGUUAGGGAGGAAAGUCCCAUAGAUGUGUUUAGAUGCAAAAAGGGACCUGGGAAUCAUGGGAAUCGACGAGUGUAUGAAAAGACUCGGCGAGUCCAAGGCAAUCUCCUAAUCUUUGAAGAUGGACUCGACGAGUUGUUCAUACAACUCGGCGAGUCGUAGACCGGGCACGUUCUUAUGAGGGAGAUGAACUUACCGAUUUCAAGGAAGAACUCGGCGAGUCGGAUGAAGAUGGUCCUGAUGGAUUGAAUGAAGGAGAACUCAUCAAGUUCUUGCUAAACUCGAUGAGUGGAGUCGGGGUUGGAUCGGGUUAGUGGAGUAUAGACUCGACGAGUUGGUAGACCAAAUCGGCGAGUAAGGUCAACUAGGUGUUGACUUUGACCAAUGUUGACUCUGCCUGGUUUUGGUAUUGACCCUGCUUAGGGUUGUAUGUUAUAUUUGAUGACUUGAGGAUUGUCGUNGUCGAGGAGAGCCGACCUUCACGCCGAGGACAGUUCAGACACUAGACGACAUCGAGGAGAGUUACCUUCCAGUAGGAGUGGGUCUAAGGCACCAAGGCCAGCCCACUAGUAAUUGUUAGUUGGGAUGGUUAUUUUUGUGAUAAUUGACCGGUUUAUUAUUGUUGGAUAUGUGAGUAUGCUAGAAUACUAGAUAUGUGAGUAUGCUUGUUUUCUAGUUGCCAUGUUACAUGAGAUAGUAUCAGUAGAAGGGGACUAGUCCCCGAGUCGGUUGUUAGGACCAAUGGGUAGGUCGGACACCCCAGAUAUGUAUGACAGCAUGAUUAUGAUAUGAUGUUAUGUGUUAGUAGUAGGGGUGAAAUGGUCCCCGUGUUCGGUUGAGAUAGACCGGAGGGUAGGUCAGCACACAUAAUAGCUUGACAUGGGUAGGGCAGCACCCCAGAAUAGCUUGGCAUGGGCUUGUCAGCACCCUAUAAUGGCUUGACAUUGGUAGGCCAGCAUCCCAAAAUGGCUUGACAUGGGUAGGACGGGCGCCCCAUAAUUGCCCAAUAGUAUUUAUGUUAUGUGAUUGUAUGGUAUGUGGUAUGAUGGGGGAAAUCACUAAGCUUCGUGCUUACAGUUUCAGUUUUGGUUCCAGGUACCUCUUCAUCCAAAGGGAAGGAGCCGACAGUGUAGCAGCGCAUCACACACGCACACAUAUGAUUUCCGCUUAGAGUUUUCUGGGAUUGUACUCUAAUAUUUAUUUAUAUCAGAUGAUUUGGUUUUGAGACCUGAUAUUAUGGUUUUAUGUAUUGACCUGAUUUUGACAACGUUUUGAUGAACCAUUUUAUAAAUCACCUAAUCAAAAGUGAAAUUUUUGGCCUCGAAUUUAGGGAUGUUACAGUCUAGAUGUGCCAUUUGUGAAGGAGGUGUGCCAACUAGAAGGAAUAUGUAUCAACUUGAAGGAAGGUGUGCCAUUUGUUGAGUAGGAAUGCCAUCUUGGAGGAAGAUGUGCCACCCUUGGAAAAGGUGUGGCAUUCCUUGUAGAAGAUGUGACAUCUUAGUGCAAGGUGUGCCACAUGUGUUUCUUGAAGUGCCAUGGUAUCUUUAAUGUGACACAUAUUUUUAUGUUCACUAUAAUACUGAAGAUCGUCUAAGGAUGCUCAAGGAUUAUUGUAUAAUGUGCCACCUUGACAAUUGAUGUGCCAUGGUGAUCUUGAUGAGCUGCUUGUUGAAUCAUGAAGUGACCCUCAAUAGCUAAAAGGAUUCUUAAAAGGAUGCAAAGAGUUAGAGCUUCAUUGAUGCAAAGUUUUUCUUUCGUUUUUUAUGCCAAAUAGUUUAUGAAGACCUGAGAUGAUGGAGACUUCGUAAAUACCUACUGGAAAUUUGCCAUUUUGUGUUUCUGAGGAGAUACUACAUGGAUCAGCUUUUACCGACAUUGAAUGGUUGGUUGUAUGUGUCAAUUUAGGCAUGGCAAGCAUGGCCGCCUAUCCUUAUCUUACUUUUUGUAAUGACCCGGUCAAUACAUGUACUUUUUGCUUCUAUAAAUAGAUGGCCAUGGUGAAUGACAAAAAGCAUGUCUGGAUCUCACUUUCCUUGUAAUAUUUACAAUAUUAAUAUACAAGUCUCCUUAUCUCCAUUAUCUUAUCAUACUUUGUUGUUCAUCAUUUAGUAACUUGUGUUUGCAUGCAAACCAUGUUACGAUUUAACAGUAUCUUGGAACUUGCUUAUAUUUGUUGUUGUAUUUUGUUGCUAUGUUUCCUUUUUAAAUCUGCAAUCUUAUUAUUGUUAAUCUAUCUAAAGAUCCAUGAGAUUAACUUAAUAUUCUGUACCAUAAUCUUCUAAGCAUAGGUUCUUCUCUCAACAACUUAGAAUGGUUGCUUUCUAACUUUUCUAAAAACUUCUAUAAUCUUAUAGAAAGACUCUAAUUUAAAAGUUAUUAUAUACCACUCAGCUCACUUUUUUUAAAAAGCUUAAAGAAAAUAGCACACCUUUACUCUUUAAAUGUAUCUAAUAAUGUUGGAGGUUUAAAUCGAGCUUAAGUACUUGUUUCAAGUGAGUAUCAUCAUUUCUCUCAAAGAAUGGAGAGAUAUUUAAGAAGAAUUAGUAAGGAGGUAUGGAGAUCAGUAGAAAAAGGACCACAUGUACCCAUCCUGUCACACAUUGUGACUGAUAGAACACAAGCUAGACUUGGGGGUGGUUAAGGUUUCAUGACCAGACCUACCAACGAUGACUUAGAUAAGAUGCAGAAAGAUGAAAUUGCUUUCUAUGAAAUCUCUUGUGGUAUUCCUCCUAAUAACUUUGAUCUUAUCAUCAACUACAAUCCUGCUAAUGAAAUCUGGGAUGUUCUCAAGAAUAUACAUAAAGGAACUGAAAAAGCUCAAGACAAGAAGUUAACCACAACCCUGAAUGUUUUCAACAACUUCAAAGCUAUCCCUGGAGAAAUUCUUGUUGAUUCUAUGAAAAGAUUAAAGGUCAUCAACAUGAAACUCGCAAACGUGAGUAUCACUUGAAGUGAUCAUGAAACAAACCUAUAGUUCAUAAAUGCUUUGGGAAGACAGUGGACUACGAGGAUGACAGUAGUUCAAGGAGACAACAAGAUAAAAAAAUAUGCUGCUACAAAAAAUCUAUGGUGAACUACAGGCUCAAGAGUCUAUGUGAUGAAAGAUUGUAUGGAUCUAGGUGGACCACUCGCCUUGUUCGCCCACUCACUAUAGUAUGCCAACUGAUCACCUCAAUAUCCUCAUACUAGAGAAUCCUUAUAUCAAAUCCCAUAUGACGACACAUUGCAGCCAUAUGAACCGGAGAUGGUCAUUAAUGAUGAAUCAUCCAUAUUACAACACAUUACAGUUAGUUCAAACCCCAUAAGUGAGCUAAAUAAGUUGGAUUAGGUGUCUAAGUCAACAACUGAACUAGUAUAUACUUGAACUAUUAGCAAAGUACUGGGUUGCCCUCAAACCUACGAAUUGAAUAGGAUGACUUUUGGAGAGAGAGAGAGAGAGAGAGAGAGAGAGAGAGAGAGAGAAAGAGAGAUAGAGAUAGAGAGAUAGAGAGAGAGAGUUAGAAAGAAAGAUAGAGAGACAAAGAGAGAAAGAGAGAGAAAGAGAGAGAGAGAGAGAGAGAGAGAGAGAGAGACUGAUUUGUUGAUUUAUUAUAUGAUUAAUAAAUAGCAGUAAACGAAUCUGUUAAUAAACUAAUAAUAUAUUAAUUAGAAAUAGUAAUAUUUAAUUAAGAAUUAAUCAGAAAUUAAUUAGAAUUAAUUUUAAGAUUAUUUGUAUCAAUUAAAAGUGGAGGGGUCUAAUUAUAAUUGUUCAAUAUUUGAGCAAGAGGUUCCAAAAUCUUCCUUGGAAGGGAUGUAUGGUUUCUAAGGAUAUUCCAGGGCAUCUGGAAUAUUCUUUGCAGAUAAAUAGGAAGCUGGAUAAUUACCAAUUUGAAUUAAUACUACUUUAUUCAAAUUAGGGUUAUCUAGGGUUUCUUAAUUCAAGUAUAAAUAAACCCUAUGAUCUAAAAUUUUCGAACACUUUUUUUCUAAGAGCCAAGGCCGAAAAUUUGAUCUUCUCUAUCCUCUUUCUUCAAGUCUCCUAGUGGCUAGGGUUGGGUGUGAACCAUCAGAGGCACGAGAUUUCUGGAGCUUGCUUCCAAAAGCUUUGAAGAAUGAUAUUAUGUUCAUUUACUAUAACAAAUAAAGAGGUAUGUAAUCUUGCUUUACGAAUUCUAAUUUCAUUAGGAUUAUUGUAGUUUGAUAGUUCAUAGUAUGUUACCUUUAUAUGAAAGACAUAGAUCCUCUUGAGUUGCAUGUGAUUUAAUCAUUUAAUUGCUAAAUAUUUUUCUGCUUAGAGCAUUGUUUUUGUAACCUGUGUUUUCCAUCAGUGGUAUCAUAGCCUAUGACUAUCUUUCAUCUAAUUACACAUUACUGAAUUGAACAUAAAAACUUUUCAAUUUUUGGAAAGAUUCGAUUUGUUCAGUUUUAUCUUUCUAAUAUAUUUUGGACACUCAUUAUUUGGUAACUAUCUAUUUUAUAUCUGCCAAAUUGGUGGUUGUCGAGGCCAACAAAAUUAAUAUCCUAAAAAUUACACACUAAAAUAGUGUAUAGUGGUAAGGGAUCGUAUCCAUGGAGAUUGGUUCAAUUUAUAACUCUAUGAAGAAAUCUCUUUGUAAAAAUACUUGUAAGAUAACAAUAAAAAAAAUAAAAUAAAAUGGGGGGUGUUUAGUUCUUUCGAGUGUUUGAAAAAAAUUAAAACUAGCUAGGACAAAAAUAUGACAAGUAAGCAAGUAAAAGAUUGGAUUAAAUUCAAAGAAGUGGAAUUGGUUGGUUUUGGGGAACACCUCAUGGAUGAUAUGAUUGACUUAUCAUUAGACCUAAUGGAAUAACACUUGUGAAUUGGUUUAACUUGGCUAUAGCAAUUCAUAAGCACAAAUUGCCUCAAUUCUUCUUAGAAAUCAAAAUGGUUAGAGGAGCUCUUAACACAUUUCUUUAAUUGAAGUCACAAGAUCAAUGAAGCAUAAAAUCUUGUGAAAAUCAAGUAGCUUUAAGUUGUAAGAGUCACCAAGUCCAAAAGAUAAUCAAAUGCUUACAUUAUCAUUAUGGAGGAAACAUUUCCAUGGUCUAAAUGAAAUGAAAACAAACAUAUAAACCAUUUGUGCUUACUAAUUUGAAGGUCUAUUACUUAACCAAGAAAUUAAUCAACAAAAACAAGCAUUCAUUCAUCCAAGCUCAUGAUCAAAGAUAAAUAAACACAACAAGAUGUUUAACUAGAAAACAUUUCCAUAAACAUCAAACACAAAUGUAAUGAUAAGUCUUCAAAGCAAAUAAUCAUCCAUGGGUUAAACCCUAAUCAACCAAAUGAAAAUUUAGCCAAUCAUGGCCAAAGUAAAAGAAAAACAGUAUAGUUUAGAAGUAUCAAACAUUGUCUUAGAUGCAAGAUGAAAGGAAAUUACACUAAUCCUGCAAAAAUUCUUCAAAUAUUCCAAGACCCUUUGAGAGAAUAUUGGUGUAUGUUCUUCAAGUCAUCCCACCCAAGAAUGGCUCUAAACUCCAGUAAAAAGGGGUUAAUUUCCGGAUUCAAAAAAGGUGCCAAAAGUCACCCACCAAACUUCCACAAAUAGAGUCAAUAAGUCAAACCCGAAAUCAGCUCAGGGCAAUUCACACGGACCACGUAUCAGUCCACGCGGACCGUGUGGGUCACGCUGAAUGUGAGAGUUGGGCCUUUAACCAUGCAUUUUAACCCAAACUUCACUUCAUAAACUUCAGCCAACAUUCAUAACUCUUUAGGACCCAUUUGCCAUUCCAAAGCCUUCUAAUGAUUGACCCAAUACUUCUUAAAUUUUCUUGUAGCUCGAUUCCGCGCCGCCUCAUCAUCAUCCAUGCCCACAAAUUAGAUCCAAAUUGAUUUCUUCUUUUACGCAAGCACCUAGCCCAAUCGCACCACUUCAAGUCCACAAGCAAAUCACAUGCCUUCAUAAGUCCCGCAUCCUGCUAAGCCUCCAAUAACAAAUAGUCUUCGGUAAAUCCUGCAAUUAAGCUCAAAAGACUAGAAAGCACCCGGAAAGGAGAAAAAAUGACAAAAAGAGAAAAUAUGCAUGAAGAUUGACUAAAAUGAGAUGGUUUUAACUAAAAAUAAACUAUGAAAAGAAGUAAUAAAAACGAAACUAUCAAAUCACCCCAAGCUUGAACCUUACUUGUCCUCAAGUAAGACAAGACUAAAAUGAACUUGGGACGAACUACCCUAAAAAUAAAAAGAAUGGAUAGAACCAUGGAACCUGUUCAACGUUAGUCAACAUGGUUAGAAUUGAUCUCACUGCUAUCUCACAAAUUUUUCAUCCGAUGACAAUGGGAUCAUAAACCACGGCCAGGACAACUCCUCUAGGUGAGUAAGGAGGGAUGGUCAGUCGCAGCCUCAAUGGAAUAUGCAUACAAUGAAUAACACCUAUAGUAGGGAGAAAGCGACUGGAUGGGAUCGGGUGGAGCUCUUCUUUAAGUGCACACCCUGAUCUCAUGUCUGCCGGCUUCUCUCAUGUGUAACUAGGUUUAAUCGCUCGGGCACUAUUGUAGGAAUCGGCUCACUUAGCGUUGACCCGAACCUCCCGUAAUAUCCGACUCAAGAGCCUCUCUAACAUCACCAAUUUUCGAAAAGAAACAAAUCGAUCUAUAUACAAAUAUACAAUCCUAAAUAAAUGAAUAUCAAACGCCGGAUGACCGAGAUGUUGGAAAAUUUGUUCAAUAAUUGAACCGGCCACCUGUCUAAGACAGUUGCAACUAUUUUUUUUAAACUAGAUACACCAUACUUGAAGGUAAUGUAUUAACAAUCGAAAUCAAGAAAACCCUUUUACUCAAAAUUUGGUUCCCAAAAGUGUGAAAGUGGAACCGAAAGGGUAGUAAUAUAAUCCGAAUGGUCUAAGUGUGAAAAUGACCAUGUGUGGAGCAUGAAGAUGUAAUGUGAGCUCCUUUAUAAACUUGUAAUAUAUAUUUUUUUUUAUUUUUUUUAUAUAAACAAAAAUGAUGAAAAUGUCCAAGUGUGGACUAAAAGACUCUCUAAAGUCCUAAGGAAAUCGCAAAAAGAUAUGGUGAUGUAAAGAGGCCGGAUAUGGAUUCUACUCGGGGACAAGCACCAGUGCUUCAUCCUAAUGGUUCUAACAUGAUCAAGUGUGAUCCUCUCGGCGGUAGUGACCGUAAGGGUAUGACAUUCAAUGCUAUAGUAUAUCCUACAGUCGUUAGUAUUGUAUGCAUAGUUCUUCAUGAAAACUACCUGGCCAUGAUCACUUAUCCCGUUAAGCUACCAGCAUCUGAUCCCAAGUAUGAAAUCUCAACCUGCAGCUAGUGGUCCCGGUUCGAUGGGUGAGAUAGCAACAAGAUCCUGGACCAAUAAUGAUACAAUAACUAUGAACCUGUUCCAUGGCAUCCAAGAUAGGUGAGAAUAAACAGAAAACAAAAAUGCAUGAAUGCUAAUGCCCUAAGCUAAAUGUCAUGCAAAAAUAAAAGAUGAAAAAGAAGAAAAUAAAUUUUAUUUUAUUUUUUUAAUUUUUUUUAUUUAAAUGCAAUUUAUACUAAAAUGCUAUGCAUCCUAAUUUAAAAUGCAUGAUAAAUUAAAAAGAAAAACAAAUACCCCACCCCAAGCUUAGAAAUAAGCAUUGUCCUCAAUGCUUGGGGCGAGGCGAAAGGGUGGGGUGGGGUAUUCCUUUUUUAGACACAGUGUGACCCAAAAUGAGACCUUGACUCACUAUGAAAUGACAUUUCUCAAAAUUCAAAACUAAGUUUUUUUCAAUGCAUCUUUUUAAAAUUUUUGUGAGAUUGGUCAAACAUUCUUGAAAAGAGUUGCCAUAUACUGUGAAAUCUUCAAUAAAAACCUCAAUUAUGUUUUCAACGUAUUCCGAAAAGAUACUAACCAUACAACGUUGGAAAGUGGCCGGGGCAUUACAUAAUCCGAAUGGAAUUCUCCAGUAUGCAAAAGUACCAAAUGGACAUGUAAAUGUUGUCUUUUCUUGGUCCUCCGAUGCCACCGGGAUUUGGUGAAAACCGAAAUACCCGUCGAGACAAAAAUAAUGAGAUUUCCCGGCCAAGCUUUCUAACAUUUGGUCAAUGAAAGGCAAUGGGAAAUGAUCUUUUCGUGUGCUUGCAUUGAGCUUACGGUAGUCAAUACAUACUCUCCACCCGUUUUGCACACGGGUGGGGACCAUCAUACCUUUGUUGUUUUCGACCACCGUGAUUCCCUUUUUCUUUGGCACGACUUGAACCAGACUUACCCACUUGCUAUCCGAGAUUGGAUAGAACAUCCGCGCAUCUAGGAGCUUCAAAAUAUCUUUCUUGACCACUUCCAUCAUUGGCAGAUUUAACAUUCUUUGUGCGUCCCUACUUGGCUUGCAUUCAUCCUCCAUUAAGAUCUUGUCCAUACAAGUGGAGGGACUCAAUCCUUUAAUAUCCACAAUCAUCCAACCCAUGGCUUCUUUAUGUUCCCUCAACACCUUAAGGAGCUGUUCUUCUUCACACUUGGUUAGGUGAGUUGAAAUGAUGACGGGAAGGGUCUCGUUGUCUCCCAAGUACACAUACUUCAAAUGUUGAGGAAGGACCUUCAAUUCUAAUUCUGGCGGUUGGACAAGGGAGGGUGGCAAUCUCGUGUGAGUUUGAGGUAAUUCAAUUUACUUCACACUAAAUUGGGUGGUCUUCUUGAUCUCCAAAAUGUUGACUAAUCUUUCAAUUUCGGGGUCUAGCGAAUAGAACUUCAAUUUCUUGGCUAAUUUUGCACAAUCAAACCCCUUGAUCAAAACCAUCUCUAACAUGUCAUCAUCACACAACUCGAACAAUUCCUAAGUCAAUGGUUCGACAACAUCUAUGAAGCACAAGGAUGAAACAUCACUAGGAUACCUCAUAGCAUCAUAAAUGUUAAAACUUACUGUUUCACCAUCAAAUUCCAUGGUUAAGCUUGCCGCAUACACAUCAAUCUUUGUUCUAGUCGUCUUCAAGAAUGGUCGCCCAAGUAAGAUUAUACCCAAUUUUGAGGAUACUUGUUCAUCUAGGUCAAUCACAUAGAAAUCUGUCGGGAAGACCAAUUAGUUUACUUGUACUAGGACAUCUUCCAAAACACCUCUAGGAAAGACACUUGAUUUAUCCGCAAGAGAUAUUAUGACACCAGUUUCACUUAAGGGUCCGACAUUUAAUGAUUCAUACACCGAAUAGGGCAUGACAUUGAUAGAGGCACCAAGAUCAAGCAUAGCACUACUAAAAGUGACAUCUCCAAUCUUGCAAGGAACCAUGAACAUUCCGGGAUCUUUGCAUUUGGGUGGAAGUUUCCUUUGUAAAACCGCGGAUGCAUUUUCGUUCAUCGAGAUUUUCUCAUUCCCUUUCAACUUUCUCUUGUUGGUGCAAAGCUCCUUCAGGAACUUUGCAUAUCUUGGAGUUUGUUUGAUUGCAUCAAGUAAAGGGAUGUUUACUUCCACCUUUCGGAAGGUGUCCAAGAUCUCUUUCUCCUCCAUAUUCUUCUUUGAAGUUGCAAGUCCGAGGGGAACGGUGGGUGAAUGGCUAUUGGUGUCACUAGAGGAGUAGUCUUCUUUGGGGCUCCGGCUUGUAUGUCAUUCUUGGUUAUGGGAUCCUCAAUGGGGAUAAUCUCCAUUCCUCUUCUUCCCUCGGCUUCUUCUUUGAACUAUUUUCUUCGGCUUGUUUGCCACUUCUCAAGGUCACCACAUUCUUUUCGGUUUGAGAAGGGAGUUUACCACAGGAUUCCAACUUGCUUAUAGAUGUAACUAUAUCUCCCAUUUAUGCUUCAAGGUUGAGAUACUAGUCCUUUUCUCUUUUUGGAAUUGUUGGGUACUAGUGGCUAAAGAUUUGACAAUGUCUUCAAGAGACAUUGUGACAACCCGAAAUUUCCAUUCUGAACAAACCAUAUCAAGCCAAUAGAAGUUAGAACAAUUAUAGUGAAAUUCCCGACUUUGAGUAUAAGUUUGAGCAUUUCAGGUUUAGCACAUAAGGAGAUAUCAGGAGAGUGGAUGCACUAGGGUUUUGUGCAACAUUGUUAUUCCAAUACUCUAUGCUAUUAGAGUUCAUUCCGGGAAUAAAAUAUUUUCUGCCAAAAAUAUCAGGACUAUAUAUAGAAAUCUGAACCAUAUUCAUUCAUUAGUUGCAUUUCCAACUAGAGAAAAGCCGAAUUCUCUCUCACGGAUCUUCGGGUUUUUAUCCCAAACCGUGAGUACUUCUAUCUAGUUAUAUUAUAUAACUUAGAUUGUAUUUUAUAACAUCAAAAUCGGAUCAAAACCCCAAGAUUUGGGAGUUUACCGCCCAAGAACACUUGGGGAGUAAACUCCAUUUUAAGGGCCAAAAGUGUCCCAAUGUCCCUCAAAGCCUUGGAACUCAAACUAGAAGCCACCAUUGCAUGUUUAGGACACCAAAAUCAUUUAGAAACAAGGAUGAAAGUGAGUUCAUGGCCAAGGAAGUUCUUGGGCCGUGAACUCCAUUUUUAGGUGCCAAAACACCCUAAAAACCUUCCUUAAGCCAAGAGACUAAUUUAGACAUGUACCUAAAUGAGUUUAGGACUAGCAAACACCCUUAGAACACCAAGAGUAAGGUGUUCAUGACCCAAAAAGUUCUAGGGUCGUGAACUCCAUAAAAUGGCGCCAAAUAGUGCCAUAAACUCUUGUAAAGCCUAGUACCAAAGCCUAGUUUAGUUCCUAGUUAAUUUAGGGACUUGAAAACACAAUAAACAUCCUCCCAAGGGAGAUUACGGCCGUAAUCUCCAAGGGAUAUGGUCCCAGGGCCGUAAACUCCUAAAAGGAGUUAUAUUAUGCCUUAAACUCUUCCAAGGACCAAGCCAUUAAGUAGAAAUGCUUCUUAGGACCUUAUAGAGCAUCAAACAUCAAAUGGACACAUAAGUAUGAGCUCACAGCCGUAAACUCAUGAGUUUACGACCAUAAACUCACUUAGUAGGGUUAUUAGGGCCGUGAACCUCAUGGUGGAGUAUUCCUUGAGCCCUACACACAAUAGCUUCCCCUACAAAUACUUAGAUGCAAUCCUAGAGGCUAAUAACACUUGAUAAAGGUGUUUAGCAUGUCCUAGGGUAUCUUGACUUGUUUAUUAGUUGUAUAUAGACUAAUUUGUUACAUAUAUGUGAAUUUAUAUGUUAACUAGGACCAUAGAGUGUGUUCAAGACUUCACUUGACACCUAGCAGUCCUACCUCUUCAGUUCAUUCCAAUCACUUACAACAGGUGAGAUCAUACCCUCUUAAUCAAUGUUUUAACUGUUUUUAAAUGUUUUAUAGGGGGGAUACAAGUAGAAUCAUGCUAGUUACUAUAUCAAUCACAUGUGAUUAGUAAGCAGCAUUCAAAUGAUUGGCUACUCAUUAGCCGUUUUACUAAACAGUUUCCUUCAAUUGAUUUUCAUAGACAUUUUAUAUGAUUAAAACUCCUUAUUAAGUUGUGCAUUUUACUCUGUACGCUUCAUUUCAAACUCAUUUACAAUUGUGUUUCAAACAAAUGUUCCUUUAUGCUUAAACUGUUUUAUCAAACCCAUGCUUUCAAACCAUUUUAUAGAUUGACAUCAAGUCGAUCUUUUCUUAGAUAAUAAUUAUGUUCAAAGGUUUUACAAACUUACUUUAUGCUUUUAUAUUAUAAAUUGCAUGCCUAUAUAUGUAUACUUAUGUAAGUAAUGUUUAAAGGACUUAGGAAGGCUAUCCACCCUAUUUCCUUUUCACGCUUGAGAUGUGGUUUGGUGGGAUAUCGGGUACCGUCCGGAGGGCGUUUAAAUAUUAGUUAUAUAUCAUGUGUACAUAUAUAGUCAUAAAGGUUCUUCCAGUUCAUUCAAUACCCUUGGGUAGCAAGGGUAUACAUCCAUGUUCAUACAUACCAGUUACAUUACUAGUAAGCUACCAUAGGGGUAGUUUGGGAAGAUAUUAGAACCAUUACUAGAACGCAAUAUCAUACAAUGAGUCAGUUCAUUCAUGAGUCAAUACUUGCUAGAUAGAGAGAGAACACACAUUACAGCUAGCACACGCAGAACAUUACAGUGCAUUACUUUACAACUACAUGAGUACGUUUACAUGAUUACAUUUACACGAGUAGAUUUACAUUGAUACGUUUACAUAGAGAUCUUGUUAUAAGCAUGCCUAUAUAUGUAUAGUUAUAUAAGUAAUGUUUAAAGGACUUAGGAAGGCUAUCCACCCUAUUUCCUUCUCGCGCUUGAGAUGUGGUCUGGUGGGAUAUCGGGUACCAUCCGAAGGUCGUUUAAAACUUAGUUAUAUAUCAUGUGUACAUAUAUGGACAUAAUAGUUCCUCUCAGUCAGUUCAGUACCUUUGGGUAGCAAAGGCAUAUGUUCAUAUACUUUUACAUGAUUACGCUUACAUGAGUACGUAUACAUAGAUACGUUACAUGAUUACGCUUACAUAUAUGUUAGUAGGACAGACAUCACUAGGUGCUAUAGCAUGGAACGAGUUCAGGAUCUAACUAUACCGAUGAAUCGCAACACAUUGUGAUAGUUAUAUCGGGUAUACAUGAUCAUAGUAAUGUGGAUGUUCACGGCUUGCAUAUACGCAGGGGUGGUGUAAAGGUCCCAAAAUCCCUUUGACAGGGGAGCGUUUAGCCCAGGAUCUAGCCAUCACAUUAUGCCUUAUACCUCAAAUAAGGCAAUAGGAGUACAGAGGCAGUCACUUAUUACAAAUACUGCAGUACUUACGAGAUUACCCUAGACUUAAGGUAAUUAGUACGAUUGUAGUUCAACACUACACCAUAGUACUAUUUCAUUUUCCCAUUACAUUCACUUCGUGAACAUUCACACGAUGCACGGUAAUGUAGAAACUAUAUUUUUGGUUAAUGAUAGUCAGACUUGGGAAAGUACACACUCUCACAAGAGACACACACAUAGAUACUAGAUGCCCUUGUAGAAGGCUACAUAUAGAUCAGUUAAGUCUUGGUAGAAGACUCCCUGUUAUAAUAGUAGGAAUCAUAGGGAUUUCUAGAGUUUUUCAAACGUUUACAGUUGUUUUACAUACAUUUUCAAUACUUACAAUUCUUAUACAUACAAAUUCUUACAUACAAAUUAAGACGCUAAAAUACUUAUGAUCUCACCAGCUUUAAAGCUGAUACUCUCUUUCAAAAUAACUUGUAUCCUCAGGUCAAUCAUAGACAGGUACCGAUGCAAGGUUUAGAGAAGAUGGAGCUCGUUCAAGACUCAUCUUUCAUUUUGAUUUAUGCUUUAGUGUUUAUCAAAAUUUGACAGAACACACUUGUAUAAUAAUUAUAUUAUUAAUGCAAUGGAUGAUGUUGUUGCUUGUUUACUACUUUACAUUGUUGUGAUACUGUACAUGACGUCCUCCGCCCCAGAACGUUUCCGCCGUUCUUGGUUUUGGGGUGUCACAGACAUUCCGGAGCUACUUGGUUGAGAUUGAGGAGGUUGUUGUUGAUGAUCUGGAGGGUGCGGUUUGGGUUGAUAGUGUGGUUAUUGAUGUUGGUAAUGAGGUUGUGGUGGUGAAUAGGAUGGUCUAACCAGUGCAUUUUGAGGCAAUGGUCUUGGAUUGUAGCUCAUGUUGGGAUUUGGCUUCCAACUUGAAUUAUAUGCAUUUUGGUAACCGGAUGGUUUGUUGUGGUAGUUUUAGAACUCUCGAGUGGCAUUCACAUGCUCCGCAUCUUCUUGAAGGAUGGGACACAUAUCCGUAGGAUGUCCCAUUGUUGCACAUAUUCCACAAACCAUCACUUGUGGAGUUUGUCCCAUGGCUAGCUUUUGGACAACGGAGAUUAGAUCUUUAAUUUGAGACUCAAGAUUUGAUGUUCCCACUUAAUUGACUUUGUGUUGUGCGUCUCUCUUCAUUUCUUGGCGCUGGCCAAAAUGUUGAGAAUUCGCGGCUAUGGUGUCGAAAAGUUGUCUUGUUUGUUGUGGAGUUUUACUAAAGACAUCACCACCAUUUGAGGCAUCAACUAGUCUUCUCUCCAUUGGCAACAAUCCCUCAUAGAAGUGUUGAAUGAGGAGUUGUUCCGGAAUUUGGUGUUAUGGGCAACUAUAGCACAAGUUGUUGAACCUCUCCCAAUAAUCAUGAAAAGUUUCAUUUUGACCUUGGCGGAUUCCACAAAUCUCAUUUCUAAGACUUGAGACUCUUGAGGCGGGAUAGAACUUAUCAAGGAAAGCUCUUGCCAUGUUGGUCCAUGAGUUGAUCGACCCCAGUGGAAGAUAGAAUAACCAAUCUUUUGCUCUAUCGGCCAAUGAAAAGGGGAACACCCUUAGCUUGAUUUGGUCAUCGGUUGACCCUUGGGGCUUCAUGCUAGUGCAAAUGAUGUGGAACAUCUUCAAAUGCUUAUGAGGGUCUUCAUUCUCCAAUCCAUGAAAAUUUGGUAGGUGAUGGACUAAACUUGACUUCAACUCCGAGCCUCCUUCCAAAACCGGGUAAUUGAUACCGGUUGGAGUUUGUGUAACAUCGGUCUCCAUCAUUUGCCUUAAAGUUCUUUCGGGAACUUCACCUCCGUCCGCCAUUGCAAUUGGUUCAAUAAUGGGUGGAUUUUGUUGUAGGGGUGGUGUUUCCAGAAUUUCUUGACGAGGGUCGGGACUAGAAUCGGGUUCUAUAUCACUUAAUGAAGCGAUUUCAACCUCAGGGUGCCCGUGGGGGUUAGAAGUUUGACCAUGUUCAACUCGUUUUUCCUUCGCCAAACACCUUGCUUCUUUUUCGAUUUCUGGGUUGUAAAUCAAGUCACCUGUACGCUGAGAUCUGGGCAUAGAGAAACAAAUUGAUUAAAAAUAAACUAAUCCCCGACAAUGGCGCCAAAAAUUUGGUGGUUGUCGAGGCCAACAAAAUUAAUAUCCUAAAAAUUACACAUUAAAAUAGAGUAUAGUGGUAAGGGAUCGUAUCCACGGAGAUUGGUUCAGUUUAUAACUCUAUGAAGAAAUCUCUUUGUAAAAUUACUUGUAAGAUAACAAUAAAAAAAUAAAAAAUAAAAAGGGGGGUGUUUAGUUCUUUCGAGUGUUGGACAAAAUUUUAAACUAGCUAGGAUGAAAAUAUGACAAGUAAGCAAGUAAAAGAUCGGAUUAAAUUCAAAGAAGUGGAAUUGGUUGAUUUUGGGGAACACCUCAUGGAUGAUAUGAUUGACUUAUCAUUAGACUUAAUGGAAUAACACUUGUGAAUUGGUUUAACUUGACUAUAGCAAUUCAUAAGCACAAAUUGCCUCAACUCUUCUUAGAAAUCAAAAUGGUUAGAGGAACUCUUAACACAUUUCCUUAAUUGAAGUCACAAGAUCAAUGAAGCAUAAAAUCUUGUGAAAAUCAAUUAGCUUUAAGUUGUAAGAGUCACCAAGUCCAAAAGAUAAUCAAAUUCUUACAUUAUCAUUAUGGAGGAAACAUUUCCAUGGUCUAAAUGAAAUGAAAACAAACAUAUAAACCAUUUGUUGCUUACUAAUUUGAAGGUCUGUUACUUAACCAAGAAAUUAAUCAACAAAAACAAGCAUUCAUUCAUCUAAGCUCAUGAUCAAAGAUAAAUAAACACAACAAGAUGUUUAACUAGAAAACAUUUCCAUAAACAUCAAACACGAAUGUAAUGAUAAGUCUUCAACGCAAAUAAUCAUCCAUGGGUUAAACCUUAAUCAACCAAAUGAAAAUUUAGCCAAUCAUGGCCAAAGUAAAAGAAAAACAAUAUAGUUUAGAAGUAUCAAACAUUGUCUUAGAUGCAAGAUGAAAGGAAAUUACACUAAUCCUCCAAAAAUUCUUCAAAUCUUCCAAGACCCUUUGAGAGAAUAUUGGUGUAUGUUCAUCAAGUCAUCCCCCCCAAGAAUGGCUCCAAACUCCAGCAAAAGGGGGUUGAUUUUCGGAUUCAAAAAAGGUGCCAAAAGUCACCCACCAAACUUCCACAAAUAGAGUCAAUAAGUCAAACCCGGAAUCAGCUUAGGUCAAUUCACGCGGACCGCGUAUCAGUCCACGCGGACCGCAUGGGUCACGCUGAAUGUGAGACUUGGGCCUUUAAUCAUGCAUUUUAACCCAAUCUUCACUUCUUCAAUUUCAGCCCACAUUCAUAACUCUUUAGGACCCAUUUGCCAUUCCAAAGCCUUCUAAUGAUUGACCCAAUACUCCUUAAAUUUUCUUGUAGCUCGAUUCCGCGUCGCCUCAUCAUCAUCCUUGCCCACAAAUUAGAUCCAAAUUGAUUUCUUCUUUUACACAAGCACCUAGCCUAGUCGCACCACUUCAAGUCCACAAUCAAAUCACAUGCCUUCAUAAGUCCCGCUUCCUUCUAAGCCUCCAAUAACAAAUAGUCUUCGGUAAAUCCUGCAAUUAAGCUCAAAAGACUAGAAAGCACCCGGUAAAGGAGAAAAAAUGACAAAAAGAGAAAAUAUGCAUGAAGAUUGACUAAAAUGAGAUGGUUUUAACUAAAAAUAAACUAUGAAAAGAAGUAAUAAAAACGAAACUAUCACAAAUCCAAAUUUGCCUAUAUAUUUGAUAAUUAAAUAAAAUCCUACAAAUUAACAGAUAAAUCUUUGACUUGAUUAAUUAUUUAAUUGAUUAAUACAGUUAAUUUUUAAGUGUGUCAAUGAUUAAUUUAGAUGUUGAUUAAUUCUAAUAAUUAAUGUCAAAUCUUAAUUGGUUUAUUUAAAUUAAAAUAAUUCUUUAAUUUCAAAAAUUUAAUAAACUUAGUAUUUUAGAAAAGUUUCUAAAAUUCAACUUAUAACAUAUAUAUAUAUAUAUAUAUAUAUAUAUAUAUAUAUGUGUGUGUGUGUGUGUGAGUGUGUGUGUAUAAUUUAACAAUUAUUAUAUGUGUAAGACAAAGUCAGUCAAAUCGCUAGUACGCCUCAUUUAAAUAGCUGAACUAUAAAGGGGGUAUAACGAAACUGAGUAUAAAAUGGUAGAUGAAUGGGUGUUUACUCUCACACAUUGCUUCCUGGUUUGGUGGAGGGUCGUUUGCCGAACGUAUUUGAUAGGAUAUAAUCUCAUUAUUAAGUAUAAUGCUAUAAAAGUAACUAUUUUUUUAUAAAAUCCCAUUCUUAGUUACUUUAGGAAAAAUGUGAAAAGUAUGCUAAUCCAUAAAAUUGCACAUUAUACUUUAUUAGUAUUUAGUGGAGCGUGUGUGUCUAACAGGAACACUAAUAGUUACAAUAAAGAGUAAUAAUGGGCAUUUCGAAAAUUGUCAUUGAUUAGUGGAGCGUGUGUGGCUACCUGACACAUUAAUAUGAGAUGAUAAAUGACAUCGAGAUUGGCAAGCAUAUUUGUAUGGUUCUUCACAUCUUGUUUGUGAUCCCCAGUAUCACGGUCACAAUUAGAAGGGCAUAGUCUAACAGUAAACAUUUCAUUGAUAGAAUCAAUAAAUCUCAAAAGAUGUAGGAAUUUCAAAGUUCGAAAUUGGUAAAUUGCUUUUACCUACUUUCAUAAAUUUGCAAUAAGAUUACGUCAUUCCUCUUAUUAGUUGUUACUUGUUACUUUUUAUCCUAGCCUUACUUAUUUAUUAUGGGUUAAAACAUUAAGGAUUAUUGUCAUCUAACUAAAACUAUUCUUUUUUCAGUAUAAAUGUCUACUCCUGGUGAUGCUUCUGCUCCAUCGUCGUCUACCCACUACUUGGAUUUCUCGCUACUCUAUAUCGUGUCCAAGGUGACCUUUGAUGGCAAACACUACAAUGAUUGGAUGUGAAACAUCAAUAUUGCUCUUCGAUUUGAGGGCAAAGAGUAUGUCCUUGAAGAAAACUCGUUGAAAUCGAUGAAUCAAAAGCUACUCUAGAACAACUAGCCUGCUACAAGAAACACUACAAUGAUUCAACAAAAGUUACUUGCAUCAUGAUCGCUAUAAUGGCUCCUGGGUUCCAGAGGUUCUAUAAGGACUACUAGCCAUAUGAGAUGAACAAUGGCCCUGUGGAAAAGUACCACAAGAGAGCUCAUCAUGAGAAAUAUAAAGUGUUCAAGUCCCUCAUGGCUUGCAAGCUGAAAUAGGAAGAGUCUGUGUGCCACCACAUGCAAAGAAUGCAAAUAUAAAUAGAACACCUUGUUAGGAUCAAUGUGAAUUUUGAUGAGGAGUUAACUAUAGAUAUGGUCUUGAACUCCUUGCCAAGUUGUUAUGAUCAGUUCAUAUUGGCUUAUCAUUUGAACAACACAGAAACCACAUUGGCCUAACUCCACAACUUGGUACACACUGUUGAUUUAGGAAUGAAGGGAAAGAAUCCAACCCUUUCUACUAAUGCUCCUGCUCUUGCCAUCGGUAAAUGAAAAAGGAGGAAAAAGAAGGGCGUUUCCAAAGAUAUGUGGAAGAACAAGACCCAGGUUGGGUCAUCUAGGAAUGACCGAAAGACAAGGCCUAACUCAGACAUUCCAACUGUUAGUGACCCCAAAGUGGAGCUACCCCAAAUACUUGUAAGACAUCAAGGAUGGCAAGGUGAAGCCAUCGGCAACAGGUAUAUACACUAUUCAAACUAAUAAGUCACAAGAUACUCGUUCUUGGGUCUUUCAUAUAGGAUGUAGUUUUCAUAUUUUUUCUGAUUUGCAGGCACUAAAAGCAAGUGAAGAGAUGGAGCAUAGGAGGAUGAAUCUGAUCAUGGGAAAUAGGCAAUCUUCUAUUGUUACCAAGAUUGGAACUUAUCAUCUUUUUCUUAGUAGUGAAGUUAGUUUAGAUUUGAUAGAUUAUUGGUAUUCGUCUGAAAUCACACGAAACAUUAUUUCAUUUCAUGCAUUGUUUAGAAAAGGUGUUCGCUACUCAUUUGAUGAUUUGAAUGGUUCAAUUCUAGUUGGGUGUUUACACUCAAUAGAGGAGUUGUGAGUUGGAAAAGUUCCAAGCAGGAGAUUGUGGCUGAUUCAACACGUGAUUCAAAAUAUAUAACUGCGAGUGAAGCGUCAAAGGUGGCUAUAUGGUUGAAGAACUUCAUUGGAGACCAUGGAGUUAUGCCAGCCAAAAAGGAGCCCAUGUAGAUUUUUUGCGAUAUUGCAGGAGCGGUUUCCUUGACCAAGGAACCAAGGGAUCAUGGAAGAUCCAGACAUAUCAACAGAAAAUACCACUUCAUCAGACAUUAGGUAGAAGAAGGACUCCUCGUCGUCAAGAGGGGAUCGUCAGAAGAGAAUCCUGCAGAUCCCCUCACAAAGGGUCCGAGUAGUAUUAAGCACAUUAAACAUACGAGGAACAUUGGUUUAAAGGACGAUAUUAGUUUUAGUGAUUAGAUAGAUAUUUUAGAAACUUUCAACAAUAUAAAUGUAAUUGCAAUUUGAUGAUUAAGUAGUGGAGAUUUAUUUAUGAGUAUUGUUUACUAUCUUUUGUCAAAUGUUUAUUUUGUAUUUCAAAUUUGAAUGUUUUACUUCCCGAAUAAUUGGAUUAUUCAAAUUAUCGACAUUCGAUCAUACUUUGGAAGUAAGUAGUGAAUUAAGACUGUCAUGAAUUGGCAUGUAGAUUGUCUAAGUGUUUAGGCAUAGCAAUGGUUUGCUACAACGUUCAUGAGUACUCUUGAAAUGGGAAUUUAAGUAUUGGAUUAAACCCACGCUCAUAGAAUUACUUCAUGGAAUUUAUCAUGAGUAAUUAUGAGAUGAUAAUAUCGUAUAGUCUUUAAACCAAGAUAUAUGAGUUGUUGUUUACGAGUUGGUUGUGCAUUGAUAAUGUGUAAACGCGUCAGUAAUUUGAAGUUAUAAAAUGUAUUGUUGUGUACGAUUUGAUGACUAAAUAGUACAAGCAUAUAAGUCAAAGUUUAUAUGUUCCUUUUAUCGCAAGGGGUAAAAGCGAUAUUGUAACACCGUAAUUUUUCAAACAAAAUUUUCAUUUUAAAAUCGCAUACUUUUCAUAACAUAUUGUAUGGAAAUCUUGUUUAUUCUAAUUACAAAACACAAAUCCAUUAAUAAUCCAGGAUCCUCAAAACAUAACUCUUUCUCCGGUAUGUACAAUCAAGUCGGUGCCUUCCCGCGAUCCUCUGAGAUACCUGAAACACAUAUCACAAUACACGGUAAGCACGAAGCUUAGUGAGUUACCCAAAAUACCACAUAUAACACAUAUUAGCCACUCGAGGCUGUAACUAUGUGGACCCUCUGGUCCUAACUCUGUGGACCCUCUGGUCCUAACUCUAUGAACCUUCCGGUUCUAACUCUGUAAACUCUGGAACAUACACAACAUAAAUCACAUAGAAACAAUGCAAUACAUCACAAUCACAUAAAUAGCAUACAAGAUACUCUGUCAUAUAAUUCUAUUUACCACUCUAGGUAAAGUAUAGUGAGAAGACUCACCUGACCAGUAGCAAGUAAAGACCCUGCUCCCGAAUCUCGAACUAGCCUCGACCUAACACAAGGGAUGAAUAUCUCUACGUGAUACUCUAAUCAAAACUCUAAUGACCGAAGGCUAUUCUUCCUCUCUUUGACUCUUUGAAGUGGAUAAAAGACCAUUUUACCCCUCCAUGGUCUCUACUACUUAUGUUGAUCACAGCCCCAAAGUCAACAGAAGUCAAACUUGAGUCAACAGUCCAUGUUUGACCUGACUCGCCCGAGUGCAACCUUGCGACUCGUCGAGUCCACUUACUUUCCUCAGAAAUCUCGUGACAGUCCAGCUCAGCUCGUCGAGUUUACCCCCAACUCAUCGAGCUAUUGCCUGAUUCAGUUCCUCGGGACAAACCCUAACCAACUCGUCAAGUCGGCUCAUCGAAUCGGCGAGUUCAUUCAGACCAAGUGAUCAUUCAAACGAUUUAAGGUAGUUGAAUCACCCAAAACGCUAGAUCUACCAUCCUAAGGGUCGAUUUUCACGUAAAGCUGCAAGCUUUACGUUUAAACAUGGCAUAUAAAGCUCAUAAUGCCAAUAUAACUCUAACAAGGAUGAUUAACUGCAAUAACUCUUCUAUGGUUAACUAAAGCUAUAAUCUUUGGGCUCUCUGGACCUCACAAGGUCCAGAUCUGAAGUCUAGGACUCAUGAGAGACAUUAUGCAUACAAAGUCCCAACAAUGGUGGAAGAAACCCUAAUCUUCUAUAUCUACAAGAUCUAAGCAAAAUAACAAGAAAGGUGAAAGCUUUUACCUCUUAGUCAAGCCCUUGCACGAAGUUACACCAGAUCCACUGAUUCUCUAGCUCCCUUGAUGUGUGAUCUCCACUUCUCCUCAAGAGAUGCACUAGUUUACUCCAAGUUUUAGCUUCUAAUAUUCUUAUGGAUCUCUAUACACGUUUAGGGUUUGCUCUCAAGGAAGGGUAGCCGCAAAUGAGGCUAUAAGUUCCUUUAAAUAGGCCUUAAACUCGGGAAAUUAGAGUUUCUCUGCCCAACACCUACUCGACGAGUCCCUCCUAUGACUCGUCGAGUCCAUUCAUUAAAUUCAAGCGACCAACUCGACUCGACUCGGCGAGUUGGUCCCUCAACUCGUCGAGUCCCUCCUUAAAUAUCAAGAUUAACAUACAUGAUAAUGUCCCUGGAAAUCCGGAUGUUACAAUUCUGUCCCACUUGAAUUAGAUUUAGCCCUCGAAAUCGCUCCUCCACAAUAUAUAGAUCUGAUCAAAUGACCAAACAACAACAUCGAAAGUGUCUCCUACCACACAACUAUCUUCUUUUCUGGAUACCUGAAUCCAAACAUGAACUCCUCCCUGGAAGAGGACAGACCCAUCUGCCAUUAUGCUACCCCUUCUGACUCUCAAGAAUUUUGAACUCUAGUAGCCUGACAUACAGCCAGACCGCCAUCUCCAGGUGUCACCACGUUAUUCGAUCCUUGAAUAACAAACCCCGAUAGCUCACUGCCCCUAUGAUUCUCUAGUGGGGACUGAUAAAACAAGUCCAUGCCCCAAACUGGCUACCGAUCACUCGUCCCAUACAUGAUAAACAAUCCAGAUCACAUACCAAGGAAUGGAAGCAUCACAUAGCACCAGGGACUCAUCCACUAAACUGCAAUCAAACCCCAGCUCCCUUCUCCAAAUCCCUUUGAACACUGAGUACCAGGUCAUCUCCCAACCUAGCAGUUGAUCCUCCGAAGGUUACCCAUUGCAUACCUCAACAUGUCUCACUGACUUCCUUUCCACACUAGCUCUCUUGGCCCAAUGUGACACACAAGUUACGAAGUUCGCUUUUCCUCAUGCGAAUACGGAGUUCGUUUCACACUCGACCUCUGUCGUCUACUACUCAUCAGUCCCAUUCGUUUUGUGGUUUUCUCACACCAACGAAUUGACCCACUCAGGUCUAAGCCACCAGAUGGAAACAAUACCCCCUUCCAAAUGAAAUUCAGCUCUGAAUCCGGAAUCUCAUUCUACCUACUCAUCGCGCUACCAAAGCCAAACUCAAACUCGAGAGUUUGAUCUGACCCAGAGCUGGAACCACUCACCCCAAUGAACCACUCAACUCAUGACUCAUGACCCGCAACCUAUGCGUACCUCACUGAUUCACUUCCCUUGGCCACGAAAACCACUACUCCAUUCAGAAUAUAAUGACUUCUGACAAACAUGGAGACCCCAGUCUCACCCCUGGUUCGACCUCGGGCUUCCACAAGUCAAAUAUUAGGGCUACCAAAGCCUAAAACUCUUCUGUGUUAAGCUCUGAUCAGAGAGCAUUUCAUCACAACAUUCUCCCGCUGACUAGUGGGUACUACGGCUCCCCGUAGUAUCACAACGACCUCUCACUGAAUAGUGAUACUACGGCUCCCCGUAGCAUCACUACACCCCUCACUGAAUAGUGAGUACUACCGCUCCCCGUAGCAUCAGCAUAACCUCUCACUGAAUAGUGAGUACUACGGUUCCCCGUAGCAUCAUCACACCCCUCACUGAAUAGUGAGUACUACGGCCCCCCGUAGCAUCACCACAACCUCUCACUGAAUAGUGAGUACUAUGACUCCCCGUAGCAUCACCACACCCCUCACUGAAUAGUGAGUACUACGGCUCCUCGUAGCAUCACCACAACCUCUCUGCACUGACUCAUUGAAACCGCAGCUCCCUGCAGUCUUACUACAUUUACUCUUACCACUUCACAAUCUCAUCCUGGGGUUGACACUACACUACGAUCAUUAACUAAUGCUCUGCGGCCCAACACAGAUAGGUACACACACACCCAUCCAAGCUAAGCAUCACUACUUCGGACAACCACCAUCGUGACAAAUCCUCUUUUCCUCGAUGCAAUUCACAUUCUCAAAUAAAUCCAUUUGAUGUCAAUUAGUUGAAGGGCCCCCACCCGAACCAUAGACACUUGAUACACCACUCAUCCUUUCAAACUAAAAACUCAAAAUAAUCCGAGAUUUAGGACAUUAAACUCGGAUACCCCGGAAUACCAUCACAACGCCUCGCAGUGUCUUGACUCCACCACUGAUCUCAUACUCAUGGCAUCAUACUCAGAUACAUCAUUGCUUCCUCGAAAUCUCGCAACCAAUCUUUCUCUUGUGUCACUUGUAACCUCGGAAUACUCCAUCUUCCAAAUUAAAACUCAUAGAAAUUGCCAACGAAUCAGAACACGAAGAUGACAAUCUGAAACCUCCUCCUCUAAUGCUCAAAGCUAAUGUAAGAAUACUCAUAAUCACCCUAAAUUUGGUUGCCCAAUCAACUUCUUCCCUUCCCAUAUUGCAUAUAAUAGCACAUACUCUGAACCAGAAAUUCUCAACCGCCGAACUAACCUUGCAAGCCAACCACCUCGAAUUCACCAUUUUAACCUUGAAGGAUUCCUAACCACCACAAGGUCUCCGACCAAUGGCCACUUGCCGUGGAGACACUCAUCCUUUCUCAAACACGUACCACAUGCACUAUCUCGCUCUGCACCUCUCCUUGACCACCAAUAACCCUGGUCUCAGGAAUUCUCACCGCAAGCAUCUCUAUCCAGUUCUCUAACCGCUCUUGAAUAAUUCUCUGAUCUCCUCAAAAGUACCCGGUUCUCCCCCACUCAGGGUUCGAUCCAUCACCAAUUGGUUCGCCAACAAUCUAACCCACAUACUAUUUUUACCAAUAACAUCACGCCUACUCUUGGAAGGUGAUACGUAAUGCUCGAUGAUCUCCCUGAUGGAGGUCAAACAAUUCCAAAUACUCUGAAUCUCCGAUGAAAUCCUCAGAAGCUUCUCAUCAUGACUACCUCUAGUCAUUCAGAAUCUCGCACCAUCCCACUACCGGACAUCUCAAUUGUGCAUUCGUAACCCUGACCCCCAGUCUGAAAAUAACAAACUAACAUGUUCCUCAUCCUCGACUAUUCAACCAACGUUCCAUCACGUGGGUUGUAAUAAGAGUGGAUUCAUCGUUACCACACUCGAUACUCAUCAUAGACAAUAAGAGCGACCGCCCCAAUAUCCUCUUAUUGAUCGUCUUCCGCUGCAACUAAUACAUGCCCCACUAUGCUCAGAUAGGGUGUAUCCUUGUCCUUAACCAUCUCAGUCCCCGCUGACAACCUGCUCAGGCUCUAACAUUACUUUUCAGUAGACAUACUGCCAAAUACUCUGAUGAAAGAUCGUAACCAAAGCUACCCCACAGUGCUCACCCCCAACCUUGGAACCCGAAAAUCUAAAUACCUCUCCUGUUUCCCAUAGGAACGGAAAUAGCACCGCUCAGGUCACAGAAAAUGAAAUCUCCACCAUCGGCCAGUUGCUCAACUCAUGCCAUAAUCCUCCAUAACCGCCAUCUCUACUCAUUCCUGAGUCUUGCGACUCCAAUUGGCAUCUCACCAACAAUCCCUCGGGGCUAACCUAAUUUCCCUUUUAAUGGAUGCUCCACUAAAACUCAUUCAUCAUGGCCCUCUGGCCCCAUACUCUUUUACAUAUGAUCUCGGUCUUACCAAUCACCAUGGAAUAACUGGUAGAACCAAUAACACUAACUGUCACAGGUCAUGGUACUCGAACCAUGUGGCUACCUCUCAAUCUACUAUGAAUCAUGGUACCCGAACCAUGUUAUCUUUUCUCAAUCCGCUACAAAUCAUGGUACUCGAACCAUGACAUCACCUAUCGAUCUGCUACAAAUCAUAGUACUCGAACCAUGGAAUCCCCUCUCGAUUUGCUACAAAUCAUGGUACUCGAACCAUGAAAUCACCUCCCGAUCUGUUGCAAAUCAUGGUACUCGAACCAUGGAAUCACCUCUCAAUCUGCUGCAAAUCAUGGUACUCAAACCAUGGAAUCACCUCUCGAUCUGCUGCAAAUCAUGGUACACAAACCAUGAAAUCACCUCUCGAUCUGCUACUUCAAACCUCCGGAAUGUUCCCUGUAUCGAGUAUGGGUCCUCUUCUUUCAGUAGUAUGGGCCCAUACUACCUGCCACAUCUACCCAUACUUUCCACACGGACCAUCCCCGAGUCCCUAAGUAGCUGCUCGACCUUCUCAAUCACCAACCCCGUCAUGCGUUUUCGCUCCUCUGCGGAUUAUCCAACUCUGUCAGUGUACUCAUCUGACUAGGGUCACCCUUUCCUAGGCUCUUCCUAGGUUCUCACACUUCUCCGCCAUCAGCUGCUAAAGAACUCCUUAUGAUGCCAGCCAUCUACCUCCUGAAUAUCGUCAUAUUCACUUAGUAGCUGACUCUCAUCAUCAAGAGUUCCACAAAGCACGAAGCAAGCAGCAUUCGGGCAUCAAAUAAUCUCUACUAACAUGUAAAACCACUCUAGUCUAUUAUCCUACUUUCUCUCCUCCUACACGUAGGAUACCACCAAACUCAAGCGACUUCACCCCCACGUGGGCAUCUGACUACCCUCUCAGUAGACUCCACAAAUUCUCAUCUAGUUAUCUCUCCUAGAUUACUCCUCUACUCAAAUCCUUCUCUAAAAAGGAUUCCUGCUGGAUACUCUUACUCAGCACAUUACAGAUAACAGUAACUCCUAGGAUAAGGCAUCACAAAUCAGGCCACUCUAGUCCUAACAUAUGAAACACCUAGCCUAUCUCUAACAUGCAUAAUAUCUCAUAGCAUAUCUCAUAAAUAUCUCAUAAUACAAACUUAAGGGUAUUUUGGGAAAUCACCGUUCGGGCUCUGGCUGAUUGUACACACUGAUCCUUCUCUUUUUCUCUUAGAAACUCUUGUCUGCUUUAGAAAAAAUAAUUUCUUUGAAAUUUUUUCUCAAAUCCUCAGUUUGAGUCCAGAUCUACCCAAAGGCGCAUUCGAAUCCCUCAAACCAAGGCUCUAAUACCAACUUGUAAAACCGUAAUUUUUCAAACAAAUUUCUCAUUUUAAAAUCGCAUACUUUUCAUAACAUAUUGUAUGGAAAUCUCGUUUAUUAUAAUUACAAAACACAACUCCAUUAAUAAUCCAGGAUCCUCAAAACAUAACUCUUUCUCUGGUAUGUACAAUUAAGCCGAUGCGUUCCUGCGAUCCUUUGAGAUACAUGAAACAUAUAUCACAAUACACGGUAAGCACGAAGCUUAGUGAGUUCCCCAAAAUACCACAUAUAACACAUAUUAGCCACUCGAGGUUGUAACUCUGUGGACCCUCUGGUCCUAACUCUGUGGACCCACUGGUCCUAACUCUGUGAACCUUCCGGUUCUAACUCUGUAAACUCUGGAACAUAGACAUCAUAAAUCACAUAAAAUAAUGCAGUGCAUCAAUAUCACAUAAAUAGCAUACAAGAUACUACGUCAUAUAAUUAUAUUUACCACUCUAUGUAAAGUAUAGUGAGAAGACUCACCUGACCAGCAGCAAGUAAAGACCCCGCUCCCGAAUCUCGAACUAGCCCCCGCCUAACACAAGGGAUGAAUAUCUCUAAGUGUUACUCUAAUCACAAAUCUAAUGACCGAAGGCUAUUCUUCCUCUUUUUAACACAAGGGAUAAAAGACCAUUUUACCCCUCCAUGGUCUCUACUACUUAUGUUGAUCAAAGCCUUAAAGUCAACAGAAGUCAAACUCGAGUCAACAGUCCAUGUUUGACCCGACUCGCCGAGUGCACCCUUGCGACUCAUUGAUUCCACUUACUUUCCUCUGAAAUCUCGUGACAGUCCAUCUCAGCUCGUCGAGUUGACCCCCAACUCGUGAAGCUAUCGCCUGAUUCAGUUCCUCGGGACAAACCAUAACCAACUCGUCGAGUCGGCUCAUCGACUCGGCGAGUUCAUUCAGACCAAAUGAUCAUUCAGACGAUUUAAGGUAGUUCCUGUUGGAUUAGUGUAUAAGCCCGUAACUAUAUUUGGUAUGUACUUGACCCGGUUGUGCAUGGUCCUUUUGGGUUGCCUUCAUCAAAGCAACUUGACAAGGUAAUUUAAGGAGAAAGAGAGAAUAUUAUGGUUUAUUAAUAUAUUAUAAGAAUAAUAUAUUAAAGGAAAAAUCAUAUUUAUUUAAUUAGUAUUCUUCAUAAAUUAAUUAGAAAUUAAUUUGGUGACUAAAAGAGAUUAAUUAAAUAAAGGGGUAUAAACUGUCAAAUGUAUGAUAGUUGAGUUUUUGGCUAAGGAAACCUUAUGGACUUAAGGGGGCACGAAAUUAUGAUGGGGAUCCAUCGUAUUUUCUUCCAAUGCCUUAUUCCAGAAGGUUCCUUGUGUUGCUUGGUGGUUAAGUUGUCCAUUAGGGUUUAGACUGAAACCCUAGCAACCUGGAAGUAUAAAUAAGACCCCUACGCUAUGAAAAUCGGCUACACCUAAUUCCAAGAGAACCCUAGGGCCGAUUUUAGAAUUUCUCAACCUCUCUCAUAUUGCCUUCUUGCUUGUGGGGUUUGUGAACCAUUAGAGGAGUUACAAUUGUGACUCUAAGCUCAAGAUCAAGAAGACUACAAGGAUUUCAAGCUAUUUGAUAGAGGUAAACACUUAAAUCUAUUUUCAUGAUGUUAAUUUCGAAUUAUAUAUGAUAGAUCUAGGGUUGCAAGUCUUGAAUACAAAGCCUGUACAAUAGAGAAACCUAGAUCCAAGCAUUAGGGUUUGUAUGAGCCCAUAGGGUUUGUUCUUAUGCAUAAAACCCAUCAGUGGUAUCAGAGCCAUGAUUACUUUCAAUUGUAUGUGAUGCUUUAACUGUUUGCUUGCUGAAAAUCUUUUUUCUUGCAUCUGCCCAACUCAACUCGGCGAGUUGGCCCUACUCAGCGAGUCCAGAGCUGACUCGGCGAGUUUGUGCGUCAGGCAGAGGAUAUUUCGGGAUUUAGUUGCUGUUUUGUCAUGGGAUUAUUGCCUAAAUCGUUUUUUGAAGAUAAAAUCCAAAUUUUGUAUGAUAAAUAUGUAUUAUUUAAAGUUAUUCGGUAAUUAUCUCAUGACUAAAAUAAGAUUAGGUCAAAUAUAGGUAAUUAUGAAAUUAAUUGUUUAAUUUAAAUUAUUUGUUAUUUGAUCCCUUGUGUUUUGAAAUAUUCAAAUCUUGCCCUCAAGUUUUGAAAUUUGAAUUUUGUGAUUAAAAGUCUAAUUUUGAAUAAUUUAAAUUUCAAACCCUUAGAAUUUUACAAGUUUAAAAUUCAACCCUAUACUAUUAUAUUAUUACAAGCUUAAUAUAUAUAUAUGUAUAACUUUAAAUGCGAGUCUUACGGUUAGUAGGCCUCUUUCACGAAGUCAGUUUAUAAAGUGGGUAUAAGGUUGCUGCCUAUAAAAUGGCGCUUAAUGGGUGUACACUCACACCCACCGCUUGCUUGACUGGUGGAGGGUCGUUAGCCAAACGGAUAGGGUGGGGCAAUCCUCUCCUCAUUAAAAGUAUAAUGUAAGAUACAAAGUAACUACAAUGUUCUUUUUACAAAUUCCCAAUCUUAGUUACUUUAGGGCAAAAUGUUAAAAUGAUGUUAUUCCAUGGAAUUACACUUUGUACCCUUGUCAAACGUUAGUGGAGUGUGCGUUGUUAACUGGCACACUAAUUUGGGAUUGACAUUGGUGGCGAAGGGUGACUUGAUGUUUGUCAUAGAUCAAUGGAGCGUGUGUGGUUUACUGACACAUUGAUUAGGUGGUAGAGACAUUGAGUGCACCAUGUUCAUUCGCAUGGUUAUUCACAACUUGUUUGCGAUCCUCGACAUCCCAGUCACAAAUUUGAAGUGCAUAUCGAGAUUUAAACAUGCCAUUGAAAAUUUCAAUGAAUCUCAAAGAUCUAGGAGUUUUCAAUACAUUUAAAGCUUAAAUCUUCUUUUUCGUUUUUCAUGGUGAGAAUUAGUGAAUCGUCAUUCACUUACCUUCAAAUUAUUUACUUUUAGAGUACGGCAUCCCUUUCUAAGUUGUAAAUAAUGUUGUUGGGUCCUAGCCCUAAUUUCUCAUUUGGGUGUUUAAUUAGGGACNAAUCAAACUUUAUUCCUUUUCUUUUUCAGAUGUCUGCAAACAACAACAACAACGCUUCUAGGUUAUUCUUGUUGAUAAACCUAUGUCAAAAGGUGACAUCUGAUGGCUCAAACUUCAAUGCGUGGACGAGGUAUAUUCGCAUGAUCACUCGUUAUGAGGACAAAGAAUAUGUCCUCAAUGAAAUGCUUGAGAAGAUCAUCCCAGAUGUUGCUACUCCUGAAGAGUUGGCCGCCUUUAAGGCCCACGAGCGUGAUGAUAUGAAAGUUCAUUGCAUCAUGCUGGCGACCAUGAACCUCGAACUCCAAAAGUCCUAUGAGGACAUGUAUCCGUAUGAAAUGCAUCAGGAUUUGCUGGACCGGUACCACCAAAGCGCGAGGCAAGAGCGUUAUGAGAUCAUUACUAACAUGAUCACCACUAGUAUGGGGAGUGGAGAAUCCCUAACCUCUCAUUUGCAUAAAAUGCAGAGGUAUGUUGAUCGUCUUCUCAAACUUAAUGUUAAGUUUGAUGAGGAUUUGGCUAUCGACAUAAUCCUCUACUCCUUGCCUUCAUGCUACAACCAGUUCAGAAUGACCUACCAAAUGAAUAAGGAAGAGGACUAUUUGAGCAAGCUCCAAGGACUGCUGAGAGCAACCUCAAUGACAAAUCUAUUGCACCAUUGGCAAUUGGUCAAGGAAAGGGAAAGAACAGAAAGGCUCCAUGUAAGGGCCAUCAUAAGGGUAAGACCCAAGAUGGCUCCUCUUCUAGUGGAACCAAAGCUGGUUCGGUCAAACCCUCUUCCGACCCAAAAGAAGCAGAGUGCUAUUACUGCUACAAGAAGGGCCACUGGAAACGAAGCUCCCCUCAAUAUCUGCAAGAAUAAAGGAUGGGAAGAUGAAGCCCACCUUCGCAGGUAUGUAUUCUAUUAAAUCUAAUAACUCAUCAUUUGCUACUUCAUGGGUUCUUGAUACAGGUUGUGGUUACCACAUUUGUUCUUAUUUGCAGGGCCUAAGAAGAAGUACGGAGAUGGAACAUGGGAAGAUAAACUUGAUUAUGGGAAACAGAAGAUCAUCGCCUGUGACCAGAGUCGGAGUUUAUUUUUUAGUGCUGAGUAGUGGGUUAGGGUUAGAUUUAGAAAAUUGUUUUUAUUCGCCAGAUAUGGAUAGAAACAUUAUUUCAUUUCACGGAUUGUUUAGACAAGGUUUCAAAUAUUCUUUUGAUAAUAGUAAUGGUUCUAUUAAUGUUUAUUUGAAUGGUGUCUUUUAUUUCAAUGCAUUACCUUGUAAUGAGAUUUAUGAAUCUGUGAUGGUUGUUGAUAAUUUAAGAAAUGAUGUGUUAAAUAUUGAUUCGUCUACUAGCCUAGACAAAGCAUGCUUGUGGCAUUGUCACCUUGGCCAUGUCAACAAGAAACGCAUAGCCCAACUCCAAAAGGAUGGAGUGUUGGAGCCAUUCGACCUUAGGGACGAUGACACGUGUGAAUCUUGUUUACUUGGGAAGAUGACCAAGUCACCCUUUACUGGCACUUGUGAAAGGGGUGAGGGUUCGUUGGAUCUCAUACACACCGAUGUGUGUGGGCCCUUUAGAUCCACCACAAGGGAUGCUUGCCGCUUCUACGUGACUUUUACGGAUGAUUAUAGCAGAUAUGGAUAUAUCUACUUAAUCAAGCAAAAGUAGGAAUUUGAAAGUUUAAAGAGUUUAAGAAUGAAGUGGAGAAUCAGUUGGGCAGGAAAAUCAAGAUGCUUCGGUCAGACUGAGGAGGAGAGUACCUAAGUCUUGAGUUUCACGACUAUCUAAAAGAAUGUGGAAUUGUUUCGCAAUUCACGCCUCCGAGAAUGCCAUAAUUGAAUGGUGUGGCUGAGAGACGUCAUUAAACCUUGUUGGACAUGGUUCGUUCUGUAAUGAGUCGGAAUUCGUUACCAAUAUCUUUCUGGGGGUAUGCCUUAGAGCCGCCCACAUCCUUAACUUAGUUCCCACCAAGAAGGUUACCAAGACUCCUCACAAUAUGUGGACAGGGAAGCUCCCUCUUUGGCACAUAUUAAGGUUUGGGGUUGCGAGGCUUUCAUAAGACGAGAGAUUCACGACAAGCUCGAACCUUGUAGUGAGAAGUGUUAUUUCAUCGGCUAUCCGCAGAAGUAUUUUGGCUAUCUUUUCUAUAGAUCGAAUGAUAAUGUUGUCUUCAUUGCUAGAAGAGGAGUUUUCCGAGAAAGGGAAUUGAUAAGCCAAGAAGACAGUGGGAGGCAAAUUGAUCUUGAAGAGAUUCAAGAACAAAGCGAUGAAGGAACUUCGAACACUGGCACUCAACCCGAGGAGGAAACUCCUGUUGAACCCGUUGACGAGUCCUUACCUCUUAGACGUUCUAAUAGGUUUAAUGUUCAACCCCAUUUUUAUGGUUUUCAUAUUACUAUUGAAGGGGAUACAUUUAUUAGUGAUGAAACACUAAUGAAUUUGGACGAACCUAACAACUACAAGGAAGCCAUGGCAGGCCCGGAGUCUGCCAAAUGGAAAGAGGCGAUGGACAGCGAGAUUCAGUCCAUGUACGACAACCAAGUUUGGAACUUGGUUGAUAAGGUACCGGGUCGUAAGACAGUUGGGUGAAUGUGGAUCUUCAAGAAGAAGACGAACAUGGAUGGGAAUGUGCACACUUAUAAAGCGCGAUUGGUUGUGAAGGGCUUUACUCAAACUCCCGGAGUUGACUAUGAUGAGACCUUCUCACCAGUUGCGAAGAUAAAGUCUAUUAGGGUAAUUCUUGCAGUUUUCACGUCCAUCUAGCAGAUGGACGUGAAAACUGCUUUCCUUAAUGGGAAGUUGGCUGAGGAUGUGUAUAUGAAUCAGCCAGAGGGUUUUGUCGAUGCGAAGCAUCCAAAUAGAGUGUGUAAGCUUGAGAAAUCCAUUUAUGGAUUAAAACAAGCAUCUCGCAGAUUGAAUCUUUGUUUUGACGAGAAAGUUAAAGAGUUUGGCUUUCUGCGAAGCGAAGAUGAAUCUUGUGUAUAUGUCAAAGCCAAAAUAGUGAGCUUCCUCAUAUUGUAUGUUGAUGACAUACUACUCAUAGGGAACGAUGUCCCAACCUUGUAGGAUGUCAAGUCGUGGCUUGGGAAAUGUUUCGCUAUGAAGGACCUCGAAGAGGCUGCUUAUAUUCUGCAGAUAAGGAUAGUAAUAAACAUGGAAAAGAGACUAAUAGGACUCAGUCAGGAUACAUACUUGGAUAAGGUACUAAAGCGUUUUAGUAUGGAAAAUUCCAAGAAAGGGGAGUUGCAAAUCCAAAGCAAUACCAAGUUGAGUAAGACUCAAAGCCCGAGUACAGAGGCAGUGAUAGUUGAUAUGAGCCAAGUACCUUACGCUUCCACAGUAGGCUCUAUCAUGUACGCUAUGACUUGUACUCGCCCUGAUGUGGCCUUCGCUUUGAGCAUGGUCAGUAGAUAUCAAGGGAAUCCUGGUAGAGCUCAUUGGAUUGCAGUUAAGAAUAUUCUUAAGUACCUAUGAAGGACCAAGGAAUGGUUUCUAGUCCUCGGUUGGAGUGAUGACUUAAGGGUACGAGGGUAUAGUGACGCUAGUUUUUAGACGGAUCGGGAUAGUUACUGAUCGCAGUCGGGCUGGUUUUUUUUGCCUAAAUGGAGGAGCAGUGACUUGGAAGAGUUCCAAGCAGGAGACCGUAGUUGACUCAACAUGUGAAUCAGAGUACAUUGUGGCAAGUGAAGCGUUAAAGGAGGCUAUAUGGUUGAAGAACUUCAUUGGAGACCUUGGAGUUAUGCCAUCUAUAAAGGAGCCGAUGGAAAUUUUCUGUGAUAAUGAAGGAGCGGUUGCCUUAACCAAGGAACCAAGAGAUCAUGGUAGAUAUCGACAUAUCGACAGAAAAUACCAUUUUAUCAGACAUCGGGAAGAAGAGGGACUCCUCUUUGUGAAGAGGGUAUCGUCAAAAGAAAACCCAGCAGAUCCCCUUACAAAGGGGCUGAGUAGGGUUAAACAUUUGUAGCAUGCUUGGAGCAUUGGGCUGAAGGAUGAUAUAAGUUUGGAUUAGAUAGAUAAGAAAUGUGUAAUAGAUAUUUUGUACUUGACAUUUUGAUGAAUAAAUAAAGUUGUGUUAUUUAUGAGUAAAUCUACUAUCUUGUGUUGGUUAUUUAUUUAUUGUUUCUAUUUUGCAUGUUUUGACUUCUUGAAUAAUAAGAUUAUUCAAACGGUCCACAGUCGUUCAUAUUUUGGAAGUAGGUAUGAAUGAAGAUUGUCAUGAAUUGUUUGUAGAAUGUCUAAAAUGUUUUGGGCAUAGCAAAGGUUUGCUGCAAAGUUCAUGAGUGCUUAUGAAUUUGAUUUGAGCAUUGGAAUAAACCCGCGUUUGUUGGUAUCACUUCGUGGUGUUGUACCUAAAGUGAUCGCAAAGCGAUAAUAUCAUAUAGUCUUAAAACUUAGAGAUAUGGUUGUUGUUUGAUGGUUGGUUAUGCAUUGAUGAUGUGUAAACGCAUCAGUAACUUGAUGUUAUAAAACACAUUGUUGUGCAUGAUUCAAUUAGUAAAUAAUAGAGGCAUAUGAGUCGAAGUUGAUCUGUUCCUUUUACUCUAUGAGAAUAAAGGUGAUAUCUUGGCCACUUGAUGAUUUGGUUUGACUUAUAUGUCGGGCCCAGUCAGAAUGAAGUUGAUGUGUUAAACUAAAUUCUAUGUUGAACAAAUCGGAGAUCAAGAAACAAGUGAUGGACAAUAAGCAUUGUCAGCAUGAUAUCUAGAAUAGAGGAUUAUACAAUCCCUUAUCUGAAGGACAAGUUGCAGAUCAGAGUUGACAGCAAAGUAUAAGAGCUACGAUUGCUAAUCGGAUUNGUGAGAUAUAUUACUAGACUUUCCAAGUGGGAGAUUGUUGGAUUAGUGUCUAAGCCCGUAACUAUAUUUGGUAUGUACUUGACUCGGUUGUACAUGGUCCUUUUGGGUUGCCUUCACCAAAGCAACUUGACAAAGUAAUUUAAGGAGAAAGAGAGAAUAUUAUGGUUUAUUAAUAUAUUAUAAGAAUAAUAUAUUAAAGGAGAAAUCAUAUUUAUUUAAUUAGUAUUGGUCAUAAAUUAAUUAGGAAUUAAAUUGGUGACUAAAAGAGAUUAAUUAAAUAAAGGGGUAUAAACUGUCAAAUGUAUGAUAGUUGAGUUUUGGGCUAAGGAAACCUUAUGGACUUAAGGGGGAACGAAAUUAUGAUGGGGAUCCAUCAUAUUUUCGUCUAAGGCCAUAUUCCAGAAGGUUCCUUGGGCUGCUUGGUGGUUAAGCUAUCCAUUAGGAUUUAGACUGAAACUCUAGCAACCUGCAAGUAUAAAUAAGACCCCUAGACUAUGAAAAUCGGCUACACCUAAUUCCAAGAGAACCCUAGGGCUGAUUUUAGCAUCUCUCAACCUCUCUCAUAUUUCCUUUUACUUGUGGGGUUUAUGAACCAUUAGAGGAGUUACAAUUGUGACUCUAAGCUCAAGAUCAAGAAGACUACAAGGAUUUCAAGCUAUUUGAUAGAGGAAAACACUUAAAUUUGUUUUCAUCAUGUUAAUUUCGAAUUAUAUAUGAUAGAUCUAGGGUUGCAAGUCUUGGAUUCAAAGCAUGUACAAUAGAGAAACCUAGAUCCAAGCAUUAGGGUUUGUAUGAGCACAUAGGGUUGUUCUUAUGCAUAAGACCCAUCAGUUCCAUCACCCCAAACACUAGAUCUACCAUCCUGAGGGUCGAUUGUCACAUAAAGCUGCAAGCUCUACGUUUAAACAUGACAUAUAAAGUUCAUAAUGCCAGUAUAACUCUAACAAGGAUGAUUAACCACAAUAACUCUUCUAUGGUUAGCUAAAGCUAUAAUCUUUGGAAUCUUUGGACCUCACAAGGUCCAGAUCUGAAGUCUAGGCCUCAUGAGAGACAUUAGGCAUACAAAGUCCCAACAAUGGUGGAAGAAACUGUGACAACUGUCAAUCCAGGUCAUUCUCGGACUCAUGCAUCUUUAUAAAAAAAAACCAUUCAUGCACAACAUGCCAUGGCCUAGUAGUAAAGAUUAGGUCAAAAUCUUGCAUAAACUAGGAUCCAACUAAGAUCUAGGACUAAUAUACUUGACACUUACGACUCUAGUAAGUUACUUAACUACAAUAGCAAAUGUCAAUGCUAUAAUUAGAAUGAAACUUCAAACUUUGUUACAAUUGAAAAAGGGUGUAAAACCCUAAAAAUAAAUUAAAAUAUUCUAAUUAUAUUUCAAUAUGAUGGUGAAUAUCAAACAAUAUUCCAAAAACCCUAAAGAGCCAAAAAUCCAAAUUUAUAAAUCUUAAAGCUUAAAAACCUUAUAAAAUUUGGCUAUAAACUUCCUAAUAUCAAAUUUUUACUAAUCAAGUUAUGGAUUAUAUCAAUGAAAUAGAAAUUUAAAUUAUUAUACAUUCAUCAUAAUUUAUUAGAUAAAAACAAGAUCUUUAAAUGAAUAGAGAAUUACAUAAAAAAUCAUUUUUAUAAAAAUUAUAGUUUUAUAAAAAUUGAAGAGGGAAAUUAUUUAAUUUGAAUUAGGAGAGAGAGGGCACUUUAAUACCCUCAAAAAUCUGGCACCCCCUCUCCCCCAUGCUUUCAUCUUCCCAAAAAUUCAAUCAUUAAACUCAAACCCUCACUCUUCCACUUCUUUCUUCACUUUCUCUCACACUCCACCCAUCUAACACUCAAGCUCUCUUCCUCUCUCUCUAACUCACGAAAAUCCUCCAUUCUCUGCCAUAAUUUCAAAUUUAAGAAGGCCUUGAAGUGUUCUUGCUUCUCUCAAGAUCAAAACCAAGGUAAACAACACAAUCCUCCCUCAUAGUUUCAUGAUUUUACUUCCUCUUCUUCAUGGUUCUUCUCUACUCUUUGGAUUCUAUGCCCUUCUAUGGCUAGAAAUCCUUAAUUUUUUUCCCUUGUGGUUUGUAGAUUCUCACCAUAACACGAUGCAUGUGUUUGAGAUGGUGAAAAUCCGGGAUCAAACCCAUGCAAGGAGUGAAAAAGAUGCACAUGUGUUCAUGUGACUUCAAAACCGAGUAUUACAUCUUCUUCUCCAUUUCUUUUGUGUUCUUGCAUGACCAAAAGCAUUUAAACCAUUUCUAGUAAAUCUUGGAUGCUCAUUCACUCCAUGCAUGUGCUAGAAAUCGGACCUUAACAGAAGCAUGCAUGUCGUUCUUGUCAAAAUGCCCUAAGAAUGCACUCAAAGCAAACUGGGAAGACAUGCAAUCUGCCAGACUACUUUGUUCAGCUUUGAACAGUCAUAACUCGGUCAUUACUUAACCAAAUCCUGAUAUUCUUUUUGUAUUGGAUAGUUCCACGAGUUAACUUUCAAACCCACCUGGUCUCACUGCAAAAAUAUUAAAUAUCGGAUUUUUGGAAAUUUUUACAAAAUGGUUGCGCGAACAGCUCUUUUUCUGUAAUCACCAUUUUUGCCUUGCGUGAUCAGUGGCCUUAAACCCAACCAUAAAUCUGGGGAAAAAUAAUUUAGAAACUUAACAUAUCCAGUGAAUGAUGGCUGAAAUUUCGUGGCUUAAAACCCCACAGAAUGUGCUACUCAAAUUCAUGAACUUCAGCCACAUUUACAACUCAUGCACUAUAAUGAGCAACAUUUCUUAACUAGUUUGGGUUCAAUACCCCUAUUUUCCCUUCUGAAUAAAUUUUGAACAUUUUUCCUUUUGAAAGCCCUCACAUUCAUGUGAUAAUCUGUAAAAUACCAAGAGCUUUUAUCAUUUCUUUGAUUUAUUAAAAUUAUUGCAAGAGAACAAGGGCAUAAAUCACAUAAAAUACUUCCAGAGGUCUAUAAAUCCGGAAUAAACUCAUGGAUGACCCUUAUGGUGAAUAAUGACCCCUCAAUAAAUUUAUUCGAUUUUUGUUGCUGUUUGGUAUGAUUUCCGAUUUUCUUUUUGUUUGGGUAUAAUAAAUCACAAAACCACUUUAGAUAGUGUAAAAAUUGUAUAUAAAAAUUUUCGCAGCCCUUACCUGUGGUGGGUGACUCAGAAAAAUAAUUUCAUAAUUUUUCAUCAUGCCUUACUAUUUUUCCCGGUUUUUGGUAAUUAUAAUGGCCUAAAAAUAGGAAAAAUAGUUCUGAUUAUCCAAAAUUCAUGAAAAUUUACCAUAACAUCAUGUUGUACAGAAGGAGGUUACAUAAAACUUUUGAUGAUUUUUAUCUACUGUAAACUAUUUUUCUCCUAUUUUCUAAAGUUAAAUACACUUAAAUACACCUAAAUACCCAUAAAUACCCAAAACCGGAUUAUACAAUAUCAAAACCACUUUUGGUAUUUUUCCCAGAUUAAUUACACUGUAAAUGAUGUUAAAAAAGUUUUUGGUAAUUUAUUUUAACUGUUUAAUAUUUAUUCUUCAAUUAAUGAUUAUUUAAAGGAAUAAAACAAGGAAAAAUAGAAAUACCCACUGAAAAAUAUCUUUUAUAUUUUUCCCAGCUUAGUAUUGUGUAAUUACAGUUAAAUAAAAAGUUUGAGAAUUUUUAUCCCUUGAAUGCCAUUUUUCGUGAAUUUAUGUUGUUAUAAAGACUUAAAAAUUUGAAAAAGUGUAACCAAUUAAUAUAAAAUCCAAUACUAAAACAUAAAUUGGCAUUUCACUAUUUGUAGAGUUUAGUAUAUUAGCAUUAGAUUUCGACAUGGAAACUCACUAGUGUGUGCUUGAUGUCGUAGGAUCCCGGUAGUAAGACGUUGGUGCAUCCUGAGGCACUACUUGUACCUACAUGAAACAUUGUGAGUAUUCACGUACUCCCCUAUUUUCAUUUUUUAUGUUUUGGGGUGGAAAAGCAUGUCCAGAAAAUUUAUUAUUUGCAUGUUGUAUUUAAAUUGAUUUGUAUCAAACAUGAUUGCUAUUGUAUUGCUAUGUCUCUCUAUGUAUGUCUAUGCAACACGGAACAUGAGAACUUAUCGUACUAAGGCCCUUCCCUUAUCUCUAACCAUUAACUCUUUGAGCCAAUGGUCAUUAUGGAUAGCGCUAUUAGGAAUUGACAACUCCUCACUCGCCCUAUUGCUGGAGUGCAUGAUACCAUAAUCAUCUAUGGAACGAUAAGCAUGGAUCUCGAUAGGGCUUCAGUCAUAGGUUUGGUUGAGACUCAUUGUUUGCUCAUACACAUACAAACUCGUUUCUCGUUAUAGCAAUAAACUUGUAUUCAUUAAUAGCAAUCAACUUUGUUUCUCAUUAAAGCAAUGUACUUGUAUUUACGAAAAGCCUUAUUUCAAGCUCGAUUUUAUAAACUUGUGAACUCACCAACUAUUUUCAUAGUUGACGCUCGUUUUACAUGCUUUUUCAGGAAAUAAUUAGUAAGUGGAUGUAAAGAUUCAUCAUCAUAGAGCAUGCUGCAUCGUGUUGAAGCUAUUAUGAAGUUAUAUUUUGAANUUUGGAAAAACUUGUAUUUUGUUUCUUUUGAAGCUAUGGGUUGUAAACUUUUAAAUACUGCUAUGGUGAUGUAUCUUUAUAUUUUGCAAUGAAACCGUUAUCGCUGUCAUAUAUUGCAUUUCCGCUUUAGCGGGGUGUGACAGAAACCCUAAUCUUCCAUAUCUACAAGAUCUAAGCAAAAUAACAAGAAAGGUGCAAGCUUUUACCUCUUAAUCAAGCCCUUGCACGAAGUUACACCAGAUCCACUGGUUCUCUAGCUCCCUUGAUGUGUGAUCUCCUCUUCUCCUCAAGAGAUGCACUAGUUUACUCCAAGUUUUAGCUUCUAAGACUCUUAUGGCUCUCCAUACACGUUUAGGGUUUGCUCUCAAGGAAGGGUAGCCGCAAAUGAGGCUAUAAGUUCCUUUAAAUAGGCCUCAAACCCGGGAAAUUAGGGUUUCUCUUCCCAGCACCUAGUCGGCGAGUCCCUCCUCUGCCUCGUUGAGUCCAUUCAUUAAAUUCACGCGAUCAACUCGACUCGACUCGGCGAGUUGGUCCCUCAACUCGUCGAGUCCCUCCUUAAAUUUCAAGAUUAACAUACAUGAUAAUGUCCCUGGAAAUCCGGAUGUUACAGAUAUCUUGGGCCCCUCGAUGAUUUUGUGUUGUCUUAUAUGUCGGGACCAGUCAGGACUGAGUUGAUAUGUUCAUUUAAGUUCUUUGUCAUACAAAUCAGAAAUCAGGAAACAAAUUGUUGGACAACGAGAAUGAUUUUAUUCCAUGUUUUUGUCCACAUGAUAUCUUGCAAAACGGAGGAUUAUAUGAUCCCUUAUCUUAAGGACUUGCUACAAUUUCUGAUCAAAUUUUGAAUUCAUACUUGCAAUUAAAGUUAUUAGACUUAUCUAAGUUAGAGACUGUCAGAUUAGGUGUCUAAGCCCAUAACUAUAAUAGGUGUGUACUUAAUUUGAUAGUAACAUGGUACUUUUGGGUUGCAUUCACUUUAGCAACUUGACAUGAUGACUUUUAGAGAGAGAGGUUGAAUUUUUUAUUUGGAAUAAUAAAUUGAUUAAUCAAUGUAUUAUGAAAAUAAUAUAUUAAUUAGAAAUCAUGUUAUUUAGUUAGUAUUUAAUCAUAAAUUAAUUUGGAAUUAAUUUUGGGAUUAAAGGAACUGAUUAAAACUACAGGGGAUGUUUUACAAAUCAUUGAUAGUUGUGAAACUGGGCUGAUGGACUCCUUAAUUAGGAGUGGAUGAAUUUCUAUAGGGAGGCCCUACAAAUUUCGUCCAAGGACUGUUGAUAGGAGUUGUAACAAACCGUUAUUUAAAGUCAAUGUAAUAGCCUAGGUCAACUUGUAACUCGUUUUAAAGUAAUAAAGAAAUAAUAAAUUAAGAUAAAAUGUUAGAUAAACUCGACAUCUUUGAAGAAAGUUGUAGUGGUCAUGACAAGGAUUUUGGAAAUAUAAAGAACGUCGAAAUUUGAGCUAUAACGAAGAAGUUAUGGCCUAUCAAAUUUUCGCGACAGAAACGGGCACGACACUGUGUGUCGUAAAAAGUGAGUUUACAAUAAAAAGUUUUUAGCCUUAACAAUCUAAAUGAAAGUCGUAGUAUACGUUAAACUGAGAGCGUACAUAAAAAUAACGUCGAAAUCUGACUUCGUAUAAAGAAGUUAUAAAUUUUCUAGCAUUUGGCAUAGCAGUGUGCAGCUCGGAAUUCGAAUUAUAGAUCAAGCGAUUUAUAGCCGACACAGCCUAAAUGAGAAUCAAAUAUCUCAUCAAUAGUAGUUUAACGGUAGAGAGACAGACGAAAACGGACUUCAGAUGAAGAAAUUAUGACUUUUUAACGGAUUUUUCAUGUCCCGGCCUGUUAAAAAUAUAACUUUAAAAAUAAAUUCAAAAUUUGCCAACGAAUUCUAAAUGAAAGUUGUAGAGUAUGGUCUCACCCACGCGUGGAUAUAAAGAAUGUCAAUAUGGAACUCAUAGCGUCCCUCGUAGGAACGCCCAGUGUACCGAGGGUUAGAACCCUUCUAUAAAUAGCAUGUGAGGCCUCUCGAUCCUCUUUUGAAAAUUCACUUUUUCUUUCACUCUAUACACCCUCUUAAGCCGCUCUAAACCCUCCGAAGCUUAGUGAACCUCCCUAACACUAGAAGAAAGCCCCGGAGCACCCGAAGUCCCUGAGAAAAGAGUCUUUUUCGGUUUGAAACUCUACUCGUGCAGAACCCAGAUUUCAGCAGAAACUCGUGAUUUUAAGAAGCGAAGUGUUGUCCGAAUCACCACUUUAUCAAGUGAGUUCAUACCCCUACGAUUUCACUAUUUUUUCAUAUUUUAAGGGAGAAUACAAGUAAAACACAAGGAAAUCUUGUGUUAAUAUCAAAACUUUUUAAAUAGUUUUUAAUUGUUGUUUUUACUAAAAUAAACAUACUACCUUAAUUGUUUGGGAUUCCAUAUAAAAACGAACAUAUAAACUAUAAUAGCUAUAGUUUAUGAGUCAUACAUACGAUUUUAUCAAUAUAAAAUGGCUUUUCUUUAUUCUACAAGUAACCGUCAAUAUAGCUUUGUGAGAUAUACUUCAAGUACUAUUCCAAGUACCAACCAAGCCCUGAAAUUAUAACCAUAGUCUCCUGAAAAGAGAGCAUGAUACUUGUGUAUAGAUCUACAUGGGACUGGCAAUCCCGCACCUUAAUUAUUAUCUACAAUUAGGCUGGUAGGCUAGGGGUGACAAAUGUCGUAUCGAUUGUGACGCCUGAAGAACGUUGUGUUCAGGCCAUCUUAGGUCAUCAAGCAUGGCUAUGAUAACUAACAAUUUGGUAUUGAACAAUACAAUUAGUGUAUGAAUAAGUAAACAACUUAACAUAGUUUUCUUAAAUAAUAAAACUAUAAAACAGUAUUUUACAAGUACAGCUGGUAAAUCCAGGCACUUACAAUUACACAGUUUUUGUACAUGUACAUAUACAGAAUACUAUUCCAGUGCAGAGAAAACAUAUUUUUCAUGAUUAUAUGUGAAUUAAAACUACAUUAUACUAUCUAAGAGUACAAUAACAAUUACACGUUUUGUUCUUAAGGUAUGAAGACUACAACUAAUUUACAACAUAAAAUAUAGAAUUUUAAAGGAAAACAUACUUACAUUUUCAAGGAACAUAUGACAGAUUUCAAUUACAAACGUGCUUAUGAACUCACCAACUUAUUUGUUGACACUCUUUUCAAAACUACUUGUAUUAUUAGGAAAUCAGUAAACAGGUAUCCACGGGUUUUGAGAAGAUCGAGCUUCAUAUAGUCAUGUCUUUUACUUUUUGCUAAACAUUUUGGUGUCAAGUAUACAUUUAUUUGAACACGAAUGUAAAAUUAUACUUUAUCAAUGUAAUGGUUGUUAUACUUUGAUUACUAUUAUGCAAUUCUUGUGAUAUUGAACAUGACGUCCUCCGCCCCCGAAUGUUUCUGUCAUUCCAGUUUGGGGUGUGACAGAUUGGUAUUAGAAACCCGGUUAUUGUGAACUAAGUAUAUCAAACCACAUAUGAAAUACAAACUAUAAACACAAUUGGCCAAAAAGUCUCUGAAGUAACAUUUUUGUACAAGUAUACUUUAAAAUAUUACGAUAUUUUUAUAAAAGUAUAAAUACAAUCACACUUACUUGUUCGUUGUCACAGAAAUAACAAAACAAAAAGUAUUAAAUAAAUUGAACACUACGAGUAGGUCUUGGGGUAUGUAAUCAGAUCUGCGAUGAAUAUAGUCUGAUUAACUAUAUUUAUCCAUGAUGUGAUUAAUGUAUGUCGAGGAAUGUUCGUAGUGAACUGUGAGUCUAUAGUUACCAACAAACCAUACAGAGAACCUUUAUCAUACUAAUUUAAAAUACUAUAGGAGUAUUAUUGUGAUACUAUAAACUACAUGCUUAAAUUCUUUCUAUGCUUCUUACCUCUAUUCUCGCAUAGACAUUAUGGCAAGAUUUGACCUACUUGGAGACCUCUAUUUCCCUAAUCAGUGAAAUGGUGGAUGGAUUGAAGAUGAUCCUGAAAAGGAUCCUGAGGCAGAACAAUAAUAAGAAGAUUCCAAAGAUGAGGGAGAAGAAGACUCGGACGCCGAACCUGAAGUUAUUAAUCCACCAUACAUAUCCCAUGUUUGAGCGUAUCGUUGUGGCUACAAUGGACCCACGCCUCAUUGGGCGGAAAACCUAGAGUAGUGGAGUGGACAAUAAGGCCAGCGGCCCCCCUAUGGUGUGGAAAGAGUUUUUUUAUAAUUUUAUUCAUAGAGGACCUGCAGACAGAGCCCUCCCGGUCAUGGUACAACGAAUCACCCAACUUCGAGAACAGACGAGGGCAUCCGUCAACCAGAUCAUGGACGUUGGCGUCAGCAAAACCGCUUUAGAUCUUGUUCUCCAGUAUAUAUGUUUAAGUUAUAUGUAAUUAAGAUUCUAUUGACUUAGAAAUGGUAGGCCCGCUUUAGGUCAUGAUCCUUGUUUGGUUGCGGACUUAAGGCAGACGCAUUAUGUUCGACAGUCUAUCCAAUCUUAAUUACAUAACACUUGUAUACACCAAGUGAUUUUAGAAGGACCUAAUAUAGAUCAAAUCAUUGAAUUUCAUUUGAGGCAUUACUAUUAAAUUCAUAAGUUUAUUUUAUGUAGACUUCUAUUAUAAAUUACUUGCAAAUACUUUAAUGACGGGACAUAUUACAUACAGAACUGAUAGUAUAGUUCAAUAACAUCUAACUUAUAAUCACUACUGGAGAUUUACCAUAAAUUCAUCUUUAAACUUUAUGGCAGAAAGAUGCAUCCACGCAGACCAAUCAGGCGUGUCAUCAACAACGUGAAAAAAAAUUCACCACCGCCACCACCACCACAGUACGACCAUGUAGUUUUCCAGGGUGCUAUAAUGGCUGCAGUAACAACCAAUAUGACUCAAAUCUACGUAAGUGGUGCUAGCGGAGCGGGUAGUGGUGCCAACAACUCUAAUCAUGGAGAAAGUAACGGAUACCCAAAGGAGUGUUCUUAUAAUGACUUCACGAACUCCAAAUCCAAAUCCUUUGAUGGCACUGAAGUUGUCAUUACUUUAACAUAUUGGUUUAAGAAGACAAAAUCGGUGUUUGAAAUCUGUGUGUGCCCUGAGACUAGCAAAGUCAAAUUUGCAGCUUUCGCUUUCUUGGACAAAGCCCUCUCUUGGUGGAACUAUUAUGUCAAGUCAUUGUCUCUCCCAGUAGCCAAUGCCAUGAGCUGGGAAGACUUAAAGUCCUAAUGUUAGCAGAAUACUACCCGAGGGGCGAAGUGCAAAAGCUUGAACAAGAACUUUGGGGUCUAACAAUGAAAGACUAUGACAUUGCUUCUUAUACUGACAUAUCUAGUGACUUGGCUAUUCUAUGUCCCGGGAUGGUCCCCUCGAAGAGGAAGAAAGUGGAAACAUACAUCUGGGGACUAUCUCCCCAGAUCUAGGGAAAUGUAAUAGCUGCAAACCCACUUGCAUUCGACAGUGCCAAGCGUUUGGCACAAACACUAGUGGAUCAUGGAGUCUGCCAAGGCUUCAUGACAGCCAUUCCUGGUCAACCCAAAGAGAGUGGCAACAAAAAGAAAUUUUGGAACAAAAGAAAUGGGCAACCGUCACAAGAGCCCUCAAAGAAGCAACAAACUAUGGCAGUACACGCGACUACUAUUCCUACUACUUUUCUUACUACCAUUCCUACUGUAAAAAUUGCAACAGGAAGGGGCACAUCGCCCGUUUCUGUAAGGUGCUGACACAACCCAUCUCCCAAGUCCCCGGUGUGGGAGUAAGAUAGGCAUGCUAUGGUUAUGGUGAAAUAGGACAUUUCCAAACAGAUUGUCCUAAGGAAAAGAAUGUUGGCAGUGUAGGAAGGGUAUUGGUAAUUGGUCAAGAAGAACCGAUAGCAGAUCCAACUGUGGUUACCGGUACGUUUCUUCUUAACUAUUCUUACGCAUGCAUUCUUUUUGAUAGUGAUGCGGAGAAAAGCUUUAUAAGCCAUAAAUUUAAACACCUACUUAAAGAAAAUCCCCAAUCAAUAAAAGAUACAUUUACUGGAGAAAUGGCUAAAAGAAAGACCGGGAGCACAAAUGAUAUAUACAUGGGAUGUACGCUUACUCUAAACAAUUAUUGUUUCCAACUCGACCUUAUGCUGGUCUCAAUAAAAAGAUUUGACGUUAUCAUCGGCACGGAUUGGUUGAGUUCUAACCAUGCAGAUAUCAUAUGUUACGAAAAUCCAUUCGUCUUAAUCUGCCAAGUAACAAAACUCUCGUUAUUUAUGGCGAUAAACUCGGUACGAACCUCCAAAUCUUUUCUUGCGUCAAGGCCAAGAAAUACCUUCAUAAAGAAUAUUGUGCUUUCUUAGCACAUGUGGUUGAUAAGACACAAAAAGUGAAGAAUAUCAAGGAUAUCCCCCGUAGCCAAAUCUCUAUAUCGUUUAGCACCGUCAGAGAGGCAUGAACUAUCCAGUCAAUUAAACAAACUUAUAAGCAAAGGAUUUAUAAGACCAAGCUUCUCACCUUGGGGAGCACCAGUCUUAUUCAUGAAGAAGAAGGAUAGAUCGUUCCAUAUGUGCAUAGACUACCAGGAAUUAAAUAAGAUCACUGUCAAAAUCCGAUACCCUUUGCCUCGAAUCGAUGACCUCUUUGACCAACUACAAGGAGAAAGUUUCUUCUCAAAGAUUGACCUAAGAUCAGGAUACCAUCAACUACAAGUUUAGGAAAAAGAUAUUCCUAAGACCGCAUUCUAAACUCGCUAUGGUCACUAUGAAUUUGUAGUGAUGCCCUUCGGUUUAAUAAAUGCACUUUUAGUAUUCAUGUACCUGAUGAACCAUGUGUGUCGACCUUACAUAGACAAGUUCGUAAUAGUUUUUAUAGACGAUAUACUUGUCUACUCCCGGAGUAAGGAAGAACACAACCAUCACUUACGACAGGUCCUGGAAACGUUAAUGGUAGAGAAGUUGUAUGCAAAGUUUUAAAAAUACGAGUUUUGGAUUCGAAAGGUGGACUUCCUAGGUCACGUAGUCAACAAAGAAGGAAUACACAUGGACCCUUCCAGAAUGAAGGGAAUUAAGAACUCGUCAGCACCAAGAACGCCAACAGAAAUCCGCCAAUUCCUAGGCCUUGCUGGCUACUACCGAAGGUUCAUUCAAAACUUCUCAAAAAUCGCCAAACCACUCACCACCCUGACUCAGAAGGGUGUAACCAUCAAAUGGGAGGAGAAACAAGAAACUGCGUUCCAGACAUUAAAGCGAGCAUUAUGUAGUUCACAAAUUUUGUCCCUCCCAGAAGAGGUAGAAGAUUUUGUAGUUUACUGCGAUGCAUCCAAGAAAGGGCUAGUCUGCGUUCUUGUGCAGCGAGGAAAAGUCAUAUAUUAUGCCUCGAGACAACUUAAGAACCAUGAGGUCAACUAUACCACGCAUGAUCUUGAACUGGGAGCAGUAGUUUUUGCUCUAAAAAUCUAGACACAUUAUCUUUAUGGAAUAAAGUGUAUAGUCUUCACAGAUCACAAAAGCCUCCAGCAUAUCUUCGAAAAGAACUGAGCAUGAGACAAAGACGAUGGGUAGAACUACUUAAUGAUUAUGAAUGUGAGAUUUUCUAUCAUCCUGUCAAAGCCAAUGUAGUAAUAGAUGCCCUUAGUCGGAAAGAGUACUCGGGUCACCGAGUAAAGUCUCUAACUAUUUCAAUCCAUUUAUAUUUGUCCAUGCAGAUCAUAGAGGCUCAACUGGAAGCCUUAAACCCUGAAAAUGUAGCAGGUGAAGGCUUAAGAGGAAUGGAGAAGAACAUAGAAAUAAAGGGUGACGAAGUUUGUUAUCUCAUGACCCAGAUCUGGACAUCGGAAUUUUGUGGCUAUAGAUAUGUUGUCAUGAACGAUGCCCACAAGACUCGAUACUCUGUUCAUCCAGGUUCAGAUAAGAUGUAUCUAGAUCUCAAGAAACUUUAUUGGUGGCCGAACAUGAAAGCUGAGAUUGCUACCUAUGUGGGCAAGUGCCUGACUUGCGCCAAAGUCAAUGGAGAAUGCCUGAAGCCCUAAAGUUUACUACAACAACCAAAAAUACCUAAGUAGAAGUGGGAGCAGAUUACAAUGGAUUUCAUAACCAUGUUGCCCAAGACCAUGGGUGGCAAUCACACCAUUCGGGUAAUCAUCGACAGAUUAACCAAGUCCGCACACUUCUUACCAAUAAAGGAAACAGACAAGAUGGAGAAACUAACCAGAACUUAUAUAAGAGACAUAGUCUGACUACAUGGUGUGCCAAUAUCUAUUAUCUUUGAUAGAGACAGUAAAUUCACCUCAAGGUUCUGGCAAUCACUACAAAAACCUCUAGGAACUAGGUUGGACAUGAGUACAAGCUACCACCCACAAACUGACGGGCAGAGUGAGAGAACUAUUCAAACCUUGGAGGACAUGCUGAUAGGUUGCGUGAUCGACUUUGGUAAGGCAUGGGAUACCCAGUUGAUUCUUUUCGAAUUCUCAUAUAACAAUAGUUAUCACACCAGCAUCAAGGUUGCCCCAUUUGAAGCCCUUUUAUGGCCGUAAGUGUAGAUCCCCUCUGUGCUGGGCUGAGGUGGGUGAUGUGUAACUAGCUAGAGGGAAAAUUACUGAUAGAACUCUCACUGGACUGGAGAUCAUAAUAAAAAUGGCUGAAAAGAUCAUGCAAAUCCGAGAAUGACUGAAAGCUUCUAAAGACAGACAAAAGAGUUACACAGACAAGAGACGAAAACCCUUGGAAUUUCAGGUUGGUGACUGCGUUCUGUUGAAGGUCUCACCCUAGAAGGGCAUGACAUGUUUUGGAAAGCGUGUAAAACUAAAUCCAAGGUACAUUGGGCCAUUCGAGAUUCUUGCUAGAAUCGGUCCAGUAGCAUAUAAAGUAAACCUACCGCAUGAACUCAGUAACAUUCAUCCUAUUCUUCAUGUAUCCAAUCUAAAGAAGUGUCUAUCUGAUGAGACUCUUGUAAUCCCAAUCAACGAAAUCAACUUAAACAAGAGUCUACACUUCAUAGAAGAACUAGUGGAAUUCAUGGACAGGGAAAUCAAGAGAACAAAACAAAGUUGUAUACCAAUAGUGAAGGUUCGCUGGAAUGCCAAGUGGGGACUUGAAUUCACUUGGGAACCGGAAGAUCAGAUGAAAUAAAAGUACCCACAUCUUUUCCCUAGUUCAUGAGUACCACUUUAGAAAUAAUUUUGGGACGAACUUCCCUCUAACGGGGGUAUAAUGUAACAAACCGUUAUUUCAAGUCAAUGUAAUAGUCUAGGCCCACUUGUAACUCGUUUUAAAAUAAUAAAGAAAUAAAAAAUUAAAAUAAAAUUUUAGAUAAACCCGAUUUCUAUGAAGAAAGUCAUAGUGGUCGUAACAAGGAUUCCAGAAAUAUAAAGAAUGCCAAAAUUUGAGCUAUAAUGAAGAAGUUAUGGCCUAUCAAAGUUUCACGACAAAACCGGCACGACACUGUGUGUCGUAAAAAGUGAGUUUACAGUAAAAUAUUUUUUAGCCUUAACAAUCUAAAUUAAAGUCUUAGUAUAUGUUAAACCGAGAGCGUGCAUAGAAAGAACGUCCAAAUCUGACUUCGUAUGAAGAAGUUAUGAGUUUUCUAAAAUUUAACAUAGCAGUGUGCAGCUCAGAAUUCAAAUUAUAGAUCGGGCGAUUUUUAGCCGACACAACUAAACGAGAAUUAAAGAUCUCAUUAAUAGAAGUUUAAUGGUAAAAAUACCAACGAAAACGGACAUCGGAUGAAGAAAUUAUGAAUUUUUAACGGGUUUUUCCUAUCCUGGCCUGUUAAAAAUAAUAACUUUAAAAAUAAAGUCAAAAUUUACCGACGUCCGACGAAGUCUAAACAAAAGUUAUAGAGUACGGUCUCAGCUAUGCGUGGAUAUAAAGAACAUGAAAAACAGAGCUCAUAUGAGAAAGUUAUGAAUAUUUGAAAUUCGAGGCCCAAAUUUCGGGGCUGGUCCGAAGGUGAACGCCCCACGUACGAGGGAACGUCAUGCGUUCGCAGCCACCUGUUCUGGAGUUGACCACUAAACCAUUUUGCAUGGAUGACAUGUUUUGAAUCUCGGAUAAUUAGACAUGAGCCUCGCUCCUUCUCCCCACGUACGAGGGUAGGUCUUGCGUACUGGAACGCGCAUUGUCCCUCGCAGGAACAGCCAGUGUACCGAGGGUCAGAACCCUUCUAUAAAUAACAUGCAAGGCCUCCCGAUUCUCUUUUGCAAAUUCAUUAUUUCUUUCACUUUAUACACCCUUUUAAGCCACUCUAAAGCCCCCCCCCCACCACCAAAGCUUAGGGAACCUCCCUAACACUAGAAGAAAGCCCCAGAGAACCCGAAGUCCCCGAGAAAAGAGUCUUUUCGGUUUGAAACUCUGCCCGUGCAGAACCCGAUUUUUAGCAGAAACUCGUGAUUUCAAGAAGAGAAGUGUUGUCCGAAUCACCACUUUAUCAAGUGAGUUCAUACCCCUAAGUUUUCACUAUCUUUUCAUAUUUUGAGAGGGGGGGGGGGGGUACAAGUAAACACAAGGAUAUCUUGUGUUAACAUCAAAGCUAUUAAAAUAGUUUUAAAUUGUCGUUUUUUCUAAAAUAAACAUGCUACCUUACUAGUUUGGGAUUCCAUACAAAAACAAACAUAUAAACUAUAAUAGGUUAUAGUUUAUGAGUCAUACAUACAAUUUUAUUAAUACAAAAUGGCUUUUCCUUAUUCUACACGUAACUGUCAAUAUAGCUUUGUGAGAUAUACUUCAAGUACUAUUCCAAGUACCAACGAAGCCCUGAAAUUAUAACCAAAGUCUCCUGGAAGGAGAGUGUGACACUUGUGUUUAGAUCUAUACGGUACUGACAAUCCCGCAUGUUAACUGUUAACUACAAUUAGGCCGACGGGCCUGGGGUGACAAAUGUCAUACCGAUUGUGACACCUGAAGAACUUCGUGUUCAGGCCAUCUUAGGUCAUCAAGCAUGGUUAUGAUAACUCACAAUUUGGUAUUGAACAAUACGAUUAGUGUCUGAAUAUGUAAACAACUUCACAUAGUUUUAUUAAAUAAUAAAACUAUAAUACAAUAUUUUACAAGUACAACUGGUGAAUCUAGGCACGUAUAAUUACACAGUUUUUAUACAAGUACAUAUACAGAAUACUAUUCCAGUGUAGAGAAAACAUACUUUUCAUGGUUUUAUGUGAACUAAAACUAUAUUAUAUUAUCUCUAAGUACAAUAACAUUUACACGUUUUGGUCUUAGGGUAUUAAGACUACAACACAUUUAUAACAUAUAGUAUAGGAUUUUCUAGGAAAACAUACUUACAUUUUCAAGGAACAAAUGACAAAUUUCAAUUACAAACAUGCUUAUGAAGUCACCAACUUAUUUGUGGACACUCUUUUCAAAGCUACUUGUAUUCUCAGGAAAUCAGUAAAUACGUAUCCACAGGUUUUGAGAAGACGGAGCUUCAUAUUGUCAUGUCUGUUAGUUUUUGCUAUAAAUUUUGGUGUCAAGUAUACAUUGAUUUGAACACGAAUGUAAAACUAUACUUUAUCAAUGUAAUGGUCGUUAUACUUUGAUUACUAUUAUGCAAUUGUUGUGAUACUGAACAUGACAUCCGCCGCCCUCGAAUGUUUCCGCUAUUCCGGUUUGGGGGUGUGACAGGAGGUCCAUGGGUUGCUUAAGCCUUAAACAGGAAAAUAGGGUUUCCUCCAAAAACCCUAGCAGCCCUUAGUUAUAUAAAGACCCCAUAGACUUGGGAUUUUCGGUGAAUGCUUGCUAAGAAGAAACCCUAGUCAGAAUUCUAUGUGCUUCAUCCCUCUCUCCUCUCAUCCUUUUGCUAGUGGUGUUUGUGAGCCAUUAAAGGUGCAACAUUUGAGGCACUAAUCUUUCAAGAGUAAAGGAUCUACAAGGAGUUCUUGUUAUUACUACAUAACAAGCAAGGUAAUCAUCAAAACCCUUUGGUUAUAUGAUUUUCAAAAUUGUAUGCUAGAUCUACGGUUUAUUGCUUUGGUAUUCAAUUGCAUGUUCAACUAGCUCAAAACUUAGAUCCAAAGCAAUUAGGGUUGCAUGAUCACAUAGGAUGUAGUUAUGCUCAAAACCCAUCAAAGCAAACAAAAAAUGAGAACUCAAAUCAAAAGAUUAUAAAAGGUAGACAAGUAUAGAUUAACUUUAGCUAAUACAAAUAUGCUUAAGAUAGAAUAAUAUCAGAAUAAUAAAGGUGACAAACACAAGAAUUAAAGUGUUGUUAGCCUGCUACUUAACUGUACACAUAAAGAUUUGUUGGAUAUUUUCGAUUAUUUAUUGUUCUUCAAUUGUGUUGGGUGACAACAAAACAAGUUAAGCACUUUAGACAGAUAUCAAAAGAAAGUUUGUUGAGCUUGCGGAAAUAUAGUUUCUAAAAAUGUAAAUCAAGUGGACACAAUGUUUAAUGUGGUUCGAUCAAUGUGGCCUACCUCCAUGACCAAACGAGUGAGAGAGAGAGAGAGAAAAUUUUAUUAAAAUCCAAGAACAGUUACAAUGACCCAACGGUUACACCUCAUUUGAGCUCUCAAAACAAAAGAAUAUCUCGUGCUUACUAAAUGCUCCAAGGGAAUGCUCUCAACCCCAUAAUGAUUACUCUCUUGAAAUUUCUGCACACUCAUAAUGAUGGAGAUACGAGCCUAUUUAUAAUUGAGGGAUCAUACCUGAAACCCUAAUAGGCCAUGCUUAUUGGCUCAUACGACAAUGAAUGGUGACACCUAAUCAUAUCCCGCCAUGUAUUAUCUUCUGGAACCUUCAUCCAUGCCAUACAACCCAUGAGCAUCAACAACACACAUGAUGGACCACCUUGAACAUGAUGGGGCAUCAUGAUGCACAGGAGAUGAAUCAUGAACACUAAUGGCCCAACAUCCUUCAUGGUGGCAUAACAAGGUGUAUUUCUUUAGCAAUAGCAACUUCUGAGCAUCCUUGAACGAUCUUAAGCAUCACAAAGGAAUUUAUAGCAUACAUGGCUUGUCAGGGAUAGCAUGGCUCAUCAAGGAUCCAAAAUGACACAUCUUGCACAAUGAUGUAGCAACAUGUGCAAAGAUGGUGCUACAGGAUUUAAGUGCGGCGCAAGAACACCAAGAUUGGAGAAACAACACCACCAUGGUGCAAUAGGAACAGACGUGGCGAAACAAGGCCAUGGAUGGCACAAGAACAUUGCUCAUGGCACAAGAGAGAUCCUCAUAGAAUAAGAGGAAUCCCUCAUGGUGCAAGAGGGAGCAUUAUGGCACUAGAAGGAAUACCAUGGCGCAAGAGCAUCCUUCUUGGAUUAUACCUUUAUCAUCUAGAGCAACAAAGUCUCCUUGUUCCUCCAUAUCCCUCUCAAGUGCUCCAAACCUCUUCUAGGUGUUCCAAACCCCCUUCUAUAUGUUUCGUUCCUUUGGAACUUGAUCUAUUCCUUUGUCAGACGAUCCAUUCCCUUCUCAAAUGAUCCAUUCCUUUGUCACAUUCUCCAUGAACCUCAAGUGCUCCAUUGAAUUCCAAGUGCUCCAAACGCACCAUGAACAUGAUUAAAAUGGUCCAUCUUAUAGAAGACUUCAUACAUCAACAAUCUCCAACUUGAAGGCUUGAACAACUUCAUCUACCGUUCAAGGUCUUCAAAAUUUGCUCAAUCUCUCUCCCUCUCUACACCAACUCCCAUCCUCAAAAUCUUGGAAGGGUAGUUGAGGCCAUGCAUGGAUUCAACUUUUCAGUAGUAAACACCUUAAUAUAUUUAUAUGUUGAGUUCUCCAAACUAAGGACUUUCUUCAGCUUAGUAGCCCCUUGGAUCAUUAUCUUGAAUUCUCUGGUCAGCCGCAUAUUAAUAUUGAGAGAAAAACUUUGAGACACACUUGAACAAAUUUUUAGAACAAGUAUAUAGCGGAAUAGUUAAUCUUGAAUGAUCUAUUAGCUCAACAAUAAUAUUAAGAGUUAGAAGUUAGUGAGUUAGAUGCGGAAAAUUAAAGAAAUGUAAAUGACAACAAUUUUUAUAUCAAGUAUACACAUAAGCAGAUUCGUAACAAGGAAUGCAUUCAAACCAAGUUAGUAAAUGAGAUCUAGCUUAGUGAUUAAGUCACAAGUGACUUGAUCCGAAGAGAGAUAGUGAUUGAUUAAGAGAGUAAGAAGAUUUGAUAAGUAAGAUAGAAUGAGAACUUUGAGAUGUGUAUUAGAAUUUGAAGAGAGAUUCACAUCAGUACAUAUUACAUGAGAAAUGAUCUCUAUUUAUAGAGACAAGUUUACAACUCUAAGAGUAGCCAUGCAAGGCAUACUGGACAUUAGAGUGUUUUACAGAAAAGACAAAAUAAACUAAGUAAAGAUAAACACUGCGGUGCUGAAGACUUUGGAUGACAAGUUGAUGAGAUUGCUUGACUGCGGUGGCUUGGAGGCUACGGUACCUAAAGUUCAAGAGGGUCACUUUUUUUAUUCAGCAAUUUCCCCCUAAGUGACCUCUUUAACUUUGAUCAGUUAUCAAGUUUAAGGAACUUUAUCAAGAUCCACCAAAACUUCCUGACGUUCUCUAACCAGUUGAUUCUUCUCAGUAUUUCAAACUUGACCUCUGCGGUUGUAUGCUUAGAUUUUUCAACUACGUUGCGGCAGAUCUCAAGUUGUUCUCUGGUGAGACGGUGCAUGGCAGUCAUAGGAAUGAAAUAUUUGACGUUGUCAGUCUUCCUCUUGAAAAUGACUCCCAGAUCAGGAUAGUUGGUUGCACCUAAGGAUCUUUCUUCAUAGCCUUCGGUAGGCAUGGGUGCGGGGUCAAGCGGUGGUAAGUCAGCAAUCUUGGAGAUGAUGGGAUGAAUGUCUGCAUCUAUUUUUGCGAAGUCACAGAUUGUUUCCUUAAGAAAGGUACUGGCCCUUUCAAGAGCGAUCUUCAUCUUCGGAUGCUUCUCAGACUUGUGCUAAAGAACCUUGGCAAUGAGAAACAUUUCUUCAGGGUUCACACACAGAAAAUCAGCCUGGGUGUGGAUGUAGUCGUGCUCCCUCCUGGUCAGGGUGUACUAGAUAAACUCAGCCUUCAUGAACUUCCGGAUCUUGUAAUUCUUCACUGUGGAUGGUCUAUCGUUAGACCAUAUGUGUUCAACUGGAGAGGCAUGAUUAGCAAAGAAUUGGCUAAGUCUCUCGAACUCCAUAGGAAGUCUUUUGUCGUUAGGAAGGUUGCGGUCAAACUGCUCAAAUACAAUGAAGUAUCUGGCAUUCGGUGAGAUUGGGACAUCCCAGUAGCCGUCUGAGGGGGGUUGCGCCUAGGUGAGAUGAGGGACAUAGUCAUCAUCAAGAAGUCUUCUAUGUGGAUUGAUCUAAGAAUUUAGCAAGGAUUCAUCCAUAACUGUGUCGAAUCCGCAGAGUCUCCAUACUUCUUCGGCCAACUUGGCUGCCUUCCAGUCUCUUUUUCUUUGAGCAGUGACAGGAGAGUCGUUUGAGCUUCGAGACAACAUAUACUCCUCCAGAUUCUUGAAGUGCGGGGGAGUUUUUGGUUUUUCAGGAGUAUUUUCAACAUGGAGAGGGGAGUUGUGAUGAGAUGGUUGUGGUGAGAGUUGUUUUUCAUGUUGUGGUGAUGGUUGCGGUAUGGGAAUUUUUUCAGUAGAGACUAGGGGAGUUUGGUGAUGUGAAAGUGAUUGGUCGGAGUGAUGUACUUCUUCACCUCCCCCUCUUGAGGAGUUUAGACUCAGAGCCUCUUCAAGCCAUUGACGAAGGCCAUCAACCUUGUCAAACACGGUUUGAAAUUGAGCUUUGAGCUCUUCUGCCAACUGUUGAUUAUUGGGAAUGGAAGGAUUGAAGAGUAGUUUAUGAAUCUCCUUGGUGAGCUGAAGAAUUUCCGGACCAUGGAAGUUGGUCGAUAGAGAUCGUUGCAUUCUGUUGAUAGUAGUUUGGAGAACAGAGAUUGCGGACUCAUAAGCAGUAUGAGUUUCAGCAAUCAACUUCUCAGAAUGUGAGGCCUGAUCCGCAAUUGCUGCUUGAAGGUCGGUUUUUAUUACGGUAACCUCAGAGAUGAGGCGUUCCGCAGCAGCCAUAAACUCCUUAUGAUCAGCUUGAUGAUUGUUGUCAAGUGAUCUGAUUCCUAUUUCAACCUUUAGAGAGAUGCGCUCCACAACCAUUCUCUCUUUGGUUUCCAAACAUUCUAUUCUUUCCAUCAGGGACUGCGGUCGUACACUGUCUUCUGGUUGCGGUUGAUUUGGCUUGACCGCAGCUAAGAUUUGAUCAACCUUAGCCUAAAGACUCAGAAAUUCUUUCCUUGUGACUGGGUGCUUCUUCUUCUUCUUCUUCUCCUUUGGCUUAGAAGUGGAGUGAUGAGAAGUACUGGAUUCUUUAUCUUCAUCAAACAUCAUCAAAUCGUCAUCUGAAGGAGAGGGUUUGUUUACCUCUUGUGGUUCAUUAUCAUCGAAGCCAAAAAUAGGAUCAGAGCUCACUUCGAUUUCAGGUUCUUCAUCUUAUGAACCUGCUGCAGUGGGAGAGGGGGGAGCUUGAUGGACAUGCUGAUCAGCAGCAGCUUGCUGAGCUUGUUGAACUUUGUCUGCCAUUGUGGACAUCCAUUCUUGAACCUUCAGGAUAGUGGCUAUGGUAUUGACUUUGUUGAUGGCAUCUGCCCAAUACUUUGCCACGACUUGAAUCUCUUGUUCCUUGAGCUGUUGUUGCUUGAUUUGCUGAUCCUUGCGAGCUUAAAAUACCCUACGAAAAGCGGCAUAUUUCUUGGCUUCAGCCUCGUUAGAGGGUUGAUGUUUGCUCCAAGAAUCAUUAGAGUCUUCUCCGUCAAUUCCUGUAAAUCGCACCAAGGUGUCCCUUCGGUUCACGGAUCCUUGCACAUUUAUGCUUACCGUGCCUAAACCACCUGAUUGUAAUGUAAGCAGAGUAGGAUUUCCUGAGCUUCCUUGGUCUCCUUGACCCGUGGUCAAGUUUGGCCUCGGCUCAGUUCUGGAAAAGGCGAAAGAAGUGCCUUACGGAUGGGACUGUGUUUGAAGUGUAUGGGUGACAUUCAAUAGGAUGGCGUUCAACUCCUCGGAUGAAAAAAUAUGCAGUCGGGAAGCCCUGGAGACUUUAGGGAGAGAACCAGUAUUAUCCCUUUGGGAAUGUACUAGUGGGGAGUCUCCUCUUUGUUGUGAUUCAGACUCACAAUCUGAGUAUGAAGGGAAAAAGAUGGUGUUGUCAAAUGGAUGUGCAGACAUCCCAAAGACUACCGAAGCCUGUUGAGAGGCUGAGGUAUUGGUCCGGUCAUGCAUUUGGCUAGUCGUUUCUUGAGGAUAGAGAUGGGUUGGUUAUCCUCUUCAGAAUCACUAUCGGAGUCAUGGCGACUCGGUUUAGCAGUUAUGAUAACUGGUGGUGAUUUUCUGUUCUUUGAUGGUUUGGGGGCAUCCUUUUUGGGAGUGCUAGAUUUCUUUGUGGUGCGGGGACCAUGGAGAGAAGAAACCUUAUGUUUGCGUCUCUAAGAGACGUUAGAAAUAGUGGUAGAAGAAAGAACUGCGUUACCUUCAGGGUUUAAGGCUGCGGAUGGAAGAGGCGGGGUAGGAAGGUACGGGUCAAUACCUUCCGUAGCCUCAACGUGGUCUGAGACAUCAGGAGUCUCGAGACCAAGUGAAGUAAGAAUAUGGGUAAGGAGUCUAUGAAUGGGACCAAAAAUACUUUGAUCAGAGGAAGGGUUGUACCUUUUUAAGUCUUUGGUGACGAAGAAAUCGAUGUCGUCACCCAUGUCAAUCUUGGCAUCCGCAUGCAAGUCAGAUAUGCACAGAGACCAAAAUCGUGCAAAAGUAAGCAUGGAUGGGUUCUGCCUCGGGCUCUCCUUGGGAAUGUAUUGGAGAAUAUCGUCCCAAAGAAUCUGACCGUAGUUCACAUUGUGGCCUAUGAAUAUGCUCCAAACCAGUUCUAAAAGCUUUAAUCCCAUGUUGUCCGUGCCUCCGGUUCUGCCGGACAGACUGUGGAUGAUGAAGUGACAGACAAACUGCCAGACCGUAGGCAAUUGGUUUUUCUUGAACUCCUAAUGCCUUUUAUCUUCUUCUGAUAGCCCAUUUGAUACAUUGCAGAGGUGACAUCUUUGAAAAGGCAUCUUUAAUCUUAACAACAUAUUGACAAAAAGGGAUAAAGAUUGAAAUUGGGAUUAACCAAAAAGAACUCUGCAUUUAAUGAUAUGUCAGAUGUAAAAUCACGUGUUGAGAACGUGUGGAGGGGGUGAGAAAAAUCUGUUGGAUAAAUUAGAAGUUGUAACGGAUGGGAUGGUUUGGGGUAAUAGGAAAAGACAUUUUAGAGGAUUUGAUUUGGAAAAUCUUUUAUUUUGUCAUCAUACCUAAAAUAGGUCUGACACAAGGUUUUGGGAGAGAAGAAUGUGACAGUUUCUCAAAGGAAUGUUUUUAUUUAAUGAAGGAUCAUUAAAUAGCACACUAUGUUUUUUUUUGUUGUUUUUUUUAAAGAAUGAACCGUCUGUAAAUAAAUUAAUGUGACUGCGGAUGAACACAUCAUUGCGGAUGGCUUCUUUGGUAUUGUGGAUGACUGCAGUGAGAAAAACUGAGAAGAGUACUUGUACAAAAGUUAAUAAUAACAAACAAGAAAGACCCAUGAAAGAUAGAUAUAAUAUAUGGUUGCGAUACAUUGACUGCGGUACACAAAAUGUUCCAAAACCAUCUAUUAUCAAUAUCUUUCAGUUAGAACCAUAAUGGAGACCAGGAAGGUCUGCGGUGACUGUCAAUUCAAGAAGAAUUUAGGGUCCGGAUUCAUCAUUCCCAACAUUUGUAAGAACACAUUGAGUUUUGUAGAGUCAACUACUUUUGUAAAUACAUCAGCAAUCUCUUCAUGAGUAGGGACAAAAAUGAGUUCAAUAUUACGUUUCAGAAUGUGGUCUUUGAUGAAGUGAUAUCGUAGUUCAAUAUUUUUAGUCUUGGAGUGUUGAAUAGGAUUAUGAGAAAUCGCUAUGGCACUUUCAGAGUCACAAUAGAUUGGUAUCUGCAUCAUUCUGUAUCCGUAGUCUAACAGUUGUGUCUUCAUCCAAAGGAUUUGGGAACAGCUGGUUGCGGCCACGUAUUCUGCUUCUGCAGUAGAUAAUGAAACACAACUUCGUUUUCUUGAGGACCAGCUGACAAGUCAACCUCCUAAAAAUUGACAUCCACCAGAUGUACUUUUUUGAUCAUGUUUACAUCCGGCAUGAUCCGCAUCAAUAAACGCUUAAAGACUGAAGUCAUUGCCUGCGGGGUACCAUAGACCAAGAGAUUUGCUUCCUUUUAGGUACCAGAGAAUUUGUUUGGCUGUAGUCAUAUAUGAUACUUUUGGGUCAGCCUGAUACCUUGCACAUAGACCAGUUGCAAAGACAAUGUCCGGUCGGCUUGCGGUGAGAUACAUUAAAGAGCCAAUGAUACCUCUAUAAGUCUUGUGAUCCACAGAUUCUCUAGAAGGAUCAACAGAGAUCUUAUAUCCGAAGGCCAUAGGAACCUUAGCCGAGGAGUAGUUGUCCAUAGAGUAUUUCUUCAAAAGUUCAGUGGUGUAUUUCUCUUGAUGAAUGAAUAUCCCUUGUUGAAUUUGUUUGACUUGGAGACCUAGAAAGAAGUUAAUCUCUCUAUUCAUGCUCAUUUGAAAUUUGUUUUUCAUGAGCUUAGCAAAUUCAUCCACCAUUCCUUGAUCCGAAGAUCCGAAGAUGAUAUCAUCCACAUAUAUUUGUACAAGCAUAAUUUGAGAACCGAUUGCUUUUCUAAAUAGCAUGGGAUCAAUCACUCCUCUUUUGUAGCCUGAAGAGACUAGGAAUUCAGAGAGAGUCUUAUACCAAGCUCUAGGGGCUUGCUUCAGACCGUAGACUGCCUUUUGAAGCUUAUGGUAGUGAUUAGGGAACUCGAUACUUUCAAAGCCAAGAGGUUGUUGAAGAUAAACCUCUCAUUUCAACUCCCCAUUGAGAAAAGCACUCUUAACGUCCAUUUGGUGUACUUUGAUGUUUUUGUGGGAAGCAUAUGCUAAGAAGAUUCGGAUUCCUUCCAUUCUAGCCACCGGAGCAUAAGUUUCAUCGUAGUCAACGUCUUCCAGUUGACUAUAGCCUUUAGCAACCAGUCUUGCCUUAUUUCUAAUAACCGCACCAGAUUCAUCUAGCUUGUUCUUGACCACCCAUCUUGUACCAAUAAUAGUAUGGCCUUGUGGAAUGGGAACAAGUUGCCACACUUUGUUUCUUUCAAAUUCUUCCAGUUCUUCUUGCAUUGCAGAAAUCCAAUAUGGUUCCAAUAAUGCUUCGUUGAUAGAUCGAGGCUCGACUACGGACAUAAAUGCUGCAUAGUGACAAUGAUCAGAUAAAUCUUUGGCAGAUCGAGUUUGGAUACCUGCGGAUGGGUUGCCAAUAAUUUGACUUGGUGGGUGAUCCUUCGUCCAUACAUGUAGACGAGGCAACAGAUGAUCAACAGCUAUGGUAGAAUGAAUGUUUUCAAUAUCAGAGGUUGCUUCGGAUGGGGAAGGAAGUUCCCCCUGGAUUUGUGAACAGCCUGCGGAAUCAUCUUGACUUGUUGGAGCAAGAAGGACAUUUUCUUGAGUAGUUUCGAGAGGCUCCCCCUGGAUUGCUGAAGGGAGUUCCUUGGGAACCUAAGAAGGUUCCCCCUGGACUGCUGAUGGGAGAGAAAUGAUCCUUGAGUCAGUUCAAGUGACGAUAUUCUCUAUGAUUUCAUCAUCCGAAUCCGAAGAUACGUUUGAAGGAAGUGAUUUUCUGAGAAUGGAAGUUUGAGCAUCAUCAAGUACUGGAACCUCAAUGGUUGUAGUAUGAACCGGAGUAGAGCUUUCCCCCUCAACCGGAGAGGUGAAAGUAUUGAGAGAUGCUACUUCGGAUAGUUUUUCCAUUUCAACAAGGUCAAAAAGAUCAUCAUAAUUUACUUCGACCAGGUUUAGAGGACCNNNNGAAUGUCGCUUUCCAUGAUGGCAGUAGUUUCAGUAGAUGGAGGGGUGUUGUGGAUGUAAGAGUCAUCGAACUUCACAUCAAAACUUUCAAUGAUUAGCCUUGUACGUCUGAUGAGAACCCGAUACGCAACCUUAUUUGUGGAGUAACCGAGAAAGAUGCCUUCAUCAGACUUCGGUGCAAAUUUGUUAAGCUGAUCUCUAUUGUUGAUCACAAAACAUCUACACCCAAAGAUGUGAAAGAAACGAACAUUUGGCUUUCAGUUGUUGAGACCCUCAUAUGGUGUCUUGUUGAGGCGUUUGCACACAAUGCUUCGGGUCUGAACGAAUCAUGCGGUUGCUACAACUUCAUCCCAGAACUAAAGAGGAAGAUGUGCGAAGUUGAGCAUGGAUCUGGCUGCUUCAACAAGGGUGCAGUUCCUUCUCUCUACUACACCUUUUUGUUGAGGUAUAUACGGAGCUGAAAAGUUAUGAGAGAUACCUUUUGACACCAAGAAGUUGUUGAGAGGAUGAUUAGUGAAUUCAGUGUCAUUGUCAUUGCAGAUGCGUCUUACAGGAAGCUUGAUCUAGAGUUCUAUUUCUUUGAUGAAAUUUAUUAGAAUCUACGGUGUUUUGGAUUUGAGUCUGAGAAAGAAUACCCAAGUGAAGCAAGUGAAGUCAUCAACUAUAACCAAUAUAUAUUUUUUUAUGAUGGAAAUUGGCUACAGUUGAUGGACCGUAGAGAUCAAUGUGGAGAAGUUCAAGUGGCUCGGAUAUAGAGGAGUCAAUCACCAUAGGGUGACUUGCUUUUGACUGCUUACCACAUACAGAAGCAGGACAUAGAGUGUUAUUGCUGAACUUGAGAAUGGGUAGACCUCUGACCAAUUCUUUAGCGACUAAGGUGUUCAUGUAUUUGAAGUUAAGAUGAGCGAGCUUGCGGUGCCAUAACCAGCUAACUUCGGAUACGGCUUUUGAGAGAAAGCACAGCUGCGGUUUACCAAUGAUGAGAGAGACAUCCAUAGGAUACAUGGUGCCUUCGGAUCGUGCCUUGAUUAAGCAAGUGCUUCUAUCACUUGUCAUGAUGUAACAGAAUUGAUCAUCAAAUUUCACUCGAUGGCCUCCCUUACAUAGGUGUCCAACACUGAUGAGAUUGUGUUUAAGGCUUUCUACAUAAGCAACCUUCUGUAUUGAGAAGUUCCCCAUAGUGAGUACACCGUAACCUCGGAUAAUGCCAUUCGCAUUGUUGCCGAAUGUAACAUUUCCACCAUUGCAUAUAGGCCUGAAAUCCCGAAGGUAUUAUAACCUUCCGGUCAUGUGCAAGGAGCAGGCACUGUCGAUCAACCAUUCUUCUUCUUGAUCCUCCUUGCACAAAGCCUACAUAAAUUAAGUGGUUAAUUUGGGCACCAAGCGAGUUUGAACCCCGGAGUCACAUACGAUGUAUUAAUCGAUGCAUGAUGUGAGGUGGCAGUGAUAGGUUUUAAGUCAACUUUCAAGCCUAGUCCUGGGUGUUUGAGAUUUUUUGGAGUUUUGUGAGAUUGUUGAUAGUUACGAGUCUUUUAAGAACGAUGAGAUUUGUCAUGAGAGAAGAUCUUUUGACACUGACAUUGACACGUGAACUUUUUGUCAUUUCCCCUGACAUUUGACUUAGUCUGAGGUUUUGAAGAGAAAGUAUGCUUUUGUCCAGUCCAAGGAUUGUGAGAUUUGACCUUUUUGUUUGUAUGUUUUGAAAAGGUGUUUUUUGCAGGUCUUGCAGGUGUGUAGACACGUGCAUGCCUUUUGUGAGGUGAUUUCUUAAACUCUUAAGGUGACCUUUUGAGUGUCGGAGUUGGCAAAAUUCCUUUCAAUUUUUGAGUUUUUGAAAGUAAGAUUGGAAGGGUUGGAGUAGGUAGAAUACCUUUCCAUUUUGGAUUGUCUAAAGAAUAGACCUGAAAACCAUUUGAUCAAAAAGACUUAUCCUUAGAGUCAAAUGAUUUUGAGUAGUGUCAGAAAUAGUGAACUCCUUCCUUUUUGUUUUCUUGGAAACAGUUGAUUUGAAAUGAUAAUUUGAGAAAGCAAGUUUUUCUGGACUCUUUGACUUGGGACAUUUCACAAAUUUCUUUUGUUUUGAAUGAAUUUCCCGUUGCUUCCCACGGGAGGAAAAUUCUUCUUUAAACCUCUUUUUUCUUUGGUCUUAGGAGAACCACAGUCAGUGACAUUUAAUUGCGGUUUCCUUAAAUCUUUUGGAGAUUUUGAAAAACAAGGACUUGAUUCGUCUGAACUGGAGAAGUCAGGAAUUUGAGAACAUUGACCAAAUUCAAAAUUUUCGAUUGGUAAUUCAUGAUUAAUUGGUUCAAUAGUCACAGAACUUUUGACUAUAGUCUGCGGUGUAGUGCUUUGGACAACCACAGAGUAAGUCUUGGUGGACACUUUAGUAGGACAUUUGAUACAAGGUAAUGGGGCAGUGUGCAGUUCAUGACUGCGGUUAGGAACACUGUGGUCAGUCUGCAGAGAUGGGAAGUCUAAUGAGACUUCAGGAUACAAUUUCCUCAUCGGCUGCGGAUGAUGUCUAAGAAUCACAAUGAACUAUGUUAUCAACAUAAUUAGAAAAUUCAGGGAGAAUUUCCUCGAUAACACAAUUAUUACUCAGAUCAUGGAGUUUACCAAAAUGAGCUUGGAUAUCCUCAGGAAAUGUUUUGUCAUUGACUGGGAAUAAGAAGUUGCAGUCUGGAGGGACAUAGGGACGUUUCGGUGUGAACCGAUGUCACACCCCGAAACCAUGAACGGCGGAAAUGUUCUGGGGUGGAGGACGUCAUGUACAGUAUCACAACAAUGAAAAGUAGUAAACAAGCAACAACAUCAUCCAUUGCAUUAAUAAUAUAAUUAUUAUACAAGUGUGUUAUGUCAAAUUUUUAUAAACACUAAAGCAUAAAUCAAAAUGAAAGAUGAGUCUUGAACGAGCUCCAUCUUCUCUAAACCUUGCAUCGGUACCUGUCUAUGUUUGACCUGAGGAUACAAGUUAUUUUGAAAGAGAGUAUCAGCUUUAAAGCUGGUGAGAUCAUAAGUAUUUUAGUGUCUUAAUUUGUAUGUAAGAAUUUGUAUGUAUAUGAAUUGUAAGUAUUGCAAAUGUAUGUAAAACAACUGUAAACAUUUGAAAAACUCUAGAAAUCCCUAUGAUUCCUACUAUUAUAACAGGAUGUCUUCUACCAAGACUUAACUGAUCUAUAUGUAGCCUUCUACCAAGGCAUCUAGUGUCUGUGUGUGUCUCAUGUAAGAGUGUGUAUUUUCCCAAGUCUGACUAUCAUUAACCAAAAAUAUAGUUUCAACAUUACCGUGCGUCGUGUGAAUGUUCAUGAAGUGAAUGUAAUGGGAAAAUGAAAUAGUACUAUGGUGCAGUGUCGAACUACAACCGUACCAAUUACCUUAAGUCUAGGGUAAUUCUUCUAAGUACUGUAGCAUUUGUAAUAAAUAACUACAUCGGUACUCAACUGGCUUAUUUGAGGGAUAAGGUAUAAUGUGAUGUCUAGAUCCCAGGCUAUAUGCUCCCCUGUCAAAGGAAUUUUAGGACCUACCCACGACCCCUGCAUGUAUGCAAGCCGUGAGCAUCCACAUUACUAUGAUCAUGUAUACUCGAUAUAACUAUCACAAUUGCGUUGUGAUGCAUCGGUAUAGUUAGAUCCUGAACUGGUUCCAUGUUAUAGCACCUAGUGACGUCUGUCCUAUGUAUAUGUAAGUGUGAUCAUGUAAGCGAUCAUGUAGUUGUACUCAUGUAACAGUGAUCAUGUAAACAUAUCUAUGUAAUAGUAUAGUAAUGUACUGUAAUGUUCCACAUGUGCUAGCUGUAAUGUAUGUUCUCUCUCUAUCUAGCAUGUAUAGUAAUGUAUUGUAAUGUUCUAGCUGUAAUGUAUGCUCUCUCUAUCUAGCAAGUAUAGUAAUGUACUGUAAUGUUCUAGAAAGUAUUGACUCAUGAAUGAACUGACUCAUUAUAUGAUAUCGCGUUCUAGUAAUAGUUCUAGUAUCUUCCUAAACUACCCAUAUGGUAGUUUACUAGUAAUCUAACUAGUACGUAUGGACAUGGAUGUAUACCCUUGCUACCCAAGGGCAUUGGAUGAACUGGAAGGACCUUCGUGACUAUAUAUGUACACAUGAUAUAUAACUAAUAUUUAAACGACCUUCGGACGGGUACCCGAUAUCCCACCAGACCACAUCCAAAUCGAGGAAAAGGAAACAGGGUGGAUAGCCUUCCUAAGUCCUUUCAACAUUUCUUAUAUAACUAUACAUAUAUAGGCAUGCAAUUUAUAAUAUAAAAGCAUAAAAUAAGUUUUAUAAAACCUUUGAACAUAAUUAUUAUCUAAGAAAAGAUCGACUUGAUGUCAAUCUAUAAAACGGUUUGGAAGCAUGGGUUUGAUAAAACAAUUUAAGUAUAAGGAAACAUUUGUUUGAAACACAAUUGUAAAUGAGUUUGAAUGGAAACAUACAGAGUAAAAUGUACAGUUUAAUAAGGAGUUUUAAACAUAAUAAGUGUUUACGAUAAACAUUUGAAGGAAAUUGUUUGGUAAAACGGCUAAUGAGUAGCCAAUCAUUUGAAUGUUGUUUAUUAAUCACAAGUGAUUGAUAUAAUAACUAGCAUGAUUCUACUUGUAUCCCCCCCCAUAAAACAUUUAAAAAUAGUUAAAACAUUGAUUAAGGGGUAUGAACUCACCUGUUGUGGGUGAUACGGAUGAACUGAAGAGGUAGGACUGCUAGGUGUCAAGUGAAGACUUUAGAUACACACAAUGGUCCUAAUUACAUAUGAAGACAUAUGUAUAUAAACAAUUAGUGAUUAUAACACUAAUUAAACACGUAUAAACAUCCUAAUGCAAGGAAAACACUUUUGGUUAAGUGCUAGGAGGCUAAUGGGUUGCAACAAAGGGGUGCAAGACCUCUUAUGGGAGUUUAUGGUCAAAAGACCAUAUGUGUUGGAGUUUACGGCCCAGGGGAGUAAACUCCAGGCCGUAAACUCUCUAUAGGGUCACUAAAUGAAGCCUAACAUUAUUACAACUUAAGUGGUGAAGUGCUUCUAGGCUUAAACAAGUGUUUGGGUGGGUUUAAGGCCUUAAAAUGGCCUUGCUUGAUGUUCACGGCCCUGGGACCACUCCCCCAUGAGUUUACGGCCGUACACUCAUGGUAAGGAGUACCAUUUCAUGUUUUGAGGUUCCUAACACUUCAAGGAUAUGAUCUAAGUUGGGUUCUAGGCAUAAGGGAGGAGUUAGGGUGUCAUUUGUCCCAUUUAUAGGGGUUUACGGCCCAAGAACUUGUCUUGGCCGUAAACUCCUUUAUCCUUGUGAUUCCUUAUGUUUUCUAGUCUAUAAACACUUUAGGGUACAUGUCUAAAUUAGUCUCUUGGCUUAAGGAAGGCUUUUAGGGCAUUUUGGCACAUAAAAAUCGAGUUCACGGCCCAAGAACUUCCUUAGUCGUGAACUCACUUCUAGCCUUUGAUUCUAGUUGAUUUUGUGGUCUAAACAUGUAAUUGAGGCUUCUAGUUUGAGUUCCAAGUCUUUUUAGGGACAUUAGGCACUCUUUUGGCCCUUAAAAAGGAGUUUACUCUCCAAGUGUUCUUGGGCGGUAAACUCCCAAAUCUUGGGGUUUUGAUCCGAUUUUGAUGUUAUAAAACACAAUCUAAGCUAUAUAAUAUAACUAGAUAGAAGUACUCACGAUUUGGGAUAAAAACCCGAAGAUCCGUGAGAGAGAAUUUGACUUUUCUCUAGUUGGAAAUGUAACUAAUGAAUGAAUAUGGUUCAGAUUUCUAUAUAUAGUNUAUAGUCCUGAGAUUUUUGGCAGAAAAUAUUUUAUUCCUGGAAUGAACUCUAAUAUCCUAGAGUAUUGGAAUAAUAGUGUUGCACAAAACCCUAGUGUAUCCACUCUCCUGAUAUCUCCUUAAGUGCUAAUCCUGAAAUACUCAAACUUAUACCCAAAGUCUGGAAUUUCACUGUAACUGUUCUAACUUCUAUUGGCUUGAUAUGGUUUGUUCAGAAUGGAAAUUUCGGGUUGUCACAAUCGAGGUAAGGACUCCAUUACGAUUGGGUAUCCAUUGGACCAACUCCAAUUAAAAGUGUUAUCAACAUUCCCUUUAUUAACAAGAUUCUCAAUGGCCUCAGUUUCAUUAAAAAGCUUUUCAAUUAACAGAUUUAAGCAUAAAAUUUCACUCUCUGCUAAAUCUCUCUGAUUUAAAGCUAUUUCUAGUUGUGUUUCACUUAACAUCCUAGCAUCUUUUUCUAUCAUCAAGUCCUUCUCUAACAUUGCCAUUUUGAGUCUCUUAUUGUCCAAACGUCCUCUAACGUGGAACAUCUCCUGCGAAGCGAUGUUCUUCUCAUAUAAGGCUUUAUUGUAGACUGUAAGGACGGCAGCACAUGUGUCAUUGAGUGUGUCUAUGAAAGGUUGACAAUCAUGCAUGUUGUAAUUUAAAGUUUGAAUCAUAAGUUUUACCUGUUCCACAAUGCUGAGAGUUCCAUCUUUUGCCAUAUAGCAAUGGUUCUUCUUUAGAUUGGUUGAGCCGUCUUCAUCAGCAGUUGCUACCAUACAGAUCUUGCCUUUUCCUUUACUGUGAUCGUCUUCAUCUUCAUCUCCUGAUGACCACACUUGAUGAUUCCUUUUCACUUGAGCAACAUAGGAUUUUCCCUUUUCUUUGUCUUCCAGUUCUUGAGCCAUUCUGAGAUAGAAGGCUCUAUCUUUCACUAUGUUUGCCUUGCAAUCCUUGGCAAAAUGGUUUUCUAUGUUGCACUUGUGACAUAACAAUGUCACUUUUGUCUUAUAAAGAGGUACUGGAGUCAGAUGAUUGAGACUGCGGUGGUACGUCUUUAGACAGUGUUUGCUGAGGCUACGGUGGAGAGAGAGGAUUCUUGGUGGAACGAAAGUGAUUGUUUUGAAAGUUGCGGUUGAAAGAUGGUUGAUUGUAUUGUUGGUUUUUGCGAAAUGAAGGUGGUAAGCGAUUGAAUUUUUUACUGAUAAGGGCGAUGGCAUUCUGAAACUCUUCUUCAUCGUCAUAUUAUGAGUCAGCUUCAUAUGACUGCGGUGGUGAUUCAUACGAAGUGGGAUAGGUUUGAGUGUGAGGUGAUUAUGCUACUAGUGCAAGUGGACCUCCGAUGUCUGAGCAGUCCUUGAGUACGGUGGACUCUUGAGCUUGCAACUCUCCAUAGAGCUUAUAGAAGGAUAACAAGUGAAUCUUCCUGUCACCUUGUACAAUCGGUUUGGCUGUUGUCCAGUGUCUUCCCAAGCCAUUAAGGAACUGUAAGUUUGUUUCAUGAUUGUUGCAGAUGGUGCUUGCAUUGGACAGUUUUGUGACAAUCAAGUUUAAUCUCUUAAAAGAGUCUUCCAAACUUUCACCGGAGUGUUCUUUGAAGUUGUUGAAUUCAUUGAGUAUCGUAGUGAGCUUCUUGUCUUGAGCCUGCUCUGAACCUUCGUACAAGUUUUUGAGAACAUCCCAAAUAUCCUUUGCUGAUUUGCAGUUUAUGAUGAUGUCGAAGUUGUCAGGAGCAACUCCACAAGAGAUUUCAUAAAAGGCAAUAGCAUCAUUUUCCAUCUUGUCGAGAUCAUCUUUGGUGGGAUGGUUCAAAGCUGAUUGACCUCCUCCUAGCCUUGCUGUGGCUCCAUCAGUUUAGACUGGUGUAAGGACUGGGACAUGGGGGCCUUCUUCUAUGGAUCUCCAAACAUCUCUACCAAGUCUUCUGAGAUAUCUUUCCAUCCUUUGAGACCAGUGAUGAUAUUCAUUCGCAACUAGUAUUGGGCUCGAUUAGAACCACCAACACUGUUAGAUACAUUCAGUGAUAACGAUUGUGCCAUUUUAAAGAUUUUUGUUUUUAGAAAUGAGCUUUAGUGGUAUAGAAAGCUCUUCGAAAAAUCAAAGUUCCAAUUUUCAAAAAGCAACCACUAUGGCUCUGAUACCAAUUGUUGAGAGAAAAACUUUGAGACACACUUGAACAAAUUGUUAGAACAAGUAUAUAACGGAAUAGUUAAUCUCGAAGGAUCUGUUAGCUCAACAAUAAUAUUAAGAGUUAGAAGUUAGUGAGUUAGAUGCAGAAAAGUAAAGAAAUGUAAAUGACAACAAUUGUUAUAUCAAGUAUACACAUAAGCAGAUUCAUAACAAGUAAUGCAUUCAAACCAAGUUAGUAAAUGAGAUCUAGCUUAGUGAUUAAGUCGCAAGUGACUUCCUCCAAAGAGAGAUGGUGAUUGAUUAUGAGAGUAAGAAGAUUUGAUAAGUAAGAUAGAAUGAGAAAUUUGAGAUGUGUAUUAGAAUUUGAAGAGAGAUUCACAUCAGUACAGAUUACAUGAGAAAUGAACUCUAUUUAUAGAGAUAAGUUUACAACUCUAAGAGUAGCCAUGCAAGGCAUACUGGACAUUAGAGUGUUUUACAGAAAAGACAAAAUAAACUAAGUAAAUAUAAACACUGCGGUGUUGAACACUUUGGAUGACAAGUUGAUGAGAUUGCUUGACUGCGGUGGCUUGGAGGCUGCGGUACCUAAAGUUCAAGAGGGUCACUUUUUUGAUUCAACACUUAAGAUCAUUGAUCUUCUACGUGUUUGAACUAGAAAUCAACACAUAAUCAACAUUUAAUAUGAGGAUGAUGCACGAGGAGCUUAACUUCUUCAAGUAACAACUAGCAUCAACCUCACGUCUUCUAGACCCACUCCUCCUCAUGAAGUUAUCAAACUUUAAGUACCGCUCCUUAGAAGUCUUCUUCGUGUCAUACAUGUUUUCUUUCUUCUUGAACACCAGCUUUUUCUUACCAGCUGUAAUAGAACUUUCAGGCUAUACCUUUAAGAUGUCUCCUUCCAAGUUAUCAUAAAGGAGAUCAUAUGUAUUCACAUCUAGGUGUUCUAAAUGGAGAUUUUCAGAGGCCACGACAUUCAUUAUAGAAGUAUUAGUAGUCAUCUUUGCAAUUGUAGAAUCGUCCUCUCCUUUCUAUUGUAUUCCCUUGAUUGCUAGUCUUCCUUUGCAAGUUUUACCACCAUCUAUCUCAUCCUUAACAUGUAACAUCUUAUUGUUCUAUAGUCCACCCAACUUGUCAUCCAUAGUCUUCUCCCACUAUAUGGAGUUUAUCCUCAAGGACUUUGGUUUUGACACAUUCUCACACAUCAAUGUGUCAUUAGUUGAUGGAUAAUAACUUAUUGGAGUACUUUACUUUAUGGUCCUCUAGAUAAUAUGUUGUCUGAUCUUUAAAAUACCUACAACUCCACCCUUAUAACCAUUAUCACUAGAGCUCCCACUAUUUCUAGGUUUAUUAGAGCUCCCACUACUUCAUGAACAUCUUCCUAUCUUUUGACUAGAUAUAGGUUUUGCAUGAUUCUGGGAUCCUCCCACUGAAGAAUCUAAAGUUGGACUGUAAACAACAGAAUAAACUAAACUCAACUUCCCAAACAUGGGCGGAUUUCUUAUCUUCACAAAACUGACUUUCUUUUUCUACCAAUAGAACAUGGCAUAGAAGCAUCAGUCACAUUCUUUGAAUCUGGCAUCCUCCAACUGGAUACAAGCUUCCUCAUUCCCUCCUCAGUCAUAUGAACAAAUCUUUUGUGGCAUAAAGUGGAUAUUCCAACUCCUUUAACAGUGCUUGCCUCCUCUUCAGAAAAACUCCACCAUGUAUAGUGUACCAUAUUUCUGACCCUUGGCAAUAAUCAAAUUUCCCUUCUUCACUUUCCACUUGUGAUCACCAAAUGUAACAUGAUAACCUUCAUUAUCAAGUUAUCCAACUGAUAUCAACAUCCUCUUUAGAUCUGGAAUGAACUUGACAUUCUUCAAAGUCCAAUCCGUACCCAAAGUCGUCUUGAGAACCACAUUUCUGAUACUCACGAUGUAACAUACACUUGUUAUCUGCCAGCCUGACCUUCCCUUGGUAAUGCCCAAUGUUCUACAUCACAUCUUUGGAAUGACUAGCAUGAAAUGACGCACUAGAAUCCAACACCCGUGAUUCUAUUGAGUUUUCAACUGAACAAAUGAGUGCAUCACCUUCAAAAUCUUCUGCCAUAUUCAUCACCUUUUGGCCUUUAUCUGCUAUUAACAUUGGGCAAUGACUAUUGACAUGACCACUCUCUUUGCAGUUCCCACAUCUCGCAUCCCACCUGUGGUUCUUUCCACCUCUCCUUCUCGACUUCGAUCUUCCACUACCCCACAUCCCUUGUUAUACCCCUUCUAAUAUCUUUAGUACUCAGAAGACUAUUGGAAGCUUCUCCAACACUCUAUCUGCAUUCAUCCUCACCAAGGAUUAAAUCGCGAAUGCCUUCGAAUUUAAGCUUAGCACCCCCAGUUGAGAUGGUAAUUGUUGUCACUAUAUCGGACCAACUAUAUAACUAAGAUGAUAACUGUAGCAAUGUCAUGACUUCGUCUUCAAACUUAAUAUCAACCGACAUCAACCUUUAUAGGAUUGAAUUAAAUUCAUUAACAUGAUCAGUCAUUGAGCCACCCUCCUUCAUCUUCAAAUUUACCAAUUUUCGAAUCAAGUGAACCUUGUUCGUUGCUGAAGGUUUUUCAUACAUGUUAGAUAGUACAUUGAUCAACUUAUGAGUAGUGUUCACAUUGACAAUGUUGUAUGCUACAAUCUUUGCCAAGGGUAAUCUCACUACACCAAGUUCCUUACAAUCUAACAUUUCCCAAUCCUAUUGCUUCAUUUAUUCAAGUUUACUUUUGGACAAUGGUUCAUGUACAUUCUUUUGGUAGAGGUAGUCUUCGAUUUGCAUUUUCUAGAAACCAAAAUCGUGCACAUUGAAUUUGUCGAUCUUCACUCUCCCAUCUUUAGCCAUAGCUCUGAUACCAGUUUGUUGGGUGACAAGAAAACAAUUUAAUUAAGCACUUCAGACAAAUAUCAAAAAAAAAAAAACUUUGCUAAGCUUGCGAAAAUAUAAUUUCUAAAAAUGUAAAUUAGGUGGACAAAAUAUUUAACGUGGUUCGGUCAACAUGACCUACAUCCACCAGCAAACGGGAGAGAGAGGAUUUUAUUAACAUCCAAGAACAGUUACAAUGAUACAAAGGUUACACCUCAUUUGAGUUCUCAAAACAAAAGAAUAUAUCUUGCUUACUAAAUGCUCCAAGGGAGUGCUCUCAACCUUACAAUGAUUACUCUUAAAAUUUUUGCACACACAUAAUGAUUGAGAUGAGAGUCUAUUUAUACUCGAGGGAUCAUACCUAAAACCCUAAAAGGCCAUGCCAACUGGCCCAUAGGCCCAUGAAUGGUGACACCCAAUCGUAUCCCGCCAUGCAACAUCUUCUGGAACCUUCAUCCCUGUCAAACAACCCAUGAGCAUCAGCAACACACAUGAUGGACCACCUUGACCAUAGUGGAGCAUCAUGAUGUACAUAUGGUGCAUCAUGAGCACUAAUGGCCCAACAUCCUUCAUGGUGGCACAACAAGGUGUAUUUCCUGAGCAAGGCCAACUUAUAAUGAGCAUCCUUGAAUGAUCUUGAACAUCACGUAGGACUUAAUAUCAUACGUGGGUCAUCAAGGAUAGCACGGCUCAUCAAGGAUCCAAAAUGACCCAUCUUGCACAAUGAUGGAACAACAUGUGCAAGGAUGGCGCAACAGGAUUCAAGUGUGGCGCAAGAACAUCAAGAUUAGAGAAAAAACACCACCAUGGCGCAAGAACAUGCAUGGCGCAACAAGGUCAUGCAUGGCACAAGAACAUACCUCAUGGUGCAAGAGGGAUCCUCAUGGCGUAAGAGAGAAUUAUGGUGCAAGAAGGAAUACCAUGGCACAGGAGAAUCCUUCUUUGCACAUCCCACUAUCAUAUGGUGCAACAAGGUCCACUUGUUGCUCCAUAUCACUCCCAAGUGCUCCAAACCUCUUUUAGGUGCUACAAACCCUCUUCUAUAUAAUUUGUUCCUUUGUUAGAUGAUCCAUUCUUUUCUCAGAUGAUCCAUUACUUUGUCACAUUCUCCAUGAACCUUAAGUGCUCCAGUUAGUUCCAAGUGCUCCACAUGUUCCAUGAACAUGAUCCAAAUGCUCCAUGUUGGAAAAGACUUCAUACCUCAACAAAUUGGACAACUACAGAGUACAAAUACUAAGCCACAACCUCUUCUGGUUCACUUCUUUUGGUAUAUUAACAAAAUCCCUUAGGUGACCAUUGGUAGAGCUGACUAUUUAAGGUCAAGAAAAUCUAAAAUUCUUUGCGAAUAUUUCCUUAUAGUGAACAUCCAAUUCAACUCCAUAAGGAUUGUUUCUUUAACAUCUUUGGAACAGUGCUUUGACUUUGAAGUAGCUUCGAAAAAUCCAUCAAGAUUUGCAGAAUACCACAUAACCAAGUUGGAAGAAUGACUUCUUGUACUUUUGGGUUCUAAUGACAAUCCCUAUUUCCGGAUCGUCAGUUGCACCAUACUGAUGAUUGUCGAUAUCAUCAUUAGAAGUAUCCAUCUCAACAAGUAGCUCAUGAUGAUGUUGCUACUUGUGAAAUUCUCCAUCAAUUCUCCUAAAGUCAGCUGCUAAAUUUCAAGGUGGUUGUUCAGAACAGUGUAGGGGAAAGUGUCUUGAUGAUCUAUCUCUUCUUUAUAUUCGAACCAUAUAUCUCCCCAGCAUCAGGAAGUCAACAGGAUUCAUGAAUGGAAAUUAUGCUUGCGUGACAAUAUUUUUGUUCCAUCACUUCAAAAGAAAAUUCUUAGUUCCUGGAAUUCAUGAACAUCCUCUACUUGAGACCUAUUCACCUUAUGAUUGAUCUGUUGGACCAAAUUUUAUCAGUAAAUUGAGCCCAUGUGUGAUGAUAUCCCAACAAUAGAUUAUGUUCCAUAGUCAGCAACUUAUCAAGAGGACAAUUGAUGCUCAUCCUAUCAUACAUUUCCACCAUCUUGCAUUUGAGGAAUUUGGAAUAUCCCACUGAAAAUCAUUUUCGACUAGGCUUGAUACGGAAACCUAGGAGAAUGUUCUUCAUCUGUAGCAAUGCGGAUAUCAGGGAGCCAUGUGAUCUGAUAAAGGAUGUGCUUUUGAUGUGCUUUACUUAUGCUACUGAUUUUAGGCUCUUUGUCUUAAUCUUCAUCUUUAUCUUUAUCUGGAAAACUACUUUUCACCAUUCCUUCUUGAUGAUAUUCUUCUUGUAACUUUCUACCAGUCAAUUGGUCUUCUUUUACUUGUAGCUUUCUUGCUGCCAGCAUUGCCCUUCUUCUUGUAAUGGCUGUUUGUAAUGUUGGGAGCACCUAACAUUGUCCCAGGUCUGUUUAAUGGGACCACUCCCCUUAGUCAUGUCUUCUAUUUAUUUCUGUCUUUUGGUUUUUUGUUUAGGAGAUAAGAAUUAAUUUGUAAAGAACUUUGUUCUUCUUUGGAGAGUCAAUUCCUCUCAAAUGAAUGGGAUUAUCAUGUCAAUUCCACAAACAAAUCAUUUCCCACCAAAAGUAAAAGUAUGUUCAACCAUUCAAACAUCAUAUUUUAAAGCUAAAAAGUAUCCAAACGAAAAAACCCGGUUUUAUAAGGAAACCGGGCUGUAAUAAGAGAACAAGUCCUAGUUGUAAACCCGAUACUAUUAGAUUUUCAUUCAUAUGACUUGCCCAGAACAGGGUUAUAUAAAGUAUUUAACCGGGUCCUUUUAUCCUUUUAUUAGUAGUGUGGUAGGUGAGGCCAUGACCUAAUAUAAUUGGAGCUAUUGCCUUGAUUAUGGUUUCCAUCAUAACAGUCACCAGUGGCUAGUGCAUCCGAUAUAACUUCUUUAAAGUUCCUCAUUGUCACCAUGUUCUUGAUAUUUCUUCCAUUGUUCGUAAUAAAAGUAUUAAUCUGGGUGUGUUCUUGAACUCUCUCUAGCAUCUUGCAUGCUACUAUUAUUGUUUUUACACAACUAAUACUUCCUACCAUCACUAAUAUUCUUCUUCAAAAAAAGCAUGCAUUUCGUCACUAUUUUGAAUACACACUACACAGAGGGAUAUCAUAAAUUUCGAUACCCUCUAGUUUUUCCAUACCCUUUUUUCUUGUCAAUCCCUUGCAGAUAUGAAAAGAAAAUCCAUAGCCGCUAUGUCAUCCACAACAUUAUCACCUGAGACUUGUCAUGGCCUGAAAUCUCCAACAUUUGUAAGUUCAGGGGAAGAGGUGUGACUUUGUGCCUGCAAGUUCCUUUGUAACAAAAGUGUUACAUCUCUCCUAGAACAUUAGUCCAUAAGUCAACAUUUGUAGUUUCGAACACAAUGAUUAAUUAAAUACAAUUAAGAAGUUUCUUAUCUACUUCCUAUCUGCAGCUUCAUGAUAUUAGGGUCGACCUAGCAAUGAUAAAUACACAUAUCUAACAACCAUGUGGACUAGAAUCAACAUCAAGAGAUGGAAGCAUUCACGAAUUGUACAACUGGUAUAUAUUUUGGUGAAUCGUGAAUUAAGCUAGUGUCAAGAUAAUGGGAAACCCAUAUAGGCAUCGUUUCAUUAGAUAAAGCUUCAGUUUUAAAUUGGUAUGAAAUAGUGUAUGGAUGUUAAUAAUAUUGUACGCCCACAAAAAAUGUGACACAUUAGAAAGCGGGUGGCUACCUGUAACGAAUAAUAUUAAUAAAAACUAGAACAGAAGACAGUACUCUAGCCCAUGAAAGUAGAUAGUAAACGAGUGAGAGGUCAAGUCUUCACAUUUUUAAUAUUUGCAGCAACAUACACUUUACUUUCUUAAAUUUAUUUACAUAAGAAUUAUUGUGUUUGAUAUCUCAGAGUCAAACUGAUGUGAUUUCUUCUUGAUAGCACUGAUACAAGGCUUGGGAGAUUUCUUCAAUUGACAAAUUUUUGCCUCGGGUUGGUUGAAGACACUUUAAAACAAGUUGAGCCAAUUGGAAUGCUCCCUUUGGAGGAUGAUCAUUAUGUUGAAGUUGAGGAUCCAUAAUCAUUCCCAAAUUUACCUCAUUCGCUAGUAAUGGAGUAGACCAUUCCAUCAAAUUUUUCUGUUGGAGAGGUAUCCUUUCAUCAUACUUCUUCAUCCCUGUUAGCAUUUUCAGCAGUACCACUCCAAAAUCAUAGAUCUCACUCUGCACUCCAGAUUCUGCCAAAGAGAUGUUUAAUUGGUUAGUCGAUAACGUUUGCACAAAUAAUUCAGAAUUUUAGUCAAUGGAACACCCUUUUUUUUCAAAAAUACUUAUAAAGGUAUUGUUUUUGGAAGAAAAAAAAAAGAUGCCCCUUGUUUUCAGAAAAUGAAUGUAUACAUAUGCAUAUAAAAUGGUGGUAUAAGUGAAACUCAUAUAAAGGGGUUAGUUAAAAUACUUGUACUAUAAAAAGGACUUAAGAAACUAUAGGGAACACUAAAGGAAUGUUUUUUUUUUUAUUUUAGAAAAAUGUUAUAAACUUCAUUUAAAAUGAAAAGUUGAGAGUAAGCAAACAAGCACACAACUUAAACCAUUGCAACCCUUGCAACCUAACCAUUAUAUUUUUACCUUUUCAUUUUCUGAAGUAAAAAUUCAUAAAGUCUGCGCACCACCUCUGCAAUCCUCUGCGGUAGAAGAGGUGGACCAAACGGCUGCAGACUGUAAUAAGAUGUGUAUUUGUUUUUUUAACAUGUGCAUGCUGCUCCAAAUAUUAAAAAAUUAAAAUAAACUAAUUUUAUAAACAGAAAAUAGUUUUUUUAAUACCAAAAAUUUAAUAAUAUAUGACAUUUUAGCAAGAAUUUUUGAUAUUUCAGCAAAAAAAUAAUGAUAAUUCAAUAAAAAAAAAAUAAAGAUAUUUUAACAAAAAAUAAUUAUAAUUCAUCAAUAAAUUAUCAUUAUUCAAUAAAAAAACGAAAAAACAUUCAACAAGAAUAAACAAAAUAAAACAAAAUAAAAAAAAGGUGAAAUAAGAUUUCAGCAACAUGAAAAAAAAAAACAAAAAGAAGAGGUUGGAAGAAACAAUACAAGUGUUGCGCCAAACAAACAGGCGUUGAAGUUUUUACUCCGAAGACUUUUAAAAAACAAACAACUGCGAGAUGAAAAAUGUUGUGCGUUUGCUGCGCCGUGCAACAAUAAGAGUUCUGAAGAUGUUUUUUCCAAAAUAUAUACAAACAACACCUUAGACUAGGCCAAUAGCUCAAUGGAGUAUUUCAACAUUUUCCCAUAUAUAUUGAUCACUAGAUUAUAGCCCGUAGAAACCACGCUUGGUAUGAUUAAAAAUUUUAUAUAGACAAAAAAAAUUAACAAAAAAAUUUUUUAUCAUGGAAAAAAAAUAUCAUAAAUGACUACUAGAUAAAACUAAAAGCUGUUUUAUUAGUCUUUUAAAGAAUUACCAUCCUAAAAUUUAAAUGGUAUUUUAGAAAUUAAGAUCCAAUUAAAAAAAAAUUGAAAAUUCCUUAUAAAUAGUUCCCAUUUUUGAAAAGUUAUGUUAUAAAUACUUACCGUUUCAAAUAUUUAUGUUACCAAAAAAAUGGAUAUUUGAAAGAUUUUUAGCAAUUACCAAAAAAAAACUGAGAAUUAAGAAUUCUUUAAAAAUUGCCACGUGUCAAUUAGUCUAUCCAGAAAGGGGACAUGUCAGUGGUGCACGCAGACUAUUUUAGUAGGGGUAUCCCUCAUACUUCAAGCGGGUGCACCUAACAGAAAAAAUUAAAUAAAAAAAAAAAAAAAUUUACACUACAAGCCGGAAAAUGAGCAGUGGCCUGGGACCCCCAAUUCUCAACAUAGGUCCACCACUGGACAUGUGGCAUUUAGAAGUUAUGUUUAUUAAAAGAGCUAGAUGUAGAAAACUUUAUUUUUACAAAAGAACAUACCAUCUCCAGGCAUAGAUCCAAAAAUACAAUCCAAUUUGUCUCUUUUGAAAGUAGAGCAGCCAGUGGGGGCAAGUAAAUUGUCUAUUUUAUAAUCCCAAAGCCGAGCAUUAAAAUCCUGAAAAUAUACAAGAGACGAAAAACUGAAAUUGAUGUUACCUUUUCCGUGCAAAAUGCAAGCAAGUCAAAGGCAGUGUACAUUACCCUGUCCACCAAUAUAUGAUUGCCAUCAAAACUAUUAUAAGCUGGAAGAUUCUUCUGAUGGAAGAAAGACAGGCCUUUAGCUGCUCCUUGUGCUAUUUUCAAUCGUGCAGCCCAAGAAAGUGGAGUUCUAUCUGGUGCUGUAUCAAAAUAAUUAACAUGUAUCCAAUCUGUAAGAUGGAAGCCCAAAGGGUUCUAUAGAAGUAAAAAAUAGAAGAUAUGCUUACAGCUUACCUCUGAAUAGAUGAUCAUCUAAACAUAUCCCUGGAAUGAGCUCAUAUACCCAAAACAUAGUUACAUUAGACAAGCAAUAUCCCAAAAGUUUAGUAAUAUUGGGAUGACUGAAUUCUAAUAUUUUCAAGUCCAACUGCACAGCCAAAUUGUCAAUGUGGUUCAGUACCUUAAUAUAUAAGCUAGAAAAAAUCACAAAGCAUGAAGAAUACAAGGUCUAGCCAAAUUGUCAAUGUAGUUCAGUGCCUUAAUAUAUAAGCUAAAAAUUAAAGGUCAAAGAGCAUGAAAAAUACAAGGUCUAUCAAAUUUUCUAUCCAAAGUAAGUCCUACGUCAUCAUUUUACAUACUGAAAUUACCUUCCAGGUUAGAAUCUCCUCCUUCCUAACAUAUAUUGCCAAACCAACACCAGAUUCUGUAGGAGCAUAUGACUUUUCAUCAACCCAACCUUUGUAAAUGGAUCCAUAAGAAGUAGGAGAACCCUCCAUGUCUUUGAAAUCAUUUGUUGCACUUACCAACUCAUCGUACGUAAAUAUUCUGAUACUUCCAGUUGUAGAUUUCGUGAUAUUUUGAGCACUAAAAUCAGAUUUGCUAAGGACUUUAUCAUCCUUCUUCACUGAUUUGCUUCCUCCUGCAACACCAGACAUCAAAGAUUUCCUUCCUCCUGUAACAUCAGGGACCACAAAUUUGCUUCUUACUGCAACAUCAGACAUCACAGAUUGGCUUCUUACCCUACCAUCUGACAUCAUGUCAAAGUUGCAAGUAAAAAAAUCCCUUACCUUGUAAAGUAAUUUUUCUUUAUUAACCACAGAAAUUUUUUUUUCCCUUUCCUGCGACAGAAUAGACUUGAGCUUAAAGACAACCUCAGCCAUGGUAGGGCGAUCUUUUGGUUUAGUACGUAAACAAUGGCCUGCUAUGCUUACAAACUGCUUCAAACAUUUUUUUGAGAUUUGUCUUAUCAGUCUAGAGUCAAUAAUUUCAUUGACUUUUCCCUCUUUGAUUUGGCUUUGGGCCCACGGUGCUAAGCCCCAUUGCUCUUCAUCUAGCGUUCGCUUGCCUCCCGGACAACACCUCAAACAAUACAACUCCAAACGCGUAAACAUCAGAUUUUCUUGUCAAUUUUCCAGUAUGGAAAUAGGACGGGUCCAUAUAGCCAAAUGUCCCUUUGACAUUGGUGCUGACAUAAGUUUGUGUCUGACCUAUCGGACCAACUUUGGCCAAUCCAAAAUCUGAAAUUUUAGCUGCAAAGUUUGCAUCCAACAAAAUAUUAGAUGCCUUCACAUCACGAUGUAUAACUCCAUUUUGGGUUGAUGUGCCUGUGUGAAGAUAGUCUAAUCCGCGAGCGGCACCUAUGCAUAUCUUGAGUCGUCGUAACCAAGAUAAUUUGGAAUCAGUUUUGUGAAGAUGAUCUUUAAGUGUCCCAUUAGGCAUGAACUCAUAAGCUAGGAGCAUCUCAUUUCCUUCAUUGCAAUAACCAACAAGAGACACAAGAUUACCAUGUCGAAGCUUAGAAAGAACUUUAACUUCCGCUUCAAAUUCAUGGGCCCCUUGUGUGGACAUGGAGUGCAACCUUUUUACUGCAACUUCGCUUACUAACCCUAUCUUCAUCCUACAUUUAUACACAUUGCCGAAUCCUCCACGCCCAAUGACUAAAGUCUCGUCAAAGUUGUUGGUUGCCAAUUGAAUCUCGGAAAGAGUAAACCGUUGACAUGCCUGCUCUCCCAGUUGGAGUAAGGCCUUGAGGCGGUUGAUAGAUGCGUCUGACAUUUUCGGGCACCAAGCCUUUGAUUCUUGACGCCUCCACUUCUAUCCGAAACAGAGCUCCACUUCUAUCGUUGAUGGUUUUGUGGAACCAGAAUAAGAAAACUCAAGGAAUUCCAAUUCCAAUCCCAAUCCCAACUACCAACGCUAAGAAUCAUGUGCUUCUAACCCUAAUUAAAGACCUUGUGGUUUUGCUGAUGACUUGUUGUUCUAUAUGUUGUCGCCUGAGCAUCUAUUAACGCUUAUAAAUUAAUCAAGCGAGCUGGUGGAGAGAAGGAAUAGAGCAAGUGAGGAGGACAGGGUCGAAGAAAGGACUAAUGGUAGGUGGUUUGUCUUCUUGCAACGUUGAUGUUGAGAGUAGAGACAACUAGGAGAAAAAAAGGAGAGGAUUACGAGGUGGGUGAACAAUGUUCCAAAACCUGGUUGAACUCGACGGAAACCUAACUCAUGAUUCCAGGCGGCUUUGUUCGUAUGUUUCCUCCCCUCAUCGCAAAAAUUUGGUCAAUUGAUGGUUUCAUCCGUGUGUGGGAGGUAAUCCUAAUACAAUUUUAAAUAAACUAGUAAAUUAUUAUACAGUUUCAUAUGUAGAAAUCGAACUUACGUAAUUAAUUUUUUUUUUUUUGUAUGGAACAAGCCUUUCAAUAUAUUAAAGCCUUGUGAUUAAAGUGUAAAACACAAAAAAUCUACGAAAGUGGCAGUAGUGGGUGGGUUGGUGGGGGAGGACCGGGAGGUGGUGGUUUUAGCUUGGCUAGUGAAACAUAGCUGAAUUUGAAAAUCCUGAAUUUAAGUUUUGAUCUUAAACUUUUAGUUAAAUAUUUACUAGAUUAAUAUUAAUUUCUAUUGUUUUGAGAGACAUAAGUCCAAGUCUUACAUUAUAAAAUUUUUACAAAACUUAAUGUUUCCAAAAGACAGCAUGAUGGCUGUGUUUGGAAAACAUUCAAGUGUCAACUAAUAAGAAACCAACAAUUUUUAUAUGAUUAAAUACUAUCAUUUUCAAGGGUCAAAAUGAGACAAAAGAUAUUCUAAAAAGAAGAAUAAAAAAUAAAAAAAAAUAAAAAAGGUUUAAGUAACUCGCACUUAACUUGCGAUCCUUCAAUUCAGUGGCGGACCUAUUAAGGGCCUUUGGGGUCCCGGGCCACUGCUCAAUUUCCUGGCCGCAGUGUAAAAUUUUUUUUUUUUUUUUUUUUUUGGUUUUUUCUAUUAGGUGCACCCACUUGAAGUACGAGGGACACCCCUACUAAAACAGUCUGCGUCCGCCACUGCUUCAAUUGAUCGAUACUCGUAGUUGCACCUCAUAGGCACCACACACUUUUUCAGUCGGUUUAUGUCUCCGUAUUCAUUAAACUUCACGCAACAAACAAUAUCGGAUAAUGUAUUUACACCUACAAUACAUCGUCGACCACUGUUUUGUUGGGUCCAAAUGGCUAUGCUUCCUCAUAUCUUCCUUUAUUUCUAACUUUUAUAGGCAGAUGGUGAUCUUGAAGACUUGCAUCACACAAGUGAUGUUCAAAUUUUGGCUUGAUCGUGUGUUGGAUUUAUCAGUUGAUCUUAAUGACGAGAAAUUGCAAACCUGAUGCUUUGGUUUUCUGAUCAAAAUCAAAAAACAUGAUGCUUUGAUUUAUCUGGUCGCAAAAACUAAUGAUGAGAAAAGCCUACUGAUUCAGAGGGUGGCACCAGUUGAAAGUGUUGCAUCAAUGGAAGGAGUUACAAAAUUAAAAAAUAAUAAAAUAUUAUGUAACCAAAAUGGUUUAUAAUAUUUGAUAUUUUUAAAUUUUGAAAAUUUUAAUAAAUUUUCAAUUAUGUAAUUUUUUAUAAAGUAUAUUUCAUUUUAUUUUUAUAUUAAAUUAAUUGAUUAUGUAAUAAAAAAUUAUAAUAUCUAAAUAUCAUUGGAUAUAAAAUAUAAUAGUUUACUAAUGUAAGGGUUAAAUAAGAUAGACAAAUAUAAAUAUUAAAAAUAUUAAUAGUUAAUAAGUAUUUGAAGUAAUCUUUAAAAAAAAUUAUUUCCAAUUAAUUAAAAUAGGAAAAAAUAGGAAAAACCUUUUAGAAAAACAAACAUUAAAAAUCCUCUUAUAGUUUAAUUCGUCUUUUACUCGACAAGAAGACAAUCUUGAACCCACCUCGGGUCAUAUUCGAAUGUAUCCGACUUUACCCUUUUAAGUUGCUUGGAUGCUCCAUCCCUCUCUCGCACUCUUUUUCCUAUUACCCAUUGCGUUCGACAAAAACAUAUGGAACAACAAGCCCCGUGGAACUAUGACAGGGCCGGUUUUAAGGGUUUAAAUAUUCUUCAAUGCUUUGGACGAGCCAGAUAAAAUGACGCUUAUCGCUAUUAUAAGUUUUAUAUAUAUAUAUAUAUAUAACAUAAUAAUAAAAAAUUGGCCUAAAAAAAUUGAGCCAUGUGUAGCUGCCCACUUCACCCCUCCAUCCAUGCUCCCAUGAUCAUUAGCUAGGAUUUUUUAAAGAUCAUAAAGUUUUUUCAAUUUAUUAGCUAUUUAAUUAGCUAGGAUUUUUUCAAAAUGAUAAAGUUUUUUCAAUUUAUUAGCUAUUUAAUUGUAUACAUCGUCUGCAUGAUUCUUGCUUUUUUAUUUUGUUGUAGUUUAAAUGUUAAGAGGCCUACUCAUUACAAGAAAUCUUGGCAUUACCGGCGAUACCUAUAGCGGCGACAUGGAGCAAUAGCGGCGACAUGUAACUGACGCGUUACAUGUCACCGCUAAAGGUGUCGCCGGUAAUACUCGCAAACGGCUAUCUGCAUCAAAUUACCCCUAUCCGUCCGAUUUGUUUUCAAUCCAAUAUUUGUAGAAAACGCGUUGACUCUUCCCUCCAAGGAGCCGCUGCUAUUACCCUUUUGCCACCGCAUUAAACAACCCCCUCCCCCCUCCAAUGGUAUGUCACAUGAAAAUUGGGCGAAAAUAGUCGAACAUUUUCAAACGUCGGAAUUUUUAAGGUGUUUGGCGUCAAAAACAGAAUGUCGUGCAAAACAAGUAGUUGUAAACAGAGGGAGGUCCAGCUCAUAUAACAAUGCAUGUUUCAAAGAAGUAACUUAUGCUAUAUUUAAAUAUAUAUUUAAAGUAUAAGUAAUCUAAUUUUUAAUGUUAAAUAGGAUAUCAGUUGAAUUAAAGUUUUUCGUAAAGCUAAUUCCAAAGGGGUAUUUUAUAGCCAUGCAGUCAAGCAACAAUACGUAAGUGGUUAAUUUUUAUUUUCAUAUAAGUGUUUAUAUCGUAGAGGGUAUUUAGUAAUCUAAUUUUUAUGAUUUUUAUUAUUUUUUGAAAUAUAGAAUGUUUUACUCCAGGAGAUCAACUAACGAACCCAAGCUACUUCUGAAGCAAGCGGUCUAACACCCACUGAUAUAAAAAAAAUUGUUUUGAAAGAAUAUUGGGUGUUCAACGCAGACAUAUUAGAGGCAUUGGGCGUAAACCCCCAACUGUUGUGUCCAUGUACGAUCAAGAACAACCAGUCACACAAGAACAACUGCAAUCACAGGUAAUUGUUAGUUUAAGUUGAAAGUAUAAAGAUAUAAUGGAAAAUACAAUGUUAUAAUGGAAAGUAGAAUGCUAUAAUGAUAUGUUGGUUAUGAUUUGAUAUGUUGAUAUUUUGUAGUUUGAUAAUUUUUGAAAAGUAAAUGCUAUAAUGGAAAGUAGAAUGCUAUAAUGAUAUGUUGAUUAUGGUUUGAUAUGUUGAUACUUUAUGGUUUGGUAAUUUUUGGAAAGUAAAUGCUAUAAUGGAAAGUCGAAUGCUAUAAUGAUAUGUUGAUAUUUUCUAGUUUGGUAAUUUUUGGAAAGUAAAUGCUAUAAUGGAAAGUAGAAUGUUAUAAUGAUAUGUUGAUUAUGGUUUGAUAUGUUGAUAUUUUGUAGUUUGGUAAUUUUUGAAAAUUAAAUGCUAUAAUGGAAAUUAGAAUGCUAUAAUGAUAUGUUGAUUAUGGUUUGAUAUGUUGAUAUUUUGUAGUUUGGUCAUUUUUGCAAAGUACAACGCUAUAAUGGAAAGUAGAAUGAUAUAAUGAUAUGUUAGUUAUGGUUUGAUAUGUUGAUAUUUUGUAGAAUGGUAUAAUUAUAAUGCUAUUAUCAUAUGUUGGUAAUAUAUUUUGUUUCUUUGUAGUUGAAAAUGUUGCAAACAAUACUAAAUGACCCGGCCUGUUCUACAGCAUUAGAAGAGUGGUUUCGCUCAUUGCCGCCACUAAAUAAUGAAGGAAAUGAUGAGGACGAGUAGUUACUUUAGGAUUUUAUGAAAUAUUUUGUAAAUUGGAAGAAUAUUAUAGAAUGUGGUAUGGAUUAAUAUUUUGGAUUGGUUGUUAUGGAUUAAUAUUUCUAUAAAAAGUUAUCAGAUUUUAUAAAUGCUAUAUUGUUUUUUUUAUGAAUUUAAUGUUAAAUAAAUAGAUAAAAUAAAAUUUAAAAAAAAUAAAAAAAAACAAAAACGCAUUUGCGGCAACAUCUUUUGUGGCGCGUACAUGUAUUAGUGGCGACAUACUAUUAGCGGCGACUAUCAUCCUUUAGCGGCGACUACAGGUAUAUUAGCGACGAAGCGUUACCGGCGACGCAUUUGCAGCGACGUGCCACCGCUUAAGGUAUUAGUGGCGAUUUCCCGAUCCUUUAGUGACGACAGGCGUCGCCGCUGUUGCCCAGUCUUCUUGUAGUGACCAGCCCUCUUAACUUGCUCCAUUUCGUCCAUUAGUUUGUUCUCUUGACAUAGUGGGUUUGAUAGGUUCGACUUUAUAGAGGCGGAAGCAUAUUGAAAAACGAGAUAGCCAACAAGAGAUCUUUGACUAGGGUUUUCCCAAUAUCAAAUAAAGGAAUAGAGAGUUUCAAAUUAGGUUUCUUGAAAAAUAGUGGAUGAUAUUCAAAAUUGGAAUUAGAAUUUCAAUUAAUAAGGGACCAUAUUCUAGUGAUGUUUUAUGAACUAAUAUCACCGGCUAACCCGAUAAAAAUGGUAAACGUAUUCAAACUGUCGGUAGUUAGGACUUUACAGUAAAAAAAAUAAAGUUUAGGAUUUUUUGUCAAAUCGUUGAAAAUAUCACGACUUUAGUGUACAUAUCCCUUUUUUUUGCAAUUUAGCCAUUGAAACCAGUUAUUAUUUGCGAUUGAGCAUUGUUUCUAGGUAAACACAUACGAUAGCAGGUUUCGAUGGUUUGAUUGCAAAUAGAAAUAUCAAAGGUGUCUUUGUCAUCAAUGGCCAAAAUAUAAGUAAUCUUUUUUUUCAAUGCAUAAGAAUUUUUAACCUUAAGUCUUAUUUAUUUUAUAAUCUAUUUUUUUUAAACACCUAUUACAAUUUGUUUAUUUCUAAUAUAUGAUACUAAAUAAAUAUAAUUUUUUAAUUGUGCUUCUAGUUAAUAAAAUAUAAAAACCGGUUCAAAUGUAAAAAUAUAUUGUUAUGAAAUGUAUCUAUUAGUUUUUAUUGAUGGAAUUAAAACAAAAUUUAAACAGUUUUUAUAUUUAAUUAAAUAGAAGUGUAAGUAAAAAAUAGUAUUUAUUUAUUCUAACAUAUUACAAAUCAACAAAUUGUAAUGGUUGCUUCAAUAAAAAUAGAUUAUAAUUUAGAGAGUGUUUGUGAUUUCAUUUAAAAACUAGUUAUAUUGUCUUUUUGGGUUUUUGAAAUGUAUAUCUACCAAUUUUUAAAAAAUGACUUAUUAACUUUCUAACAAAAAAAGAAAAUCAAAAUAAUUUUUUUGACUAUUAUAAGUCAAUAAAUCAUUUUGCCUAAAACUCAUUUUGAGGAUCAAAAUUAAAUCUCAAACACAGUCUUUUGGACAUGUUUGGAAGUGGUUUUAAAACUCCUUAUUCUCAUAUUUUGCCUAAAAGUCAUUUCGAAUAUCAAAAUGAAAUCUCAAACACCCUCUUUGGAUAUGUUUGGAAGUGGUUUUGAAACUCCUUAUUUGUCUUUUGGAAAAACCAAGUAUUCCUGACUUUUUGAAAACAUAGAAAUAAGUUAAGGACUGAAUUAACAAAUGUGCAAUACAUUGUAGGUUGACAACAACUUUAUUCCCUCAAAAACAUAGAAAUAAGUUAAGGACUGAAUUAACAAAUGUGCAAUACAUUGUAUGCCUACAAUUUCAUUUUCCCUUAUUGGAAUCGGAGAGUCGUUUGAUUUUCUUAAUUUAAAAAUUUGAUGACCCAGUUGGUUAAAAUUUGUGAGGACUAGACACGAAGUGAAUAUUUUGUGACUUGGGAGGUUGAUGAGUGAAUUUUUGUAUCAACUCAUUAGCUGUCGGAAUUGAGGUGUUGAACAAUGUAUGUCGAUUGUGGUGGUGUCGUUAAAUUCUAAAAAGAAUAAAAGAAAGAUUAGAUAGCUAGAAUAACUAGAAGUUUUUAUAGAAAAUCCAAGUCAACUGCAUACUUGAGUCAUUAUAUUUUAUAUCAUGAUUUCUUUCACAUCUAAGUAAACCAAAACUUAAGUAAGUCGUGAACUAUAAUUUAGUAUGCAAAAUAUCUAUAUUAGUAUAAGAAUGGCAAGUUGAUACUAUUUAGUAUUAAAUAUGCAAGUUGUCUUUUAUUAAACAAUUUGGCCUUUUAAAAACUGAAAGAUACCAAGCCAUUCAAUGUUUCCUAAAACGAUAUUAGAUGAAGAACAAUCAAAGUCAAUGGUCUUCAUGAAAUUAUACAAAACAACCACUAGCAGUGCAACACCCAGAUGCAACCAUCGAUUGAGCCUUUUUUAGUUAGAAAAGGAAUCCUGAAGUUAAUUCAAAGGCCCAGGGAAGAGAAGCUACAAAAUGAUGUUAUCAGCACGUAUCGAUGAUACCGGCUCCUCAUUCGUAUUGCCAGAGCACAUAUGUCAACGCUUUACACUUUCCGAAAUUCAGUCGGCCACCCACAACUUUGAUGAAGCAUCGGUCAUUGGCCGUGGAGGAUUCGGCAACGUGUAUAAAUGUUCUAGCAAGAUCGGGUCGAUAAGGGAAGUUGCAGUUAAACGGUUACAUUCCUUGUCCAACCAAGGAGCCCAAGAGUUUGAGGCAGAAAUUAAGCUCCUUUCUAAGUUGCGACAUGCUAAUCUUGUAUCUCUGAUUGGUUAUUGCAAUGAGGGAAAUGAGAUGGUGCUUGUUUAUGACUUCAUGCCGAAUGGGACACUUGAAGAUCAUCUUCGCAAAGCUGAUUCAGUCUUAUCGUGGUUACAAAGACUCAAGAUAUGCAUAGGUGCAGGUCGGGGAUUAGACUACCUUCACACUGGUACGUCGACUCAACAUGGAGUCAUACAUCGCGAUGUGAAGACCUCCAAUAUUUUGUUGGAUGCAAAUUUUGCUGCUAAAGUUUCAGACUUCGGAUUGGCCAAAGUUGGUCCAAUAGAUCAGAUACGAACUCAUGUAAGCACCUGUGUCAAGGGAACAUUUGGGUACAUGGAUCCGUGCUACUUCUAUACAGGAAAAUUGACAAGAAAAUCUGAUGUUUAUGCUUUUGGGGUUGUACUGUUUGAAGUGUUGUCAGGCAGGCAAGCUGUAGAUUCAACACUCGAUGAAGAGCAAUGGAGUUUAGCAGCUUGGGCUCAAGACCAAAUCAAAGAGGGAAACCUCAGUAAAAUUAUUGACUCUAGACUGAUGGGACAAAUCUCAAAAAAAUGUUUGAAGGAGUUUGCAAACAUAGCAGGCCACUGUUUACAUUCCCACCCAAAACAACGCCCUACCAUGGCGGAGGUUGUAAUCAAGCUUGAGUCUAUUCUUUCACAAGAAAGAGAACGCACCAAUUUUGCUGUUGACGAAGGAAGAUUCAUUUACAAAUUAAGAUCUUUUUUUACAGGCAAAGUUGAUGUGAUGUCGGAUGGUGUAGUAGAAAGCAUAUAUCUCAUGCCGGAUAAUACAGUAGGAAGCGAAUCUGAUUUCAGAGCUCUACGUAUUCAGUUAGCUAAGAAUCAACGUUUAAAACAUUUUACAUAUGCUGAAUUGGUAAGUGCAACAAGUGAUUUCAAGCACAAAGAGCAUUCCCACACUUUGAAUGAACCCAUUUAUAAAGUUUGGGUUGAUGAAACAACAUAUGCGCCCACAGAAUGUGGUGUUGGUUUGGAGAUAUAUGUUAGGAAGAAGAAGAUUGAUGCUGCGAAGGUACUUUCAAUCUGUGAAAUGAACCUGAUUUAUUUUUCAUGGUUUUUGGUCUGUUCAAGCUUAUUGAAUUAUUGAAAAUUUGGCAAUACAGCCAGAACUCGAUUUUGAAGAAUUCAAUCAUCCCAACCUUAUCAAACUCUUGGGAUAUUGCUGGCAUUGGCAAGAAUUUUAUUGCUUUUACGAGCUCAUUCAUGGCGCAAGUUUAGAUAAAUAUCUUUUUGGAGGUAAGUAUAUAUUCAGGCUAUAGUUUUGCAGAGCCUGUAGACUUAGAUCUCAUAAAGUGGAUACAUUUUGAUGAAAAGUGCCUUAUGUCAACACUUGUUAAUAGUACCCUGCUUUUGGGUUCUUCAGGCAUAGCCUUGUCGUUACACAUAAAAUAUAUUCUACUAUAUACGCAGAUCCAGGUACAAUGUCACUUUCUUGGGUUGCACGAUUAAAAAUAGCAGUAGGAGCAGCUCAAGGUUUGGCUUUCUUACAUCUGAGGAAGCUUGCAGCAUAUACCCAAUUUAAGACCAAUUGUAUUUUGGUGGACACAGUAAUUUAGACUUCCUUUGACAUGUUUGCAAUUUGCAUCUCAAUAUUACAUCAGUUUUAGUAUCUUUUUCAUGCUUAUUUACAGGAUUUCAAUGCUCGGCUUUCGGAUUACGAAGUAGAAAAUUUAUUUGCCACACCUGAGUGGCACUUUUACCAGGAAUACAGAAUUGAUGGUAUUCGCAGAUGUGAGCCUGAAGACGGUAUAUUCUGAUUUAAAACUAAACUUUUUGUACACUCUCAGUAUAUAUCAUCACAGGUCACUCGUAUGAGUAUUCAUUUCCUCUCCAAAAGCUAUAAUCAUGAAUUAUUUGUUCUUGAGUGAAGAGUGAGAUUUAUGGUUUAAAAUAUGACCAAUCAAACCACUUUGGCAGGUCCUGGAGUGAAGAGUGAGAUUUAUGCUUUUGGAGUCGUACUGCUCGAAAUAUUAACAGGGAUGAAGGCCGAUGAUGUGCAGAGACCCCUCACAACGCAAAAUUUGGUAAAAUGGGCUACUCCAUUGCUAGUAAAUGAGGUAAAAUUGAGAACUAUUAUGGACCCACAACUUCAACGUAAUGGUUAUACUCCAAAGGGAGCAUUCAAGUUAGCUAAACUUGUUUCAAAAUGUCUUCAAAAAAAAUUAGACGAUCGGCCAUCAAUGGAAGAAAUCGUCCAGGCAUUGUGUCGGUGCUAUGAAGAAGAAAUCAAAUUAGUUUGUGCUCCAACAUAAUCUAUAGAUAAGGUUUUUGUAAAUAAUCUAAUAAUGUACAUGUUAGCCGAAUAAAUUUGUUAGGCCCUUUUUAGUUUGGGCCCAAUGCUUGGCCCUUUAGUCAUUUAGAUAGGUUUAACCUAAUUUGCUUUCCUAUUUAUUGAUAUGGUUUAGUAAAUAAAUCUAAAAAUGUACAGUAUAUGAUGCUGGAAAUCUCUGAAGAGUUAAAGCCUUGAGCUUCAUUGUUUCCCUUUACAUUUUUGGUGAAACAGAACCACCCAUAACAUACCUUUUCGAGCGUGUGAUUUAUGUUGUGUGGCAGAUGUUUUCAACAAUCAGGCGCGAUUUGGUUUUAAUACUAUUUGGUUUGUCUUUGUUUGUCAUUUAUCAUAUAGAGAUUGGCCUAAAUUCUCCGAAGCUGCAGUUGUGAAUUACAAUGUGUUGGAACUUUAUAUAUAUAAAGGAAUUGCAAGUUGGCAAUUUCCUUUGUAUCCCACAUUGGUGGGGGAAGAAACUUUUGAGGGUUUAUAAGUUUAUUCCCUCGAUAGGCAUUUAAAGGCUAUAGUGGAUCAAAGGAAUGGGCCAAGCCCACGUCCGCGUCUAGCCUAGCAUUAGCACUAGCCGAAGUCGUGGGUGUGAGAUUUAAGCGCACUUGGCACAACGCAUCGGUCGUUGGGAGUUGAAGAGCUUUUAUUUUUGACGAGUUCGGGUCAAGCCAGUUUGACCGAUCUGGUCAAAUGGUUGACCGUCGUUGACUUCAUGGAGGACAAGUCAGGGCAUUCUAGAAGGAUCAGGAAACGACUUGGUUGGAGAGCAAGUCGUCGCCCUAGGGUUUCUGGGGGCCGUUUCAUGCCUUCUAGGGUUUCGAUACCUAUAAAUCAACAGGCUAAUGGACACUACUGCUAGCCUCCACUUCAUGAACCAAGAGUUUGCCAAACUUGACCAAUUCGAUGGUCAGAACUACACCCGUUGGGCCAAGAAGGUAAAGUUCAUGCUUUAUGUCUUGAAGCUUGCCUUUGUGUUGGACCCAGAACUGGCACCAAUUCCUGCUAAUCCAAUUCCCGAGGCGGGGAAAACUGUGGACCCAGUGGUCAUUGCAGAACUAGAAAAGCAAAGGACUCUGCGUAUAGAGUCUGAGGAACUAUUUGUGGGUCACAUCAAGAACUCCCUAUCUGAUUGACUCUAUGAUAUUUACAUGCCGGUCAAAGAUCCAAGAGAGCUAUGAAAUGUGUUGGAACUUAAGUACAAGGCACAUAAGGAAGGUACUAACAAAUACCUUGUGUCUAAGUACCUAGAGUUUCAAAUGGCUGAUGACAAAUCUAUCAUGGAGCAAGUGCAUGAACUCCAAGUCAUGGUCAACAAGUUGAAUGCACUCUCCAUCUCUAUUCCAGAACUCUUUCAGGUUGGUGCAAUUAUAGCAAAACUACCACACUCAUGGAAAAAUUUCUCUAAGAGAAUGAUGCAUAAAUCUGAGGACUACUCCUUGGAGGAUCUGAUGAAACACCUCUGCAUUGAGGAGGUAACUCACAUCAUGGACAAACGUGGUAAAGUCAAAUCGAGUGUGCAUCACGUGUCAGUUGGGGGUUCUAGUCAUAAAUGCAAGUCUGGGGGACAAAACAAGAAGAACUUGGGACCCAAGAAACAAAGCUUCAAGAAACCGAGUCAUCAGAAUCCUAACUCAAAGCCAAAGAGGACCGGACCUUGCUACGUCUAUGGAGAGAUUGGGCACUAUGCGAGGGAAUGCAAGAUCACAAAUCAGGACCGGUUGCACAUGCAGCCGAGCAGGUGACUGACAUGGUGGCAAGUGUGAACCUUGGAGAGAUUUUGAUGAUCUCCUCCCUUACCCGAGAAAUAUGUGCUCGAGGAUGGUUCGUGGACAUUGGAGCCACCGUGAAUAUUUGUGGGCAUCGAGAAAACUUCCGAACUUACCGCGUAAUGCCACAUGGGACGGUCGUCAUUUGUGCUAAUGGUCACAGAGCUGAGGUUCUAGGAAGUGGUGAUGUUCAUGUCAAGUUCACACGUGGUGAAUGGGUAACCCUUCGAGAUAUUCUUCAUGUUCCUACUAUCUCAAAAGGGUUGGUUUCUACGGACAAGUUUGACAAGGGUGGGUUCAAGAUGGUGCUUGAGAAAGGCAAAAUUGUGAUCACUAAAGGCAGAAGAUAUGUUGGGAGGGCAAACAAUUGUUCAGGGAUGUAUUGUUUAUGCCUUAGUGAUGAGGGUAGUGUGUGUGGUCCUAGUGUUGAGAGUGGUAGUUCUAGUGUUGCAAAUGUGUUAAGUGUUGAUAAUGAUGUAAUUGGUGGAUUGGUUGCUAAUGUGAAUGAAGUGAACUUUUCUGGUUAUUUUGUUUGUUCAAUUUCGUUAUGGCAUAAACGUUUGGCUCAUACUAAUGUUAACAACAUUGAAAAAAAUGCAAACUAAAGGAAUGUUAAAAUGUGACAUAAAAUAUUUUGAAAAAUGUGAAACAUGUGUGAAAUCAAAGUUCACUAAGAAACCAUUUCCAUCAGUUAAGAGAAAGACAUCAUUGCUUGAGUUGAUUCAUUCUAAUAUAUGUGAAUUAAAUGGAAUCCUUACUCAAGGAGGGAAAAGGUAUUUCAUCACAUUUUGUGGGGACUUCAGUUGAUAUAUACAUGUUUAUUUAGUGAGAUCAAAAGAUGAAGCCUUUGAUGCAUUUAAGCGAUAUAAGGUUGAGGUGGAAAAUCAAAUUGAAAGACACAUCAAAAUUCUUCGCUCGGAUAGAGGCGGGGAAUAUUUUAACCAAGAGUUUGACACAUUCUGUGAAGAGAAUGGAAUCAAACAUGAAAGAACUUCACCAUAUACUCCCCAACAGAAUGGUUUGGCUGAAAGAAAGAACCGAACCCUUUGUGAGAUGGUCAAUUGUAUGUUGAACCAAUUGGGUCAACCAAACAAUCUGUGGGGGGAAGCACUAUUGACUGCUUGCUAUGUUUAUAAUAGGAUCACUAGUCGUGUGAUUCCUACAAGCCCUUAUGAGUUAUGGAAAGGUAGAAAGCCUAACCUAGACUAUUUGAAAAUGUGGGGGUGUGUUGCUUAUUAUCGGACUCCAGAUCCUAAGAGAAUCAAAUUGGGAGCACGGGCUAAUAAGAGUUUAUUUAUUGGAUAUGCUCACAAUAGCAAGGCUUACCGGUUAUUAGAUACUGAAUCAGGUGUGGUUGUGGAAUCUAGAGAUGUGGAAUUCUUUGAGGAUAGUUUUUCAAGGGAUGAAGAAAAAUUCAAUCAUACAAAACCUACAAGUACUUCUUGAGAAAUACUCCCACCUCCUCCUAUUGUAGAGGAACCAAGGAGAACUACUAGGGCUAGAAUAGAGAAAAGUUUUGGAGACAAUUUCUAUUCUUAUUUGGUCGAAGGAACGCAAAACAAAGUGAUGAGGGAGGUCACCUUUGCCAUUAAUUUGGAUGAUGAUCCUAAGACCUUUACUGAAGCAAUGACGUCUCGAGAUGCUCCUUUGUGGAAGGAAGCCAUCAAUGACGAAAUGGAUUCAAUCAUGGGUAAUGGAACUUGGGAGUGAGUUGAUCUACCCAAGGGGAGAAAACCUAUAGGAUCCAAGUGGAUAUUCAAGAGAAAGUAUCAUCCAGAUGGAUCCAUAUCUGCCUAUAAAGCAAGAUUAGUUGCUAAGGGCUAUAGGCAGCGAGAAGGUAUCGAUUAUUUUGAUAAUUAUGCCCCAGUUGCUAGGAUGAGUUCUAUUAGAAUUCUCAUAGCAAUAUCAACUUUAAAAGGAUUGUACAUUCAUCAAAUGGAUGUGAAGACAACCUUUCUAAAUGGAUAUCUCAAGGAGGACAUUUACUUGGAGCAACCUGAAGGUUUCGUGAUACCUGGACAGGAAAACAAAGUGUGUAGACUUGUUAAAUCCUUGUACGGGUUGAAGUGAGCUCCUAAACAGUGGCAUGAAACAUUUGACACCACUGUGACUGCCUUUGGUUUUCAGCACAAUAGUGUUGACAGAUGUAUUUAUUCUUAACAUACAUCCAACUACAUAGUAGUUAUAUGUCUUUAUGUUGAUGAUGUGUUGAUCAUUGGCACUCACCUAUAAGGUAUUCUUGAUACCAAGAAAUACCUAUCCUUGAACUUUAAGAUGAAAGAUCUUGGAGAAGUUGAUAGAAUUCUUGGUAUCAAGGUGAAAAGGACAGGCGGUCAGAUUUCUUUGAUUCAAUCUCAUUAAAUAGAGAAAAUUCUGACAAAGUUUCAAUAUUUGAACAUUAAGGAAUUCAACACUCCUUUUGAUUCGAGUGUGAAACUAAAGGUGAAAUCUGGUCGAGCAGUGGCUCAACUAGAGUAUGCUAGUGCAGUUGGAAGCAUGAUGUAUGCUACUCACUGCACUCGACCUGACAUCCCAUUUGAUGUAAGCAAACUAAGUCAGUAUACUGUUAAUCUAGGGACGGAGCACUGGAAGGCAGUGGAUAGAGUGCUAGGAUACCUGAAAAGGACAACUACUUUUGAGUUGACGUAUUUUUCAUCUAAUGGAAUACUUGAAGGUUAUUUCGAUGCCAAUUGGAUUGAUCACACCGGUGAUUCAAAAUCCACAAGUGGUUAGAUUUAUACUCUACCUGGUGGUGAUUCAAAAUCCACAAGUGAUUUGGAGACAUCUAAGCAACGAAGAUGCUGUAAAACUUUGCCUAUAUGAUCUAGAGGCGGUGCCGCCUCAAGUGAAGAUUAGUGGUUUAUCUUCUAAAGGAUCAUGAAAAGGGUUUAUAGCGCAUGUCUAUAUUAGUGCUCAGGGAGAGCACAAAGGUGACUUGUGAUGUGUGGGGUUAAACCAGAGAGGUCAUUAAGGUUCAUGGUUUAAACCUAUAAGGAUACCAUUGAAUCAUUCUCUUCUUAUUUUUUUCUCAUUAAACUAGGGUUUAAUCUUCAUGACACCCAAGUGACAUCAUCUGUCUGAGUGAAAGGAAACUUUCCAACUUGGUGGGGGAAUCAUGGAACUUUAUAUAUAAAGGAAUUGCAAGUUGGAAAUUUCCUUUGUAUCCCACAUUGGUGGGAGGAAGAAACUUUUGUGGGUUUAUAAGCUUAUUCCCUUCAUAGGCCUUCAAAGGCUUUAGUGGAUCAAAGGAAUGGGCCAAGCCCACGCGCGUGCCUAGCCUAGCCUAGCAAUAGCCGACGCAGCGAGUGCGCGGAAUGGCGUGAUUUAGGCGCACUUGGCACUUUGCAUGAUGCAUUGGUCGCUGGGAGUUGAUGAGAUUUUAUUUUUGAUGAGUUCAGGUCAAGCUGGUUUGGCCGAUCCGGUCAAAUGGUUGACCAUCGUUGACUUCAUGGAGGACAAGUCGGGGCAUUCUAGUAGGAUCUGGAAACGGCUUGCUUGGAGAGCAAGUCGUCGCCCUAGGGUUUCUGGGGCUGGCCUUUGGGGGCCCGUUUCAUUCCUUCUAGGGUUUCGAUACCUAUAAAUACUACUCCUUAGGAGCCAUAUUCAUCUCUUACGAAAAAUCGGAGCUCUCUCCCACUCUCUGCGAUUUUCUUCCUGUUUCUAAGUAUUCACCUUGUGUUUAUCGAUCUCUAGUGCUAUUGGUAAAUCGAUAGAUCUACAUUAAUAUUGGGGUUUUACUCUGUUGCUUACAGCCAGUACAAGCGAAGUAAAAACCUUUAAGGAUAGGAGUUCGAUCUGUGCAGUUAUCUGAAGUUCAAGAUCAGCCAUCAAUAUGUCGGUUUUACUUUUCUGUCUUGCGUUUAAUUUCGUCCAACAAUAGGACAAUCUUCUUCUACCUUUCUUAUAAUCAGAUCUAACUGAGAAGGGUUAAUCUGGUUUUGGACAAAACUUGGUAAAUAUAGUAAUAAUAAUUGGAUCUAUUAUUCGCAACUAAUCGACAUAUAAUUCUCCAUAUUAUUUGUCGGUUUCCUUGCGUGUCUAUUAGUUUGUUUUUCAACACAAUCAUAGUGUAUUGAAUUCAAUCACAAGGUCGAGAUAUAUUUCACUUCUUAAUCAAGAAAUCUACUGCACAAGCCAUGCAUUGAUUCAUUUUCAUUGACAUUAGUGACAAACAUGGUGUUCAACACUCAAGUUUAAUCAACCAAUCAAUUAUAUGUUAUAUGUUAGACUAGGCACUUAAUGUAUGGUUUCUUAUAUUUGUCCAGCCCACUUUGAGACGCCAUUCUAACAUAGCAAAGUAUCCGACCUCUUAGCCUUGUAGUAUCAAAUGUAUAUAUGUAAUGUAUUUUGUUGAUUAGUGAGAUAGACAAUUAUUCCCAAUAACAUGGUGUAAACUACUGAAGAGUAGAGAUGAAAGACUAUUAGGGUCUCAUUAUUUAGUAAGAGUGCAUUUAAAAAGAGAAAAUACAACUAUAAAUAAGAAAGUUAUCUAGGGCGGCUAAGAAAAGGCUCAAAACAAAAUAAGUCCGAAAAUUCAAUCAACUAACAUCAUCCAUCAAACUCACAACGCGACAACAAAAAGCAUGGAAAAUUUGUCAAACAAAAAAUAAAAACGAGAAGUGGACAAAACCUUUGUAAAGACAUUAGGAGUCUGUAAGAUUGAUGGAACAUGUGGUAGAGAUAUAGUCCUAUGUUGAAAUGAUGAUGAGUGAAAUGACAAUCAAUCUUAACAUGGUUCGUCCGCUUAUGAAAAACAGAUCCCUUGCAAUCUAUUUCGUGUUGUUCUUGUCACAAUGAUAUGGUAGGCUAGAAAAUGUGAAACCCAUGUUUGCAAGAAGCUAACUUAGCCACAUAAUCUCACAAGUGGUAGCAACGAUGACUCAAUAUUCAUUUUAUGUUAAAGAUCGAUAGACAACAUCCUGUUUUCUUACUCUUCCAUGAAAUCAACAAAUCUCCAACAUACAUAUAUAUAUAUAUAUAUAUAUAUAUAUAUCAAAAUAAAAGACGAGUCUGAAAGUGCUCCGUCUUCUCAAAANNNNNNNNNNNNNNNNNNNNNNNNAACGCAAUGGUGGAUUUAUGAUCAUGCGGAUCACUAUCUCAAUCAACAACACUAUAAGCAUGGAGCUCAACAGAGGACAUGGAAGGAAACACAAGGAUGCGGAAUUGAGUGUCUUGAAGAUAUCUCAAGAUACGACUAACAACUCCCCAAUAAACAUUAGAAGGAGCAGUUACAAUUUGGCUAACCAUACGAACUACAUGAGCUAUAUUCGGCUAAGUAAUACUAAGAUAAACCAAACUCCCCAUAAUGGUUUGAUAUGGAUUCAUUUUUUUUAAGAGGUCACCGUCAGCUAGAAUAUACUUUGUUUGGAACAAAAUAUAACCCUUCGGAGAUUUAGCAACUUCAAUCCCCAAGAAAUAAUGCAAGAAGCCCAAGUUUUUCAUAGCAAAGUCAUAAGCGAAAUCACGCUUCAAAGACUCUAUACCAUCAUGAUCAUCAUGUUGAAGACAUCUCUAGCCCAAUAGAAUCAAUGUUAUUAUCUAGAAGAAGUUAGCAUGUUCUAGAAUGAUCUGGAAGAUUCUAGAACAUUAUGGAAUACUAUGGACGAGUCUAGAAGACGAAGAAAGACUCUAGAGUAUUCUAGAAUGACAUGGAAGACCCUGGAAGGUUAUGGAUCAUUCUAGAAGACAUUGGAGCAUUCUAGACCUCUCUAGAACAUUAUAGAACAUUUUAGAAACAUGUAGAAGUUUGUAAUACAUAUAGAAUACAAUAGAAAGUUCUAGAAUAGUCAUGAAUGUAUGUAGAUCUAGAACCUUCCUAUAUGGAGGUGAAAACACCUAUAAAUAGGUAUGGAGCUCAUUUGCUCCAAACCAAUCCCGACAUCCAAGUAUCCAAUAAAGCCUCAAAGAAAGCAAAGUGUGUAGUAGUCUCACAAAGUGUAAGUUCUUCUUAAGUGUCUUAAUAAAAGUAUUGUUGUUUCCCAUAUAAAGAGUCGUGUUCAACACAUCACUGGUAAUAAUCAUGUAAUAAACAUAUAAAGAUAGAAGGGUCUGACCUGCACUUGUACAUACGAAGGGCUUUUUUGAGACCAUACAUGUAACAUUCCGGAAAUUCAUAAGUAAAGUUGAAGGGCUAAAGGUGUAAAUAAGAAGGUCGACUCGGUGAGUCGAUGGAUAGACUCGGCGAGUCGAGUCGCGUUACGGGUCGCGUGUUAAGUGACCAACUCGGCGAGUCACAUGGGUGGAAUCGACGAGUUGGUGUUGUGUGGAGAAAACCCUAAUCCUGGGGGUUGAGCCCUAUAUAAAGAACAUAAUACCCUCUCCCUAUCCUCUUUACUCUCCCUUGAAGUCCAGAAACCCUAAUAUUCGUUUGUGAGAGAAUUAGAGAGCAUUUGGAUCUUGAAGGAGUGUUGUUGAAGAGAUCUUUGAAGAUUAAGAGGCUUGGAGCAAGGGGCUUUGCAAGGCUUUGGCUUAUUCUUCUAUUGGAGUCUUCUCUUGAGGUAAUGAUUCAUUGCUUGAGCUGUUAUCCAUGUAGAUCUAUCAUUUGUGGGAUUUUUGGGAGUAUAUCUGUAACAGCCCAAAAUCUCAAGUAUUGUUAAAUUGCAUUUUGGGGUGUUUUAAAGGGGAGACUCGGCGAGUUGGAGCCAGACUCGCCGAGUAGGGUCGCAGAGUUGGUCGCGGGUUCGCGACUGGACUCGACGAGUCCAGGUAUGGACUCGGCGAGUCGACGCUGUUCAGCAGAAACCCUAGCCGUUUCGUAUUGGGUCGUAUUUAAGGGUUGUUAUGUCGUCAUUUCACGUCUUUUGGCCGAUUGUGGAGAACCCUAGACGGCUGUGGCAUCUAGAGCAAGCUUGAAGGUCAUUAGAGACUUUGAGGGAAUUGUAGUGCAAGAAGAGGAAGGAUUUUGGCCAGAGGAAGAUCAAGGGGAUCGAGUUCUGAGGUUUGGGGACACAGAGAGUACGUUUUCAGGUUAUGUUUCGGAUCAUUCCUGUUAUUUUGAUGUGUACACGAAUUUAGGGUUUAUGAAACCCAUUUGGNNNNNNNNNNNNNNNNNNNNNNNNNNNNNNNNNNNNNNNNNNNNNNNNNNNNNNNNNNNNNNNNNNNNNNNNNNNNNNNNNNNNNNNNNNNNNNNNNNNNNNNNNNNNNNNNNNNNNNNNNNNNNNNNNNNNNNNNNNNNNNNNNNNNNNNNNNNNNNNNNNNNNNNNNNNNNNNNNNNNNNNNNNNNNNNNNNNNNNNNNNNNNNNNNNNNNNNNNNNNNNNNNNNNNNNNNNNNNNNNNNNNNNNNNNNNNNNNNNNNNNNNNNNNNNNNNNNNNNNNNNNNNNNNNNNNNNNNNNNNNNNNNNNNNNNNNNNNNNNNNNNNNNNNNNNNNNNNNNNNNNNNNNNNNNNNNNNNNNNNNNNNNNNNNNNNNNNNNNNNNNNNNNNNNNNNNNNNNNNNNNNNNNNNNNNNNNNNNNNNNNNNNNNNNNNNNNNNNNNNNNNNNNNNNNNNNNNNNNNNNNNNNNNNNNNNNNNNNNNNNNNNNNNNNNNNNNNNNNNNNNNNNNNNNNNNNNNNNNNNNNNNNNNNNNNNNNNNNNNNNNNNNNNNNNNNNNNNNNNNNNNNNNNNNNNNNNNNNNNNNNNNNNNNNNNNNNNNNNNNNNNNNNNNNNNNNNNNNNNNNNNNNNNNNNNNNNNNNNNNNNNNNNNNNNNNNNNNNNNNNNNNNNNNNNNNNNNNNNNNNNNNNNNNNNNNNNNNNNNNNNNNNNNNNNNNNNNNNNNNNNNNNNNNNNNNNNNNNNNNNNNNNNNNNNNNNNNNNNNNNNNNNNNNNNNNNNNNNNNNNNNNNNNNNNNNNNNNNNNNNNNNNNNNNNNNNNNNNNNNNNNNNNNNNNNNNNNNNNNNNNNNNNNNNNNNNNNNNNNNNNNNNNNNNNNNNNNNNNNNNNNNNNNNNNNNNNNNNNNNNNNNNNNNNNNNNNNNNNNNNNNNNNNNNNNNNNNNNNNNNNNNNNNNNNNNNNNNNNNNNNNNNNNNNNNNNNNNNNNNNNNNNNNNNNNNNNNNNNNNNNNNNNNNNNNNNNNNNNNNNNNNNNNNNNNNNNNNNNNNNNNNNNNNNNNNNNNNNNNNNNNNNNNNNNNNNNNNNNNNNNNNNNNNNNNNNNNNNNNNNNNNNNNNNNNNNNNNNNNNNNNNNNNNNNNNNNNNNNNNNNNNNNNNNNNNNNNNNNNNNNNNNNNNNNNNNNNNNNNNNNNNNNNNNNNNNNNNNNNNNNNNNNNNNNNNNNNNNNNNNNNNNNNNNNNNNNNNNNNNNNNNNNNNNNNNNNNNNNNNNNNNNNNNNNNNNNNNNNNNNNNNNNNNNNNNNNNNNNNNNNNNNNNNNNNNNNNNNNNNNNNNNNNNNNNNNNNNNNNNNNNNNNNNNNNNNNNNNNNNNNNNNNNNNNNNNNNNNNNNNNNNNNNNNNNNNNNNNNNNNNNNNNNNNNNNNNNNNNNNNNNNNNNNNNNNNNNNNNNNNNNNNNNNNNNNNNNNNNNNNNNNNNNNNNNNNNNNNNNNNNNNNNNNNNNNNNNNNNNNNNNNNNNNNNNNNNNNNNNNNNNNNNNNNNNNNNNNNNNNNNNNNNNNNNNNNNNNNNNNNNNNNNNNNNNNNNNNNNNNNNNNNNNNNNNNNNNNNNNNNNNNNNNNNNNNNNNNNNNNNNNNNNNNNNNNNNNNNNNNNNNNNNNNNNNNNNNNNNNNNNNNNNNNNNNNNNNNNNNNNNNNNNNNNNNNNNNNNNNNNNNNNNNNNNNNNNNNNNNNNNNNNNNNNNNNNNNNNNNNNNNNNNNNNNNNNNNNNNNNNNNNNNNNNNNNNNNNNNNNNNNNNNNNNNNNNNNNNNNNNNNNNNNNNNNNNNNNNNNNNNNNNNNNNNNNNNNNNNNNNNNNNNNNNNNNNNNNNNNNNNNNNNNNNNNNNNNNNNNNNNNNNNNNNNNNNNNNNNNNNNNNNNNNNNNNNNNNNNNNNNNNNNNNNNNNNNNNNNNNNNNNNNNNNNNNNNNNNNNNNNNNNNNNNNNNNNNNNNNNNNNNNNNNNNNNNNNNNNNNNNNNNNNNNNNNNNNNNNNNNNNNNNNNNNNNNNNNNNNNNNNNNNNNNNNNNNNNNNNNNNNNNNNNNNNNNNNNNNNNNNNNNNNNNNNNNNNNNNNNNNNNNNNNNNNNNNNNNNNNNNNNNNNNNNNNNNNNNNNNNNNNNNNNNNNNNNNNNNNNNNNNNNNNNNNNNNNNNNNNNNNNNNNNNNNNNNNNNNNNNNNNNNNNNNNNNNNNNNNNNNNNNNNNNNNNNNNNNNNNNNNNNNNNNNNNNNNNNNNNNNNNNNNNNNNNNNNNNNNNNNNNNNNNNNNNNNNNNNNNNNNNNNNNNNNNNNNNNNNNNNNNNNNNNNNNNNNNNNNNNNNNNNNNNNNNNNNNNNNNNNNNNNNNNNNNNNNNNNNNNNNNNNNNNNNNNNNNNNNNNNNNNNNNNNNNNNNNNNNNNNNNNNNNNNNNNNNNNNNNNNNNNNNNNNNNNNNNNNNNNNNNNNNNNNNNNNNNNNNNNNNNNNNNNNNNNNNNNNNNNNNNNNNNNNNNNNNNNNNNNNNNNNNNNNNNNNNNNNNNNNNNNNNNNNNNNNNNNNNNNNNNNNNNNNNNNNNNNNNNNNNNNNNNNNNNNNNNNNNNNNNNNNNNNNNNNNNNNNNNNNNNNNNNNNNNNNNNNNNNNNNNNNNNNNNNNNNNNNNNNNNNNNNNNNNNNNNNNNNNNNNNNNNNNNNNNNNNNNNNNNNNNNNNNNNNNNNNNNUGUAACAGCCCAAAAUCUCAAGUAUUGUUAAAUUGCAUUUUGGGGUGUUUUAAAGGGGAGACUCGGCGAGUUGGAGCCAGACUCGCCGAGUAGGGUCGCAGAGUUGGUCGCGGGUUCGCGACUGGACUCGACGAGUCCAGGUAUGGACUCGGCGAGUCGACGCUGUUCAGCAGAAACCCUAGCCGUUUCGUAUUGGGUCGUAUUUAAGGGUUGUUAUGUCGUCAUUUCACGUCUUUUGGCCGAUUGUGGAGAACCCUAGACGGCUGUGGCAUCUAGAGCAAGCUUGAAGGUCAUUAGAGACUUUGAGGGAAUUGUAGUGCAAGAAGAGGAAGGAUUUUGGCCAAAGGAAGAUCAAGGGGAUCAAGCUCUGAAGUUUGAGGACACAGAGAGUAUGUUUUCAGGUAAUGUUUCGGAUCAUUCCUGUUAUUUUGAUGUGUACACGAUUUUAGGGUUUGUGAAACCCAUUUGGAGAUUUGAUGGAUCAUUAUGUUGUUAUACAAAGGUUUCUACCCUAGUAAUAGGAUGAUUAGAGGUCCAGAAGUCCCAUGAGUGUGUAUCUCGGGGAAAAACAUAUCUCAGGAAGCAGUUGGAUCGACUGCAUGGCGUGGACUCGCCGAGUCGGAUGAUCAGACUCGGCGAGUAGCUUGAAGAUUNNNNNNNNNNNNNNNNNNNNNNNNNNNNNNNNNNNNNNNNNNNNNNNNNNNNNNNNNNNNNNNNNNNNNNNNNNNNNNNNNNNNNNNNNNNNNNNNNNNNNNNNNNNNNNNNNNNNNNNNNNNNNNNNNNNNNNNNNNNNNNNNNNNNNNNNNNNNNNNNNNNNNNNNNNNNNNNNNNNNNNNNNNNNNNNNNNNNNNNNNNNNNNNNNNNNNNNNNNNNNNNNNNNNNNNNNNNNNNNNNNNNNNNNNNNNNNNNNNNNNNNNNNNNNNNNNNNNNNNNNNNNNNNNNNNNNNNNNNNNNNNNNNNNNNNNNNNNNNNNNNNNNNNNNNNNNNNNNNNNNNNNNNNNNNNNNNNNNNNNNNNNNNNNNNNNNNNNNNNNNNNNNNNNNNNNNNNNNNNNNNNNNNNNNNNNNNNNNNNNNNNNNNNNNNNNNNNNNNNNNNNNNNNNNNNNNNNNNNNNNNNNNNNNNNNNNNNNNNNNNNNNNNNNNNNNNNNNNNNNNNNNNNNNNNNNNNNNNNNNNNNNNNNNNNNNNNNNNNNNNNNNNNNNNNNNNNNNNNNNNNNNNNNNNNNNNNNNNNNNNNNNNNNNNNNNNNNNNNNNNNNNNNNNNNNNNNNNNNNNNNNNNNNNNNNNNNNNNNNNNNNNNNNNNNNNNNNNNNNNNNNNNNNNNNNNNNNNNNNNNNNNNNNNNNNNNNNNNNNNNNNNNNNNNNNNNNNNNNNNNNNNNNNNNNNNNNNNNNNNNNNNNNNNNNNNNNNNNNNNNNNNNNNNNNNNNNNNNNNNNNNNNNNNNNNNNNNNNNNNNNNNNNNNNNNNNNNNNNNNNNNNNNNNNNNNNNNNNNNNNNNNNNNNNNNNNNNNNNNNNNNNNNNNNNNNNNNNNNNNNNNNNNNNNNNNNNNNNNNNNNNNNNNNNNNNNNNNNNNNNNNNNNNNNNNNNNNNNNNNNNNNNNNNNNNNNNNNNNNNNNNNNNNNNNNNNNNNNNNNNNNNNNNNNNNNNNNNNNNNNNNNNNNNNNNNNNNNNNNNNNNNNNNNNNNNNNNNNNNNNNNNNNNNNNNNNNNNNNNNNNNNNNNNNNNNNNNNNNNNNNNNNNNNNNNNNNNNNNNNNNNNNNNNNNNNNNNNNNNNNNNNNNNNNNNNNNNNNNNNNNNNNNNNNNNNNNNNNNNNNNNNNNNNNNNNNNNNNNNNNNNNNNNNNNNNNNNNNNNNNNNNNNNNNNNNNNNNNNNNNNNNNNNNNNNNNNNNNNNNNNNNNNNNNNNNNNNNNNNNNNNNNNNNNNNNNNNNNNNNNNNNNNNNNNNNNNNNNNNNNNNNNNNNNNNNNNNNNNNNNNNNNNNNNNNNNNNNNNNNNNNNNNNNNNNNNNNNNNNNNNNNNNNNNNNNNNNNNNNNNNNNNNNNNNNNNNNNNNNNNNNNNNNNNNNNNNNNNNNNNNNNNNNNNNNNNNNNNNNNNNNNNNNNNNNNNNNNNNNNNNNNNNNNNNNNNNNNNNNNNNNNNNNNNNNNNNNNNNNNNNNNNNNNNNNNNNNNNNNNNNNNNNNNNNNNNNNNNNNNNNNNNNNNNNNNNNNNNNNNNNNNNNNNNNNNNNNNNNNNNNNNNNNNNNNNNNNNNNNNNNNNNNNNNNNNNNNNNNNNNNNNNNNNNNNNNNNNNNNNNNNNNNNNNNNNNNNNNNNNNNNNNNNNNNNNNNNNNNNNNNNNNNNNNNNNNNNNNNNNNNNNNNNNNNNNNNNNNNNNNNNNNNNNNNNNNNNNNNNNNNNNNNNNNNNNNNNNNNNNNNNNNNNNNNNNNNNNNNNNNNNNNNNNNNNNNNNNNNNNNNNNNNNNNNNNNNNNNNNNNNNNNNNNNNNNNNNNNNNNNNNNNNNNNNNNNNNNNNNNNNNNNNNNNNNNNNNNNNNNNNNNNNNNNNNNNNNNNNNNNNNNNNNNNNNNNNNNNNNNNNNNNNNNNNNNNNNNNNNNNNNNNNNNNNNNNNNNNNNNNNNNNNNNNNNNNNNNNNNNNNNNNNNNNNNNNNNNNNNNNNNNNNNNNNNNNNNNNNNNNNNNNNNNNNNNNNNNNNNNNNNNNNNNNNNNNNNNNNNNNNNNNNNNNNNNNNNNNNNNNNNNNNNNNNNNNNNNNNNNNNNNNNNNNNNNNNNNNNNNNNNNNNNNNNNNNNNNNNNNNNNNNNNNNNNNNNNNNNNNNNNNNNNNNNNNNNNNNNNNNNNNNNNNNNNNNNNNNNNNNNNNNNNNNNNNNNNNNNNNNNNNNNNNNNNNNNNNNNNNNNNNNNNNNNNNNNNNNNNNNNNNNNNNNNNNNNNNNNNNNNNNNNNNNNNNNNNNNNNNNNNNNNNNNNNNNNNNNNNNNNNNNNNNNNNNNNNNNNNNNNNNNNNNNNNNNNNNNNNNNNNNNNNNNNNNNNNNNNNNNNNNNNNNNNNNNNNNNNNNNNNNNNNNNNNNNNNNNNNNNNNNNNNNNNNNNNNNNNNNNNNNNNNNNNNNNNNNNNNNNNNNNNNNNNNNNNNNNNNNNNNNNNNNNNNNNNNNNNNNNNNNNNNNNNNNNNNNNNNNNNNNNNNNNNNNNNNNNNNNNNNNNNNNNNNNNNNNNNNNNNNNNNNNNNNNNNNNNNNNNNNNNNNNNNNNNNNNNNNNNNNNNNNNNNNNNNNNNNNNNNNNNNNNNNNNNNNNNNNNNNNNNNNNNNNNNNNNNNNNNNNNNNNNNNNNNNNNNNNNNNNNNNNNNNNNNNNNNNNNNNNNNNNNNNNNNNNNNNNNNNNNNNNNNNNNNNNNNNNNNNNNNNNNNNNNNNNNNNNNNNNNNNNNNNNNNNNNNNNNNNNNNNNNNNNNNNNNNNNNNNNNNNNNNNNNNNNNNNNNNNNNNNNNNNNNNNNNNNNNNNNNNNNNNNNNNNNNNNNNNNNNNNNNNNNNNNNNNAGGAGUUGCUAUCUUCCAGUGUCCGCGAGGUGAGUCUUCUCACUAUACUGUACCCGGAAGGGUUUGACUGUGUGACCGGAAGGUCGGAUAUGAUAUGUGAUAUGUAUGCUAUAUGUGGUAUGUUAUAUGUUAUAUGUGCUAUGUAUGUUAUGGGCCGGAAGGCGAAUAUGUUAUGGGCCGGAAGGCGAUAUGAUGUGUGAUGGACCGGAAGGUCGGCGUGGGUAAGGCCGGAAGGUUUACCCAGCAGGGACGGAAGUCCCCUGAGACACAUGGACCGGAAGGCAAAGUUAUGUGGAUCGAAAGAUCCGGGCCGGAAGGCGAUAUUAUGUGGAUCGAAAGAUCCGGGCCGGAAGGCGUAUGUGCGUAAGGUAUAUUGGGGAACUCACUAAGCUUCGUGCUUACGUUGUUUAUGUUAUGUUGUUUCAGGUUCUUACAGUAACGCGGGAUGGCAACGGUUCGAUUGUACACACCGAAGAAAGAGUUGUGUUUUGGAGGAUCCUGGUCUUUUAUUAUAAUGAAAAUGAAACUAUAUUUUGUAAUUCGAAUGUGAAUAAGAUUUUAAACAAGUGUUCUUAAUAUUAAAUUGAUUAAUUAAAUAAAAAUUUUGUUUUUUGGAAAUCUUAGUGUUACAAUAUCUAGUGCUAUCUUGUGUUUGCUGUAAGAUCUGAGGUUGUUACCUCAGAUCUAAGUUGUUAAUGAUCCAGAAAGCCAUAAAGUCUAUGCCCAAGAGUUGCUGGUGAAGUUCUUUUGUCCCAAACCUUAGCCCAAGAGUGUAUUAUGCUUAGAUCUCCUUGGAUUCACGUAAAGUUUGCCAGUUUACAUGAUGGAUGGCUUGUAGAAGAGUAGAUCUAUAGAUUGGAGACCCUGCAUGGCUUGGAAAGCCUCUGUAUGGGUUAAGAGCUAGUGGUACUCGGUGAGUCACAUGGGUGUACUCGGCGAGUUGCUUGAAGAUAGGCAGUAACUCGACGAGUUGGUUGAAGAUAGCCUUGGACUCAGUGAGUCUGUUCUUGGACUCGGCGUGUCUGGUCGUGAGGUCCUCACCUUUCCUGGUUGAGCUGUGAAUCGGUGAGUCGAGGGACGACUCGGUGAGUUGAGCAGGAAGUGACUCAGAGUUCGUGGGACUCGGCGAGUCUUUGGGCGACUUGGCAAGUUGGGUCGCAAUAUGGGAGUUUUCAAAGCCUAGGGACUCGACGAGUCAGCAGGCUGACUCGACAAGUAGAGCCAGUCAGGAAGUUUGACUUUGACUGAGGACUUUGUCUUUGACCAAGGGUUGACCAGCUGACUUCCAGGGGUAAUUUGGUAAUUAUUGGUAUUUAUUGAGUUCAGUCUUUUGGUAUUAUCAGUGGUGGAGUUCGUGUCGGAGAUUGGAGCAACUUGAUCUUAUCUUUUCAGUUAGCAGUUGCGAGGUGAGUUAUCCUCACUAUAUCAACAGGGUCUAAGGCACCAAGGCCGGCCCUUUAUCGGAUUGUAAUCCGGGUAUCAUUGUUAUGUUAUUGCUUUGCUAUGUUUGCAUCCUGGUUGUUAGGAUGGUAUAUGUUAGAGACCUGGUUAAGGUCAGUAUCCUGGUAUAUAGGAUGAUGCUAUGCUAGUGACCGGUUAGGUCGGUAUCCUGGUUAGGAUGAUGUUAUGUUAUGUGAUCUGCUAGAUCGGUUUGAUUGGAUGCGAAUUCUUAUAUGAUUGUAUGUUUAUGUGCACAUGGUUGUUGUACUCGGGUUGGGUUGAGGCGGGUCCUGCUUUGUGCCGCAGGACAACAUACCCAGGGCAGACCUGUUAACCUGAAGGCCCAACGAGUGGUCUGGAUAGGCUGUAGGCCCCGCAAGGGCAGACCAGAUGUGCCGAGGCUCGGAGAGUGGACCAGGCCGACUGAAGGCCCGAUGCGGGCGGACUAGUCAUACUGUAGAUUCAGAGAGUGGACCAGGUGGGUUGAAGGCCCGGUGCGGGCGGACCAACCACACUGCAGACUUGAUGGAUAUGGCUAGACUCAGAGGGUGGACCAGGUGGACUGAAGGCCCGGUAGGGCGAACGAGUCACACAGUAGAACCGAAGUGCAUGGCUGUUCUGUUCGGUUAUGAUAUGUUAUGCGUGGUAUAUGUGGUUGGUAUUUUGGGGGUAUCUCACUAAGCUUUCGGGAUUAUAGUUGUGGUUUAAUGUUUUUCAGGUACUUUAGGAGAUCGUGGCAAGGCGAAGGCGUGAUCGUACCGCUCCUCAUGUUUAUGUUUUACGAUAUGGUUCUGGGAAGACUCUGAUAAUAAUUGUAUUGAAAACCUCUUUGUAAUGACUUAACGAAACUGGGUUGUUUUUGAAAAGUUUAAAUUGGCUUGAAUUUUUGGAGUGUUACAAUAGAAAAGCUUUGUGAUGUAUUGAUAUUUACUUUAUAAUUCUACUAAGAGAUCUAGUCUCCUAAAUAGAAGUUAAUCAUUUCUGAAUAUUAAUGUGAUCUUAUGAAAAAUAGUUUAAGUAAAUAUUCAACAAUCAGAUAACUGAGACAUAUAUUUAGACAUUCUAAGUUUAAAACAUACAUUGUUCAAAACACACAUUGUUUUACAAUACAAGAACUUUAUGUUCUAAGCAUAAAUAACAAACUAAUCUUCUAGAGUACCAUUCCAACUUACUUUUGCUCAGAUGGUUACUCUUCUGCAAAUAUCUGGAAGACCUUUAAAAAUAUUAGAUUUAACAUGUAAGUACCAAGUACUUGAGUGUUAUAUGAAAAGUAAAAAUUAUAUCUAGUAGAAUUGGUAAGUGCAACAAUUGAUUUCAAGCACAAAGAGCAUUCCCACACUUUAAAUGAACCUAUUUAUAAAGUUUAGGUUGAUGAAACAACAUAUGUGCCCACAUAAUGUGGUGUUGGUUUGGAGAUAUAUGUUAGGAAGAAGAAAAUUGACACGCUACAGGUAAUUUCAAUCUGUGAACUGAACAUGGUAUAUUUUUCAUGGUUUCUGAACUUCUCUAGCUUAAUGAUUCAUUCAAAAUUUGCCAAUGCAACCAGAACUCCAUUUUGAAGAGUUCAAUCAUCCCAAUCUUAUCAAACUCUUGGGAUAUUGCUCGUAUUUUCAAGAAUUUUAUCAUUUUUACGAGAUCAUUCAUGAGAUAAGUUUACAUAAAUAUCUUUUUGGAGAUAAGUAUAUAUCCAAGUUAUAGUUUUGAAGACCAUUGAGACUGAAAUCUCACAAAGUGGACACACUUUGGUGAACCCUGCUGAAUAGUAACUUCUUAAUAGUACCCUGCUUUUAGGUUGCUCAGGCAUAGCCUUCUCAUUACCACAUAUAAUAUAUUCCAUCAUAUACACAGAUCCAUGUACAAUGUCACACUACUAGAAAAAAGGCCUUUUACGACGCGCAAACAAUGACACACAGUGAUAGAGGACACGCAUUUGUGCGUGCCCUACAAACUAAUGUUAGUUUUCCAAAAUUUUAAGGAUAAAAGACACGCAUUUAUGCGUGCCCUACAAUUAGUGUCAGAAAAGAAAAAAAAUAAAAAUGCGGAGGGCGCCUUUCAUAAAACGUGCGUCAUCUAAAUUUGUCGCUUUAUAAUUUUUAAGUGAAACACGCCUUUUAGGCGGGAAAUGAAAUCGACCAAAAUUACCCCCGCAUUUGGAUACACAAAAUUAGAACCCCCCGCCUCUUCGACUUAGCAAGAAAAAGCCCUAGGUCCUUCAUCAUCAUCUUCAGUAGUGAGAAUACCUAGGUCGAUUCUUCAGGAUUCUCUCUUCUUCUGCUCCCCAAUCUCCGAUUCCACUCCGAUCGAGAUCUUCAACAACUUUAAACUUCUCUAUGGUCCAUCCAAGCAUUCCUUCCACCGUUCCUUCCUAGAGAAAAAACAGGAACUUUGUGAGUUUGCACCAUUAUCUUUCUACGCUUAAACAACAAUCGAUUUCUAGGGUUUCUCUGACACUUUAAUUUAUGUUAGACUGAUACAUGAACUCUCACGCAAGAAAACCAAGAAUGGAAGACACACCGGCAACCAACAUCGGCGGAGACGCUCACCAGGAAAUGAUCGCAGCAUUCUCAGAAAUUACCUCUACUACCAAAGAAGAAGCCUCUUUCUUCCUCGAAUCGCACAAUUUCGAUCUCGAUUCUGCCGUCUCCACCUGCUUCGAAACCGCUGCUGCCGUAAAAGAGGCUCCUAUGUCUGCCUUACCUAGUCGAAACCCUAACCGACCUUCUGAUACACAUUCCCCUUCAUUUUCUCCGUCGUCUUCUCCGUCUUGCUCCUGAUCAGCCUCCCCACCUCCUGCUAUUGGUUUACAAAAUCCUUACAAUCUACGAUCUAGGAACACCGCUACAGAUAAGAAACCAUCAGGUAGUCGGUCUACUGGACGCAUACGGACUUUCUCAGAUCUGAAUCGACAGGGCGAUGACUCUGGAAGUGACUCCGAUGAGCAGCAGAAGUAUUAUACCGGUGGUGAAAAGAGGUAAAUAAGGUAGGGUUCAUCCGUUUAUUAGGUUUCCGUCCAUGAGUUGAUUGACAACGAAAUUAGUGCAAACAGUACAAGAUCUCUUUGCUAAUAUAAUAUUUAUACAUUCAAUUGGAGUUCCAUAUCAUAAUCUACAUUUGAUUCAUAUUAACGAUGAUGUAUCAUGCAGAUUAACACAUGAUGAUUGAUUAGUUUCUUGAUAUUGGUUCUUUCACGAUGAUUCAUGUUACAAUUAGAUCUUGAUUGUGCUCUACUUCAAUAAUGUUCAAAUGCUUCAUCGAAACACAACCAAAUCCAAUAAUCUGACAUUUAUUAAUGAUUGCAGUGGAAUGCUUGUUCAAGAUCCAUCAAAGGUGAAUGAUGUGAAAUUACAUGAUAUGAGCUUAUUGUGGCUUCAAACUUACAGAAACUGUCAAACUUGCAAUGGAGGGAACGCCUUAAGAUGCACCAUGUGCAGAGGCACAGGGAAGGUCAUAUAUCAGGUGAAAAACUACACAUUAAGAAGGUAUGUUAAAAAAUCUUUUAUACUUUCUUGAUUUCAUUUUAUAAUCUUGAUCUAAUUAUGUUAAAAACUUUCUUCUGAGUGAAAAAGCAACAACUGAAGCUAUUGCAGAGCCCAUUGCUGAAAAUAGAGCAAAGCUUGUUCAUCUUCCAGCCACCAUGGAUCUUAAUGUUCCAUUGCCAUCAAAAGACUGUGAUUCCUGUGAUGGAUCUGUAAGCAAUAAGCUACUAAACAUAAAAAUUAAAUUUUAUAAACUUUUUUACUUCUCUUCAUGUAAACUAGCUUACUAAUUUUUUGUAGGGUGUAAUGAAAUGCCCUAAGUGCAAGGAUAAAUUACAAGUUAGGAUAUCUGCUGAUGAUGUGAGUAUUUGAACAAACUGUUUCUAGGCCAUUUUCAUUUACAUAUUUGAAUAAAAUUCACUAUCAAUAUGUUCUCAUAGUUUAUUUCACAAUUUAUCAGUUAAUGUUAUAUUUUAUUUUUAACGAGACAAAUAAAUAAACUGUGAUUUGUACAAGUUCUUAAACAAAGAGUAAUUUGUUAGUUACUACUUACCAAUUACUAUCAUCUCUUCUAUACAAGUUAUUUAAGGUAAUAAUCAUAUAACACAAAUUAAUAUUUACCAUAUUAAGAAAAUUUUCAUUUUUUUGUUUUUUGACUGUUUGUAUCUUCAAUGACAGUUAUGUAUCAGAAACAGAGAGAAUACAUGUAAUUCCAUCACAAGUAGAGCGCCAUAUAAUUGCNGUUCUUUAAGGUAAUAAUCAUAUAACACAAAUUAAUAUUUACCAUAUUAAGAAAAUUUUCAUUUUUUUGUUUUUUGACUAUUUGUAUCUUCAAUGACAGUUAUGUAUCAGAAACAGAGAGAAUACAUGUAAUUCCAUCACAAGUAGAACGCCAUAUAAUUGCUGGUUUUUCUACAAUAAUAUCUACAAUAAUAUUUGCAAUGUCAUCCAAAUACAAAACAAUUUUCAAAAUUUCACUGCUAUAAUGGGUAGAUUUUUUAAAAUAUAAUUGAAAGUAUGAUGUUAUAACCGAGUAGAUUUUUCUAUAUACAACACCUAAAUAAGUAAAAAGUUGGAAGUAGAAUGUUGUAAUAGAAAGAAAUAAAAGUAGGAUGCUAUAAAACACAAUUCAAUGAAAUUGCAUAUGCUACACACAUUAUUAUGUCUUGUGCUUCUUAUGUAAACCAAAUAUUGCAGUGUAGGUUCUCAGUGAUCCAGCUCAGCGAAUGGUAUAUGAUGAAAUCCAUGGAUAUGCUUUGACUGCAAUAAAUCCAUUUUUUGAUGAUUCCUCUCCUAAGGAUCAUGUAUUUGUUGAUGAGUUUAGCUGUAUAGGUAUGUGUUCAUGUUCUUGCUUUUACUACAUUAUGCAAGAAGGUUACUUUUGACAUUUUGUAACAUAUGACAUGUUUGGUUGCUAAAUGACUGAAAUACCUCUCUCUAAAACCUACUAUUAACAUAUUAGUUUGUUAGUAGAAUAAUAUCUCUACAUAAACAAUUAACUUUACUUGUCUAGAAUAUCUUGACAUAUAGUUAAUUAAUUAAUUUAUUAUUGUUUAUGAUAGGCUGCAAAAAUUGUGCCAAUGUUUGCGGGCAGAAAUUAAAGGACCAUGUGCUCCUUGUUCGGGUAUGCAGCAAGUCUCCUGACCAACCCAAAACAUAUGAAUUUCAAGAUGAUCUUGCUUCAUAGGAACAUAAAAACUCUUUAUUACAGCUAUUCCAGCCCCACCAUACUUGUUUGCGGAGCUGGAAUAUUGUGUUGUUGUGUCCCUGUUGUCAGGAAAGUUUUAUGGAAGACAAACUAAUCAUGGGAAGAUCCACAGAGUAGGAUCAGUUGUGCCAUCUCUUUUGAAACCUUUUAAUUGAUAACUGAUUCCCAAAUCACAUAGUAUUAGGUUAUAUAGUUAGGGAUGAUUAUUUGUAUUUGACAUUUUAGUUAGUGCAAUGAAUUAUCUUUCUUAUUUAUUGUAUUUUAUUUUGUAUUUUGUAUGACAUUAACUUUUGUGCAAUGGAUUGUAUUUUUUGUAUAUGGUAUUUUAUUUUCUAUUAUGAGACAUGAAAUGCAAAUUUAAUCUGAAAAAUUAGUAAAUCUAUAAAUAAUUUUUUUUUAAAAAAAAAUAAAAAUUAUGAUACGCAAAAAUGUGUGUCAUCUUCAUUUAUGACAUGGCCUUUCUUGACAGCGGCUUUAAUGAUACGCAUUGCGUGUCAUAAAUGUGCGUCGUAAAUGCGCGUCGUCUCUCGUUAUGACAUGGCCUUCCUUGACGCGCAUUUGCGCGUCGUCUGAGCGUUUUACGACGCGCAAUGAGCGUCGUAAAAGGCCUUUUUUCUAGUAGUGUCACUUUCUUGGAAUGCACGAUUGAAAAUAGCACUAGGAGCAACUCAAGGCUUGGCUUUCUUACGUCUGAGGAAAUAUCCGGCGUAUAAUCAAUUUAUGACCAAUCGAACUUGGUGGACACAGUAAUUAAACUUCCUUUGAUGGGCUUGCAAUUUUCAUCUCAAUAUUACAUAAGUUUUAGUUUUCUUUUUCAUGCUUAUUUACAGGAUUUCAAUGUCCGACUUUCAGAUUAUGAAGUGGAAAACUUAUUUGCCACACCUCAGUGACACUUUUACCAGGAAUACUAAAUUGAUGGUAUCGGCAAAUGGUUGACUGAAGAUAGUAUGUUCUGAUUUAAAAGCAAAUAUUUUAUACAUGGAGAAGGUCACUCAUAUGAGUACUCAUUUACUCUCCAAAGGCUAUAAUCAUGAGUUACUUGUGCUAGAGUGAAGAGUGAUAUUGAUGCUUUAACAUGUCAAACCACUUUGGCAGUUCCUGGAUUGAAGAGUAAGAGUUAUGCUUUUGGAGUGGUACUGCUCGAAAAAUUAACAGGGAUGAAGGCGUAUGAUGUGCAGAGACCCAUCAGAAUGUAAAAUUUGGUGAAAUGGAGUACUCGAUUGCUAGCAAAUGAGGUACAAUUAAGAAAUAUUAUGGACACACAACUUCAACAUAACGGUUAUACUCUAAAGGGAGCAUUCAAGUUAGCGAAACUUGUUUGAAAAUGUCUUAAAAAAAGUAGAUGAUUGCCCAUCCAUGGAAGAAAUUGUGCAGGUCUUGUGUCGGUGCUAUGAAGAGGAAAUCAAAUUAGGUGUGGUCCAACAUAAUAUAUAGAUUUGAUUUUUGUAAAUAAAUCUAAGAAUAUAAGUGUAUGAUGUUGGAAAUCUUUGAAGAGUUCAAGCCUUCAGCUCCCAUUGUGUUCCUUUACAUUUUUGGUGAAACAGACCCACCCAUAACAUAUCUUUUCGAGCUCGUGUGAUUUAUAUUGUGGAGAUGUUUCAGAAGCCGGGCAUAACUUUCUUAUCAUUCUAGAGCUGAAGCUUCAAAAACAGAAGCUUUAAUACUAUUUGAUUUACCAAUUAUCUUUAUAGAUUCACUUGAUUAAGUAAGAUAUAACCUAUACCUUGAUCUCUUCAGAUUGACCUACAUAUGAUAUGUUUUUCUAUCAUUUUCCAUUUUUCAUAUACAGGUUGUGACCUCAAGUAUCCAUUUUUCAUAUACGGGUUGUGAACUCAAGUACGCUACUAGUAAAAAAUGGAGACAAAAUAAAGCUAGGAAUUCAUUAUUAUGAGUGAAAGUACAAUUACAAAGGGAAAGAUUAAAUAAAUAGCAAAACUAAUUAGGUUAAACCUAGCUAAAGUGCUAAACUUGGGUCAAAUAAAAAACACCCAAAAACUUGUUAAACUAACAUCAGUCCUCAAACUCACAAUGCGACAAAAAUAAGCAUCGAGAGUAGAAAAAUAUUAAAAUUAAGCAGCAAUCAACGCUUCCGUAAACAUAUCAACAGUGUAUAGGGUGGAUGGAACAUGAGGUAGAUAAAUAGUCCUCAAUUGAAAGUGGUGAUGAGUGAAAUGACAAUCAAUCUCAAUAUGUUUUGUUUGCUUAUGGAACACCGAAUUCUUGACAAUCAUUAUCACACUAUGUUGGUCCCAAACCAACUCAACAAGAAAUAAAUAGAAUAUAAGCAAUAACAAAAAAAGGAUUGGAACCAAAGUCUUAUCGACUAAAAGGUUUCAAUAGUCCAGAGGUAAUCGGAUAACAGACUCUGACUAUGUACGCACUCCUGAUCGAAUACCCUUACACAAAGGAGCAUAUAUAUAUAUAUAUAUANNNNNNNNNNNNNNNNNNNNNNNNNNNNNNNAUAUAUAUAUAACACUCGGUGCAUGUAGGUAUUUUAGAUAAGAAUCCUCAUUUUUGCAAAGGGACUCGAUGAGUUGGAGGCCCCAAACUCCUCAAGUAGAAGUGGGAAUUUGGAUGUAGGUAAAGAAACCUACUCAACGAGUUGAGGAGCCCCAACUCGACGUGUAGGACUGCCAGAGUGAAACCCUAAUUUUUAGGGGUUGCACCCUAUUUAAGGACCUUAACACCACAUUAUGGCCUCCCUCAUCACCUCCCUUAGUCCCAGUAAACCCUAAUUCGUGAGCUUGAUCCUCUUGAGUGUGUAGGAGUGAAAAGAGAGUGGUUCUUUGGUAAUCUCUUGAAGAAGUUGAAGUUAGAGGUUCUUGGUUCAUGGAAGGAGCUUUGGAUCUAGGGGUUACUCUGUUAAGGCAACCAUAUUAAGGUAUAAAGUCUAUAUCUUGACUAUUCAUUUGCUAGAUCUCUCCUUGGAGGAUUUUGAGGAUUUUAGUAGCUUGUUGUGGAACCAUUCAUGGAUGCAUGCAUGUUUGGGUUUUAUGACUUCAGAUGUGGACGUCCAUGGCCUUAUGAGACUUAAAGUUGCCAAGUUUAUUGAGUAUUGGCCAUUCUCCGUGCCUUAGAUCUCUUUUGGAGCUUAGAUUUGGUGUUCUUAGCUUCUUGACACCAUGCAUGGAUGUAAAGUUGGUAACUUUACAUGAUAUAUCGACUUUAGGGGACUAGAUCUAUGGUUUGGAAGUGUUAGAUUCAACAGAAAGCGACUUAAUGGAUUAAGACAAAUGGGACUUGACGAGUUGUUCAUACGACUCGACGAGUUUGAUCGUAUACCCCCAACCUUUUCUGUUACUGAGCAAACUCGUUUACUCUAGGAGAUGACUCGGUGAGUUGGCCAGGGUUUUGAGUUUUGAAGAGUUAAGGACUCAACUAGUCCAAGGAAGGACUCGACGAGUUCUAGAGAAGAGUCUCGAUUCUGUUAUAGAGAGGAACUCGUCGAGUUGUGGAAGAAUUCGACGAGUUGGAUCGUAAUUUAGGGUUCCUGAUUCAUGGAACUCGACGAGUUGAUCGACCAACACGAUGAGUUGAGUCAACCAUAACGUUGUGUUUGACCAGAAUUUUGACUUUGAGGUGGACUUUGAACAAGGUUGACUCUUGAAAGGUUAUGAAGUACGUAAUGGAUUCUAGAAGGUUGUCCAAUGUAAAGUUUGGGCCCAAUUUAGAAAAUUGGGCCAAUAGGGGGCCAUUAGUGGGCGUUUAUGGUUUUUGAAGUUUUAGACUUGAUUGGUUUUAGACCAGCGCCUUAGUUUUGUAUCCUAUUGGACCAGGGGUAAAAAGGUCAUUUUACCCCAAAUAUAUUAUGAAUCAUGGUUUAGGACCAAAUUACUAAUUGGGGUGAUGUUGUGGUAUUGAUAGCUCAAGGAGUUACCAGGACAAUAGUAAGGAAUCCUUGCAGUGGACUUCAGCAAUACGAGGUGAGUUACCUUCCAGUAGAAGUGGGUCAAAGGCACCAAUGUCGGCCCACUAGUAAUUGAUUAUAGUUGAGAUGAUUGUCUUUGUGAUAAUUUUCUGGUAUGCCAGUAUCGGUUAUGCUUUAUGUGCUAGUAUGUUAUGACAUUAUGUGGUAGUGGUAGGAAAAGGACUAGUCCCCGGUUAUCGGCUGUAAGGACCAACAGGGUAGGUCGGGCAUCUAGAUAGGCCUGACAAUAUGUUAUGCUAUGUUAUUAUGUAGUAGUGGUAGGGGUGAAAUAUUCCCUGUAACUGGUUGAAAUAAACCAGAGGGUAGGUCGGGCACCCAGAUAUGUCUGGCAGGGUAGGUUGAGCACCCAUAUAUGCUUGAUAAGGAGUAGGUCGGGCACCCUCGCAUGCUUGACAAGGGACGAUUGAGCACCCAUAUAUGCUCAGUAGGGUAGGCUGGGCACCCAUAUAUGUCUAGCAGUAUGUUUAUUGUAUGGUAUGUGGUAUGAUGGGGGAACUCACUAAGCUUCUUGCUUAGGGUUUUUCAGUUUUGGUUUCAGGUACUUUGUUUUCAAAAGAAAGGAACCAGCGGUCACAACGCAUCACACUAUGUUUUUCUCACAUGAGAUCCUUGGGAUUACACUAUGAUAUUGGUUUAUGAUAACAUGUUUUGAUUAUUGACACUUUGGUUUUGACAAGAGAUGUUAUUAUGGAUUUUUUUCUUAUAUUCUUGGUUUUAUCAUAACUUAAUCAAAAAUGGAAUUUUUGGUCUUCAAUUUUGGGAUUUUAUAAGUUGGUAUCAGAGCCUUGGUUUGAGUAAUUCGAGCACAUUCUCAAGUGUGUUUGAACUUAAAAUGAGGACUUGGUAUCAAAAUUUUCAAAAGAAAAAUAAUUUAAUAAAAUAAAUUCUUAAAAGAAUUUGGAAAGAGAAAAAGAACUUUGAAAAGAACAAGAUGUAUGAUGCGUGCAAUCAACCAGGCUUAAUUAAGUUUUCCCCAAGAUACCCUUACAUUUUAUGUUAUGUUAUGUUAUGAUACGAAUUGAAAAUAUGUCAACUACAUGAUAGAUUAGGGCUAAAGAUCUAGGAAAGAUGCCUUAUAUGCCUAUUAUAUGUGCUUGUAGAACUGCAUGCUACUACUGAUUAGUUAGUGAUAGGAUGGCAUGUUUAGGUUAUUUCUGAUUGUAUGAGCUUUAGAAUCUCAUGCCAGUAUAGAUUUCUGAUAAGAGGAUAGAAUGAUUUGAUUGGAUCAUUUUGGUUAGAUUUUCCAUUUUCUGAAUGUUGCUUGCUUUGUGCUUUGUGGGACACAUGGUAAUGUGAGUUAUCUACUAAGUGAAUAUGCUAAGUCACAUAGGACACAUGCUAGAUAAUCUCAGAGUGAUGGACUUGACCGUAUUGUGCAGCUAUCGUUUGAGUCUAACCGUUGUAGGGAUGAGUCUUUUUGCUUGAAGGAUUAUCUGAUCUCUGUUGCAUGUGGCUAUAUUCAUGAGGUAGUUAGUUGACUUUACUGGGAAUCUUUUAGCAGCUGAGGACUGGGUAGGUUUGAGAACAUAAGAAAUACUAGGAUAUGCUUCAGAGGGGUAGUAAUGAGGUAUAGUGAUACUUGGGUGCAUCAAUUUGAAGAAGUGACUUGGAGGAUAUGGGAGGAUUGCUGAGGAAAGUAUGGAUAGGUGUGGAAGGUAGUAUUGGGCCUGUACUACUGAAAGCACAUGAUCCAUACUCAAAUCGGCAAGAGUUUUGGAGAACCUAAGAAGCUUUGGGGAGGAGAAUCCAUGAGUAUGUUUUGAUCAGCGGUUUUGUGCUUUUUCAGUUUGGAGAUGAGCACUCAGGGAGGUGAUUUUGGUUUAGGUUCUGAAACAAAUGCAGGUGCGGAAUCGAUCAGCGAGCAGAUGUGGGAGUUCCUUUCGUUGGAGAUUACCCCCAGUAUGUUGGAGUAGACCCCUAUAAUCUUUGGUUCGGUCAAGGUGGGGAUUUUGGAGGUAUUGGGUAGUCGUCUCAGGGCCUUUCAGGCCGAGAUGGUGACAAGGCAGUUGGGGGCUCAUCUGGAGCCCGAAGCUUGUGGAUCUCAAGAAUCCUUCUGGAUGGAGGAUCCUAUUGUUGGGUCGAGUCAUUUGGGAUCAGAGGUGGAUUAUGCACCUUGUCUUUAGGAGAGUCUACCACAUGAUUGGAUCACUGUGGAUGUUUUGCGAGCCCUUCGCGAGGAAUGGCCUGGUAUCAUUAGUUAGAUCAUUGAUAGAUUUGUUGUCAAAUUAGAGGAGCGGGCCGCACUCUCAUGUGCUGCAAGUGCAACUGGUGGGGCCGUUAGUGAAGGAAAUGUGAGUUUGGAAUCGCGGAUCAGAAAAAGCAAGUGGACACCUAUCUCAGGACGAUUGGAAGGAGGUGGAGGGUCCGACUUGGCCGAAUCAGGUGGGGGAUCCCAUGGGUUUACUUGUCACAAGUUUAGGUGUUUCAAGUAUAGACAAAGAUGGCAUGUGCAUCGAGAUUGUAUGAAGGAUCAGAUACGUUUUCAUUAUCACCAGCCAAGUCAUUUCAAGUCCUGCUGUCUUGCUUGGGUGGCGGAGAGAGUUUAGGUUCCAGUGCCCAUCAUUCAACAGAAAGUCAAGAUCGAGCCAUAAUAGAUCGCAGGUAUGUAAUCUGAACUCCCCUUUCUGUAAUAAUAGUAUUGUACCUACUUUGGAAUCUCACUGAGUUUUAGGUAAGUGUAUCUAUGGGUCUAAAUCCCUGCUUGCAUUUAGAUAUUUAUAUUUUCAAGAAAUGUCAUAUGCCAAUUGCAUACCAUGAAUUAUAAAUAGUUAGUGAAAGGUCAUCCCCUUUUGCUAGAUCGGGAUGUUCCGUGUCGUUGGGUCGUGUUUUGUACUAAGUGUUGCGUCUAUUGGGCUCGUUAGCUAGUCCAUUAUGUAUCUCCGGUAUGGGCUUGUCCAUCCAUGAGUUUUGUAGGGUUUAGUAUAUAUAUAGGUGCUUGCAUGCAUCUUAGAAACUAACGAUAGAAUAGAACGAUCAGAGUAUUAUUCAGCAAGUUUGUUAUUAUCGUUCUUGUAACCCUAAAAUCCUCUACAGCGGAAGUUCUUAGUCGAGCUCUGCUGAGGAUUGUUUGAUCUAAUCAUUCGACACAUCUUGAUCCAUACUUGUGUUAUUUAUUGCUUUUACAUUCAUCGCAUUACCUGUUAAGAAGAUCUAAUCAAUCAUUAAGUUUGUUUAUAACUUAACAAUUGGUAUCAGAGCGGGAGGCUGUGUAAUUCAUACACAUCUUUUCUGUGAAAAAGGUUGCGAUUAGGGUUAUUCUGUAUUAACUAAUAUUUAUUGAGCCGUCAUCCCAUAAUUGACGUAACUCAGCAUUUAUUUGUUUUCCCUAAUUUAAUAUAUUACAAGUCUGAUCUUUCAAACAGGUUAUACGAUCAAGCAUGGAUGAGUCACAAUCAAAUCCCAUUAACAUCUCAAACAGCAUCGGAUCAACAACGAAGAUUCCCAUCCUUUACACCCAGGAUUACGAAGUCUAGGCACAUCACUUUGAAGAUUAUGUCAUUGGAUCUGAAGACAAUGGAUAUCUUAUUUGGGAAGCAAUCGUGUCUGGACCAUUUGCUCAUUCAGCAACGUCAAGAAUCAUUAAAACUCAGAAAGAGUAUAAUGAUCUGUUGAAGGACAUAAAAGAUAUUGCUCAAGACGAAAAAGAUAAAUUUCAGUGCAAUAUUAAAGCAUUGAGACUAAUCAGAUUCACUCUUCAAUCUGAUACUUUUAGGCUAGUGAGUUCAUGCAGCACUGCUAAAGAAAUAUGGGAUAGGCUACGAGAGCUAUAUUCCACAGACGAAGAUCUGGAGCAUUCCAUUCAAACCUUACUUUUGUCUGAGUUUGGUGAAUUUAAGCAGAAUCCCGAGGAAACUGUUACACAUACGUUCGAUCGCUUCAAUCAUCUUCUCAUUAAGAUGAUUAAACACGAUAUUGAAAGGAAGUUGAUUAAACAAAAAGUUACGUUUUUAAAUGGUCUUAGAUCUGAGUGGAGAGCGGUUGUGUCCACUGUUAAAGCACAUGAUCAAUUCAAAUCUUACUCAUUAGCAAAGCUGGUAGGGAUUUUGAAAUCCCAAGAAAAGAUUGUCUUGCAAGAGAAAAAUGUAGUUUCAAGCUUGGGAUCAUUGGCCCUUCUGUCCAAAAGCAAAGGUGUGAUGGAAGAUGAAGACCUUAACUUAGAGGACUAUGACCUUACCUCUGAAGACUAUGCAAUGAUGGUGUCAAACCCGAAGAGGUUCAUCAAGAAAAGGUUUCCUACCAAUAAGAACCGAAAUUGGCAGGGAAGUUAUAGUUCUGAAAAAGUCAGGGAAGAACCGAAGGUAGAAGAACCAAAGAAAGAACCGAAAGUUGAAGGAGAUUCGGGUGUGAACUGUUACUACUGUGGAGGAAAGAACCACUAUGCCAAAGACUGUGUCCUAAAGAAAAUGGCAGAAAAGGAUGAGGAGAAAGAUGAAGAAGCUGUGUUGAUGAAUAAGUUGGAAGAGAUCAAGAGAAAGAAAGUUGUCACUAACCCUUCAAUGAAUGCUUUAAUUGAGCAGGGUUCGGUAGCGGAUGAUGAGUUCGGUGGCGUGGAGGUCUGGUCAACCAACUCUGAGGAUGAUGAAGUCAGGAAGCCAUCUCAUGGAAAGGCUUAUGUUGCGAAAGGCGAAGGAAGCGGUGGAAAGUGCUUGAUGGUGUCGGAUGUAUCACAAAUGAGGGGAUACAACACUGACGGUGGGAAUGAAGACACGAAGGAGCGAGAGGACUUGUGCUUCACAGCAAAACCUCUCAGCAUGCAGUUUAAUGAGCUUGAUGAGUUAAUCAAGAAGGUACAAUCCAUUUUUGUUUCAUUCAAAGUCCCACAAAAUUCAUAUGAAAAAGAAUUAAAAAAUGUAAAUUCAGGAAUCUCUCAUCUAGAUAGCAGUUUAACUCAAACACGGGUCACCAAUUCUAAUCUAACUGACGAAAUAAGCAGGGUGUCUUCAAAGAGUGAGGAACAGAGGAUGUGGAUAGAGCUGAAGGAGUCGGAGUUGAUCAAAUCCAAAGACGAAAACAUUUAUUUACAAAGAGACAAUUUAAAACUUUUGAAACAAAGAAAUGUGUUUUGUUUGAUUGCUAAGCGUCUUUAUUCUAACAUCACUCAACUUCAUCUUAAAUGUGAAAUAGGACAGAAAAUUCAUCGCAUGAUUUUGACCUUCCUUGAGUUUAAGGAAGAUGAAAUCGACGUUGAAGCAUACAAUUGCGAAAGUGUAGUUUCGUCUGAGUAUGUAAAUCCGACUUAUAUGUAUGGUCUAGACAAAAUCGAAUCUUUCAUAAAAUCCAAGGACCAUAAGGACAUGCUGAAAAAUCUUUUGGAUGAAAAUGAUAAACUGAAACUAAGGACCGAAACCAUACAAAAGUUUGACUCAUUGAAUGCCAACUUGAGCUCAGAAAAUAAAAUUGAUGUUGAAAAUGCAUCUGAGCUUAAUGAGGAUGAUGAUAUGAGUGAAAUUUUUGUAGAGGAUGAAGUUGACUGUUCUGAGUUUGUCAAGAGCGAACCCGAAAACCACAAAAAUCUUAUUUCAGAAAAUUCUGUGGAGUUUGCUCGUUUGUCCCAACAAAAGUCCCCGAUCCUUGAAGAAAAGGCUGUUGUAUACCAAAAGGUAAGGACGACUCCAAAUCAGGUGUAUAAGGUCACAGGUGUAACCGAACAUCAGACAGCCGAACUCACAGCCAUUGUACACGAAGAUAAUGCUGAUGGUUGUGAUGAGUUCUUCUGGUCCGCCCCUAUCGACAAUGCUGACGAAACCGUUGGUCUGUCAGAAAGGACGUCCUGGAAAACCAAAGGCAGAUAUGUGCCAGAGCCUUUGAACAAGCCUGAUAACUUCGACAUGCCAAGUACUGGUGGUACAAAAGAUGUUCCUGAAGAAAAAGGAGUUUCUGCAAAAGAAGUCACUCCAUCAAGCGAAACAUCAUCAGUUCAAAGUGAACCGACUGACAAAAAGCAAAAGCAAAAAGGCAAUAUCCAUCGACAGCCGAAGCAAGUGAAGAAUCAAAAACAACAACGGAAUCAUAGAUACAAGAAGAAUCUCUCUAAACGAAAACAAUUUUGGCAAUCUCAAAACGCCCAUUUCUCUUAUCAUGACAUAAAUUCGAAGUCAGAGAAAAGUGCUGUUAGACCGCAAGAAAGUAAUAACAACCAAAAGGAGAGGUUCGGUUCUGAGGAUCAUAACAACCAAAAGAACAAGUUUGGUUCUGAAAAAUAUGACAACCGAAGACAAAGGUUCGGUUCAGAGAACACCAGCUACCGAAAGCAUAGGUUCGGUUCCGAGAGAAAAAGCGACCAAAGUUCUAGGUUCGGUCCCACUAAUGAUCAAAAACAAAAGAGUCACUUAGAACAUCAAGUCAAGAAAACAUCUCAGUCUAAAUUCUCUCGUUCUAAUUCCUCUAAUUCUUCUAAUUCCUCUAAACCUCAAUCUAAAUCCAAUUUUGUUCAAACUCAAAAUCCAAAAUCUUCCAUAGAUUUGAAAGGAAAAUCGAAGAUUUCCUCAGUCAAGACAGAUCAAAAUCAUCCCAUAGUCCAAAUACCUAAACCUGAAUCCAAACCGACAAUAACAAAUCCCAAUAAAAUUAAGGUUUUCACCAUUAAAAAGAAAGAUGAAACAACAUUAAUAAAAAGAACAUAUCUUGUUGACAUCUCUCUUACUAUUCCUGUACCUGUGAAAGGCUCACGUGGACCCAAGAAACUUUGGGUUCCUAAAUCUGCUUAAUUUUUGCAGGUUAUCAGUGACGAGCAGUUUGACGAAGAAUGGUAUAUUGACAGUGGCUGCACACGUCACAUGACAGGAAGGAAGGAAGAGCUGAGGGAAUUUCGGUCUCUUUCAAACGGUGGAAAUGUCAAGUUCGGGAACAACUCUUUCGGCAUGAUAAAAGGCUAUGGAAUGAUAACAAAUGGAGAUUUUUCGAUUAGAAAGGUUGCAUACGUUGAAGGAUUGCAACACAACCUCAUCAGUGUAUCUCAGCUCGUUGGAGGUAUCGGUCUCAAGGUCUCAUUCGACGAUGAGGGUUCAGAGAUAAUAGAGAAGAAAACGAAAAGAGUUAUUCUCAAAUCAGAGCACAAAGGCGAAAUGUUUCCCCUGAAUCUCAAACCCAUAAAAUGAAAUCUAGCUAUCUGCCUCUUAUCCAAAGCACAAUCUGACGAAAGUUGGCUGUGGCACCAAAGGCUCUCUCAUCUCAACUUCAAGGUUAUCAACAAACUUGUCACCGGAGGUCAUGUUCGAGGUCUUCCAUUGCUCAAAUACGAUCGAGAACAUUUAUGUGUUGCGUGUGAAAUGGGAAAGCAGAGUCAUCAAAGUCACCCAUCGAUUAUAAACACUAAAGUUGUUGAACCACUAGAGUUAAUUCACAUUGACUUGUGUGGUCCAUCAUCUAUCGAAAGAAUCGGCGGUAGCAAGUAUAUUCUUGUCAUUGUUGAUGACUUUUCACAUUUUACAUGGGUGUUCUUUCUGAAGCAUAAAUCUGAAGCAACUCUCAAGCUAAAGAUGUUUAUCAAGCAGGUUGAAGUGCAGCUGAGGAGAGUCGUUCGCAACAUUAGAAGCGAUAAUGGGCUAGAGUUCAAAAAUAAAGAAUUCGAAGAUUUCUUGGCCGAAAAAGGAACCAGUCACAACUUCUCAACUCCCUACACCCCACAACAAAACGGAAUUGUCGAAAGAUGAAACCGAUCUUUGUGUGAGGCGGCCCGAACCAUGCUAAGUUUUGCUUCUUUACCUUUAUAAUUUUGGGCUGAUGCUAUUGCUGCAGCAUGUUUUAUGCAGAACAGGUCCUAUCUCAAUAAGUUCUUUAUUCUCACUCCGUAUGAGAUCAUCAACAACAGGAAGCCAAACGUCAAAUUCUUCCAUGUAUUCAGCUCACGGUGCUUCAUCUUCAAUUCUAAAGAACAUCGUAACAAGUUCGACGUCAAAGCCGAUGAAGGAAUUUUCCUAGGAUAUUUUCUCACUUCGAAAGCCUAUCGGGUAUUAAACAAGCAUUCAAGGAAGAUAGAAGAAACUUAUUAUGUGACUUUUGAUGAUAGCUAUGUCAAAAAGCUAAAGGCCACUGAAGACAUAGUUGGAGAAAUUUUUUCUCAAACGGGCCAAGUCACAGCCUCAAUCGCAAAUCUAUUUGAGAAGUUUGUUGAGUUAUUCGAUAAACCAGAGAAGGCUACUCUCUCGGAAGCCAGUGCAGCAGACAACAAAGUAGAUCAUCUGAAGCAACUCAUCGAAGAUGCUGCCAAGCAAAUGAAUGAAGGAGGAUCAAGUCCAAACGACCCUCCACAACACGACACUUCAGUUGAAGGGGAGGAUCCACCUUCUUCAUCACAGCCGGGCUCACAUGUUGAGGGGGAGAACUGUUCUCCAUUUGCUCCCGAAAGCCCAGCUGUACCCGAAAGUCCUGUGGUACCAGAAAGCUCGACACCACCCGAAACUCCUAUAGCUCCGGAAACUCAAGAUACACCGGAAAGCUUAUCUGUUGAGGGGGAGAAUGCAGAUGUCUUAUGACGAUGAUAGUCAAUCUGAACUAGAAGAGCUGGUAAAUGCUGAAUUGGAUCCAUCUUAUGAUCCAAAUUACCCUCCUCUUGUCAAAUGGACCAGAGAUCAUCCUGUUUCACAGGUUGUCGGUAAUGUCUCUGAAAAAGUCCUGACCCGAUCACAACUAAAGGCAAAGCAAACUUCCUUAUUUUCAAAAGUAGAGUUCUGUAUGUUUAACUCCUUCGUCUCAAAAGUUGAACCAAAGACAGUUAACACUACUUUUGAUCACUCCGAUUGGGUUCAAGCUAUGCAAGACGAACUUAAUGAAUUCGAAAGAAAUAAAGUUUGGCGCCUCAUUCCAACUCCUCAAGAUGCCUUGGUUGUUGGUCUCAAAUGGAUCUUUAGAAAUAAGAUGGACAAGGAAGGCAAUGUGAUAAGAAACAAAGCUCGUCUAGUGGUGAAAGGAUACUGCCAGGAGGAAGGAAUCGACUAUGAAUAAACUUUUGCUCCUGUAGCUAGGCUGGAAUCCGUUAGAAUAUUUCUUGCCUAUGCUGCACACAAGAACUUUGAGAUUUACCAAAUGGAUGUCAAGUGCGCAUUUCUAAAUGGAGAACUUGAAGAAACGGUGUAUGUGGAGCAACCUCCUGGAUUCGUCAAUGAAAGGUACCCCAAUCACUGUUAUAUUUUGGACAAAGAGGUAUAUGGACUGAAACAAGCACCGAGGGCCUGGUAUGAAACGCUAACCAAGUUUUUAAAGUUGUCCAUAUUCAAACAAGGUUCGGUUGACUGGACCUUCUUUCGUAAGAAGGAAGGUAACCACCUUAUGAUUGUUCAAAUCUAUGUGGAUGACAUCAUCUUUGGCUCAACGAAUCCUAGCUUAACAGCUGAAUUCAGAAAGCUGAUGGAGACUAAAUUUGAAAUGAGCUCAAUGGGUCCGAUUAACUUUUUCCUUGGUUUAAAUAUUAGACAGGGACCCGAAGGCAUCUUUAUCAACCAGGAAGCAUACACCAAGACUCUUCUUGCUAAAUUUGGCAUGAUGGGAGACUCAAAGGUUAAAGUUCCAAUGGCGUUCGGCACCAAGCUCACACCAUCCUUGGAUAAGCCAGCAGUUGAUAUUACGCUAUAUCGCCAGAUGAUCGGUUCUCUAAUGUACCUUACUGCUAGCAGGCCUGAUAUAAUGUUUUCUGUUUGUUACUGUGCUAGAUUUCAGGCGAAUCCUCGUGAACCUCAUAUGCUUGCAGUGAAGAACAUACUCCGGUAUCUCAAGCGAACUACCUCUCUAGGCUUAUGGUAUCCAUCCAACUCAGGAUUCUUUGUUCAAGCCUACUCCGACGCAGACCUUGGAGGUUGUGGACUAGACAGGAAAAGCACCACGGGAGGCUGCCAAUUCCUUGACGGGAAGUUGGUUAGCUGGCAAUCAAAGAAACAGACUUGUGUAUCUUUGUCUACCGCUGAAGCAGAAUACAUCGCAGCUGCCUCCUGUACAUCUCAAGUGAUUUGGAUCCAAAGCCAGCUCCGGGACUAUGGACUCAAUAUGAAAAAGAUCCCACUAUAUUGCGACUCUGAAAGUGCAAUUAGGAUCUGUCAUAACCCAGUGCAACACUCCAAGACUAAGCACAUAGCACUGAGGUAUCACUUCAUUAAGGAUCAUGUGGAAGAUGGGAACGUCGAAAUUCAUUUUGUUCGAACCACUGAUCAACUGGCUGACAUCUUCACCAAAGCUCUUCCUGAAGCAUCGUUCAACAAAAUUCUACAAGGGCUAGGUAUGAUGGAAUCAGAGUCAGUACCAAAAAUUACCUCUCAAGAUCCAAAGUAAGAAGCGAAAUAGACCGAACGUUCGGGUUCGGGUCUUGUGCUAGUGUACCGAAAUGAACCGAACGCUCGGGUUCGGUUGCAUAAUCUGCUUUUCGCUCAUCACUCAAAGGUAGUUUCCUUGGUUGUAGAUCUUAUGUAUAAUUUUUCCAAAUGCAUUUAUCUUAUUGUCAAAGUUAUUCUCUUUUUCAAACCUAUUUUCUUUGGCAACCAAAAUAAACCGAACGUUCGGGUUCGGUUCCAAAAUUUUUCUCACCCGAAAUAAACCGAACGCUCGGGUUCGGUUCCAAAUUUUUUAACAACCGAAAUAAACCGAACGCUCGGGUUCGGUUCCAACAUUUUUUUGUAUUCAUUUUUUUUAUGUCUUAAUUUUUUUUAUUAUCAAAAAUUACAAAAAUAUUUUUUUUUCAUAAAUUCAAAAACUCCAAAAAUAUUUUGUUAUUUAUUUUCUUUUUGGCUCUAAUUUUUUUGUGUUCGUUUAUGGGGAAAUCGUUUAAUUAGCUCAGUGUCCCUAGAAGCAUGCUGCUGUAUGUGUCCAAAGCCUCACCUGAUUCUGAAUAAUAGCCUUACUGACUUGGUAUAAACAAACCUUGUCUUCCCAAUUAGGCUCUCAUAUUUAUUCUAAUCAUGAGCUACCUAACUCUCUUCUCACAUGAGAUAAGAGUUUUCUGCUUGGUCCUUCUAUUCACAGCAGAGGUAGUUUGGUUUCUUUAAAACAUCUAUAUUACAUUUCUCCAUCUUAUUCGUUUCACCAACGUAACCCUUGAGACUCUCAGACAUUACCACUGUGGUUUAUGGUUACACAAUUUCUGUGUUUAUGAUCUUAGUUUCGUGCCACUACGAGCUAAGUGAAACCCAAAAUUCAUUACCCAAUACGAAUUGACGGUGAACAAUUAAUUUGUUCUAAGUUUCACUAAUGAAUUGAUAGACGUACCUCCAUGAAAUCUCAAAAUUUUCUUUUGUGUGAUUCCUAUGAAAUUGUUAAAUCCAAUAACAUUUCUUCCCUUGGGAUACAGUUUAAAUUUUUGUUGAGAUUUUAUAUAUUUCCUAGCCAAAUUAAAUUAUCUCAUACCUACUUGUUCAACAGACUACAUCGGUCUCACAAGUACUUCGUUCGAUUUCUGUCUUAUUUCAAGAUUAGGAAUUCUGAAUCGAAGCGCAAGCCACCCUCAUAAGCCUAAUUAAAAGAAGCCUUUCAACACUUCUUAACAAGUGUCUGAUCGUUAUUCAACGGGAAACCACACAAACACUUUAAGGUCUCUCUUGACUUUGAAGGAAGAGAUUCGUGCCCGGGAUCCAUUGUUUCGUGUCUUUAUUGACAUCACAUAAUCCCUCAAAUAGUGUUGUUUUAUUUCUUCUUAUUUUUUUUACACACUCAGCACGAAAAUCUUUUUGAUUUUCCAAAAUUCUGGUUUCAUUAAUUUCAAGGAGUUUUCAUUGGCUUGGUUGUUUUAAAAUAUUGUGGUGAAUUUAAUCCACGUGGGGGAAUUUUUAAAAAGAUGUCGUUACAAUUUAAAGGGAUAAGAUUAACAACAGAUGACUCAGGCGGGAGUCCAAUCGAUUUGAUUUCAAACGGCGCAAGAGGGAAAGCGUGCGAAUCAGAACCGUUUCAUCUCCAAACGGCACCUGAUGGGAAGGCAUGUAAUUAGGGACUGACACUCUCUCUCAUGCGUGAUCAUCGCCAGCGCCAACUGUCACGCGUCAGUCUAUUCCGAAAAACCCUUCGUUUUCCGAUCGAAGAUUUGGAAAGAUUUUUCUCUCUCCUUUACCCUUACUAUAAAAGGCAGUGUAAACCACCAUUUACCUCUUUACCGUGCCUAUAUUUCCAGAGAGCCAGAAAUUCUUCACCCUUCACUGUUCAUCAUUUCCUCCACUUUCUUCAAAGAAAUGGCAGAUUCUUCUUCAGGUCACGCAACAUCCCAUAUCUUGCCCAUUCGCCCACAGCAAAGCUUGAUCAUUGAUUUAACCCCUCACUCGUAUGACGCAUUCAUGUUCCCCAUCAUCGAGUGCCUGAAGUUUUCCCCAAUCGCUCCUGCUCUUUCAAGGGCUGAGACUGUUCCAAUGGAGUUCCUGUCACAAAUCUUUGCCACCGCUCACUACGACAAGGUCGUCGACAAAAUCUUCUUCGAUGCCUUUUAGCACAAGGCGUCGAUUUCAAAGCAGCGGUUUUGUUCGUUGUUAGGGUUUGAUGCUGAUUCUUCGAGGGUUAACCUUGAAACGAUUCCGAUGGGUCACUUGUUCAACAUGUUCUACAACAUGGGAUACAUGGAGGUGCUUACUACGGUGGCGAAAUUCAAGAAGUCGUGCCUACCUCCACAGUGGAAUGGGAUGUUCAUUGUUUUGUUCAAGGGUUUAUCUGAACGAAGUGCUGGGUCCGAUGGAGCCAGUCGUUUAUUUCUCUCCAUCAUGUAUGGGAUCUACAAUGGCAUCAACAUGGACUACGGGUCAGUUUUAUGGCAACAACUCAUUCAGAGUCUCUCCUCCACUUCCAGACACUCAGAGAUCUCGUAUGCUUGGUUCUGGACCAUUAACACGAAAUGGGUGAUGGACAAGUACCACGUCUCCAUUGUCGCUGGUGCUCCAAUGUCUUCGAUUGGUACCUUCCAUACCACGAAGAUCAUUGUGUCAGACGCUUCCAAGUUUCCCUUCAACGGGUCUAUCCCGGAAACAAUGUAUGGGGAUGUUCCUACUGAUAGCCGGAUUAUCAAGACGUACAAGGGGUUCAAACGCUCUGGUCCGAGAGAGCUUACUCCGGAGAUGCUGAAAUCAAUUCAUGACACCGACAAGCCUGCUCCAAGAGGCAAGAAGGCUGAUAAGGGAAAACAGGUGGUCAAGGGGGCAAAAGGCCCGUCUCCAAAGAAGAGGAAACCCACCAGGGCUGCUUAGUCUCCAUAGCAGAAGAGGAGAAAAACCCAACCAAGGCGAAAGCUAGUUAUCGCUUCCUCCUCAAGCGAGUCUGAUGGUGAGAGUUCUGAUUCUAAAGGCUCUCAACGUGGUAACACUCCAACAUGAUCUCCAACCCCUGAAGUACAUGUCUCUACUUCUCCUAUUUCCUCUCCGCCUAAAACCAUUCCUACUUCCAUUCCCCCAUAACCUCCACUACACAAAUUCCAACCACUUCCAUCCCAGUACCACCCAUAUAUACUGAAGCAACCAUAACCACCACUGCUGAAGUGCGAACCAACGUAUCUGAUAUGGGGGUUCAUACUAACGCACCCGAAACCACCCCAGCACCCGAACCCACACCUACACCCGAACAAACAACCCAACCCGAACCUACCCAUACUACCGAACCACCAGCUUCACCACCACCAUCUUCUCCUGGUCAUGCAUCAGAGGANUCACCACCACCAUCUUCUCCUGGUCAUGCAUCAGAAGGUGAAGAACCACUUCUUGGCGGGGAGGAUAUGACCUUCGAAUCGGUCUAUUUAAGUCCGUUUCAGGUUCAGAGUGACGAUGAUGAUGAAGCUCCUGUCUCAAAGAGGCAUCUCAAGGAGCUACAUGACAAAAUUGAUUCGCUCAUCGCCUCCUCUUCUACGUCUCAGUCCUCCUUAUCUGAAGCUGCAGUUCAGAAAAUUGUUGACGUUGUCUCCAAAGCUCAGCAAGCUUCUCUUGAUUCAACCACCACUGCUAUCGAUGCCUCCACAAAAUCCUGUCAGGCUGCGACCGAAAAAGUCGAUAAACUAUUUACUGAUGCCUCUUCCCUGUUGAAAUCUUUAUAGGAAAGUGUUGAAGCCACCAAGACUACCGCUCUGAAGGUCAAGAGCAUUCAACUCUCCCACUCUCAACAGGAGAGUGAAUCUCUUCGAUCUGAAAGAGAGGCUAUAAAAUCAUGUGUUUUGGAUGUCCACUCUGCUAUCUCAAACAUCCUUGAAGCACAUGAUCCCAUUCUCAACUACUCUGUGAGGCGUACCCUUGCAGAAAAGCUCGCUCCCGCCCUUGCUAUACUCAGUAAAAUCGAAGGGCUCCUUGAUUUCGUGUCCAUUCCGAAACAAGGGGGAGAGAAGGAAACAAUGUCUCAACCACAUCCUACCUCAACAGCAACUCACACAACCAAACCUACUCCAGUAGGCCAAGCCUCCGGUUCUGGUGUGAAAGACAAAGGCAAAAGAUUGCUGAGGAGAGUGAAGAUGAAAAUAAAGAGACAAUCUCCGACCUCUUGAAGCGUCAAGGUUGAGACAAAGAGGCUGAUAUCAGUGCUCGUGUGGCAAGAGAGGCUGAAGAAGCCGAAUGUAAACAGAAAGAAGCCCACGACCUUCUUGAGAGUAGGAAACUCUUUUUCCUUCUUGGACUCUCGAGAGGAUGAUUAAAGAAGCCAUCGACACACCAAAUAUCUUGUGGCUGGAACCUGUGAUCUCUCUACAUUGUUCCAACACUGUUGACUCACAGUUCGACAUGCCACUGACCCGAAAGGCGUUUAUCUUUCAUGCCUUCUCCAACAUUGCAGAGUUCCCUCAUCCUCAUACACAGGUUGAUCAGUACUUAAUUGAUUUCUAUCUGAAGGCUGCUCAACCCCAAUAUCAGACUUGGAGUGCUCAGAAAAUUGUCAACGUUCGGGUCUUGAAGCCGUACAGUGAAGGUAACUUCAUCAACGUUCGGUUCAAGGUACUUCGGGGAUCUGCCAAAGCCGAACAUUCUAUUUACCUUGCAGAUCUUCCCAACCUUAAUCCCCAUGAUUGGAUUAUCUUGCACAACAUCCUUCUCACCAACGAAGCUGAAUACGGUCCGAUCAUCUACCACUUCAAUAGGAUGCUCGUGUGCUACAUCAUGGAAGUUGCAUUGAUGGAUCAGGAGAUUGCGAGCGUAUUUAAGAAGAAACCUACAAUAUCUCCUGUUGGCUCUGCCAGUGAUCUCAACCUGAUGCAGAUGGGUAAGAUUGACCCAAAGAGGAACUCGGUCAUGUUUACCAGGAACGAAGGACAAAAAUGUCUUUUCGCCUUGGCUGACAAACAUCUAUACACCACUGCCUGUUUAGAGCACGUUUUGGGGAUCAUCCAUCGUUGCAAGCAGAACACAGCGGAUGAUGUCAAGUACGUUCAUGACAUGAUUCAAUGGUACAUUCGGUUCAGACAGACUAUCCUGGCGCUAAUCUCACGUCUGUUUGAUACUACGAAGAAAGUUCCCGCUGCAGGCCCAAGCAAGAAGAAGAAGUAGUCUCGCUCCAAUUUGACGCAAAGGGGGAGAUUGUUGGGUCGUGUUUUGUACUAAGUGUUGCGUCUAUUGGGCUCGUUAGCUAGUCCAUUAUGUAUCUCCGGUAUGGGCCUGUCCAUCCGUGAGUUUUGUAGGGUUUAGUAUAUAUAUAGGUGCUUGCAUGCAUCUUAGAAACUAACGAUAGAAUAGAACGAUCAGAGUAUUAUUCAACAAGUUUGUUAUUAUCGUUCUUGUAACCCUAAAAUCCUCUAGAGCGGAAGUUUUUAGUCGAGCUCUGCUGAGGAUUGUUUGAUCUAAUCAUUCGACACAUCUUGAUGCAUACUUGUGUUAUUUAUUUCUUUUACAUUCAUCGCAUUACUUGUUAAGAAGAUCUAAUCGAUCAUUAAGUUUGUUUAUAACUUAACAGGUGUUCUCUCGGUUCGUUGUGGAGAUUGGCGAGGAGUACUUUGUGGAAGGCCUGCGGUUAGUUUCAUCAAGUUAGUCCACCCGUAUCGAUGGGAUAUAAUGGUUUUAUCAUUUGUUUCAGUAUGAUCAACGAUGGCAUAUGGGAGAACUUCUAGGUUCUAGCACUACCGACACUAGGAAAGGAGUGGUAGCAGAUGGAUACGGGUGUAGUUGCAUAAGUUGUUUGACGAUCGGUUGUUCUAAGGGAAUUGUAUAUUUUGCAUGGGUCGUGGGUGAUUAGAAUUCAAUGGUUCAAUGAGGAUUCGUCAGCGUAAAAAUUAAAUCAAUUCGGAUUUACUUCUGCUCCCAUUAACAUUAUUUUGGUUCUAAUUAAAUAUUCUAAGCUCAGUACAAUCAAGGUUUGGGUCCAAGAACGGAUUUUUGUACGUCAUAACAUAGCAUCCAGGCUAAACACCCCUUCGAGAGGAGUGUACGGCCGCAAACUCGAGUUUACGGCCGUACACCCCCACCCCACCCCCAUGGCCGAAAACUUCCUCCUAUAUAUGGAGUGCUUGUUCUUCAUUUACCACUUUACUCACUUCAAAGGCUUUCUCUCUCUACUCUCUCUCUACAUCCAUCGAAUUUUCUUCAAGAUCUUCAAGAUUUUAAGUGUUUCUCCACCUUGAAUUGAGUUUAAUUCCUCUAUCUGGUGGUAAAUCCAUGUUCCUAUCUCAUUAAUCUCAUCUUUGUCUAGAUCUUCAUCUCUCACCAAGAACACUAAGAACACACACUAGUUGUUGGUGGCUAAAAACCCCAUUUGAAGCUUCCUAAUAAUAAGUAACUACUUCCUAUGCUCGUUAUCUACUAAAAAUGCUUGUUCUUCACCUUAAAAUCGACCCAAAAGACAUGAUCAUGGAGGGUUUACAACCGUAAACCCAUGUGUACGGCCUUACACCGUUCAUUGGCCUUAAACGCUUCCUUAAGCCAUGCAUAGGAAUUAGAACACUUCCGGGAGGCUAGAAAGGACCUUGAAACUCACCAAAUCGCACCUUUCAUUGAGAGUGUAUGGCCGUAAACCCAUGGGCCGUAAACCCAUGGACCGUACACUCUUGGGUCAUAAACUUAUGGGCCGAAAACCCCAUUGGGCCGCAAACCCAUGACCGUACACCCCUUGUGACCGAAAACUCACCUACUUCAAUCACAAGUGAUUCUAACACUUAGUUUCAAGUGUUUCCUAGUCCCUAAGGUGAUUUCCUUCCAUAACUAAUAGUAUUAUACCCUCAUCUAAUACAUAUGUGCUGCUAUAUGUUAAAUAGGAUCCGUUUGUGUCCAAGACUUCAUUUGACACUCAGCAUUCCUAUUGACUCACUUUGAAUCCCAUGACGAACAGUGAGUUCAUACCCCCUACACUUUUAUGAUUUUUAAACAUUUUCAGGGGGAAUACAAGCCAAACAUAAAGGUUUUCAACAAGUUAAAACUUAUGCUAUUCAUACAAAUCAAUGGGUUUCAUAAAGCAUUUAGAUACUUAAUCCCUUUUGUAUUAUGUGGACGUUUUUCCAAAUUAAAUUGCAUAGUUUUUCCGAACAUUUCGUGAACAUAACAUUACAGUCAAACUAUAAUGGGUAUAGUUUGGGGAUUUGAUUACCAGUUUUACAGAUGCAAACUACUUUCACGGUUGAAUACAAACUAUGACAGAUUUAGUUUAUAGCAUACAUUAUUACGAGAAUACAACAGUAAAUAAUUACUUAAGUACAAUUAUUUUUACUCUACGAAACAUACAUUGAAUUCACAUAUGAAAGAACAUUACAUUUUAUAUGUAUUAUUGCUUGUAAAGUCGUUAACCUAAUUGGGAGACAAGUCCUUGGGCGCUUACAACAUUAACUAAGUGGAGGACUACUCUUAUGAACCAGAGUCUCCUCGUGGGAGAACGUGGCUUUUGUGUGUAGAUCUAUACAGGAUUGACUACCCCGCACCUUGCGGCUAGCUACAGUCGGACUGGCAGGUCUACGGGUGACAAAGUCAUAAAGGAUAUUUGUGUCAAAUUCACAUCGUAUCAAGUUUAGUAUGGUCAUAAAACUCGCCAGUAGUAAUGAUAUAUUUACAUAAUAAUAUACUUCUCACGAACAAUUGCUUUAAUAACAUAAUUAUGAUACUUAUGCCUUACAGUUUCAGAACCAUUAAAGCAACAACAAAACACCCAUACAAGGGAAAAUAAGGGAUUUUCCCAUAUCAAACCUCAGACAUUACAUACUAGUGGUAGCCACGGUUUUCAAAACGAAUCAUAUUUCACAUACAUUAUCAAAUAAAUAUGUUAGAAAAUGUUGGACUUUUCUUGGAAAACAUACAUACAUUUUACAGAUCUCUUCACAAGUUUUCAUUCCAAAACAUGCUUAUGAACUCACUAGCUUUAUGAUGAUAUAUUUUCAAAAUCAGUUGUAUUCUUAGGUGAUCAAUAGACAAGUACCUCCUGGAGUUUUGAGAAGACGGGAUAUUUAGAGCCACGUCUUUUACUUUUGUUAUAUUUUUGAUGUAUAAAAACUAUGUUUUCAAACAGAUGUAAAUAUUCAUAUGUUAAUUCAAUGGUUGUGUUUACUUUGAUUACUAUGAUGCAAUUGUUAUGAUACUACACAUGACGUCCUACACUCCCGAAUGUUUCUGCCGUUCUGGUUUGGGGGUGUGAUAAAUUGGUAUCAGAGCUAUUGUUUAUAGUGAACUAGGUAUACCGAAACUUACAUGGUGUACAACUAUAAAUACUAAGGGGCCGAAGGACUCUGAACUAAAAGUAUACUUUAAAAGGUAAGUAUUUUUCAAGAAGUAUACAAGUAUACAUAUGUACCAGAAACAAUAUCAUGAGUAUAGCAAAACAAAAGUAAUUGGAUGUUGGACACUGCGGUUAAGCCUAGGCAGUUAUGUAAUCAUGUCAUGGGUUAAUAUAGCCUGAUCAACUAUAUCUAUUCGAGAUGUGACCAACAUGUGCUUGGGAGUGACUAUGAUGUUGCAGCAGACCUAAAACUUACCAAGUAUUCAUACAAUAAGAUAUCCGUAUAACAAAGCAUACAACUUAAAAUACUAUAGGAGUAUUUUUACUAGAGUCAAACAUACUGCAGAGAUUCAUUUCCAAGUGUUGCUACUCAUUUCUUUUAGCAACAGUUUACUUGCAUUAGUAACUCUUCCUUGUUUAUCGCUUAGUAGAACACUCUAUGUAUCAGACUGAGAUAUAUCUUGCUUCUUAUCUCUUGAUUCAAAUCUAGGGGACUUACCAUCCUCUUCUUCCUGAUUACUUUAGAACAAGAUGCCUCCGAAGAAAAGACCCAGCAAAAAGAACAACAAUCCCCCAACGGAUCCGACGUCACCACCUCCUCAGUUCGAUCCUACCAUGUUCCAGGCAGCAGUUACGGCUGCGGUGGCUGCCUCAAUGUCACAGAUAAAUCCUGGCAGCUCUAACGGGUCGGGAAGUGGUGCCCAACCCCUCAAUCUUGAUGGAAGUCAAGGACACCAGAAGGAGUGUUCCUAUAGAGAAUUUAUGAACACAAAGCUUAAAUCCUUCGACGACAAUGGAGGUGUUAUUUCCCUAACUCGCUGGAUUGAAAAGAUAGAAUCGGUCUUCGAGAUCUGUGCAUGUCCCGAAGCCAACAAAGUGAAGUUCUCCACUUGCACUUUCACAGACAGAGCACUGACCUGGUGGAAUGGUCGAGUCAAAUCCCUAACACUAACAGUGGCGAAUGCCAUGGAUUGGGAAAGUUUGAAGGAACUCAUGCUUGCUGAAUACUGCCCAAGGGGCGGGAUGCAGAAACCGGAGCACAAGCUUUGGAACCUGAAGAUGAAAGGUUCGGACGUUUCCUCCUAUACAACUAGAUUUUGCGAUCUGGUUCUCCUCUGUCCGGGAAUGGUCACCCCGGAAAUCAAGAAAAUAGGGAGGUACAUAUGAGGAUUGACACCCCCAACCCAAGGAAACGUCUUGGCUGCUAGACCUACCACUUUUGACAAUGCCAAGUGCCUGGCGCAAACCUUAAUAGAUCACGGGGUUGAUCUUGAUAAAGUGACAGCCGCUCCCGAACCAACAAAGGCAAGUGCUGGGAAGAGAAAAUUCUGGUAGCAGUGAAAGGGCCAGCCUUUCCAGGAGCCCUCCAAGAAACAACAAAUGGUAGCACUCAACGAUGCUACUACUCCUGCCGUUGUUCCUACAACUCAAGCCUACUUGUAGGUAUGAUGGUACUCUUCCUCGGUGCGACAAGUGUAACUAUCAUCAUAACCCCGACUCAUGUCGUGAAAUGCUGUGCUAUAGUUAUGGCAAGAAAGGGCACACAACACGAGGUUUCAUGACACCAGUUCAACCAAUCAAUCAGUCUUCCGGAGCAGGUGUUGGUCAAGCCUGUUAUGGCUUUGGAGAAGUCGGGCACUACAAGAGAAAUUACCCCAAGGCAACAACUGCUGGCAACACUGGGAGAGUGCUAGCAAUGGGCCAGGAGGAGGCAGUUGCAGAUCCCACCGGUGUUUCGGGUACGUUCCUCCUUGACGACUCUUAUGCAUGUAUUCUUUUCGAUUCGGGUGCGGAGAGAAGUUUUUUUAGUCACUCAUUCAAGCAUCUUUUCAAACAUAAACCUCAACCUUUGACCGAAACAUUUACCAUUGAGAUGGCUAAAGGAAAGAAAGAGAGCACUAACGACAUAUUCAUAGGAUGUACCCUUACUCUAAAUGAUCAUUCCAAUCGACCUUAUGCCGAUUUCAAUAAAAAGCUUCGAUGUCAUCAUCGGCAUGGAUUGGUUGAGACCCAAUCGUGCUGAUAUCUUUUUCUAUGAAAAAUCUAUUCGUCUCAAUAUUCCCUCUAGGGAAGCCCUCAUGAUCUACGGUGAUAAACUCAGCUCGAGCCUUCGCAUCAUUUUGUUUAUCAAAGCCCAAAUAUUUCUACGAAAGGAGUGCCAUGCAUUCCUAGCCCAUGUGUUUAAUAAGAAAUGGGAAGUUAAAGACCUCAAGAGCAUCCUCGAAGUCUGCAACUUUCUUGAUGUCUUUCCCGAAGAGCUCCCGGGAAUCCCUCCCGAGCGCCAAAUCGAAUUUAGCAUCGAUCUAAUCCCCAGAGCUACCCCCGUAGCUAAAUCCCCAUAUCGUCUAGCGCCAACAUAAAUUCAAGAGUUAUCCAGCCAGCUCAAUGAGCUCCUCAGCAAAGGAUUCAUCAGACCGAGUUCCUCGCCCUGGGGAGCCACAAUCUUAUUUGUGAAAAAGAAGGAUGGAUCUUUUCGAAUGUGCAUUGACUAUCGCGAACUGAACAAGCUCACUGUCAAAAAUCGUUAUCCUCUUCGCCGAAUCGACAAACUCUUCGACCAACUUCAAUGAGCUAGCUACUUCUCAAAAAUAGACCUAAGAUCAGGGUACCAUCAACUACGAGUCCAUGAGAAUGAUGUUCCUAGGACAACAUUUCGGGCUCGAUAUGGUCACUACGAGUUUGUAGUGAUGCCCGUUGGUCUAACCAACGCACCGGUGGUAUUCAUGGAUCUGAUUAAUUGGGUGUGCCGCCUUUUUCUAGACAAGUUCAUGAUAGUAUUCAUUAAUGAUAUACUUGUCUAUUCAAGAAGCGAGGAAGAUCAUAUACAACACUUGAGGUUAGUGCUGGAAACUCUAAGGGCGGAGAAGUUAUAUGCGAAAUUCUCCAAGUGCGAAUUGUGGAUUCGAAAAGUGACUUUCCUUGGUCACGUUGUAAGCGAGGAAGGCAUACACGUGGAACUUUCCAAUAUCAAAGCAAUAGAAAAUUGGCCAGCACCGAAGACGCCUAUUGAAAUUCAUCAAUUGUUGGGCCUCGCUGGCUAUUAUCGCAGGUUUAUCCAGAAUUCCUCCAGGAUUGCCAAACCCUUAACCACUCUGACUCAGAAAGGUGUGCCUUUUUGUUGGAGUGGAAAGCAAGAUACUGCUUUCCGAACGUUAAAGCAAGCCUUAUGCAGUGCACUUAUUCUGUCUCUGCCCGAAGGGACGGAAGACUUUGUAGUCUACUAUGAUGCAUCUAAGCAGGGCCUAGGCUGUAUGCUCAUGCAACGAGGAAAGUUUUUCGCCUAUGCCUCAAGACAGCUGAAAGCACAUGAAGUUAACUAUACAACUAAUGAUUUGGUGUUAGGAGGAGUGGUCUUCACAUUAAAGAUAUGGAGACAUUAUCUCUAUGGAACCAAGUGCACUGUCUUCACUGACCAUAAAAUUCUGCUGCACAGUUUUGACCAGAAGGAGUUGAACAUGAGGCAACAACGAUGGGUAGAGUUACUCAGCGAUUAUGAGUGUGAAAUACGCUACCAUCCUGACAAGGCCAAUAUGGUGGCGGAUUCCCUCAUCCGGAAGGAGUAUUCAGGUAGUAGAGUGAAGGCACUGACAACGACCAUCCAUUCCCAUUCAUCCGUGCAAAUCAAAGAGGCUCAGUUGGAGGCCUUAAAGCCAUAAAACAUGCCGGAAGAAGCCUUGAGGGGAACGGAAAAGAACUUAGAGAUCAAGGGAGACGAAGUCUAUUAUUUCAUUGACCGGAUCUGAACCCCAAAAUUCGGUGGAUACAGGGAGGUUGUCAUGAACAAGGCUCACAAGACUGGAUACUCCUUUCACCUUAGUUCGGAUAAGAUAUACCUUGAUUUCAAGAAGUUGUAUUGGUGGCCAAACAUGAAAGCGGAGAUUGCUACCUUCGUGGUCAAGUGCUUGACUUGCACCAAGGUGAAGGUUGAAUAUCAGAAGCCCUCAGGUCUGCUCUAGCAGCAGGAGAUACCUGAGUUGAAGUGGGAGAGGAUUACUAUGGAUUUUAUUAGAAAAUUACCCAAAUCUCCUAGUGGGUACGACACCAUUGUUGGAUUAAUGUCUAAGUCCAUAACUAUAUUUGGUAAGACUUGACCCGACCCGGCAUGGUCCAUUUGGGUUGCAUACCAUCAUGCACUUGAAUGAGAGAAAUAAGACACUUAUGGUUAUUAAUAUAUUAUAAGUUCUAGUAUAUUAAUAAUAAGAAUAAUAAGAUUAUUUAAUUAGUAUUGAUCAAGAAUUAAUCUAGGAUUAAUUAAGUGAUCAAAAGAAGACUAAUUAAAUAUAUGGGUUGAUUGUGUAAAUCAUCCAUACUUGUAUAGUGGGCUAAUGCUCCAUGGAUAAUCAAGUUGGGCUAAAACCCAUAGGAUGGUCCAUGGAUGCUCCAUGGUGUAUUUGUACCCAUGGAUCCAAGGAAAUGGAAAGCCAUGACAAUUAAGAGUUUACCCUAAUUGUGUAACUAUAUAAGCAUCUUAUUAUUGAGGAAAAAUCGGCCACUAGUAGUAUUCAAGAAAGGGCUAGCCGAUUUUGGUGAGUGUAGAAUUCUCUCAAGUCAUUCUAAGUGUUUUGAUGAUUGUGAUUCCAUUUGAGGUGUCACACUUGGGGCACUAAGCACUCAAGCUUCAUGAAGACUUUCUACAUCAAGAGGUAUGUAUUCUAUCUUGUUACAUUAUUGUUUUGUAUGCUAGAUUAGGAUAAUACCUUGGAAGUUCUUAUUUGCAUGUAUAAUAGAGAAAACAUAGAUCCAAGGUAUUUAGGGUUGCAUGUACACUUAGGAAGUGUUAGAAUGCUCAAAACCCAACAGUGGUAUCAGAGCCACGGGUUGUUUUCUGUUAUAUUGAUGCAAAUAUUUUAUUUUCAAAGUUGAAAAAAAAAAAAAAAAAAAACAUGAAGUUCGUCAAAUUUUAAGAUAAUUACUUGUUCUUGUGAAAAACUAAUUAUUUGUAAAAUUUGAAUAAUUUGCUUUAUGAGUUGAAUUAGGUCAAAUUUAAUAAAAGAUAAAAUAAUAUGAUUAUUUUAUUAGUUUUAAAAGUUUGAUCUAAAGAGUUUUAUUUUUUGAAACCUCCAUAAGUUAUGGAUAUGAAAAGGUUUUAAAAAAAAAAUUGAUUCAAAGUUUUUUUGGAGUUACAAAAUUUGGUGUUAAUGUUUUAAAGGAUUCCAUAACUUAAGAAUAAGUUAUGGAUCACCAAAAGUUUUUUGUGUUACCUUGUUUUAUGAGUGAAUUUAGAUUAAUGAAUAAAAUUAUGUGAUAGUUGGUUUUAAUCCAAAUUAAUCUAAGAAUUGAUUCUAAAAUGUGUUUUUGUAACUUGUCCUCAAGUUAUAUGAAAAGUCACAUUUAAGAAUCAUAAAACUCAUAAAAAUUGGCAAAGGUUACAAAAAUGAAGAGUCUAGUUCUAAUUAAAUGGUUUUAUGACUCCAUAACUUGUCCUCAAGUUAUGGAGGACCAAGAGUCUCUUCAUUUAAUAAAAUAAAAUAAAAUAAAAAAAAGGGUAACCUUAAUUAAUUCCAUAAGUUAUAAAAUAAAGAAAAGUUAAUUCUUUUAUUAGUUUAAAGUCUUCCAUAACUUGUCCUCAAGUUAUGGAACUUGAAGAGUUUUUGGAUUAAAACUACUUUAAACACAUAAGUUAUGGAAUUAAUUAGUUUUGAAUAGUUUCAAAACUUGCCCUCAAGUUUUGGAAUUUGUAAAGUUUUCACUUAUGAAUACUUUAAUUCCAAGUUAGCCCUUAGAAUUUUAAAAGUUAAAAUUCAACCCUUAUACUUUAUAAUAUUAUAAGUUAAUAAUAUAUAUAUGUAUAAGAGUAAAGUCAGUCUUACCGCUAGUACGCCUCAUUCACGAAGCCGGUCUAUAAGGUGGGUAUAAGGUUGUUGCCUAUAAAAUGGCAACUUAAUGGGUGUCCACUCUCACCCACCGCUUGCUUGACUGGUGGAGGGUCGUUAGCCGAACGGGUUUGACAGGACUAGAAUUCUCCCUUCAUUAAAAGUAUUAAUGAUAAUACUAAGUAACUAAACUCUUAAUAAUACCCAAUCUUAGUUACUUAGGAAAAAUGUGAAUAAGGUGCUAAUCCAUGAAAUUACACUUUACACUUUGUCUAAGUCGUUAGUGGAGCGUGUGUGGUUAACCGGCACACUAACUUGGACUUAACAAGGUAGGUAAAGGGUGACUUAAUAUUUAUCAUAGUAUCGAUGGAGCGUGUGUGGUUAACCGGCACAUCGAUUGAGGGGUAAUUUAUUAAGGGUACCAAGUGAUUUGCAUGGUUACUUCACACCUUGUUUUGUGAUCCUCGGCAUCCCAGUCACAAAACCUGAAGGGCACACUCGAGAUUGAAACAUGCCUUUGAAAAGUUCAAUGAAUCUCAAAGAUCUAGGAGUUUCAAAACCAAUUAAAACCUAAUAAUACAUUUCGUUUAUCUUGGUGGAAAUUGGUGAAUCGUCAUUCACCUACCUUCAAAUAUUUUAUAGCUUGGAUUACGGCAUACCUCUUCUAAGUUAUAAAAUAGUUUGUUGGGUCCUAGCCUUAAUAUUUCAUAUUGGGUGUCAUAUUAAGGACUUUAAAUCAACUAUCUUGAAUAUCUCCCAAAAGAUGUCUGGUUUAGACACCUAUGAUCUUCCCAAAUCUCUUGAAACAAGGUUUCCUAAUGAAGAUGAUGUCCCAUGGAUAUCAUACUUCUUCACCUCUUCAAAUUAUUCUCCCUAACCCACAAGUUCUUGAAAAGUUUAAGGUCACUCAGGCCCUAUUGGCAAGGCAAGGUCUAGGUGUGGUCACAUCUUGGAGAUGUAGUCACAUAUUGACAAGCCGGGAGAGUUGGGUGUCAAAGUCUUGAGAAAGUUGGUGGUUCAACCACUUUCUAAGUCACAUAGUGAGUUCCUUUGGGACACCUAUGAAACAGACUAUGACAAGACCCUUAAUGAUCUUAUCUAUUUGCUAAGAUCAACUUCCUAAAACUUUAUGGACAUUGACAAUGAUGACAUUGGAUAUCCAGUAAAGCAUUCUCUUCCCAAUGGAAAGGGAUCGGCUAUAGUCAACUCGGUUGACCAAAUGGUAAAGAGAAAAGCUAAGUCUGUGAUAGUCCUGUGUACCAUUAUCAAAGGGUCCAUAUGUUUGUAUUGCCAAAGAAAGGGCAUUGGUUGCGAAGCUGCCAAAUUUACCUAAGGAUGUUAAAGUCAAUAAGUUUGACUCUACUUCAGGUAAAAUCCACUAUCUAACUCUGUUAAGUUUCUAUUCUGAGAUUCUUGAUACAUGAUGUGACCGGGUCGCAUGGUGAUGGUUUAAGAAUCAAAGGAAAGUGAAGAAACUUAAAGGAAGAAUAUGCUGAAUCUGAUCGCAUAGAUGGAUUUCUAUCGCAUAGUUUGAAAAAUCGGAUUCUUGAGCUACUUCUUAGGAGUUAUGAGAUAUUGCUUAGGAAUAGAUAACAACAAGUUUUCAUAUGGAUUGUAAGGAUAGUUUUUCCGCAAAGUUUUAAAAUAAAAGGAAAUUUUUGAUUUUAUUUAUUUUAAAAUAUCCUUACAAUGGCAUCUGUGGAAAUUUUUGUUGCUUAUAAGAUUCCAUUAGUAGCAAGAGUGGAAGUAUGAAAUUGAUUCUUUCAUUUGUGGUAAUGUCUAAAUUUACCAAAUAAGGAAAGAUUCUCAUCACCCAAGUUUCAAUUGGACCGGAACUUGGAAUCAUGCAAGUUGUAUAGCAUGAUGAAUGAGAACUUUCAAGUUUUGGAAAAUUAAGACUAAUUACUUGUUCACAUGGAUGUGUGAGUCAAGUAAAGGACUUAGGGAUCGAGUACACAUUCUUGUGCACUGAUUAAGUCCACCACUAAAGAUCGAUAAGAAGAAUCAAAUAAGGCAGAAGGAUAAAAGUUUCUCAAAUCUGAAAAGAUGGGAGAGUACUUUAGUAUCAGUUUUGUGAUCAUCUUAAUGAUUAAGAAACCAUAUCAAAAUUAGUUCUCUAAGGAAAUCUUAGUGCAUUCUUAUGACUAAGAAGAGGAACUUGAAUUGUUGAAAUGGUUAAAUCAAGAAGAUGAGUCAUACUUCGUUCCAAUACAAGUCUUAGAGUCAUACUCCAAGAUUGUCAUUUGAGUGACAUGUCUUAAAGAAGGUUUAAAACACUUGUCAAAUGUAAGAGUAAAAGUUUUCUACUCUUGUACAUUUGAAAUUGGUAAGUUGUGAUGUUUUGGAUAAAACAAAGACCAACUUAGGCCAAUUGGGUAAAGUGUUUUUCUUGAUUAGAAUCCGCACUAUCUCUUGGAUGUUUGACAAGGGAGUCUUAUAUGUCAAGAGGACAGUGGGAGUCUUAAAGGUCUUGAAAGUCUCAAGAAAUAAUCAAGAAUAAAACCUAAAGUUCUUCACUAGCACACGACUUGAGGUUCAUAACCUAUCGUGUUGACAUAUUCUGUGCCCAUUCCAGUUAAAGUUGGUUUUGCAUAUGAGUUCUUAGAGUUCUCAAUUUGUUGCACAACAACUUGGAAGCAAUGGCAGGCCCUUGAGCUGCCAGGUGGCAAGAAGUUAAGAUUGAGUUCAAUCCAUAUGGUUUUGGAUUUGUCAUUAUCUUUGUCUUGUGAUUAUGGUUUGACAAAUUCAUAUGGGUAGGAACUCAUACACCAUAUAAAUCUAAGUGUCAUAAGGUUUCUCUCCGAUUCAUGAAAAUGAUGGUGAGGAAACGCUUUCACUAAGUAGAUUUUACGAAGAUAUCAAUUGUGUUAUUUGCAUUUUCAAAAGUCGUUAGUGGAGCGCGUGUGGUUAACCGGCACACUAACAUGGACUUGUGAGAAAUGGCAAAUGCCUAAGCAAUUGAGACCAUGAUUACGGUAUCCCUUUUCAUGGUUCUUGAAAUUGCUUAGACACACAGGUGAGCUAUCUACGGAAAGGGUGUAUGAAUCUAAAUUUCAGACUGUCCAGCUGAUUUCUGAGUACAUGUCAAAGCUAGUGGGAGCAUAAGUGUUAUGCUAAUAAUCAUCAUGUUAGUGGGAGCAUGAUAAUUAUGAUAAGUAUUGCAAGUUAGCAAUGUUAAUUAUAGAAAACAAAAGUUUCAAUUGGGAAAAAGUUGUUUUGCUAUAAUUAAGGGAGAGGAAAUUAUGCUUCAUCUCAAAUCUAUAAGCUUAGAUCGUGAGGUUUUAAUCAUUUAGUCAAGGAUAUAUAUGAAUUUCAUGUUGGAAUGGCUCAACAUAAGGAAAUUCUGUAUAUGGGUCCAUUAUUUGCGUUCUAAAAUUCGAUUAUGAUUACGGCAUCCCUUUUCAUAAUCUGAAUUAUGAGAACUUGGCAAAUUGAAAUGGAAAUAUUAUAGCAAAAGACUGGUUUAGUCUUUAUGUAAGACAUCAUGAAUCGUGUCCCAUAUGCUUCGGAUAUAGGAUCGAUUACAUGUGCUAUAUUCAUCCGUUCUAAAAUUUUCCAAAUGCCUGGGGCAUUAAGAAGGGAAAAGGUUUAGAACUGGAUAUGACUAAAAGGAUUAAACAAUUGUCGAGGACAAUCUAAGGUUUACCAAAGAUUGGUUACUCAAGGACAAUUGGAAGUAUAGUGAUAAUUCUGGAAGGACCAUAUUGACAUAAUCUGUAAGGAGGCAACUCUUGUUCAGAAGUGAUAGUCAAAAUGGAAUCUGGAAAUGUUUCAAAGUUAGAAUUUUCAAUCUGUGUAAGAUUAAGGAAACUUAAUGCAAGAAGGAUAUUUCCAAGGAGUUGAUCUCCUUUGGAAUACUCUGUAAUGAUUGUUGCCAAGUCUUUGUGACUUUGUGCAUAAUCAUUACAAGAGGAUCAAUGCAUAUAAGUUUAGAAUCUAACAGAUUUCAGUAAAUGGCAUGAAUUUGGAAUUCUUGCAUUUGCAGUAAGGAUUUGGGAGUGUGAAAAGAGAAUCAUUGAAGUUAUGUUCAAUUGAUCUAGUUCACAAAGUAAAGAUCAUAGACAAACAUAGUAUGCAUACUUGGUGUGUGGCAUGACUAGUGUUUAAGAAAACAUAGUGUACAUGCUUGGAGCAUGGGACAACUAUUGUUUUAAAUUCAAGAAUAAAGUUGAUAGCUGAAACAGUAUACAAUGAAUAAUGUGUAAUCAUAUGGUGAUAAAUAAAAGGUGUUUUAUUUAUGUUCAAAGGGUUGAUACCAUAUUGGAUUCAAUUAUUAUUGUGUUUCAUUUUGCAUGUUUUGACUUCCCGAAUAAACUGGGUUAUUCUUCCGGAAUGACUAAGUUAUUCAAACCAUCCACAGUCGGUCAUAUGUUGGAAGUAGAUAUGAAUUAAGACUGUCAUGGGUUGGCUUGUAGAGGUCUAAGGUGUUGGACAAAGGGCUACAACACUCAUGAGUGCUCAUAAGUUCUGAGUAUUGGAUUCAACCCGCGCUCAUUGGAAUCACUUCAUGGAUUUUAUCACGAGUGAUCAUGAGACGAUAAUAUCUUAUAUUCUUCAAACCUAGAGAUAUGAGUUGUUACUAUGAGUUGAUAGUACAUUGAUUGCACGAAAACGCAUUUGGUAACUCGGUGCUAUAAAACGUGCCUUUGUGUAUGAUUCAACAAGUAGUAGAACAAGCCAUAUGAGUCGAAGUUUAUCCAUUCCUUUUACCUUCGGGAUAAAAGCGAUAUCUGUGGGCCCCUCGAUGAUUUGAUGAUGACAAAUGGAAGUGCUCGGCCGGGCCAGGACUGAUUUGAUUUGUUCAAUUAGUCAGUCGUCAUAAAUCGGAAAUCGGGAAACAACAAAUGGACAGAGAGAAUGAUUAUAAUCCAUGUCUCAGUCCAUAUGAUAUCUAGAAUGGAGGAAUAUAUGAUCCCUUAUCUAAUGGACAAGUCAUUGACAAAGGUCAGAGUUCAUCUACAAGGUCAGAGUUCGACAGAAGCUUUUGAGAGCUACGAUUGCCAGUUGGUUCCUGAAGUCAUACGCAAUAAUAGUUUUAGACUUAUCCAAGUGGGAGACUGUUGGAUUAAUGUCUAAGUCCAUAACUAUAAUUGGUAAGACUUGACCCGACCCGGCAUGGUCCAUUUGGGUUGCAUACCAUCAUGCACUUGGAUAGACUAUAAUGAGAGAAAUAAGACACUUAUGGUUAUUAAUAUAUUAUAAGUUCUAGUAUAUUAAUAAUAAGAAUAAUAAGAUUAUUUAAUUAGUAUUGAUCAAGAAUUAAUCUAGGAUUAAUUAAGUGAUCAAAAGAAGACUAAUUAAAUAUAUGGGUUGAUUGUGUAAAUCAUCCAUACUUGUAUAGUGGGCUAAUGCUCCAUGGAUAAUCAAGUUGGGCUAAAACCCAUAGGAUGGUCCAUGGAUGCUCCAUGGUGUAUUUGUACCCAUGGAUCCAAGGAAAUGGAAAGCCAUGACAAUUAAGAGUUUACCCUAAUUGUGUAACUAUAUAAGCAUCUUAUUAUUGAGGAAAAAUCGGCCACUAGUAGUAUUCAAGAAAGGGCUAGCCGAUUUUGGUGAGUGUAGAAUUCUCUCAAGUCAUUCUAAGUGUUUUGAUGAUUGUGAUUCCAUUUGAGGUGUCACACUUGGGGCACUAAGCACUCAAGCUUCAUGAAGACUUUCUACAUCAAGAGGUAUGUAUUCUAUCUUGUUACAUUAUUGUUUUGUAUGCUAGAUUAGGAUAAUACCUUGGAAGUUCUUAUUUGCAUGUAUAAUAGAGAAAACAUAGAUCCAAGGUAUUUAGGGUUGCAUGUACACUUAGGAGUGUUAGAAUGCUCAAAACCCAACAACCAUAUGGGUAAUAGUCGACCGAUUGACAAAAUCCGCUCACUUCCUGCCAAUCAAAGAAACUUUCAAGUUGGAAAUACUUACACGGAUCUGUAUCCAAGAGAUAGUUUGUCCGCAUGGUGUGCCUGUGUCCAUUAUCUCCGAUCGAGACAUUAGAUUCACCUCAAUACUUUGGCAGUCAUUACAGGAAGCUCUCGGAACUAAGCUGGAUAUGAGCACAACUUACCAUCCCCAAACAGACGGACAGAGUGAGAGAACCAUUCAGACCUUGGAAGACAUGUUAAGAGCAUGUGUCAUAGAUUUUGGUAAGUCGUGGGACCUCCAUUUUCCCUUUGUUGAGUUCUCCUACAACAACAAUUAUCACACCAGUAUCAAGGCUACGCCUUUUGAAGCCCUUUAUGGUCGCAAGUGCAGGUCCCCUAUGUGCUGGGCCGAGGUGGGCGACACACAACUAGCCAAGGGGAAAGUCCUUGACAACACUCUCAUAGGCCUAGAAAUCAUCUGUGAAACCACAGAAAAGAUCGUACAAAUCUAGGAACGACUAAAGUCUUUGAGAGAUAGACAAAAGAGCUACGCCGAUAAAAGAUGAAAACCCUUGGAGUUCCGGGUUGGUGACCAUGUUCUUUUAAAGGGAUCACCCUGGAAAGGCAUGAUACGCUUUGGAAAGCGUGGAAAGCUAAAUCCGAGGUACAUAGGACCAUUCGAGAUCAUUGCUAGGAUCGGUCUCGUAGCGUACAAACUUCGUUUACCCUAAGAACUUAGCAACAUCCAUCCCGUCUUCCACGUCUCGAAUUUUAAAAAGUGUUUAUCCGACGAGACCCUUAUGAUCCCUUUCGAUGAGAUUGAAAUCAACAAGAAUCUUAACUUCGUGGAAGAACCAGUUGAAAUCAUGGAUCGAGAGAUCAAGCAAACAAAACAUAGCUGCAUAUCAAUAGUGAAGCUUCGCUGGAAUGCCAGGCGGGGACUUGAAUUCACUUGGGAGCGCGAAGAUUCUAUGAAACAGAAAAAUCCGCAUCUCUUUUCGAGUCCAUGAUUUGUAUCUUAUGUUUAAAUUUCGAUAUGAAAUUCCCUCUAACGGGGGAUGAUGUGACAACCUGUAAUUUAUUUUAUUCAAACCGUUUCAAAAAUAAAUCAAUUCAGAUUUAUUUCUGCUCCUGUUAACAUUAUUUUGGGUCUAAUUAAAUAUUCUAAGCUCAGUACAAUCAUGGUUUGGGUCCAAGAACGAAUUUUUCUAAGUCAUAACAUAGCAUCCGGGCCAAACACCCCUUCGAGAGGAGUGUACGGCCGUAAACUCGAGUUUACGGUCGUACACCCCCACACCACCCCCAUGGCCAAAAACUCCCUCCUAUAGAUGGAGUGCUUGGCCUUCAUUUACCACUUUACUUACUUCAAAGACUUUCUCUCUCUACUCUCUCUCUACAUCCAUCAAAUUUUCUUCAAGAUCUUCAAGAUUGUAAGUGUUUCUCCACCUUGAGUUGAGUUUCAUUCCUCUAUCUGGUGGUAAAUCCAUGUUUCUAUCUCAUUAAUCGCAUCUUUGUCUAGAUCUUCAUCUCUCACCAAGAACACCAAGAAUACACACUAGAUCUUGGUGGCUAAAAACCCCAUUUCAAGCUUCCUAAUAGUAAGUAACUACUUCCUAUGCUUGUUAUCUACCAAAAAUGCUUGUUCUUCACGUAAAAAUCGAACCAAAAGACAUGAUCAUGGAGGGUUUACGGCCGUAAACCCAUGUGUAUGGCCGUACACCCCUCAUUGGCCUCAAACUCUAGUUUUUGGUCGAUUAUUGGCCUUAAACUCGCCAUGCAUAGGACUUAGAACACUUCUGGGAGGCUAGAAAGGACCUUGAAACACCACAAAUCGCACCUUUCAGCAAGAGUGUAUGGUCGUAAACCCAUAGGUCGUAAACCCAUAGACCGUAAACCCAUGGGUCGUAAACCCAUGGACCAUACACUCUUGGGCCAUAAACUUUUGGGCCGAAAACCCCAUGGGGCCGCAAACCCAUGAUCAUACACCCCUUGUGACUGCAAACUCCCCUACUUCAAUCACAAGUGAUUCUAACACUUAGUUUUGAGUGCUUCCUAGUCCCUAAGGUGAUUUCCUUCCAUAACUAAUAGUGUUAUACCCUCAUCUAAUACAUAUGUGGUGCUAUAUGUUAAAUAGGAUCCGUUUUUGUUCGAGACUUCAUUUGACACUCAGCAUUCCUAUCGACUCACUUUGAAUCCCACGAUAAAGAGUGAGUUCUUACCCCUACGCUUUUAUGAUUUUUAAAUGUUUUCAGGGGGAAUACCAGCCAAACAUAAAGGUUUUCAACAAGUUAAACCUAUGCAAUUUAUACAAAUCAAUGGGUUUCAUAAAGCAUUUAGAUACUUAAUCGCUUUUGUAUUAUGCGGAGCAUAAGGGAGGUUUUUCUAAAUUAAAUUGCAUAGUUUUUCCGAACAUUUCAUGAACAUAACAUUACAAUGAAACUAUAAUGGGUAUAGUUUGGGGAUUUCAUUACCAGUUUUACAGAUGCAAACUACUUUCACGGUUGAAUAUAAACUAUGACAAAUUUAGUUUAUAACAUACAUUAUUACGAGAAUACAAUAGUAAAUAAUUACUUAAGUAUAAUUAUUUUUACUCUGCAAAACAUACAUCGAAUUGACAUACGAAAGAACAUUAUGUUUUAUAUGUAUUAUUACUUGUACAGUCGUUAACCUAAUUGGGAGACAAGUCCUUGGGCGCUUACAACAUUAACUAAGUGGAGGACUACUCUUAUGAGCCAGAGUCUCCUCGCGAAAGAACGUGGCUUUUGUGUAUAGAUCUAUACGAGAUUGACCACCCUGCACCUUGCGGCUAGCUACAGUCAGACCGGCAGGUCUAUGGGUGACAAAGUCAUAAAGGAUAUUGGCGUCAGAUUUACGUCGUAUCAAGUUUAGUAUGGUCAUAAAACUCGCCAGUAGUAACGAUAUAUUUACAUAAUAAUAUUCUUCUCACGAACAAUUGCUUUAAUAACAGAAGUGUGAUACUUAUGCCAUACAGUUUCAGAACCAUUAAAGCAACAACAACACACACAUACAAGGGAAAAUAAGGGAUUUUCCCAGAUCAAACCUCAUACAUUGCAUACUAGUGGUAGUCAGGGUUUUCAAAACGAUUCAUAUUUCACAUACAUUAUCAAAUAAAUAUGUUAGAAAAUGUUGGAUUUUUCUUGGAAAACAUAGAUACAUUUUAUAGAUCUCUUCACAAGUUUUCAUUACAGAACAUGCUUAUGAACUCACCAACUUUAUGCUGAUUUGUUUUCAAAAUCUCUUGUAUUCUCAGGUGAUCGAUAGACAGGUACCUCCUGGAGUUUUGAAAAGACGGAAUAUUUAGAGCCACGUCUUUUACUUUUGUUAUAUUUUUGAUGUAUACAAACUAUAUUUUCAAACAGAUGUAAAUAUUCAUAUGUUAAUGUAGUGGUUGUGUUUACUUUGAUUUCUAUGAUGCAAUUGUUAUGAUACUACGCAUGAUGUCCUACACCCCGAACAUUUUCGUCGUUCCGGUUUGGUGGUGUGAUAGUCAGCCAGAGUAAAGGUUAAGGUUCCUAGUUGCCAACAUGGGAACAUAGGGAGUUGUUAUAGUAGCAUGAGAAGUGGAUUAAGGUAUCGGAUUGGACUAGAAUUCAAGAGUACUCUUCAAGAUUUUAGAGGAUAGAUGAUAUUAGGGUUUGACUGGGAAUUGAUAGCUAACAUGGGUAAGCACAUGUUGUCAACAGUGGACUAUUAGGGAGUAAGAAGGAUUGGGAAUCCUUUAAUUCUCACAUGUCAUGAACAAUUAGUCAAAUCUAAGUGGGGGAGAAUCAAUCAUGUAUUUAGGAGCAGAAACAGGGGUGAAACUAGGACAAUUUCCGCACACUUUUUAGGAAGAAAGACGGCCUAAGAGGCUGUAUGGAUUGAGGAUAGGGUAAGUUAGAUGUCUGGAGACUCACCAACAUUGAGAUCGCUUUAUGUUGAUGGUUGAUAGCAUGCGCUAGGAAACUAGGUCAGGGAUUCCAGUCAGGACAUGAGUUCAUCUUGGGAUAUUAGAUCGUGUAUGUAUGCUCAACUUUAGGUGGGUUCGAAUUAGUAAUCAGCGAUAAGACAAUGGUCAGCAUCUAGUCAAUGUGGGAAGUGUUGUAGGACUAUGGGAUAGUCGUAGCAUUCACAAGGUUGUCAGAUAGUGUUGGGAGUGUUGUAUGUUUGUGAGAUAGUCGUAGCAUUCAUAAGGUUGUCAGAUAGUGUUGGGAGUGUUGUAAGUCUACGAGUGUAGCCGUAACAUUCACAAGGUUGUCAGAUAGCGAUAGAAGUGUUGUAAGUCUGCGGGUGUAGCCGUAGCAUUCACAAGGUUGUCAGAUAGUGUUGGACGUGUUAUAAGUCUGCAGGUGUUGCCGUAGCAUUCACAAGGUUGUCAGAUUGUGUUGGAAGUGUUGUAACUUUGCGGGUGUAGCCAUAGCAUUCACAAAGCUUUCAGAUGGUGGUAGAAGUGUUGUAAGUCUGCGGGUGUAGCCGUAGCAUUCAUAAGGUUCUCAAAUAGUGUUAGAAGUGGUGUAAGUCUGUCGGUGUAGCCGUAGCAUUCUCAAGGUUGUCAGAUAGCAUUAGAUUGUUGUAAGCCUACGAAGGUAGCCGUAGCUUUCACUAGGUUGAUAGAUAGUAUGGUAGUGAUGUUAGAUCACGAGAAGAAGAGUAGUACCCAUCAGUUUGGGUGCAACAGUGAGGGCAUGGCAAUCCACAGAAUGGGUUACAGAAUGGCCUAGAUGGGUUAAGACUGGAUGAGCCAGUGAUAAGACCGUAGGAACACCACGACAGUCAUGGUAUCAAGGGAACGAUGGACCACAUAAGGUUGUUUGUGAUAUAAUGCUAUCUUCAGUCAUGUAGAAAUCACUUUUAGCCUCGGAUUUAGAAAUGUCUGGAUACGACAAAUGGAUGUGAUCUGUUGGAUUAGGAGUUCAUUUGGGCCAUAGUGGUAAGAUAAUUGAUGGCGACUAUUGACAUAUGAGAAAUUCGUUCGAAAGUUGCUUAUGACAGCUGUAUGGGAGCCUUUAGCUCAGUAACCAGGUAGGAACCUAGUAUCCUAGAUGAUUGGCAAAAAAAUUGAGACUAGGAGGGUCUCAGUGUAAUUUGGAAAGCAGACAGGAGGUAGUUCACUGUUUCAGGCAGUUCAGUAUUUUAAGCAGUUCAGCAUUCAGGCAGUUCAGUGUUUUGGGGCAACUUCGAUGUCUCAGGCAGUAUUAGUGUUUUAGGUCUGCAAGUACAGACGGAGUAACUGAUCGAUUGAGAAGCGAUAAGUCACUUGCAGUGGGACUAAAUAAUCUUAGAGUAGUUUAUUUGACUUUGAUGAGCAUCUCUCGUAUGAGUCUAAUCAUUGUAGGGAUAAAUCUUCUACUCAAAGGAUUAUCUGAUCCUUCUGUCAGGUGUAAGUGUUUUGUAGCCCUUUAUGGAUAGUGACUUUUCUUUUUCAGUAGCAGUGUGAUGAGUGACAGUUUGGUCUGAGGGGUCUGAAAGGGAGCCAAACCACUCAGACCUUAGGGUUCGGAUUUCAGGGAAGUAGGAUCGGUUUUAUUUGAGAGAUCGAGGAAUUGUUCUUCGUCGAGCUUGAAGAACUACUCUAUGGAUGGUUUAGUAGAUCGAGAUAGGCCGAUUUAUGAUCAAAAUUGGAAGGUUUUUCUAUCAGAUGAGAUAUUGAUAGAGAGUGGUUUCGGUAUGAACAAGCUUUCGGGAAGCCAAACUACGAUAAGUGUCAGGUCAAAGAAGGUAGAAGUAGCUUACAAGGGUUGAAGGUUUGGGUGAUAUUUCCUGGGUAGAAGUUUCUGUUACCUUGGGAAGGCCAUUAAUCGCAUUGGGUGAUGGUGUUGGGUUUUGAGCAUUCUAACACUUCUAAGUGUACAUGCAACCCUAAAUACCUUGGAUCUAUGUUUUCUCUAUUAUACAUGCAUAUAUGAACAUUCCAAGGUAUUAUCCUAACUAGCAUACAAAACAUUGAUUCAUAUGUAAUAAAGCAAGUUAGAAGACAUACCUUUUGAUGUAGCUUGAUUCCAUGGAGCUUAAGAGCUUAGUGUUGGAUUAAUGUCUAAGUCCAUAACUAUAAUUAGUAAGACUUGAACCGACCUCGCAUGGUCUAUUUGGGUUGCAUGGCAUCGGGACAAUUGAAUAGACAAGAUGAGGAAAAAGGAUACUAAUGAUAAAUAUUAAUAUAUUAUAAGUUCUAAUAUAUUAAUAUAUAAUCAUAUUAUUUACUUAGUAUUGAUCAAGAAUUAAUUUACAAUUAAUUAAGUGAUCAAAAGGAACUAAUUAAAAAUGGACUCUUAGAUAUAUGUGUGGUGGGCCAAGUUCAUUUAGGUUGGGCUAAGCUUUCAUGCAUAGUCCAUGGAGUGUUUAACCCAUGGAUAAUAUGAAAUGAAAUGUCAUGGGUUUAACCCUAGUCUCCACCUUGUAAAGUUCAUAUUUCCAUGUAUAAUAGAGAAAACAUAGAUACAAGGUAUUUAGGGUUGAAUGUACACUUAGAAGUGUUAGAAUACCCAAAACCCAACAGUGGUAUCACAAACAUGGGUUGUUUUCUGUUAUAUUGAUGCAAAUGUUUUAUUUUCAAAGUUGAAAAAAAAGAAAAAAAAAACAUAACAUUUAUCAAAUUUUAAGAUAACUACUUGUUUUUGUGAAAAACUAAUUAUUUGUAAAAUUUGAAUCAUUUGCUAUAUGAGUUGAAUUAGGUCAAAUUUAGUAAAAGAUAAAAUGAUAUGAUUAUUUUAUUAGUUUUAAAAGUUUGAUCUAAAGGUUUUUUUUUGAAACCUCCAUAAGUUAUGGAUAUGAAAAGGUUUUAAAAAAAUUGAUUCAAAGUUUUUAUGGAGUUAGAAAAUUUGGUGUUAAUGUUUUAAAAGAAUUCCAUAACUUAUUUGUAAGUUAUGGAACAUGAAAAGUUUCAUCAUAAAACAAGCAUUUAACUCCAUAAGUUAUGGAUUACCAAAAGUUUUAUGUUUCCUUGAUUUAUGAGUUGCUUUGAUUAAUAGAUAAGUUAAUUGAUUAUGUGUUUUCAAUCCAUUUUAAUCUAAGAGUUGAUUCUAAAAUGUGUUCGUGUAACUUGUCCUCAAGUUACAUGAAAGGUCACAUUUAAGUUUCUUAAAAACUCAUAAAAGUUGGAAAAGGUUACAAAAUGAAGAGUCUUGUGCACUUAUGAGUGUUAGAAUGCUCAAAACCCUACAGUGGUAUCAUAAUAUCGAUGGAGCGUGUGUGGUUAACCGUCACAUCGUUUGAGGGGUAAACAUUUAAGGGUACCAAGUAAUUUGCAUGGUUACUUCACUCCUUGUUUUGUGAUCCUCGGCAUCCCAGUCACAAAACCUGAAGGGCACACUCGAGAUUGAAACAUACCAUUGAAAAGUUCAAUGAAUCUCAAAAGAUCUAGGAGUUUCAAAUCCAAUUAAAACCUAAUAAUACAUUUCGUUUAUCUUGGUGGAAAUUGGUGAAUCGUCAUUCACCUACCUUCAAAUAUUUUAUAGCUUGGAUUACGACAUAUCUCUUCUAAGUUAUAAAAUAGUUAGUUGGGUCCUAGCAUUAAUAUUUCAUAUUGGGUGUUAUAUUAAGGACUUUAAAUCAACUAUCUUGAAUAUCUCCCAAAAGUUGUCUGACUCAGACAUCUAUGAUCUUCACAAAUCACUUAGAACUUCAAUUCCUCCAUCUCAUCCAAUUAUUCUCCCUAACCCACAAGUUCAAGGUCACUAAAGCCCUAUUGGCAAGCAAAGUCUAUGUGUGCUCACAUCUUGGAGAUAAAGUCACAUAUUGACAAGCCGGGAGAGUUGGUUGUCAAAAUCUUGAGAAAGUUGGAUGUUCAAUCACUUUCUAUGUCACAUAGUGAGUUCCUUUGGGACUAAUACGGAAUAGACUAUGACAUGACCCUUAAUGAUCUUAUCUAUUUGCUUGGUGCUUCUAAAUCAGCAAUGAUUAGGAGGACUAGUAAAGCAAAUUUGAUUUGAAGAUCAACUUCCCAAACUUCCAUGGACAUUGAAAAUGGUACAUGGUAAGGGGCAUUGGUUACGAAGCUGCCAAAUUUACCUGAAAGAUCUUCAGGUAAAGUCCACUAUCUAACUCGAUUAACUUUCUAUUCUGAGAUUCUUAUUACAUGAUGUGACUGGGUCAUAUGUUGAUGUUGUAAGAAUCAAAGAAAAGUGAAGAAACUUAAAGAAAGAGUAUGCUGAAUCUGAUCGCGUAGAUGGAUUUCUAUUGCAUAGUUUGAAGAUUGGAUUCUUGAGCUACUUCUUAGGAGUUAUGAUAUAUUGCUUAGGAAUAGAUAACAACAAAGUUUUCAUGUGCUUUUGCACUGUAAGGAUAGUUUUUCCGCAAAGUUUUUAGAAUAAAAGAAAAACAUUUUGAUUUUAUUUAUUUUAAAAUAUCCUUACAAUGGCAUUUGUGAAAAAAAAAAUUGUUGCAUAUAUGAUUCCAUUAAUAGCAAGAGUGGAAAUAUGAAUUUGAUUCUUUCAUUUGUGGUAGUGUCUAAAUUUACCAAAUAAGGAAAGUUUCUCUUCACCCAAGUUUCAAUUGGACCGAAACUUGGAAUCAUGCAAUUUGUAUGACGAAUGAGAAUUUUCAUCUUUGGAAAAUUAAGACUAGUUACUUGUUCACAUUUAUAUGUGAGUCAAGUGAAGGACUAAGCGAUCGAGUACACAUUCUUGUGCACUGAUCAAGUCUACCACAAAAGAUCUUUUAGACUAUUCGUCAUGAUUUAAUAAAAUUUAGUAAAUAUGGUUACACUUACAAGUUCAAGUGUAAUUCUGAUACAUUGGAAAAUUUUCGAUGUAUGGCAGAACGAAUGAGAAGAACCAAGUUAGGCAGAAGGAUAAAAUUUUCUCAAAUCUGAAAAGAUGGGAGAGUACUUUAGUAGCAUGUAAUAUGAUUAUCUUAAUGUUUAAGAGACCUUAUCACAAUUCAUCCUCUAAGUGCAUCCUGAUAGCUAAGAAGAGGAGCUAUGAAUUGUUGAAGUGGUCAAAUCAAGAAGAUGUCAUAUCUCGUUCCAAAGACAAUUCUUAGAGUCAUACUCCAAGAUUGUAACAUGAGUGACAUAUCUUAAAGGAAGGUUUAUUAACACUAGUAAAACAUAAGAGUAAAGUGUCUCCUACUCUUGUACAUUUGAAAUUGGUGAGUUGUGAUGUUUUGGAUAAAACAAAGACCAACUAAGACCAAUUGUGUGAAGCGUUUGUCUUGAUAUAGAAUCCAAACUAUCUCUUGAAUAUUUUGCAAGAUAUUCUUAUAUGUCAAGAGGACAGUGGGAGUAUUAAAGAUCCUGAAAAGAAUUUCAAGAUCUAAUGAAGAAGAAAAACCUGUAGUUUAACACUAGCACAAGACGUGAGGUUUAUAACCUAUCGUGUUGACAUAUUUCAAUUUCUGUGCCCAUUCCAGUUAAAGUUGGCUUUGCAUAUGAGUUCUUAGAGUUCUCAAUUGGUUGCAUAACAACUUGGAAGCAAUGGCAGGCCCGUGUGCUGCCAGGUGGCAAGAAGUUAAGAAUGCACAAGUUUAAUCCAUAUGGGUUUGGAUUUGUCAUUAACCGUGUCUUUUGAUUUAUGGUUUUGACAAAUUCACAUGGACAAUAACACAUAUACCAUAAAAUCUAAGGGUUAUAAGGUUUCUCCCCGAUUCAUGAAAAAUGAUGGUCAAGAAACACUUCCACCAAGUAGAUUUGAAACAGAUAACAAAGCUCUAAAAAAUUGAAACUAUGAUUACGACAUCCCUUUUCAUAGUUCUAAAAUUGUUUAGCCACACCUGUGAGCUAUCUAAGAUAAGGUGUAUGAUUUUGAUAAAGUCUUAUCAAGGCAAUCUCGUCUCAGAAAUCUGAACUUUGGUAAGAAAGUCAGUAAAGUACUGACUUUUACAAUUCCAGUUGAUUUCUGAGUACAUGUCAAAGCUAGUGGGAGCUUAAGUGUUAUGCUAACAAUCAUCAUGUUAGUGGGAGCAUGAUAAUUAUGAUAAAGGUUGCAAGUUAGCAAUGUUAAUUAUAGAAAACAAAAGUUUCAAUUCGUGAGGUUGCAUGGGUUGAAAAAGUUGUUUUGCUAUAAUUAAGGGAGAGGAAAUUAUACUUCAUCUCAAUUCUAAAAUGCUUAGAUUGAGAUUUUAAUCAUCUUAGUCAAGUGUGUGUGUGUGUGUGUAUAUAUAUAUAUAUAUAUAUAUAUGAAUUUUAUGCUGGUUUGGUUCAACUUAAAUUCAAUUAUAAUUACGACAUCCCUCUUCAUAGUCAAAUUUUGAGAACAUGCAAAUAAAAAAUAUUGUAGCAAAAGAAUGGUCUAGAAGCAUGUCUUUAUGUGACACAUCAUGAAUCGUGUCCCAUUUUUUUUGGGUACAAGAUCGAUUACAUGUGCUAUAAUAUUUGUCGUUUCUAAAUUUUCCAAAUGCCUGGGGCAUUAAGAGGGAUAAGGUAUAGAAUUGGAUAUGACUAAAAUGAUUAAGCAAUUGUCGAGGACAAUCUAAGGUUUACCGAUGAUUGGUUGCUCAGGGAAAGUUGGAAGUAUAGUGUUAAGUUUUUGAAAGGACCAUAUUGACAUAUUCUGAAAAGAGGCAACUCUUGUUCAGAAGUGAUAGUCAAAAUGGGAACGUUUCAUAGGUGGAAGUUAUUAAAUCUAUGUAACAUUAAAAAAAGUUAAUGCAAGAAGGAUGUUUCCCAUGGAAUUGAUCUCCUUUUCGAUGUAGCUUCAUUCCAUGGAGCUUAAGAGCCUAGUGUUGGAUUAAUGUCUCAGUCCAUAACUAUAAUUGGUAAGACUUGACCCAACCUGACAUGGUCCAUUUAGGUUGCAUGGCAUCGGGACAAUUGGAUAGACAAGAUGAGGAAAAAGGAUACUAGUGAUAUAUAUAUAUAUAUAUAUAUAUANNNUAUAUAUAUUAAUAUAUUAGAAGUUCUAAUAUAUUAAUAUAUAAUCAUAUUAUUUACUUAGUAUUGAUCAAGAAUUAAUUUACAAUUAAUUAAGUGAUCAAAAGGAACUAAUUAAAAAUGGACUCUUAGAUAUAUAUGUGUGGUGGGCCAAGUUCAUUUAGGUUGGGCUAAGCUUUCAUGCAUAGUCCAUGGAGUGUUUAACCCAUGGAUAAUAUGAAAUGAAAUGUCAUGGGUUUAACCCUAGUCUCCACACUAUAUAAAGAUGUCAUUGGUUGGUGAAAUUGGCACUAGCAUGGGUACACUAAGAGGGCUAGCCGAAUUCACUAGAGAGAACCAAAGUAUCCUUAUUAUCAAGCUUAUUCCAAGUGUUCAUGGUGUUUUGUAAACCAUUUGAGGUGUCACACUUGGGGCACUGGGCACUCAAGCUUCAUGAAGACAAGUUACAACAAAGAUUUAUGUAUUCUAACUUGUUAUAUUACUAUGUAUCAAUGUUUUGGUAUGCUAGUUAGGAUAAUACCUUGUAAAGUUCAUAUUUGCAUGUAUAAUAGAGAAAACAUAGAUCCAAGGUAUUUAGGGUUGCAUGUACACUUAGGAGUGUUAGAAUGCCCAAAACCCAACACCUAGUGCCUCAAGUGUGACACCUCAAAUGGUUCACACACACUACUAGAAAAACAGCCUUUAAUGACGUGCAAACAAUGACACACAAUGAUUUACGAUACGAAAAAGUGUGCGUCCGUAAAAUAAUGUCAUCUCUUAUAAAAUUUGAAGGAUAGAGGACAAGCAUUUUGUGCGCGCCCUAAACUUAGUGUCCAAAAAAAACACGGAGGGCGCAUACGAUAAGAUGUGUGUCGUGUGCGCACGUCGCUUUAUAUUUUUUUUCAUAAACACGCGUUUUAGAAGCUCGCGGGGAAAUAAACUUCCAAAAGUUUGAAAAGCCACCAUGCUCUCCUCUACCUUCUUUCAAUCGUUCUUAGCUCUCUCUCUCUCUCUCUCAAUCAAAUACCAAAAAUCGACUAUUGUUGGAACUAGGGUUCCAGUUCUUAGUGAAAUCUAAGGUUUUUUGGUGACCGGGCCAUGAAAUUGAUCAAAGGGGUAAAAUUGUUGGAACCACGACUAUUGUUGGAACUAGGGUUUUAGUUCAUAAACCCACCAUCUACUUCUCUCGAUCUUCAGUUCCUCAAUUAUUUUCUCAGCCUCUCAAUCAAUAGAAGAGAGCUGUAUCACGAUCGCAAAUUUAGAGUGAUUUCCAUAUCAAGUAGAACAACAACUCCAUUACAUUCAAGGUCUCGAAACUCCAUGGUCAAUCACCAUCAACAUUCUGCUUCUUUAUUUGUUCUAGAGGUUCGACUUCCUUUAUUACGAGUUUUAUCACCUUUUUAAUCGAACUCGAUUAGCCCUCGAUACCUAAUGUUAUCUUUUGCAUUGUUGCUUCUGCUCCGUUCUUCUUGAAACCUCCCCACACUCUAAUGUCAAAUUCGACACUUUUGUCGAAACAUACUUUAUGAUAUCAAGUUGGAAAUCAAUAGAAAUGGCUAUGAAUGCCGGUUGGGUUGGAGGAUUCUCUGGAGGACGAGAGAGAUUUGGAUCAGAUUAUGGCAGAUCGUAGGGCUGCAGAGAUUGAGCUUGAUACCAUGGAGGGUGUUGUGUCAAGGGAAAAGCUCCCCCAUCAUCUCAACGAUCAACAUCGGUUAGGGUUUCUGUUUUUUUUUUUUUUUGUUGUUUUAUUUCCAUACCUUCACCAUCACCAAUGUUACUUUGUGCUUCAUCUGAUGUACGAUUACCUUCUCCUUGUUAUGGUUGCAAUACUCCUAUGGGUCGCUCUGAUUCUCCAUGGGAUAAUUUUCCCCUUCUCCUAUUCCAAUUAGGGCAAUAAUGAGAGUGUGAUGUUAGAGAUGGAGUACAACUCUGAGAGUAUAAAGGUUGUUGCAAUACAUCUUUGCAUCAAUUAUUCCAUUAGACUCUUUGUACUGAUGUCCUCAAAAUAGGGAGCUUAGACAUACUCUCAAGUGUCAACAUUAAAACAACAGAUUGAAUUCUUCAUUUAAUGUAGAAAAAUUUGAAAGUUGUAAUAAAACUUUAUAAUGAUGUAAUAAGGUAACAUUAGUAUUAUAGCUGCAGCAAAGUCUACAGCUGGUGUGGAAUUUCAAAAUGAUUAGGUUUCAUCUCAGGAAUCAUGGAGCUUAACUUUAUUUCAGGAAUCAUGUACAUCCAUCUUGGGUCAAAUCUGAAUUACUAAGCUAUAAACAGGUUUCCACAUCAAUGGUACAACACAUGCUUGAUUACAUUUUGGAAAAUUCAAGUUCAUUAACUGGUACCCCACAUGGAAAAAAGAAAAACAAAGUAACAACCCAUUUGAAACCUGAUGAUGCGGGCCAUACUCGAUGCAUCAUUUUGUUACUAAAGAGCGACAUAGACAACAAGUCUGAUCUUAAAUUCUUGGAUAUCUCUAAUUUUUUUUCUUCUGACUCAAAUCAACAAAGAAAUGACAUCCCCACAGAGUUGCUAACUAUUCCAGCAAUACGAUCACAUCUGUGAUUUGUUACUGCAGACUUGCUAACUAUUUAAGCUAAUCACAUUUUUUUUUUGAACUUGAAACUGUUAAAUCUUUAUAUAAAAAAAUGUUACAGAUAUGAAUCUUAAUAGUUUAAUAAGGAAUUGGGAUAUCAAGUGGAGGAUGCAAUCUGAAGUGGGUUCUCAAGUUACACAAUCGCUCCUGAUUACUGGCUUUUUGUGUCGGAUUUAUCAUGGGGGUGGACCCAACUUUUUGAUGAGAUUGCUGAUGGAUCAUGGAAUAUAAUUAGUGGUACAGACCAUAAGUUUUUUAGGCCAAUGACAUGAUAUCCUUUUCAUAGUUAAAAUUAGAUGAGCUGUACAUAGGAUUAAGUUAUCCUAUUUAUCUUUUUUGCUUCUAAAUGUUGUUCUGUCUUCAUGAUCCUUGAUUUUCAUAAUUACAAUUAGAUAGCAAUAUGAAAUGUUGGAUAUUACUUGUCAAACUUCUUUCCGUUGUUCAUUUUUUUAAUGGUAGUUGUAAACGUAUGUUUCAUUUUGUCUUGUAUGGAGAUAAAGAAAGGUAGAUGAUUAGCAGAUAUAUAUAAGUAUUUAUAAUGUAUAGAAUGUUUUUGUGUAUACAUCAUAUAGAUAUUCUGGACAUAAUCCAGAAAUCUAGAAAAAACAGUUGCAUAUGACUUUUCCGGGUUUGGGGAAAUAUUAUAUUGAACUAAUGAAAACUUCAUCAUGCAGGUGUUCUUCUUGGGGUAGGCUUAUAUGGAGAAAAAAGUGCAUUAAGUUUAGCUGAUGGGAUCAAGAAUCAGGUGGAUGGUAGUUUCUACUUUAUAAUUUCACAUAAUUAUGAGCCAUAAAGAAAAUAGAAGGUCCUGGUACAUUUUAUUUAUUUAUUUUUGAAACAGGGGGAGGUAAAUGAAAAGAUCCCUACAGAUGUUCAAUCUUCUUCUUCUUCUUUUUCUUCUUCACCAUCUGGACACCAAAGGAAACCACUAAAGCCUCUGUCUCCUUGGAUCACUGAUUUAUUGCUUGCUGCACCUUUAGGUAUCAGAAGCGACUACUUUCAUUGGUAAGUGCUUGUUUAAUUUUUAAAAAAAAAAGUUCUUUUUGUGUGUUUUCAUGACUAUUGCCUUUUCUUACUUAUUUAACAUUUGUAGGUGUGGGGAUGUUAUGGGAAAAUACGCUGCAGGUGAACUGAAGCCACCUUCUCUUGGUAAGUGGAAAAGUUUUUUUUAUACAACUUUUGCAAGAAGGAUAAUAACGAUUAACACAGUAGUAAAAUUUUGUGUUUAGUAAUGGCUUCUACAUGUGGAUCUGGAAAGCAUCCAUAGUUAAUGCCAUCUACACCAAGGUAAAUUGGUUAGUAAUCAUCUGUAAACUAACCUAAUUUAUAUAUAUGAACUUGGUGUAGAAUUAUACAUUAUUGAAAUAUUUUUCUUUUUCAGUGGAUUAAUCAUGUUGAAGAUGUUAUCAGACAUUCGACAAUGUUGUUGAGCAUCCAUUUCACUUUACACACACAUAUAUUUUAUAUAUAUUACACAAUCUCUCCCACCGGCCCCAAUCAUCCUGAGCUCAAAUCUUUCUAGGUAUUUGUUACCAAAUAAGGAAAGAAUGGAUAGAGUAAGAACACCAAAGUUGCAUAGAUACAUAGCAAUACUGUGUGUCAUUCUGUUUCUAAAUAUAUAAUGUUCAGGGGAGGUAGACAUAACCAUCAUUGAAAGUGUCGCGUCUAAAGGAGCUGGUAUGUAGUAUGUACUAGUUGAUUCAUUAGAUUAAACCUACGUUUCAUAUCAUUAUUUCUAAUAAUAGAAAGUCAUAAAUUUAGAAAGAUUUGACGAGUCUAAUUGCUUGAGGUGCAGUUUGUUUAGAUGGAAGCCCACCUGCUUACCAGCUUGAUAGAGGGUUUGGAGAUGGUGUCAAUAAUUGGUUGGUUCAUAUAUAGUUCUGUCUUCCUUAAUUUGUUAAGUACUCAUGACUUUCUAUUUUUAUUUUAAUAAUAAAACGUUCUUAACUUAGAAAGAACCUAUACAUAUUGCUUUUCAUGAAGCCCAAAUACUCGGUGGUCAAUCCAAUCUCAAUUUGCGCAUUCACUAUGAUAAGAGAAACAUAUUUUUAUUUGCAUAAAGUAUACACGUGUUACGUCUAUACAGUGUAGUCAUACAAUCUAGCAAUGGAUUUACAUCAUGCAAAACACCAGAGCAUAUAGACAUGGGUUUAGGCCAUAAUAUGUUUCAUCUAAUCGAGAACUUCUUGAUUUCCCUAAUUUGUUGCUGAUGCAGUUGAAUAUCCCACCAUCCAUUGUUAAUUUAUCCAAUCUUUCAGGGUUGGAUCUAAGUGAUAACAAGCUUCAUGGACCCGUUCCUGUCUCUAAUGAAACAUCCCCUGGUCUAGUCUUGACAGGUUAAAGAAUGCAAAUUUUUGCCGAUCAAGGUGGUGAUUCUCAUUGGAUUUACAAGGAGCAAAGUUAUUAUUGGUCAAAUUUUUUAUGUUAUGUUCUAUACUUCUUAUUCUCACCUGAAAUUCUAUCAUAGGGGCCAUAGUAAGGUCAUGUUAGAUGAAAAACAUUUUCAAUACCUCACUAUUUUGAUAUUCAAUCUUCCAUUCAAGCAGAUGAUUCAUUGUACUUUCACUAGUAAAUGACUGUGUUGCCCUUGUGUCUUUUAUCUUUUGUUUAGCUGAGAAAUUUAAUUUGUAUAUGAUUCCUUUGUUUUGUUCGUAAGGUGGUUUUGAUGGUAACUCCAUGAAGGUAGCCGAGUUAUUGUUCAACAAUGGGUUCAAAAGCUUCAGAGUAUAUAUCCAUUUGCCAAAUCCAAAAUCCUCAUUGUAAAAGUCAACACAACUACUGGAUAAGGGCUGCCAUUUUCGUAUUUACCCUGGGCGAAACAAGUUGCAGAGUAAAGUGCAUAUGCAGCACCCUUACACAUACAACACUUUAUCCAGACAAAUAUUAUCACCAUUCAAGACUUAAUUGGAAAAAAGAAAGAAACAACCUGUAACACUCGUGUUUCUAGCCUAGGCAUUUAUAUUGAGUUGAUAGUCUAGGUUAACCUUUGUAACUCAUUUUGAAGAAAUGAAAAAGGAAUUAUGUGAAUUAUGUGUUUUAUGCUUAAUUAUUAGGGCUUAAUUAAUUAAGAAUAAAAAUAACCAUCAAAAUUAAAGUGUGAGAUAAGCCCGAUAUCUUUACAUAAAGUUGUAGUGGUCGAAACAAGGAUUUCGGGGAUAUAAAGAAUACCAAAAUCCGAGUUAUAACGAAAAAGUUAUGACCUGUCGAAGUUUCGCAACAAAACUGGCACGGUGCUGAAUGUCGUAAAAAGUGAGUUUUCGAUAAACUACUUUUUAGCCUUGGUAAUCUAAACGAAAGACGUAGUAUUCGUUAAACCGAGAAGUUCGAUAAAAAGAACGCCCAAAUCUGACUUCGUAUGAGGAAGUUAUGAUUUUUCGAAGUUUCAGCGUAGCAGUAGACAGCUAAAAACUCGAAUUUUAGAUUGAGCGAUUUUUAGCCGACACAACCUAAACGAGAAUUGAAGGUCUCGUCAUUAGGAGCACAACGGUAAAAAGUCUGACGAAAACGGACGUCGGAUGAAGAAGUUAUGAAUUUUUAACAGAUUUCCUGUCCAGGUCUGUUAAAAAUAAUAAUAUGAAAUUUAAACAAAUUAGCCGACGAAGUAUAAACGGAAGUUGUAAAUCGUAAUUUUAGCUACGCGUGCAUAUAAAGAACGUCAAAAACGGAGCUCAUAUGCGAAAGUUAUGAAUUUUAGAAGUUUUGGCGCGAAAACCGAGAAAUUUCGCAUAGUCACACUUUGCCACGUCACCCUCGCCUCGCAUGUGACACGUGUCCUGCUGAGUCACCGAAGCUGCUGAGUCACCAGGCUGCUGAGUCACGAAGCCACCUGGCGAGGCGUGUCAUGUCCUUCCGAGUCCGAGCUGCGGUCCAAUCCNCGAAGCUGCCAGCCUUCUGUCCGAGCCUCGCACCCAGCUCCGAGCCUCGCAUAGCCUAGCUCCGAGCCUCGCAGGUGCGCCAGUAAGCCGCGGUCCACUUAGAAGCCGACAGCGAGCCCUCGUAUGUGUGAGCCAUGUGCGAGCCAUCCCCCCCUGUGAAGCCUCUUAGCCGUCGGAUCAGGAGACUUCUCAGCCCUUGGAUCAGAACUUCGGACCCUAUAAAUAGAAGGGUACCUGCGAAGGCUCCCGGGUACUUUUGGAAUUUUGCCAUUUUUAGCCCGUCUCUUCAUAUUUUCUUCAUCUUAGAAUCCCCCAAAGCCCCGGUAUCGAUUGUAAAGCCUGGAAUACCCUACGAAGUGCUCGAGAAGCCCGGAAAAUUUAUCAUUUCGGUUUCUAAGCCCGACUUUUGCAGAGCCCGGUUUCUCAAUAAAACUCCCGGUUUGAUUAGAAACGAUCGUUUUAGGAAACGAAUUGCUGCCCGAUUUUCACCAAAAUACGUGAGUGUGUAGUUACUUUCAAUUUACACAUAGAUAUGAAGUAUUUACCUUGAAAUACGUGUUAUGUGUAAAUAUGCUAAUUGUUUAUUCGAGGUGACUAUGGAAUUGAUGUUUUUACAAGUUUUAAAUCGUAUAUGCUUUUUAUCUACAAAAUGUGUUGGGUAGAACAUGGGUAGAUAUAAUAGUUGCUGUGUGAUAAAAUGAAAUAAUGAGAGGCCUCGUUAUAGAUGAUAUUGAUGAUCUAGUCAUCUAGCGGAGUAUAGAUGACGACCACGGACUUUCUAGAUAGUCCAGUGGAACACUAGCAGGCUCGCAACCUGUAGGUGUUUAUUCGAACUGUGUGUUUAUUUGAACUGUGUGCUCACCAGAUGUACUCCAUCCCCCACAUGGUUGCCUUUAGGACAUUUAUUGCUGAGGAAUCCCCUUAGCAGUAGUGUCCAUCCCGAUGAUAAUCCUUAGGCUAGGUCCCUUGUGAUAGGUGUUUAGGGACGUAAAGUGAGGACAACGGGAAUGGGUAAUCAGGGUUAUUGUUGAUUGGUGAACUUAAUAAGUAUAUUAUUAUUGUGGGUUGAAAACCCUAUAUGCUCACCAGGCUCCCAAGCCUGACCCACUCAGUUUUAUGAUUACAGGUAGUGGACCCCGAGCAUAGUCGGAGGACGACGAGAGAUUUUUGGAUUAUAGGCCAGUAGUUGUAAAUAACUGUUGAAAGGCUUAUAAUGUCUUGUUUAUGCUUUUGAUCUGUAUCGGAACAUGACAUCCCGAGGUUUUGAUAUAUAUAUGGAAAAUAUAUACCUUCUUAAUGAAGGAUUUUGAUAAACUUUUAUCAUAUAUUGUUUGGGGACCAAUUCCGCAAUAUCUUAUAAAAAGAUUUCUCUGAUUUUAUUUUAAAAAGCAUAAAUUAAAUCGGUCUUUUCUGGCCGAGAAAUAUGGGGAUGUCACAGUUGGUAUCAGAGCAUUAGUUUAAGCGAACUAAGAAAUUGUAGAAUUUCUAGACUUGAACUUAGAAUGCUAAGUGAUGAUUGUGAGAUGAGUGUCUACCAUAUUUUAGACACGAGCACUAGUUUAUUUUAGGGAAGAUGCCUAAAAUGCCCUUAUGUGCUAAAUGCUAUGUGUUUGCCAUGUGUGCCAUUAUUUGUUCGGAUCUAUGGUCUGUUGCCGACCGGAUCUGGAAACCUUAUGUGUGUAGGAUUCUAAGCGUAUGAAUACGAGAUUAGAACUAACAUGUAAACGUUUCGGAGUGAUAAGGGAAUUGACAUGUCUAACAAGGAUAAAGACCUAAAUUUCGCCUUAUUCGGUAUAUAGAUUGUAAUGGCAAGAACUCGGAGUGGAGCUGGAAAUGCAAACAGAAACCAACAACCUCAACCUCCAGUGGUGGAACAGGUGCCUAUAGUAGGAGCUGCACCCGAACCCAUCACCAUGGCUGGAGUACGAAUUAUGAUUCAGGCCAUGUUGGCUGAACAGAGAGAGGAAUUGAGGCAAAUGUUGCUGAACGACAGGGAUGAACCUUCAGUUCCCGUUGAUCAACGUGAACUAAAUGACGAUCGAUUUGAAGAAGGGAAAAAUAGCAGAUCGGUUGGUCAUAGUGAACCGCUUGUGGUUGGGAGGAAUAACCACAAGGGUAGAGUGGAAAGAAAUGGGUGCAAGUAUAAGGACUUUAUGACUUGCAAGCCAUCGACCUUCAAUGGAAAAGAAGAUCCUGUCGGAGUAAUGGACUGGAUCUCGGAAAUGGAGUUGGCUUUCAUGACUUGUGAUUGCCAAGGCAAGUUACAAACUACGUUUGCAGUACGUCAGUUCAGGGGUAGUGCUGCUCGUUGGUGGAGCACUUUGGGGAAAACCCUAAGCCCUAAUGAGCCACUGCAAUUAACUUAGGCAGAGUUCUUGGUGCACUUCAAGCGCAAGUACUGCUCGGCCCAAAACGUACUUGAGUUAGAAAACCAAUUUCUAACGUUGCAGAAUGGGAGUAUGACCGUUGACGAAUGUACGAAUAACUUCACAGACAAAAUGGAUUUUGCUUUGCGUAUUGUCCCAGAUGAGUUGCCAAAAAUAGACAGGUACGCAAAGGGGCUUCCAUGGGAGUACGCAGUGCCAGUGCGUCAGGCACUUACUUUGGAGGCAGCUAUCUGGGGCGCCAAGUCUGUUGAAGAUAUGAUAAAAGGGAGAGCCGCCAGCAAGGUUGAAGUUGGCGAAAAGAGAAAGUUUGAAGGAACUUCAGGUUCCAAUAAAAAGAACAAAUUCUCGAAGACUGGUUCGAGAAAGUUUGGAGGAGGAAGCGAAGCCAAGUGGUGUGACAAGUGUAGGAAGAAACAUGCUGGGAAGUGCAGCGUGGAAGUCACUUGUUACAAAUGUGGAAAGCCAGGGCAUUAUGCCAAUGAAUGCACCUUCAAUAAGAACGUAUGUUUUGGGUGCAAUGAAGAAGGGCAUAUUUUGAGGGACUGCCCGAAGAAGAAGGACGCAGCAAAACCCAAUCUACCACCAAAGCCGAAGGCGAGAGCCUUUCAGAUGACCCUCGAAGCUGCGAAAGAAGAAGCCGAUGUCGCUUCAGGUACCUUUCUCGUAAACGAAUUGCCUGCCCAAAUUUUGUUUGAUUCUGGAGCCAAUUACUCCUUUAUAUCGCAUGAAUUUGGUAGAAAGCUAGCUUUGCCUGUAGAUAUGCUAGUUAAUGCUAUAAUAGUCGAGAUUGCUAGUGGCAAGUUUGUACCUGUUAGCCAUCGUAUGAAAAACAUCCUCAUUGACUUGGAUGGGAAUAAGUUCCAAGAGGAAUUAUUGCCUAUCGAGUUAAAUGGAUUCGACAUAGUUUUAGGAAUGGAUUGGCUUAGCGCCAACGAUGCAGAAAUACUAUGUAGAAAGAAGAUAGUAAAAGUAAACCCACCAGGGAGAGAGUCGUUUAUGGUGUACGGAGACAAACGCAGAGUAAACUCUGGAAUCAUUUCCCUAAUGAAAGCCAGAAAGUGUUUGGCCAAGGGAUGUACAUCAUAUCUAGCAUUCGUGAUCGAUGCCAAGAUGGAAAAGAAGGAGGUGCAGAAUAUUCCGGUGGUGUGUGAUUAUCCGGAAGUCUUUCCCGAAGAUCUUCCCGGAUUGCCCCCUGAUCGACAAGUAGAAUUUCGUAUCGACUUGUUACCAGGAACGACGCCGAUAGCGAAAGCACCUUAUCGAUUAGCGCCAACCGAAAUGAAAGAACUUAUGACACAACUUCAGGAGUUAUUGGACAAAGGUUUCAUUCGACCUAGUUCAUCACCCUGGGGAGCCCCUGUGUUAUUUGUAAAGAAGAAAGACGGAAGCAUGAGAAUGUGCAUCGAUUACAGAGAGCUGAACAAAGUGACGAUAAAGAACAAGUACCCGUUGCCAAGGAUCGAUGACUUGUUCGACCAGUUGCAGGGUUCGAGCUAUUUCUCGAAGAUCGAUCUUAGGUCGGGAUACCAUCAACUAAAGGUGAGAGAGCAGGAUAUCGAAAAGACUGCUUUUAGAACGAGAUAUGGACACUAUGAAUUUUUGGUUAUGUCGUUCGGACUAACCAAUGCCCCAGCAGCUUUCAUGGAUUUGAUGAAUAGGGUUUGUAAACCAUUCUUAGAUAAAUCCGUGAUAGUAUUCAUAGAUGAUAUCUUGAUUUAUUCGAAAAGCAAGCAGGAGCAUGAAAAGCAUCUGCGUGAAGUGCUAGAAGUCCUGAAAAAGGAGAAGCUGUAUGCAAAGUUCUCCAAGUGUGAAUUUUGGAUUCAAGAAGUCCAAUUUUUAGGUCAUGUGGUUAACCAAGAAGGGAUAAUGGUCGACCCAGCAAAGAUUGAAGCUGUAAUGAAGUGGGAACAACCAAAAAGUCCUACGGAGAUUCGAAGCUUUUUAGGAUUAGCUGGAUAUUACCGAAGGUUUAUCCAAGGCUUUUCUUCGAUUGCUACUCCAUUAACAGCUUUGACCCACAAAGGAGCCACUUAUGCUUGGAAUGAGAAGCAUAAGGAAGCCUUUGAGAAGUUGAAGAAGAGAUUGUGUGAAGCACCGAUUCUUUCAUUGCCUGAAGGAGUUGAUGACUUUGCAGUUUAUAGCGAUGCAUCCGGAGUUGGGUUAGGUUGUGUUCUGACCCAAAGGGAUAAAGUGAUCGCGUAUGCAUCGAGGCAAUUGAAGGAACAUGAAAAGAACUACCCCACUCAUGAUUUGGAGUUGGCAGCGGUAGUAUUUGCCUUGAAGAUAUGGAGGCAUUAUCUUUAUGGCACCAAGUGUAAACUUUUCACUGAUCAUAAGAGUCUCCAAUAUCUCUUUAAUCAGAAGGAAUUGAACAUGAGGCAACGACGCUGGCUAGAGUUACUCAAGGACUACGACUGUGAGAUACUUUACCACCCUGGUAAAGCAAAUGUUGUUGCCGAUGCUCUCAGUCGGAAGGUAAACCUUGAAAAGAAAAGGCCAAGAGCGUUGAGAAUUGAAGUUGUCUCGACAAUUGUGGAAAGUAUAAAGAAAGCUCAAGAGGAAGCUUUAGAGAAAAAUGACCGAAAGGAAGAACGUUUGGGCAAAACGUUAGUGUUCGGUACAAACAACCAAGGGUUGAAGGUAUUUCAAGAUAGAAUUUGGGUACCUAAGACGGGCGGAAUAAGAGAUCUUCUGAUGGAAGAAGCUCACAAGACCAUGUACUCAAUUCAUCCCGGCAGUACGAAAAUGUAUAGGGAUCUAAAACCCUAUUAUUGGUGGCCGACGAUGAAGCUCGAUGUUGCUAAGUAUGUGGCCGAGUGUGUAACUUGUGCUAGGGUUAAGGCACAACAUCAGAAACCGUAUGGGAGUUUAGAACCUUUACCCGUACCCAUGGGUAAAUGGGAAGACAUCACCAUGGAUUUUGUGACUAAACUGCCCAGAACAAGGAACGGUCACGACAUGAUUUGGGUGGUCGUUGAUCGCUUCACUAAGAGUGCGCAUUUCAUAGCGGCCAAAGAGAAAUGGUCUAUGGAUAAACUUGCGAAUUCUUACGUGAAGGAAAUUGUGAGGCUUCACGGUGUUCCGUUAACGAUUGUGUCCGAUCGUGACAGCCGUUUUACCUCAAGGUUUUGGAGGAGUCUACAAGAGGAAUUGGGUACCAAGUUGUGUUUGAGUACAGCUUACCAUCCGCAAACCGAUGGUCAGAGCGAGCGAACGAUUCAAACAUUGGAGGAUAUGCUGAGAGCAUGUACCCUAGAAUUCCAAGGUAACUGGGAUGAACACUUACCUUUAGUAGAAUUCUCCUAUAAUAAUAGUUUCCACUCAAGCAUUAAGAUGGCACCUUAUCACGCUUUGUAUGGGGAGAAGUGUCGAACGCCAUCAUGUUGGCUGGAAGCUGGGGAAAAGCAGUUUAUGGGACCUGAAAUAGUCCAUGAGACUGCUGAAAAGUUGAAAGUGAUAAGGGAAAGGAUGUUAGCUGCUCAAGAUCGACAAAAGAGUUAUGCUGACAAGAAAAGACAACCGAUAUCCUUCGAUGUUGGAGAUUCGGUUUUACUUAAAGUCUCGCCGUGGAAGGGACUUAUAAGAUUUGGUAAGAGAGGGAAGUUGAGUCCAAGGUUUAUUGGACCAUUUAAAGUUCUUCAGAGAAUCGGGAAUCAAGCUUACAAGCUAGAGUUACCGGAAGAACUAGAGGGUAUUCAUAACACCUUUCAUGUGUGUUAUUUGAGAAAGUUCACAGGAGAUGUGCCCGACAUAAUUCCGAUUUCUGAGUUAAGGUUGGAUGAAAACAAGAGGUUGAUCGAAGAACCUGAGGCAAUCGUUGACCGUAAGACUAUGAAGUUACGACGCAAGAUGGUCGAUUUAGUGCUUGUGCGCUGGAAACAUACGAAUGGACCAAAUCUCACUUGGGAAACGGAGAGUGACAUGAUGAGUCGCUACCCGCAGUUGUUUGGUGAUAUGUGAUUCCGGGGACGGAAUCAUCCUAAGGGGGAGAGAAUUGUAACACUCGUGUUUCUAGCCUAGGCAUUUAUAUUGAGUUGAUAGUCUAGGUUAACCUUUGUAACUCAUUUUGAAGAAAUGAAAAGGAAUUAUGUGAAUAUUAUGUGAAUUAUGUGUUUUAUGCUUAAUUAUUAGGGCUUAAUUAAUUAAGAAUAAAAAUAAGCGUCAAAAUUAAAGUGUGAGAUAAGCCCGAUAUCUUUACAUAAAGUUGUAGUGGUCGAAACAAGGAUUUCGGGGAUAUAAAGAAUACCAAAAUCCGAGUUAUAACGAAGAAGUUAUGACCUGUCGAAGUUUCGCGACAAAACCGGCACGGUGCUGAAUGUCGUAAAAAGUGAGUUUUUGAUAAACUACUUUUUAGCCUUAGUAAUCUAAACGAAAGUCGUAGUAUUCGUUAAACCGAGAAGUUCGAUAAAAAGAACGCCCAAAUCUGACUUCGUAUGAGGAAGUUAUGAUUUUUCGAAGUUUCAGCGUAGCAGUAGACAGCUAAAAACUCGAAUUUUAGAUCGAGCGAUUUUUAGCCGACACAACCUAAACGAGAAUUGAAGGUCUCGUCAUUAGGAGCACAACGGUAAAAAGUCUGACGAAAACGGACGUCGGAUGAAGAAGUUAUGAAUUUUUAACGGAUUUCCUGUCCCGGUCUGUUAAAAAUAAUAAUAUAAAAUUUAAAGUCAAAAUUAGCCGACGAAGUCUAAACGGAAGUUGUAGAUCGUAAUUUUAGCUACGCGUGCAUAUAAAGAACGUCAAAAACGGAGCUCGUAUGCGAAAGUUAUGAAUUUUAGAAGUUUUGGCGCGAAAACCGAGAAAUUUCGCAUAGUCACACUUUGCCACGUCACCCUUGCUUAGAAUGUGACACGUGUCCUGCUGAGUCACCUGGCUGCUGAGUCAUCAGGCUACUGAGUCACCGAGGCUGCUGAGUCAUGCGAAGCCACGUUUCAUCUUCUGAUUCGACCGAGGUGGAGGCCUAAUCCGAAGCUGCCAGCCUUCUAUCCGAGCCUCGCACCCAGCUCCGAGCCACGCAUAGCCUAGCUCCGAGCCUCGCAGGUACGCCAGUAAGCCGCGGUCCACUUAGAAGCCGCCAGCGAGCCCUCGCAUGUUUGAGCCAUGUGCGAGCCAUCCCCCCCUGCGAAGCCUCUUAGCCGUCGGAUCAGGAGACUUCUCAGCCCUUGGAUCAGAACUUCGGACCCUAUAAAUAGAAGGGUACCUAAGAAGGCUCCCGGGUACUUUUGGAAUUUUGCCAUUUUUAGCCCGUCUCUUCAUAUUUUCUUCAUCUUAGAAUCCCCCAAAGCCCCGGUAUCGAUUGUAAAGCCCGGAAUACCCCACGAAGUGCCCGAGAAGCCCGGAAAAUUUAUCUUUUCGGUUUCGAAGCCCGACUUUUGCAGAGCCCGGUUUCUCAAUAAAACUCCCGGUUUUAUUAGAAACGAUCGUUUUAGGAAACGAAUUGCUGCCCGAUUUUCACCAAAAUACGUGAGUGUGUAGUUACUUUCAAUUUACACAUAGAUAUGAAGUAUUUACCUUGAAAUACAUGUUAUGUGUAAAUAUGCUAAUUGUUUAUUCGAGGUGACUAUUGAAUUGAUGUUUUUACAAGUUUUAAAUUGUAUAUGCUUUUUAUCUACAAAAUGUGUUAGGUAGAACAUGGGUAGAUAUAAUAGUUGAUGUGUGAUAAAAUGAAAUAAUGAGAGGCCUCGUUAUAGAUGAUAUUGAUGAUCUAGUCAUCUAGCGGAGUAUAGAUGACGACCAUGGACUUUCUAGAUAGCCCAGUGGAACACUAGCAGGCUAGCAACCUGUAGGUGUUUAUUCGAACUGUGUGUUUAUUUGAACUGUGUGCUCACCAGAUGUACUCCAUCCCCCACAUGGUUGCCUUUAGGACAUUUAUUGCUGAGGAAUCCCCUUAGCAGUAGUGUCCAUCCCGAUGAUAAUCCUUAGGCUAGGUCCCUUGUGAUAGGUGUUUAGGGACGUAAAGUGAGGACAACGGGAAUGGGUAAUCAGGGUUAUUGUUGAUUGGUGAACUUAAUAAGUAUAUUAUUAUUGUGGGUUGAAAACCCUAUAUGCUCACCAGGCUCCCAAGCCUGACCCACUCAGUUUUAUGAUUACAGGUAGUGGACCCCGAGCAUAGUCGGAGGAUGACGAGAGAUUUUUGGAUUAUAGGCCAGUAGUUGUAAAUAACUGUUGAAAGGCUUAUAAUGUCUUGUUUAUGCUUUUGAUCUGUAUCGGAACAUGACAUCCCGAGGUUUAUAUAUAUAUAUGGAAAAUAUAUACCUUCUUAAUGAAGGAUUUUGAUAAACUUUUAUCAUAUAUUGUUUGGGGACCAAUUCCGCAAUAUCUUAUAAAAAGAUUUCUCUGAUUUUAUUUUAAAAAGCAUAAAUUAAAUCGGUCUUUUCUGGCCGAGAAAUAUGGGGAUGUCACACCACCCUUAGUCUACUUGCAGUUAUGUUUUCUGUUCAAAAAUUCUGAGAAAAAUGACUACUUUUUGAACAAUGAUUUAUUCACUAGUUUUUGGUUGUUGAUGGUUCUGAAUGGGAUAACCAACUUAAGAAGCAACAUUAGAAAUGUCCAUCAUCGAUUCAGAUACUAAAUAGAAGACAAUGUCUCAAAUUGGGAAUAGAUUCGGUUAGUUCUACUUCCUCCAAUCAAUUGUCAUUUGUCCUCUUUGUGAAAAAAAUCAAAAAUGUAUGUUUGAUUAAUGAUGAUGUUUCCUCACUUUCUUCUUACAGUCAUUACUAGAUGCGGAUAAAGUUAAUGCUACACAUGUAUCACCAUGUGACAUUGUUGCUGUCAUUCGUCCUGCUACUUAUAAGUCUGGGAUUGUGUGUGAAGAAUUAGAUCAAAAAUAUGUGAUGAAAGAUAACUUUGAGAUGUCAUUAUCAAUUACAUUUUCUGAAAAUGGAAAUGAAACCAAUAUCUAUUUAGGACGUGUAAUGCCUUCAUCACGAAAGGACCUGCAUGGUUUGUAUAUAUUUCAACCAAAAUGUAAUUCCCAUCCUCUGUUUCAAAAAGUUGGAAUUUAUACAUUCACCUUUUUCGUUGUGAAUAACAUUGAAUUGCUUUAAUGUAUAUAUAAUCACAUGGUUUUACAAUCAUAUGAUUUUGUUAAUGAUUAGCAUUUACAUAUUUCUAUCAUCAGAGAGAUUCAAGAUGUAAGAAACAUGUGGUGAAGGUCAAAGUUGAAGCGUCGUGUGAGGUCCACAAAUGGGCACUUGCCAAGAAGGUUCCUGAUUAUAAUGUCACGUAAGAAAAAUAUAAUUUAUGUGUGCAGUUUUAUAAAAUCUCACUACUAGAAAAACAGCCUUUUACGACGCUCAUUGCGCGUCGUAAAAGGCUCAGACGACGCGCACAUGCGCUUCAAGGAAGGCCCUGUCAUAAAGAGAGACGACGCGCUUUUGCGCGUCAUCUAUAGACGACGCGCAAUUACGACGCGCGUUUACGACACACAAUGCGUAUCAAGGAAGGCCCUAUCAUAAAGGAAGACGACACGUAUUUGCGUGUCGUAACCUUACGACGCGCGUGUUAAUGACAUGCAAUGCGUAUCAAGAAAGUCCCUGUCAAGAAAGGUCAUGUCAUAAAUGAAUAUGACAUACAUUUUUGCGUAUCAUAAUUUAAAUGUUUAAAAAAUAUAUUAUUUAUAGAUUUACUAAUUUUCAAAUUAAAUAAUAAAUUAAAAAUCUCAUAAUACAAAAUAAAAUACCAUAAAUAACAAAGAUAAUUCAUUUCACUAAUAUGUCAAAUACAAAUAAUUAUUCCAAAAGUGAAUAAAUCAUAUAAAAAAAUGAACUCAUUUAUAUACAAUUGAACUUAAAUUCACUUGUUCCAUGUAAAUGUUAACUCAAGUUUCCAUUUUCAAUGAACUCAUACACCAAAAAAAGGGAGCCCUCCACAAAAUAUCGUAUUAAACGCACCUGCAAAUAUAAAGUCAAAUGUUAAAUAAAUAUGGCCAACUCAAAAUCUUGAUAAAUAUAUUUAUCAACUGAAAUACCGCAUACCUGGUUUAGAUGAUGAACAUGUGUUAACAGAUAAAAUAAUAUAAUUAUGUCUAAAACUAAUAUUCCAAAUCUCGCCUAUGAGUUCUACAUAAAUAACUGGCAACAGUUAUGGAAGAAGGCCCUUGAUGAGAUUUGGCUUGUUGUGGCCAGCUAUACUCAAAGCCAAAACAGCUGCACGCCUAACAUGCUGCCCAUGUUUAUCAAAAUUUAACAGAUCAUGCUAAUAACUCAUACAUAUAGAAUUAUAAGGAAAAAAAGAGUAGGGUUUUCCCCAUUCCGUUGAAUUAGACAAAACAAAAUGUUUUCUUUCUAUUCCAAUGGAAUGAAGAAUUCCAUUCCUCCCCUGAUUCCAGCAUAUAUAGAGAUACUUACCCUGAUCAAUUAAUUUAAUCAAAUAUGCAUAAAAAUACCAAUCAACCCACCAACACUUUUGUUAAAUCAACACAAUAACACUAUUAUUAAAAAACUAUGACUCAAAUUUUGUUAAGGAGCUGUGUUUUAAAUAUUAAGCAUGUGAAAGGAACCAACGCUUCAUGUGAUUUAAGUUUGAAGCAACUCCAUUAUUCUCUAAUGAGGAAGCAUCCAGUUCUUCUGUCACAUCCAUUUUAUCACCCGAGAUACUUGCUGCAAAAAAUUGUACAUUUUUUGUCAUUUUUAAAACAAUAUUCAAAUAAUUUUCUGUCAUGUUUUCACAAACAUCAUUUAUCUAGAUAGCACUUUAUCAGUGUAUCACUUAAUGAGGAAAAAAAUCAAUUUGAGAAGGGAAUAGCAAUAUACGAAAAGGAAAAAAAAUAAUAAUAAGAAUAAGUGUGCAGAAAGCAAUGUGGGGACCCAUAUAUAGAACAAAAGUGUGCAGCCUAGACCCUGAUCAAUUAAUUACAAAUACAACUUAACCAAACUUCAAAAACUUUGGUUUCCAAAAAAGAACAUAAUAAAUGAAAAUGCAUGAAUAUAAUUAUCUAAAGGGAAAAAUACAGAACAACACUUGUACUUUCACCAUUUUAUUGAUUUAGCCACUGAAGAAGUAUUAUUUUUUUUAUUAAAUUAGCUAUUGAACUAUUAUUAUAAUAAUAAUAAAUGAUAAUGGGCAUAAAGUUGAUUGAGCUGACCAAGACCAAUGGAAGAUGCAACACCAAGAGCUACCCACCACAGUCCAAACCUUGCAUAUUCAAGAAGCUCUUCAACAUGCUACAAGAACACAUGUAUCACAUAUUCAUCAUUAUAUAUUAAUACGUAACAUAUAAUCAUGAAAACCAAGGAACUUACAACCUCAUCGAUAAUUUGAAGGAACUUUGAGUACGAUGAAUCAUAGGCAAAGAAUUUGUUAACAAACAUAAUACCUAUUGAAGAUCAAUGUACAACUGAUUUUGGGUUUUGGUUUGAUUUUAUGCUUUUCUUGGAAAACAACUAAUAAAGAUCUAUAAAUAGAGACCAAAAAAUGGUAUUUACUCGGUUUUAUGGAUGAUCUCGUGAUCAAUAGAAGCUUUCAUUUGAGAGAACUCGUAUACAUCAUUAUUUCAAAUAAAACUACAGAAAUAUGUAGUUUUAAUGGCCUAAUGUAAGUAAUAGGCAAUAAGAUGUACCUUUCCAUGAGGACCAUCCACAGACAGAAACAAGAGUCCAGCUGCAACUGUGAGUGUGACAAAAAGCAUAAGCCAUACAACAUGUGUCAGAAGGUAUACAAGUGAUCUUGUUAUAUACUGAAGAACAACCACUAUAAAAAGCAUCAAUGUUUUGAAAGGUUUUUCUAUUAAUGUCAUAUUCUCGAGUUCUUGUUUAUGCUUCUCACGCAGUCCUACAGUUACAAACAAGAAAACCGAUUAGCCAAGGAAACAAGGCAUCCACUCACCAUUACAAAAAUAUAAACCCAAAAUUGGAAAAAAAAUCCAAAUGGUAAAAUGAGAACUUCCAUAAUUAAGGUUGUGUUUGUUACACGAGACAAAAAAGAUUACAAUUUUAUCAAAUUCACAUCAGUCCACUCAAUGCACACUAGACACAGAGCAAUGCCAUUGUGUUGUGUCAUGUCUUAUGUAUAUAGACAUAGACUAUAGAGAGAUGAUAAAUUUUUUCAUAAGAAAAGAGUGAGGUGAUCUUAUUAGAUCAAUUAUACACACACAGAGAGAGAGAGAGAGAGAGAGAGAGAGAGAGAGAUACAGGAAUAAACACAACCAUGGUUCCAUUGUGUUAGUUUGAUAUUAUUACAUUGUCAUAUUAGCUUCAUGUAAACUCGAGUAACCUAGAGCAAGUUAUCCAACAAACUCAUUUCACAUCUUCAAUGGCAUUUAAUCAAUAUUGUUUCGAUUUACCAAAUUAAGUAGGUAAAACUUUCUUAGUCUGAAAAAAGAAACAAUACAAAACCUCAACGGAAAUACAGUAAGUAAAGAAGACUAAAAAAACCCUUGCGAAAGUGCAACAUACAAAAGAUAUGAAUCAAAUAAAAUAAGCCAAUAAGGCAUGGAGAAAGGGAUAUAAUAUGUCCCUUGAUUUUAUAAGGUUAAGAAGAGAGCAAGAAUGGUAGCAAGAAUCAGCUUGUCACAAAGUCAAAUCAAUUAACCAAUGAAAAAGGAUAAGAUUUUAAUCUAUUAGACAACCAGAUCAAAAAAGUUGUGGAUUUGGACGGAUUGAGCCACCCUAGUUAUGUCCAUGGAUUACAGCCAACAACAUCAAAUGUUAGAAGAUUUGAUUUAAACAAUCCCGACAUCUCAAAAAUCAAAAGAGUUACCUAAGAUCGGCAUCUCGAAAGCCUGAGAAGACAACAAGAUUUAUGAUUGCGAUUGAAGUUCAUCUGCACUCACAUGCUAAAACGAAAAUACAUCUUUUGAAUCAAUUUAAAUUCUCGAUAAAAUCUCAAAUCAGUGACAAUCGGGAUCAAUACAAGUCCUAGAAAAUCUGAUAAACUCACUAUUCAAACGGAGCAGGCUAAGAUCAGUAACAACGCGAAAGCAAAUCUUUGUUGUUGUUACGGGAAGAGGACUCCAGGAAGAUAUGAGAUUCACAGCAUUCACUAAUUGUGCGCCGUCUCUCUAUGGAUAUGAUUUGUGCUCGUUGUUGCUUGCUUUUCUUGGUCUCGAGUUAGAUGUUAAAUCAGACAAUCCAGCCAACAUUGGGACAAAAAAUAAAAAGUGUAGAAAAUCUUACAUACAUCUGGUUGGGAUCGAAGAUGGAUUUAGUUAUUUCUCCGUUUCUUUUUCCUUAUUCUCUAUACAUUGUUCUUUUCUUUUCUCCCUUUUUCCAUCUGAAAGUUUCUUAAAAUUUUAGGGCUUCUACACUUGGAGUUUGCUGAAAUUUGUUAAUCAGUCACACAAACACACCCUUAUUUCUCCAUUACCGAACAAUCACCAGCCAUCAUCUCCUCACAACCCCUUGACAACCUUCGAACGCCACCUCACACCCUCACCUGUAAAUCGAAAAAAAAGAAGAAAUAAUAAGAAGGGAGAAGAAGGGUUGUGAUCAAACCAGAGGAAGAAAAGGGGAAGAAAAGGGGAAGAAAGAGGAAGAAAAGGCACAUCUUUUCUUUUUUUUUCUCUCUCAAACUCUAGCUGUAAAUAGGAAAGCACGAGAGAUAUUGGGAGAAUAGAUACAAGAGAGACAGAGAUAUCCAUUCAGGUACGGUUGAGAGGUAAGAACAUAUAAUCAUUUGAAGUAGAAGGAAUUUGGAUGGGUGAGGGUGGGGACGAGGAAAACCUAUUUCCUGUGAGAUCCAGCGCACAAAAGCCCUAGUUCUUCCAAUUUUGGGAUGGCGUGUAUUUAAUGUCUCAGAGGGAGAAAAUGGUAGAUAAAAGAGGAUAGUUGACAUCGUUGACCACUAUAUCGCUGCCAAACUCCAAAAAUAUGAAAGGGAGGAAGAGGUCUAGGGUUUACAGAGAAAAGGAGAAGCAGAGAGUGAAGGUUGUCGGCUGAUGGAGAGGAUGAAUUCGUUAUUCCUUCCCGAACAGCAACAAAUUGAUCACAGAACGAAACCUGCAAAUGAGGUCUAGGGUUUACAUGGAAACCCUAAAAGAUGGAAGAAAAGCGGGGUUUUUAAUUUUUUAGGAUUUCAUUUCCCCCUGCUAUUAAAGGAUGGAACGCGCGUUCCAUUAAAAUUUAUAAAGCGACAUCCUUAGAUGACACACAUGUGCCCUCCGAGUUUUUUUUUGUUUAGAAACUAAUUUAAGGGCACACAAUAAUGCAUGACCUAAAUCCUUAAAUUUUUUGAAGAGAUGACUCUUUUUUAAUGUCACUCUCUUUUGCGUAACAUAAAUCAAUGAGUGUCGUGGUUUGCGCGUCGUAAAAGGGUCUUUUUCUUGUAGUGUCUAAUACCUCAUAUAUAUGUGUUUCACAGGUAUUUACCAUUUCAACUCAUGCCUUUUGACUUCAAGGGUGUUGAUAUUCUCAUAGGUUCAUACUUCUAACAUUUAUAUUUAUAUUUGUUAUGCAGCAUGAAAGUAUUGGUUUAAUCAAGUCAAUUUCUUAAUAUAUUAAAAGAAUUUGUGGUGUACUAUAAUAGAUGACGAGGUUGCUGGACAUUCUAGAAAUGGUAUUCAGUUCAAAGGAUAGUACAAUCAUAGAUGAAGAUAUCGAUAGAAUCAUUGCUAAGGGAGAAGAGGCAACUGCAUAACUUGAUGCCAAGGAGUCGGCUUAAACCAGCCCCAGCCCCUGCCACCGAUGAACAUGAGCCCUUAAACCCAGACUCUGACCGUGGUUUACUUGUUAUGAAGAAGCAACGAGUGAGCCUCAGCCAAGGGGUCGGCUUAACUCACCAAAUACUCGACUCCAGCUUAAGGCAAGAUCCGAUUGUGUAUGGAAUGUCAGUUAACAAUCAAGAUUAAAAAUUAGGUUGAGCUAAUUGAAAUUGGAAUUUGUCCCAAGGAGAUUGUUUUCUACUUUGUGCAGUUUCUUUAUAGAAAUAUAUAUAAUAUAAUUUAUGUUUCAUUAGGUGGGAUGGGUUUGGGUGUGGUAAUACUCUUAAAAAUUGUAAUUCAUGUUAUGAUGCCAAAACAGAUUGGAAGACAAAGCACAGAACUCCAUCAAAUGUGUGAAGUAAGAUUCUUAUCUUAAUUCAUAAAACAAUAGUCUUUUUAUUUCUUUUCUUUUCUUUCUUCUAAGUUCUCAUUGGCCAAAAUCUGUGAGAUACUAAUUCUUUUAUUUAUUUAUUUGUAAAUCCCAUCUCACCUUUUAGUUUUUGUGUUUUUGUUGUUGUUGGCAGCUUCAAAAAUAGUCUACACCAGAAGACAUUGAUGAUUUGGAUGAUGUGGAUGCAGUUAUAAGCUACAUGCCACAAGAUUUCUGAGGAACAUUAAUCAGACAAUAAUAAGAAAGGUCUGAAAGAAAUAAGCAAUCAGAAGUUGAUGCUUUGGUAAAUUCAGGUGGUACCAUACGUGAUAAUGGAUUGUAUUUUUUGUAUCUAAUUCGUUUGUAAAUUUUUGUUACAACUUCUAUUGAUUUGUUUUAUAUUUCCAUGGAACGAUUAUUUGUAUGACAUUAAAUUUAUGCAAUGGAUUCUAUUUUUUGUAUAUGAUAUUUUAUUUUAUAUUAUGAAACAUUAAAUAAAAAUUUAAUUUGAAAAUAAGUAAAUCUAUAAAUAAUAUUUUUUUAAACAUUUAAAAUUAUGAUACGCAAAAACGUGUGUCAUCUUCAUUUACGACAUGGCCUUUCUUGACAGGGGCUUUCUUGAUACGCAUUGCGUGUCAUUAACACGUGCGUUGUAAGGUUACGACACGCGAAUGCGUGUCGUCUUCCUUUAUGACAGGGCCUUCCUUGAUACGCAUUGUGUGUCGUAAACGUGCGUCGUAAAUGCGCGUCGUCUCUCUUUAUGAAAGGGCCUUCCUUGACGCGCAUUUGUGCGUCGUUUGAGCCUUUUACGACACGCAAUGAGCAUCGUAAAAUGCUGUUUUUCUAGUAGUGACAACAUCACCAGUAUCUUGGAAUAACUUGAGAGAAAAGGUUCUUAUGCUCAAAUUGGCUAGCCUUCAUGUGUAGACACACUAGUGCCAAUUUCUUGAGCCAUGCAGUCCUUAUAUAUGGUGGCUAUUAGGGUUACACUAUCUAACUCAUGUCUUUCCAUAGUCUUCAUGCUCCAUGGGUUAAAACCUCCAUGGAGUAUCCAUGGGUUACUUCAUGGGUUUAGCGCAACAUGAAUAACUAUUGAUCAUAAGCCCACAUAUAUAAGAAUGAAUGAUUUACACAAUCAAUCCCCAUAUAUUUAAUUUGUCUCCUUUUGAUCACAAUAUUAAUACCAAAUUAAUUCUUGAUCAAUACUAAUUAAAUAACAUGAUUUCAUAUUAAUAUAUUAGAACUUAUAAUAUAUUAACAAAUCAUAAAUAUCGUUUUCUCACAAAAGUCUAUCCAAAUUGUUCCGAUGCCAUGCAACCCGAAUGGACCAUUCCAAUCGGGUUAAGUACAUACAAAUUAUAUUUAUGGACUUAGACACUAAUCCAACAGUCUCCAACUUGGAUAAGUCUAAAACUAUUAUUGUGUAUGACUUCAAAACCUGACUGGCAAUCAUAGCUCUUGAAAGUCGUUGUCGAACUUUGAACAAAUCAAUAACGCGUCCAUUAGAUAAGGGAUCAUAUAUUCCUCCAUUCUAGAUAUCAUAUGGACUGAGACAUGGAUUAUAAUCAUUCUCUUUGUCCAUUUUUUAUUUCCCGAUUUCCGAUUUAUGACGACCGACUAAUUGAACAAAUCAAAUUAGUCCAGGCUUGGCCAAGCACUUCGGGGUGUCAUCACUAAAUCAUCGAGGGGCCCACAUAUAUCGCUUUUAUCCCUUCAUGGGUAAAAUGAAUGGAUAAACUUCGACUCAUAUGCCUAUUCUACUACUUGUUGAAUCACACACAAAGGGACGUUUUAUAACAUCGAGUUUCCAAUGCGUUUUCGUACAAUCAAUGUAUAACCAACUCAUAGGCAAUAACUCAUAUCUCUAGGUUUGAAGAAUAUAAAAUAUUAUCAUCUCAUGAUCACUCGUGAUAAAAUCCAUGAAGUGAGUCAAAUAAGUGUGGGUUAAAUCCAAUACUCAGAACUUAUGAGCACUCAUGAAUGUUGUAGCAACUCGUGUUAUGUCCACUACUCUGGACAUCUACAAACUAGCUUCAUGACAGUCUUUCCUUAAUACCUACUUCCAAUGUAUUAUCGACUGUGGAUGGUUUCAAUAACUUAGUCAUUCAAAAAGAACGACCUAAUUAUACUGGAAGUCAAAACAUGCAAAGUGAAACACAAGAAUAAUUGAAUCUAAUAUUGUCUUAGAACAACUUUUAUUUAUCACCAUAUUGAUUACACAUUAUUCAUUGGAUACUGUUUCAAAUCAUCAACUUUAUACUUGAAUUAAAACAACAGUUGUCCCAUGCUCCAAGUAUGUACACUAUGUUUUCUAAACACUAGUUAUGCCAUACACCAAGUCUGCACACUAUGUUUGUCCAAACAUUAGUUAUGCAAUACACCAAAUAUGCACACUAAGUUUGUCUAUGAUCUUUAUUUUUGAAAUAGAUCGAUUGGACAUAAUUCCAAUGAUUCUCAUUUCACAGUCCCAAAUCCAUACCGCAAACGCAAGAAUUCCAAAUUCCUGCCAUUUACCGAAAUCUGUUAGAUUUUAAACUUAUACGCACUAAUCCUCUUGUAAUGAUUAUGCACAAAGUCACAAAGACUUGCCAAGAGGCAUUAAAGAGUAUUCCAAUGUAGAUCAACUACAUGGAAACAUCCUUCUUGCAUUAAGUUUUCUAAUGUUACAUAGAUUGAAUAAUUUCUACCUAUGAAACAUUCCCAUUUUGACUAUCACUUCUGAACAAGAGUUGUCUCUUUUUCAAAAUAUGUCAAUACAGUCCUUCCAAAAUUAACACUAUAAUUCCAAAUGUCCCUGAGUAACCAAUAUUUGGUAAACCUAAGAUUGUCGUCGACAAUUGCUUAAUCAUUUUAGUCAUUUCCAGUUCUAGUACUUUUCCCUCUUAAUGCUUUAGGCAUUUGGAAAAAUUUAGAACAGAUGAAUACUAUAGCACAUGCAAUCGAUCUGAAGCAUAUGGGACACGAUUCAUGAUGUCUCACAUAAAGACAUGAUAGUAGACCAGUCCUUUUGCUAUAAUAUUUCUAUUUUUAUUUGCCAAGUUCUCAUAUUUCAGAUUAUGAAAAGGGAUGCCGUAAUCAUAAUCGAAUUUUAGAACGCACAUAAUGUUCCCAUAUAUAGAAUUUCCUUAUGUUGAACCAUUCCAACAUAACAUUCAUAUAUAUACUCGACUAAAUUUGAUUAAAAUCUCAUGAUCUAAGCUGUUAGAUUUGAAAUGAAGUACAAUCUCCUCUCCCUUAAUUAUAACAAAACAACUUUUCCUAAUUGAACUUUUGUUUUCUAUAAUUAACAUUUCUAACUUGCAACACUUAUCAUAAUCAUCAUGCUCCCACUAACAUGAUGAUUAUUAGGAUAACACUUAUGCUCCCACUAGCUUUGACAUGUACUCAGAAAUCUGUUGGACUUCUAGAAAUCAAUACUUUAUUGACUUUCUUACCAAAGUUCAAAUUUCUGAUACGAGAUGCUUUCAUAAAACUUUAUCAAAAUCAUACACCUUUUCUUAGGUAGCUCACAUGUGUGUCUAAAAAAUAUUAGAACUAUGAAAAGGGAUGUCGUAAUCAUAGUAUCAAUUGUUUAGACGUUUUCCAUUUCUCACAAGUCUAUGUUAGUGUGCCGGUUAACCACACACACUCCACUAACGACUUUGAGAAUGAAAAUAUCACAUUUGCUAUCUACUUAAAAUCUAAUUAGUGAAAGUGUUGCCUCACCAUCAUUUUCAUGAAUCGGAGAGAAACCUUAUGACACUUAGUGAAAGUGUUUCCUCACAAGGUUAGUGACAAUUCCAAAUUCAUAUGGACUGAACUUGUGUAGUCUUAUCUUCUUGCCACCUGAUAGCACAAGGGCCUGCCAUUGCUUCCAAGUUGUUAUGCAACCAAUUGAGAACUCUCAGAACUCAUAUGCAACGUCAACUUUAACUGGAAUGGGCACAAAAAUAGGAAUAUGUCAACACGAUAUGCUAUAAACCUCACGACGUGUGCUAGUGAUAAACUACAGGUUUUUAUUCUUAAUUAGAUCUUGAAAUUCUUUUAGAAUCUUUAAGACUCCCACUGUCCUCUUGACAUAUAAGAAUCUCUUGUCAACUAUUCAAGAGAUACUAACAAUUCUUUAGCAAGACAAACACAUCACACAAUUAGCCUUAGUUGGUCUGUGUUUAAUCCAAAACAUCACAACUCACCAAUUUCAAAUGUACAAGAGUAGGACACAUUUUACUCUUACAUCUGACAAGUGUUAUGAAUCUUUUUUAAGAUAUGUCACUCAAGAUACAAUCUUGGAGUAUGACUCUAAGACUUGUUUUGGUACGAACUAUGACUCAUCUUCUUGAUUUAACCAUUUCAACAAUUCAUGACUCCUCUUCUUAGCCAUAAGAAUGAACUAAGAUGUCCUUAGAGGACCAACUGUGAUAUGGUUUCUUAAUCAUUAAGAUGAACAUAAAACAUGUUACUAAAGUACUCUCCUAUCUUUUCAUAUUUGAGAAACUUUCAUCUUUCUGCCUAAUUUGAUUCUUCUUAUUCGUUCUGCCAUACAUCGAACCUUUUCCAAUGUUUCAAAAUUAUACUUAAACUUGUAAGCACAACCAUAUUUACUAAGUUUUAGUAAAUCAUGACGAAUAGUCUUAUCGAUCUUCUGUGGUGCACUUGACCAGUGCACAAGAAUGUGUACUCGAUCUCUUAGUCAUUCACUUGACUCAUAUAUACAUAUGAACAAGGAAUUAGUCUUAAUUUUCCCAAAGAUGAAAAUUCUCAUUCAUCAUACACUUCAACUUGCAAGAUUCUAAAUUUCUAUCCAAUUGAAACUUGGGUGAUGAGAAUCUUUCCUUGUUUGGUAAAUUUAGACACUACCACAAAUGAAAGAAUCAAAUUCAUAUUUCCACUCUUGCUAGUAUUGGAAUCAUAUAAACAACAAGUUUCCACAAAUGCUACUGUAAGGAUAUUUUAAAAUCAAUAAACUUAAAAACCCUUUUUUCCUUUUAUUUUAAAACUUUGAGGAAAAAGUUAUCCUUAUAGUGCAUAUGCAAAUGAAAAACUUGUUAAUUAUUCCUAAGCCAUAUAUCAUAACUCCUAAGUAACAACUCAAAAUUCUGAUCAUCGAACCAUCUGAUCGAGACCCAUCUUCGCGAUCAGAAUCAGCAUAUACUUCCUUUAAGAAUUCCUAAUGAAGAUGAUGUCCCAUGGUUGGUUCAUGGAAAUCAUACUUCUUUUCUUUCACCUCCUCCAAUUAUUCUCCCUAACCCACAACUUCUUGAAAANAGGUCACUCAGCCCUAUUGGAAAGCAAAGUCUAUGUGUGCUCACAUCUUGGAUAUAAAGUCACAUAUUGACAAGCCGGGAGAGUUGGGUGUCAAAGUCUAAAGGAAUUUGGAUGUUUUAUCACUUUCUAAGUCACAUAGUGAGUUCCUUUGGGACUACUAUGAAACAGACUAUGACAUAAACCUUAAUGAUCUUAUCAAUUUGCUUGGUUCUGCUGAAUCAGAAAUGAUUUGAGGACUAGUAAAGCAAAUUUGAUUAGAAGAUCAACUUCCCAAACCUUCAAUGGAUAUUGACAAUGGUAACAUUAGAUACCCAGUAAAAGAUUUCUCUUCCCAAUGGAAAGGGAUCCGCCAUAGUCAACUCGGUUGACCAAAUGGUAAAGAGAAAGGCUAAGUUUGAGAUAGUCCCAUGUAUCAUUACCAAAGAGUCCAUAUACCACUAUUUGGUUUUGAGCAUUCUAACACUCUUAAGUGUACAUGCAACCCUAAAUACCUUGGGUCUACGUUUUCUUUAUUAUACAUGCAUAUACGAACAUUCCAAGGUAUUAUCCUAACUAGCAUACAAAACAUUGAUUCAUAUGUAAUAAAGCAAGUUAGAAGACAUACCUUUGUUAUGUAGGUUGAUUCCAUGGAGCUUAAGAGCCUAGUGCCUCAAGUGUGACACCUCAAAUGGUUCACACAACAUCACCAACAUAUUGGAAUAACUUAAGUGAAAAGGUUCUUAUGCUCAAAUUGGCUAGCCCUCAUGUGUACACACACUAGUACCAAUUUAUUGAGCCAUGGGGUCCUUAUAUAUGGUGGCUAUUAGGGUUACACCAUGUAACUCAUGUCUUUCCAUAUUCUUCAUGAUCCAUGGGUUACUCCAUGGGUUUAUCCUAACGUGAAGAACUAUGGAUUAUAAGCCCACAUAUAUAAGAAUGAAUGAUUAACACAAUCAAUCCCCAUAUAUUUAAUUAGUCUCCUUUUAAUCACAAUAUUAAUACCAAAUUAAUUCUUGAUCAAUACUAAUUAAAUAAUAUGAUUUCAUAUUAAUAUAUUAGAACUUAUAAUAUAUUAACAAAUCAUAAAUAUCAUUUUCUUAAAAAAGUCUAUCCAAAUUGUUCUGAUGCCAUGCAACCCAAAUGGACUAUGCCAAUCGGGUCAAGUACAUACCAAUUAUAGUUAUGGACUUAGACACUAAUCCAACAGAUGGUUGUACCCUCCGAAUGGCAAGUGUCAAUUCUCGUAAGAAAUGAUAGUCGGUUCAUGGAAAAUCUAGGUAGCCAUGAGUUUAGCGCGUGAGUCACUUCUGGGUUUGGUGAUUGCGGUAGACUUUAAGGAUGGAGUUUAAAAUAUGUGGUGGGGAUUUGUAACGCUCGGUUCUUGGUAGGUAUUUUAAAUAAGAAUCCUCAUUUUUGUAAAGGGGCUCGACGAGUUAGAGGCCCCAAACUCGUCAAGUAGAAGUGGGAAUUUGGACGUAGGUAAAGAAAUGUACUCGACGAGUUGAGGAUCCCCAACUCGACGAGUAGGACUGCCAGAGUGAAACCCUAAUUUUUAGGGUUUGCACCCUAUAUAAGGACCUUAACACCUCAUUAUGGCCUCCCUCCUCACCUCCCUAAGUCAUGUAAACCCUAAUUCGUGAGCUUGAGACUUUUGUGUGUGUAGGAGUGAAAAAAGAGUGAUUCUUUGGUAAUCUUUUGAAGAAGUUGAAGUUGGAGGUGCUUUGUUGAAAGAAGGAGCUUUGGAUCUAGGGGUUUCUCUGCUAAGGAAACCAUAUUAAGGUAUAGACUCUAUACCUUGACUAUUCAUUUGCUAGAUCUCUCCUUGGAAUAGUUUAGGGCUUUUAGUAGCUUGUUGUGGAACCAUUCAUGGAUGCAAGCAUGUUUGGUGUUAUGACUUUGGAUCUGGACAUCCACGAAAUAAUUAGAAUCAAAGUUGCCAACUUUAUUGAGUCUUGUCCCUUCUCCAUGACUUAUAUCUCUUUUGGAGCUUAGUUUUAGUGUUCUUAGCUUCUUGACACCAUGCAUGGACGUCAAGUUGGUAACUUUGCGUGAUAUAUCGACUCUAAGGGACCAGAUAUAUUGUUUGGACGUGUUGGACUCAACAUAAAUCGACUUAAUGGAUUAAGACAAAGGGAACUCAACAAGUUGUUUAGACGACUCGACGAGUUGGGUCGUGGUCCCCCAACCUUUUUUGUUAUUAAGCAAACUCGUUGAUUCUAGGAGAUGACUCACUAAUUUGGCCAGGGUUUUGAGUUUUGAAGAGUGGAGGACUCGACGAGUCGAAAGAAGGACUCGACGAGUUCAAACGAAAAGUCUCAAUUAUGUUAUAGAGAGGAACUCGUUGAGUUGUGGAAGAACUAGACGAUUUGGAUCACAAUUUAGGGUUCCUGAUUCAUGGAACUCAAGGAGUUGAUGGACCAACUCGGUGAGUUGAGUCAACCAGAAUGUUGACUUUGACCAGAAUGUUGACUUUGACAUGGACUUUGACCAUAGUUAACUCUUGAAAGGUUAUGAAGUACGGAAUGGAUUCUAGAAGAUUGUCCCAUGUAAUGUUUGGGCCUAAUUUGGAGAAUUGGGCCAAUAGGGGGCCAUUAGUGGGCGUUUAUGGAUUUUGGAGUUUUAGACUUGAUUGGUUUUAAACCGGUGCCCUAGUUUUGUAUCCUAUUGGACUAGGGGUAAAAAGGUCAUUUUACCCAAAUAUCGAUUAUGAAUCAUGGUUUAGGACCCAAUUACUAAUUGGGGUGAUAUUGUGGUAUUGAUAGCUCAAGGAGUUACCAGGACAGCAGUAAGGAAUCCUUACAGUGGACUUCAGCAAUACGAGGUGAGUUACCUUCCAGUAGAAGUGGGUCGAAGGCACCAAGGUCAGCCCACUAGUAGUUGAUUAUAGUUGAGAUGAUUGUCUUUGUGAUAAUUUUCUGGUAUAUCACUAUCAGAUAUGCUUUAUGUGCUAGUAUGUUAUGAUAUUAUGUGGUAGUGGUAGGAAAGGAACUAGUCCUCGAUUAUCAGCUGUAAGGAUCGACAGGGUAGGUCGGGCACCCAGAUAUGCCUGACAAUAUGUUAUGCUAUGUUAUUAUGUACUAGUGGUAGGGGUAAAAUAGUCCCUAUAACUAGUUGAAAUAAACCGGAGGGUAGGUCGGGCACCCAGAUAUGCCUGGCAGCGUAGGUCGAGCACCCAUAUAUGCUUGAUAAGGGGUUGGUCAGGCACCCUGGUAUGCCUGACAAAGGUAGGUUGAGCACCUAGAUAUGAUCAGCAGGGUAGGCCAUGUGCCCAUAUAUGCUUGGCAGUAUGUUUAUUGUAUGGUAUGUGGUACGAUGGGGGAACUCACUAAGCUUCAUGCUUACAGUUUUCAGUUUUGGUUUCAGGUACUUCGUUUUCAAGGGAAAGGAGUCGACGAUCGCAGCGCAUCACACUAUGUUUUCUGAACAUGAGAUCCUUGGGAUUUCACUCUAAUACUGGUUUAUGAUAACAUGUUUUGAUUAUUGACACUUUGGUUUUGAGAUGGGAUGUUAUUAUGUAUGUUUUUUUAUAUUGUUGGUUUUAUCAUAACUUAAUCAAAUUAAAAAUGAAAUUUUUGUUUUUGGAUUUUGGGAUAUUAUAANNNNNNNNNNNNNNNNNNNNNNNNNNNNNNNNNNNNNNNNNNNUAUAUAUAUAUAUAUAUAUAUGUAUAUAUCUUAAAAAACCUAAGAUUUUAUCCUAACAUACAAGAUAUAUAAAUAGGGAAAUGUAAUCCGCUAUCAAGAUGGUGUCUUCUAUUAUGGUAACCCAAUCUCAUAUCAAUCCAUGACACAUAAGGAUAAUAUCUUCAAUCGUCAGGGCUUGGACAUUACAGAUCUUCAUGAAGCUUACUGAUGUCAUGUGGGCUGCAACCCUUGAUGAUCAUCAGCGAUACUAAUACAAUCGUUGACAAACAACAAUUAACUUAUCAAAUCCAACCUAGAUCCUAACAAUUUAUACUAUUUGAUAAUGUAAAUAAUAACCACCAACUAUAAUAAUUAUUUAUAAUAAACAAAAAAGUAAGUAUAAAUAUACAAAAAGAUACAAAAGCUUCAUAGGAAAACUUCAUCAGCCUUGUUGUCGUAUUCAGCAGCAUCAAUCAUAACUUUUGGCUUGACGAGUACAAAAUCUCUAAGAAGUUCCUCUCUUUUAUUUCUAAGUUCAACUACAAGAACCAAGUGGUAUCCUUUUCAACUUAUUUUCCAUUGAUCAAUUGAAAAACAUAAAUAAGAUGUUGAGGAGGAUACAUGUGUAGAUCAGGAGAAGGUGUUAGGGCAAUAGACUUAAGUUUUUGAACCUUUUCCGUGAGCUUCCUAACUAUAGUUCUUAAUUGCAAAUAAAGUCCAUUUUUUCUGUUAGAGACAACAUUCGUUAUCUCCUCCCAUUCAAAAUAGCCAUACUCGGUGAGUUUUAAACCUUGAAUUACUUUAGAGUUAAAAUCAAGACCUCAUUCUCUUAUAAGGUGAAUAGUUAGCACCAUGUUACAUUUGCGUGUGGAGCACCCUUCAGGUGGUCGCAUCACCGUAUGUGUCCUGAUGGGCCCUUUAAGGGGCUUGCACAAGUUUUUCCCUUCUAGUAAUAACUUGACAAACAUUUAGCUGAAUAAUCUAUUGUUCAAAAACCAGAACAUGUGUAAUAAGAUCUUGCAAGAAAUCUUCAUUUUCUUUAUAUCAUUUCAUUCAUUUUUAUAAUGUGUUGCUCCUUUGAAAAAACCUCAAGAUCUUCAAUUGAACAUGCAAGUCAACCAGCAAGAGCAGAAAUAUCACCAAAAUCUAUAUCCCAUCAUCAUUCUUUUUGGACCUUUUGGAAAUGGAUGAUGUUGAAGGAUCAGAGCAAAUCUCUUUUUGAAGAGAGACCUAAUAGGAUUAUCAUCAUCACCAAUACAAGAUUCUUUAGAGGAGGAUUUUUUGAGAGGAAUGGAAUUAAAGGGAAUAUCUGCCACUGGUUCAUUUAGGAAAUCUACCUCAUACAUGGUUAGGUCAUUAUCAAUUUUAGAUUCAUCAUUAUGGUCCACUUCAUCAUCUUUAUAGAUAUGCCCCUUAAGAAAUUGGUCCCCCCCCNNNNNNNNNNNNNNNNNNNNNNNNNNNNNNNNNGAACUAGAUCUCACAUGAGGUCUUGAACUUUCCCCCUUAUUGACAUUAUCAUUCCAAAUACUUGCUAAAUGAAGAGGAGUUGGAACAUUAUUACCCACAGUAUGAGUAGGUUUACUUCAAGCAGCAAUGGUUGAACCUGGUGUAGGAGAUGAUGGAUUAGGGCUUCAAGAUCUUCAUCCUUGUGAGGUUUUUUAGUAGAAGAUGGUGAUAAAAUGGACUUGAUAGUAGCUAAAUCUUUGUCUAUGUAAUCAAUCCGAAGACUCAGAGCAUCCACUGAAUCUUUUACAGUGGAAGAUAUUACAUUGAUGGCUUCAUUAUUUGAGAAAGAGUGACAUGAGAAACACUCUAGGGAGUAGCUUCAAACCGUAGUACCUGUUCACUAAUAGUAGUGAAUAAAAAUCUUUGAGUUUGAUGAAUGUUGACAAUCUUAGUAUCCAAUGUUUGAUGUUCGAGAGAGUUAGGAAUAAUAGUGUCAUCAUUGUAGAAAGAUGUAGGAGAUGGAGAUCUUUGGAAACCAAUGAUUGCAAAUCUUGUUUAAGGGUUAAAGAGCUAUGAAUAGGAGAUGGAGUGGUUAAUUUAUGUGUGGACCAUGAUUCAGAUUCCCAGACACAUCAUCCCUAGAAAUAGAGUUUUAUUCUUGAUUUUGCCCUAGGUUUUGCAAUUUAUCGGGGUAAUCGUCAUCUGAGACACAAAAGAUUGUGUACCUUUUAAAUGGAGGAGGGAAAAUAUGGAAGCAUUGUCACUCGCAUCAUGAAAAAUAGUUGGUGGGGAUUACACUGCCUCGGGAUAUAAGUCCUCAUUGGACUCUUGAUUUAUGUCUGUAUCAUCUUGGUCCUCAUCAUUAUCAUCAUUGUUAUCAUCACUAUCAUCAUCUUCAUCAUCUUCCUUGUCAUUGUUUUCGUCAUUAUCUUCUUUUUUAUUAGGCAUUUAUUGAAAUGGUUGCUCAAUCCAAAUUCUCAUGGCAGGGAUGAUAGUGCGAUCAGUAGGACAACCGGCUGCUUCAAAAAUCUUGGAAGUUAAAUGCCUUGACUAAAUAAGUGGUCCUGGAAGUUCUGCAUAUGCCUCAUAACCCAUGGAUUGUUCCAUGGUAAAAUCCUUGGAAAGAGAACAAUCGACUAUCUACAGGGAGACUUAUGCAUCAAGGAGAUGAAUUAAUCAAAGACCAUUUAUGAAUAGUCCAUGUGGUGACCAUUAUACAUAGCAAAAAAAUAUUCAUCUCCUAAAGAUUUAAUUGAUCCCAUGCAUUGAUUUUGUGAGAUAGGUACAUGUUGAUGAGGCCAGUAAGAUAUUUCCAUGUAUAUGUCAUGCAAGCUCUUUUGAUUAAAAUUUAGGUGUGGUCCUUGUUUGGUGAAGUAAUUCCCAAUAGCUAGAAGGAUAUGACACAUAUAUUGAUCUAACUGAAGGGGAAAGAGCUCAUCAACAACAAGAAGAUAAAGAGUAAUCCAAAAGUGAUCAAUGUUGAUGGUUACUGGAAUACUUUCAUUAGUGAUAUUUCCUUUGAUUGACUGACCAUAUUCAUCAUCUUCCACAAUGUACUAGAAUUCACACAGUUCCUUAGAAUUAAUUUGAAUGGACUCACGAGUAAGUGUAAUGGUGAAAGUGAUUGAUUGAAGAUAUUAAGAGAAAUCUUUGAUACCCAUUCCCAACUUUUUGAGGAACAUCAAACAAAGUAACUUGAUUUGAAUCCUUUAUGGUGACAUGUAAUAGAGGGGUAUUGAAUGCAGGUCCUAAAUCAAAUUCAGGAAAAUGGGUGAAGGCGGCGACCAUGGUGAUCAAUGAUUCUUUGAGAUAAAGAAGUUCUUGGAAGAGAAGAGUUCUGGAUAUGUUGUUGAAAGGAAUUGUGAUUCAAAGAUACUUUUUAUGAUACAAAUAUAGAGGGUUUAGGGUUCCCCAGAAGAUAAACAUGAACUCAUCGGUAGUAUAUUGUUAGUGGAAAGAGGAAAUGUUGACAUUGAUUACACUAAUACUUGACUCAGGACAAAGUUGCAUACUAGAAAGCCUCACACAUUGUAUGUUAUAAUACAGAGGUACCUAGACAUUACGACCUUUUGAUAUCUCAUAAACCAUGGGGAUGAUAGCAGAUCAAAAAUAUUACGGAAUGUGGAUGACUCUCUUAGACUAUUGGGUCGAUAGAAGUUCUUAGACAACAAGGGAUGGUGAUAUUCAUUAAAUAUUUUUUUCAUAGGAAAUCAUCAACAUUAAGUGCAUGUUAUGUCUCACUUUGAAUUUUGUUUUAAUAGAACGAUCAUAGAAAUUGAAGUAAAAAUCUAGACCAUCUAUGCUCUGUAAAUUCUUUGGUACAAGGUAAGGUGUCAUACCUCAGUUUAUGGUAACAAUAGAUGAGGAGCAAGGAUACCAAGUGCAUUUUAUGUCUCACAUAACCUAUUGUUAUUUUAUAAGAGAUCGUAGAUGUCGCAUCCAAAAUUUUACAUCAAAUUUAAACUUUGUCAAUCAUAAGCAAAACCAAAUAGUAUUUGUUUACAAAAUGUUUUCAAAUCAUUAUUCAUCAGAGUGUCCCAAUAACUAGAUCGAAAGGAUGAGGAGCAGGUACGAUCACGCCUUCGCCUUGUCAUGAUCUCAUGAAGUACCUGAAACAAUAAAUUGAAAACUGUAAGCCUAAGGGCUUAGUGAGCUACACCAAAAUACCAAUACCACGCUGAUAAUACCAUAUCAGUAACAGACAAUCAAUAACAUGCAUAUUGGGCCAUAGGCUUGACUGGACCACCCUGCAGGGCCUUCAGUCUAUCUGAUCCUAUCCCGAUCUUUCGGCAUGACUGGACCGCCACGUGGGCCUAUAGUCUCCCCGGACCGCUCAUAGGGUAUGUUGGCCUUCAGCACAAAGCAGGACCGCCUCAACCCAACCAACAAGCAAAUAACAAAGUGCGCAUAACUAUCAUAUACUGGCAUAUACAAACAUCAAACAUAUCUAUCUCACUGAUCAUCAAUCAUAGAAAUCUCUCGUAACUAGAGCACCGACCAAGCAGGUCACUAACAUACCAAUCCCUACGGAUCAUAAGAGCAUAAUAUACUGUCUAUCCUGAUUCCGAUCUAACAGAUCAUAACCACAUGAAGCACACCAUAACAAUAGCAACUUAAGGGUCGGCCUUGGUGCCGUAGACCCUAUUGAUAUAGUGAGGAUAACUCACCUUGCAGAUGUCGACUCGGUAGCUGAACUCCAACUCUCGGAUCACUGUCAAAAACUCCACCACCUAUUACCAUAAUAUAGUUAUACGUAUAAGUUCCCAACCUUUCAAGGUACCCCAAAAGCCAACUAAUCAAACCCUGGUCAAAAUCAAAGUCAUCAGUCAAGGCCAACAGUCCAUGUUGACCCUAACUCGCUGAGUACCCUCGGUUACUCGCUGAGUUCCUUGAAGUACUUGCCCACUCGCCGAGCCGCGGAGUGACACGUCGAGUUCCUUUGGUUUACGAUUGAACUCUAAGGCCACUCAUCGAGUUUCCUUCUUGCAACUCGAAUGUUACACACGCAUACAAAAAUUGGGGAAAACCUCAAUCGACUCGCCGAGUGGUUCAUGCAACUCGUCAAGCCCUAUGGCAAUCUUCAUCGGACUCGCCGAGUUGUUCACCCAACUCGUCGGGUCCAUGCCUAUCUUCAUAUGACUCGCCGAGUCGGCCUUGCAACUCGCAGAGUUCCUUCAGUCCUUAAGCCAUACUGACUCUUUUAAGCCAUUUAGUGGCUCCAAAUUACAGAUCCAAGCUUCUAAGGCAUGCAUCUCAUGCAAAGUUGCAAACUUUACGUGCAUGCAUGGCUAAAAAGGCUCUUAAUGUCAAAUCCAAGCUCACAAUGGGGGGUUUCAUACUCAAGGAGGCUUCAUACAUGACCAAGCUCAGAGCUUUAUGACUCUAGAACCCAAGAAGGGUCCAGAUAUGAAGUUACAACUUUAGAUCUAGCUCAGAUCCUACACUAUCAUCUCAAUCAAACCAUAAAAACCCUAAAUCUCAACCAAAUGAGGUCUAGAAGGAAAAUGAAGUAAAGGUGACGAAUUGAUACCUCUAAAUGAUGCUAACUAGGGUAGAUUUUUGAUUCCCACGCCUUCCUUGCUCCUAGUCUCUUGCCCUCCAAGUUCUUCCGUUCCAAAAACCUCCUUUCUAAAGCUUAAGACACACAAGGAUGAAACACCACACGAAUUAGGAUUUUCUGAGCUCUCAACGACUGUAAAUAGAAUUAAGGAGGAUUAUGCUUCCUUAAAUAGGGUGCAAAACCCCAGGAUCUAGGGUUUCUUCGGCCAGCUCCUACUCGUCGAGUUCUUCAUGGACUCGGCGAGUAGGCCACUAAACACGAGAUCCCACCCCGCUGCUACUCGACGAGUAGGCCACUAAACAAACUUGCAUUACAAUUUUGUGACUUUUGUUUCCCUUACUUAUUCCAAGGACAAAAUCUUCCUUAAUGGGUGGAUAAUUGUAACAUCUUGUUCUUAGGACUAGAAGUUUUAGACUUUUUGGUAAAAAUAAAAAAAACUUCUUUAAUUUAAAAUAAAAUAAAUUCAAGUGAAGUAAAGGAAUAAAUGAAAUGAAUAUUUUAGAAUAAUAAUAAUAAUAAUUUUUUCAUUACUUUAGAUUAAUAUAUGAUAGGGAAUCUGGCAUUAAAUGAGACUUUUGUAAGAAAGGGACCAACAAUCUCAACAUAUAGAAACUUGUGCUUGGCUCGAUAGUUUGAAUAAAUAAGCACCCCGUGCUAAAUUUAUAUAUGUUAUGAUGGAUUAGGACUACUUAUGGAUAUAAUAUAAGUUAUCAUAAAGUUUUAGCUGAGUCAUGGAUCAUCAUUGCAAAGAUUUUAAGGGGAGGGACCAAAAUUGGAAAGUUGGCAAAACUUGUGUCCCUGCUCCGCGCUAUGUUUUUGGAACUAGCAGAUUAUAAGCAAUGAUUUUCAGCCUUGUUUCCCUCAUUUCUUUAAAGCUUUUCUUCUCUACUCGAGUUCAACCUCUUUCCCACAUUCAUAAUCGAUUUUUUAGUUAUAUCCAUGUUGUUUUAGUGAUUGGAAUUGUUAGAUGUAUGAUUACUCAAAUCAUGUCAAGGAAAUGGAAUGAACCAUGUGGAGAUCCUUUCUUCUGUUCUUUUGAAUUUUUAUAACUCUGAAUUGUUCUCUUAGGUCAUUUGAUUCGUUUUGAAAUUGUAUUGAAACUUGGAUGCUUAAUGAGAAACAAAGCUAAUUGAUGCAUUCUAUUAUACAAUAUUCGUGAAACAACUAAAGGGAGGUUGCAACGCAUUGCUUGAACUAUUUUUUUAGCUUCAUGAUCUUAUUGUGUCUUGGUGUUAGUUCUCUCCUUUGAGAUUCUUUGGUUUCCUUAAUGCACAUUAGAACAUUUUUGGAGUACUUUUAUAUUAGAUUGAGGAGUUGACUCGUAGAAGAGUAAUUUAGUCAUUUGACAACUUUUUUUCGUACUAGGUGAUUAACUUAAGAUGUUUGAAGUUCAAGGUGUGUAUUUCAAGUGUAGGAGAUCUUAGGUGCUUAUAUCUUUUGUAAUGUCUGGUUCCAGGUCUGUAUUUGAAUUAUAAUUAUUCAUUUUUAUAGAGGAAAUUGACGAGUUGGGAGCCCUAGACUCGUCGAGUAGAGAUGAUUUGGGACGCGGGUUAAGAAACCUAGUCAACAAAAUUGGAGGCCUCAACUUGAAAAGUAGGCUGGCAGAAAUGAAACCCUAAUCUUCAGGGUUUUUGUACCCUAUUUAAAUGCCUUAUUGUUGCAUUUUGUCCACCCUCAUCGUUCCCCUAGUACAGUAAAACCCUAAUCGUGCCUCUUUCUCCAUUUUGAAUGUGUGAGAGUCUAAAGAGUGUUCUUUGGUGCUUUUCUUGAAGGAGUGUGAAGUUAGUGGUGCAAAGUUGAAGGGAGAAGCUCUAGAUCCAGGAUUUUCAGUGUUGUUACAACCAUUUGGAGGUAUAAAGUCAAUACCUUGACUAUUUAUUUGCUAGAUCUCUUCUUUGAGAAAUUUAUGGCCUUUAGUAGCUUGUUUUCGUGUCAUUUACGGAUUUGAACAUGUUAUGAAGCUAUGACUUCAGAUCUAGACAUUUCAUAGCCAAUUGAGACUUAAAUUUGCCAGCUUUAUCAAGUCUUAGUCCUCUUCCAUGCCAUAGGUCCCUUAUAAAGCUUAGUUUUAGUGUUUUUAGCCUCUUGAUACCAUGCAUGGACAUAAAGUUAGCAACUUUACGUGGUAUCUCAGCCUAAGGGGACCAGAUAUAUGGUUUGGAGGCAUUAAACUCGCUUAGAAGUGACUGAAUUAGUUAAGACUACAGAAACUCGAUGAGUGGUUUACCUAAAUCGGUGAGUUGGAUCGUGGUCCCCAUAUCUUUUCGAUUACUGAGUAAACUCGACGAGUUGAAGAGAUGACUUCGCGAGUUGAGUAGGACUUUCAUUGUUUUCUGAAAAAAGAAGGAACUCGAUGAGUCCAUAAAGAGACUCGACGAGUUGUACUGGAAAGUCCCGAUUUUGUUAAGAAGGAGGAAAUCGGCGAGUUGAAGGAAAACUUGACGAGCUGGACCGCGAUUUCACAAUUCUACGAUCUAUGGGAACUCAUCGAGUUGAGGAAUGUACUCGACUAGUUGAGUCAACUCAGAGUAUUGACUUUGACUUUGACCACAGUUAUACAUCCCAAAAAUCAUGACCAAAAAUUUCAUUUUCAAUUACUAAAUAAAACAUAGUUAUCAAAAUUAUUUCAUCCAAAAACAUAAGUCAUCGUAUCAAAUCAUAGUAUCAUAUCAAAACACAUAUCAAUAUAUUAGAGUAACACAUCCCAGGCUAAACAAAAUGGUGUGUUCACUGCAGUCAUCCCGAGCUCUACCCUUUGCUACUGGAAGUACCUGAAACCAAAAUUGAAAAUUGUAUGCACAAAGCUUAGUCAGUCUCCCCAAACUACCACAUAACAUACACAUAAUCAUAUAAUAACAUCAUAACAUACAUGCGCCUUUCCCGCUUCAUCAGGCCCGGCCUGGCAUCAGACAAUGUACGGCGUCAAGCCUUGCCCGACAUCGAGCAAAGUACGGUAUACAUAUAAUCAUAUCAACAAUUACAUAUAAAUAAUCACAUAACAUAAGCAUAUAAUCAUUCCUCAGGCCCCGCCCAACAUCUGACCAAAAUCCGGAAGCAUACUAACAUUCCUCGGGCAUUGCCCGACAUCAUACUGAAAUCCGGAAACAUACAAAUAGACACACGAAAGAAUCAUGAAGACAUCAAGCAUAAAAACAUUCCUUAGGCACCGCCCGACAUCGGAUUGGAAUCCGGAAAUAUAUAAACCUACAUCAAGCAUUGCUCAACAUCGGUCAUUAGCCCGGAACAUACUAUCAUACACAUACAUAUCGUCAUUGGUGCCUUCGAUCCGUUCAUACAGGAGGAUACUCACCUCCUGUGUCAAAUGAUGGCUGAAACGUCUCUGCCUUAAAUCAGCUCCACUCAUUGCCUUAAUCAAAACAACCCCUCUGCCUAGAAUUAGCUCCACUCAUUACCUUAAUCAAAACAACCCCUUAAUUACCAUUCCAUACUCAUAACCCUUAAGGUUCAACUUUGGUCAAGUUAAAUUCAACGCUCCGAGUUGACUCAACUCUUCAAGUUUAUCCUUCAACUCGUCAAGUUCUCAUCAAUCACGGAAUUGUGAAAUCACGAUCUAACUCAUCGACUUUUCCUCCAACUCAUCGAGUUCCUCUUUCUUAACAGAAACGGGACUUUCCUAGUAUAAAUCGUCGAGUUCCCUUGUGGAAUCGCCGAUUUUCGUUAACAGAAUCGAGAAUGUUCAACUUAACUCGUUGAGUUCCCUUAUGAACUCACCGAGUUCCUUGCAUUUCUAGUCUAUUCAGCCAUUUCCUCAAAUGAAAGGUUCCAAAAUAUAGAUCUACAUUAUUUCCAUGGUAUAUUUUUGUAAGGUUAACAACUUGAUUACUGUGCAUGCCUAAAAUGGACCCAAUCUCGAGAUAUAGCAACCUACUUCUAUAGACAUGGUCUUUUCAUGGAUAAAAAUGGGUUUAGGAUCCCUUUUUAUGAAUCUAAUGGCCAAAUAACAUUAAGAAUGGGAGUGUGUAGCUUCAGGGCCAUCAAGGUUAACAUAUUUCCAACAAUGGGGUCAAAAAGGCUCAUAAAACAAGGCUAAGAGAGAUCUGAGUUAUGAAUCACCAAGUUAGGGACUCUUUACCUUAGAAAGUUGCCAAAGAUAGACGAGAUCCUUGAUCUAGUGCUUCCCCUCAAGCUCAAUGACCUUCUAUUUCUUCAAAGUGUACAUCCCCGAUGAACCCUAGCAACUUGUAUUGUCCUAUCUUCCACGAUCUCUACAUCAAGAGGACAGUCUAGCUCUCUUGGAGCUCCAACAAAUCACUUGCUCAGCGCGAGUGAUACAAAAGAUCGGGUAGCCCCUGAAUCAAAUAAUACCAGAGCAGUUAUACAGUUCACAAGGACCGAUCCUAUAAUGAAAACACAUGAACAUAAGCAAUAAUCAACAUAAGUAAAGAGAUAAGGAGAAGUUACAUACCCAUCACAACAUCAGGAGUUGCACGUGUCUCCUCUGUUGUCAGCUGAAAGGCCCUGCUCUUCGCCAUAGGCGCCUCUGACCGGAAUUGAUGGCUAUCGGUAAUCCUUAGUGUAGCAGGAGGGGUACUACCACCCGUACUGUCAUUGCUAAACUCGGGUAUUGGGACCACAUGUGUCCCCUUUGAUUGUACUGGCAACAAAUCAGAUCUGAUACUGUGGUGGUGAUGGUGGUAGCAGUACAAUCCCUACUGACAUGACCUGUUUGGCCGCACUUAAAACAGCCCGAACUACCCGCCCUGCACGCCCCCUCAUACAUCUUGCAGCACUUACCACAACAGUUGUGGUCCUGCUGGCUCAUCGAUCGAUAAUCCAAUACCUUGGGUUUCUUUCUCGCACUCCCUACCUGAAGCCCCUCUAGUUUCCUCUUCUUCUCCAUCUCUAAAUCCAACUCCAUUUCCCGAGCCCUCGCAAUCAUGCCCUACGAUGUCUUGUAGCUAGAUCGACUCACAAACUGGCGGAUAUCACUACUCAACAUCUCAUGGUAUCAGGCCUUUUUCAUCUCCUCGUCCGCCACAUACUGCAGAACAAGAAGGGACCCUCUCCCUGAACAUGGCGGUGAUCUUAGUCACCAUCUCUGUAGUUAGCUGGAGAUCUUGGAACUCCCAAGCAAGCUGGUGCACCUUGAUCACAAGUGAAAACUCGGCCCUAAACCUGGUUAAAAUGUCAUUCCACUUAAUCGCAUCAAGAGUGGCAUCAUCUCCAAUGGCAUGUCCAACCUCCUCCUACCAAUCACAUGCCCUGUCGUUCAGAAGGCAGGAAGCAAGUUGGUCCUAGUCCCCAUUGGGACAACGGCUGGUGCGACAGGCAUUGGCGACAUCAGCCAAUCAACUGCUGCUAGCAAUGGGGUCCCAAGCCCUAUGAUAGUCUGGAGCUCCACAAGCUCGGAACUCCCUGAAUGUCAUCGUUCGUGCCUCUAACAUGGCCGCCAUCUCGGUGCAGAAAGUACUCAGCCUCUCAUCAAGAAUCUCCAAGAUGCCCUCCUUGACCGUAGUAAAGAUUACAGGAGUCUAGUCCAAAAUAUUAUGCGUGAUAUUAGAAGAAAUUAACUCCCUCUUCUGAUCAUAUAGCUGGCCAACUCCAAAGCCCGAGCCUGAUCCUUCUUCUACUGCAGAAUUGCCAACUACACUCGCGCGUAGCAUCACUAUACUGAAAAUACACCAUAAAAAUCAUCAAGUACUCAUCAUAACUCGAGCGAUCUCACAUACUACAAGUUCCCUGGGUUCAUCUCAGCCUUCCAUGAUUUGAGCAAGGAUCCUCUACUUUUAGUAGUAUGGGCCCAUACUACCUUCCAUAUCUAUCCGUACUUUCCUCAAGAACUGCCUUGAUUCUACCAUGUCGCUUUCACUACUACUGUUUUUCAUGCUAAUCUCAUCCUAGGCUUACCCUAAGGUAAUCUCCAACCCACACUCCGCCAUAAGCUACAUAAGAAUCCCUGCUACCUUUCCCUAACUAGCUCGGGAAUACCAUUACAUAUUACUAAGACCAGAUAAUUCUUCGAAUGAGAGGUCUCUCCCUACAAUGGUCAAACUCAAACGAGAGCUGUGAAAUAAGGCUUAACCUAACCUUUUGAAAUUAUUUAGUGCUUGUAAUAUAUAAUUUAACAUAUUCAUUUACUAGUUAGUUGAAGAUAACUAGAACUCCUAUAAGCAAAAAGCAAGCAGCAUUCAGGCAUUGAGUAAACAAAAACCAAUCAUAUCCUAAUCAGACCAUCAUAUCACUAACAAAUCAGUACUAGCAUGCAGUUCAUAAAGCUGAUACAUAUAAUAGACAUACAAGGCAUCAUUCCUAGAUCCUUAGACCUAAUCUGGGAUGUAUUUCUCAUAAUCAUAUCAUAGCAUAACAAACAUGUAAGGGUAAUUUGGGAGAACUUACUUGAGCUUGGCUGAUUAGAUGCACCACACUCGUUUCUCUUUUCAAAAUCCUUUUAUAAAAGUGGUUUUAUUUAAAAAAUUUAUACCAAGUCCUCAGUUUGAGUUUAGACACACCCAAGACUGUGCCCGAAUCCUUCAAACCAAGGCUUUGAUACCAACCUGAAACAUCCCAAAAAUACGGUCCAAAAUUUUUGUUUUUAAUUAUUAAUAAAACCAUAGUUAUCAAAUCAUUAGAUAAAAAUCAUAAGUCAUUGUAUCUCAAAAAUCAUAAACAUCUAUCAUACAUAUCAGAGUAAAAACAUCCCAGGCUAAAAUCAUGGUGCGUGCACUAUAGCCAUCCCGAGCUCUUCCCUUUGCUAUCAGAAGUACCUGAAACUAAACCUGAAAAUUGUAAUCAUGAAGCUUAGUGAGUCUCCCCAAAAUACUACAUACCAUACACAUAAUUACGUAAUCACAUAAUAACAUAUCAUGGGCCUUUCCCACUUCAUGGGGCCCCGCCCCGGCAUCGUGCCCCGUUUGGCAUCAGACUGAAAUCCGGCAUCGAGCCCCACCCGGCAUCGAGCAAAGCUUGGUAUACAUAUAAACAUAUCACAAAUACACAUAAAUAAUCACAUAACAUAAACAUAUAAACAUUCCUCGGACCCCGCUCGACAUCGGACCAAAAUCCGGAAAAAUACAAAACAGACACAUGCAAGAAUCACGAAGACAUCAAGCAUACAAACAUUCCUCGAGCACUGCCUGUCAUCGGAUCGGAAAUCUGGAAACAUAUAAACCUGCAUCGGGCACUUCCCGACAUCGUACCUUGGUCCGAAACAUACUAGCAUACAUAUACGAGCUGACAUUGGUGCCUUCAACCUGUUCAUGCAUGAGGAAAACUCACCUCGCAAUGCUGAAUGUUGAAUCUCAUGGUACAGAAUCCCCAAUAGCUGCUUCGACGACUCCCGAGCUAUCAAUGUAACAUAACACUUAGUUAAAAUCCAUAAAGCCUUCUUAGGGUAAAAUGACCAUUUUACACCUCGUCUAAUUAGGACCAUAACCUAGGCCCAAAUCUAUAACAUCAAUGGUCCAAUUUUUAUAAAACCUUUCCAAGCCCACUAAUGGCCCGCUUUUCUAAAUUGGGCCCAACUCUUCAAAUGUGCCUUCCUUAACACCAAGCAUGGUCUAAGCCUAAUAAAUGACUUUUAAUGGCCCACCAAGGCCCAACAACUAAGAAAUCCAAAGAAUAGCCCAAUCCAAGGCCCAAAUGACAAAAAGCCCAAAAUCAGCUAGUACACGGGGCGUACUCCUUUGUACGCUAAGCGUACAGGCUGCAUAGCUUGUACGCCUGACAUACUGGCUUGCACACCCAGUGUACUAUCUUGUUAAGCCAUUUUCCUCAAAAGUGCUUAAUCCCUUAAGAACUAAAGCUUAAAACACAAAUCUGAGACCACUAACAUGUCUUAACCCAUAAAGUCGAUUACUUGGUGGCUUGCAAUCCACCAAAUGGACCCAAACUUGGAAUAUAACAACUAUUUUCCAUGUAAAUAACUAGAACUCAUGCAUGAUCACAAAAGGACCUUCAAGAUUGAAACUUUUCUGCUCUUGGGACUCAUAUAGCACUAAGGGUGGCAACCCUAAGCCUAGAAACGGAUUGGAACCAUAAAAAUCCAUUCUUGGAACAUAAAUAGGUCUAAAACACCAUUAACAUAGAUCUAAGCAUUCAUGAAGCAAGUUGAGAUCUUUUUACCUCAAAUGCAUGCCAAAUGGUGAUGUUAUGUUAGAUCCUUGAGCAUAAGCUACUCAAGUUCUUCUUCUUCAACUUCUUCCUUCUCCUUCCAAGCUUCAAAUCACCAAAAUAAGCUUCACAAGGCCAAAAACACACAAGGAUGAUUUAUGAAAGGUUUUUAGGGUUUUUGAAUUGAGGUGGCUGGUAAGGAGGCUAGGUUUUGGAACAUAAUGUUGUAUUUGUAUGGCUUAAACACUAAAAAUUAGGGUUUUGAGUCUGCUUGCGUAUGUUGCGCGUACGCACCUCCGCCCCCACAUUUGAUGCUACUUUUACGCCACGCGUAUGCCAAGCUUACGCCCAGCGCACGUCUUCAGGCAGCUCAAUCUUGUCGGCCUACUUGCUUUGGCCCAACUCAAUAGUCCACUAUUUCUUUCAUAGUCCAACAAUUAGUUACAAAAAUAUAAAAUAAUUAUUAUUACCUCAAGUCACGGAUGUUACAGAAAUAGUAAAUGCCUUACCUACCUAAAAUAGAUUCGAAUUUAAUUACGACAUCCCUCUACAAUGUUCGAAUUGAAAAUAUGCGUCGUAGCCUUAAUUUAAAUUUAUGGCUUAAUAAUUAAGGAUUAAAAUCAACUAACUUGAAUUCUCUUUUGUACUUUUAUAGAUGUCGAGUCAAGACAUCAAUGGUCUUCCUCAUUCUUUUGGAGAUGUUUUUCCACUUCCUCCAGAAGAUGAUCUUCCACGUUUAGAUCAAUGUCAAAAUGUUUCCUCUUGUUCAGGAAAUGGUAGGAAUAGUUAUCAUGCUUCUCCAACUCUUCCUCCUCCUCCUACAGUGACUCUCCCUACAUCAGGUUUUCCUCAAGUCGAAAGAUCUGAAACCACUCAAUUUCUAUUGGCAUAUAAACAUCAAAAUGGAAAUUUUGUGUCAAUGCAUGCUUUGGAAAUGACAUUGUACAUUGACAAAUUGGAAACAUUGAGUGUCAUUUUCUCAAGGAAGUAGGCCAUUGAUUUGGUUCUUCUUUUGUUUCUUGAGUCAUACAGUCAUACAGUCUGUUCAUUGAGUCAUACGUGAUCCUAAUUGAUCUGACACAUAUAUUGAUUGUUGCCGAAGCAAAAAGUCUUAAGAGCACAAGUGAAGUUAAAGUGUUUAAAGGAUCUAAUUCCAAAAUUUCCAUGGAUGUUGACAAUGGUGGCAACGGUGGUCCAGAAAAGAUUUAUCUUCCCAAUGGAAACGGAUCGACCAAUAAUUAAACUCUCUGAUCACAUGGUAAAGAGAAAGGUUAGUUCUAAGAUAGUUCCAUGUGUUAAUCCUAAAAGGUCCAUAUGUAUCUAUUGCCAAUUGAAGGGACAUUGGUUGCGAAGCUUCCCAGACUACAUGAAUGAUAUUAAAGAUGGUAAACUUAAGUUGUGUAACUCUACUUUAGGUACAUCCAUUAUCUUAACUAGUUCCUAUUCAUAGAUUCUUAAUACAUGAUGUGAUGGACAAAUUUUGUUGGUAUUGCAAGAUCUAAGAGAAAGAAUGAAGCUUAAGAAAAGCGAGCUAAUUCAGAUCGUGAGAAAAGGAUUUCAGUCACAUGGUUCGAUGAUCAGAAUUGGAGCUACUACUUUGAAGUUAGGAUAAUUUAAUAGAUUGCUUUGGAAAUGUCUAGAAACAUAGUUUUGCAUUUCAUGCAUUGUAAGGACAAUUUCCAAAUUUUUGCCUAUUAUCAAUAAAAGUUAAAUUUUGGUUUAUUUGGUUGCCUUGCUUUAUAUUUUCUUACAACGACAUUUAUGAAAGUGUUUGUUAUGUUUUUCUAUUAUUAUCAAUGUUAAUUAUGUAUUUAGUUUUUGUUAUAUCGCUUGGGGUAAUGUCAUAAUUGACUAAGUGAUUACGAACUCCCAUCACCUAAUUUUCAAUUGCAUAGAAACUUGGAGUCAUGCAAUUUGAAUUGGUAAUGUAUGAGAAUUUUGAUCAUUGGAAAAUUAUGAAUAAUUCAUUGAUCACAUGUUUAUGUGAUUCAAUGUGAAGGACUAAUGGAUCCAGUACAUGUUGAUAUGGACUAUUCAGAUCUACCACAAAGGAAGAUAAGUGUACUUGUCAUAAUUUAUUGAUGUUUUAGUAAGCAUGGUUGUGUUUAUAAGAUUAAGCAUGAUUCUGAUACUUUGAAAAGAUUCAAAGAGUAGUAAAACAACUAAGAAGAAUCUAUUAGGAAUAAAGAUAAAAGUUUCUCCAAUCUAAAACGAAAGGAGAGUACUUUAAUAUUGUAUUUUGUGAUAAUCUUAAUGAUUACGGAACUAUAUCACCAUUGAUCAUCAAAGAACAUAUUAGUCCAAUUGUUUGACUAAGAAGAUGAAUCAAAUAUUGUCAAAAUGGUUCAAUCGAGAUAUGAGUCAUACUUCAUAUCUGAUCAAGUUUUGAAGCGAUGCUCUAGUUACUACAAAUCGUAUGUUGAAACUUAUUUCAUACGAAGUAUGUAACAUCCCAACUCCUAAGUAUAAUAAUUAAUUAAUUUACUUUCAUAAUUUCAAAGCAACUCGAUGAGUUCGAUGCACCAAAUCGCCAUGUAGCUGAGUUAAUGGCCGCAUAAUUUUUAGUGUCUACUCGAUGAGUAGGUGCUGAGUGAGAAACUCCUAAUUUUCAGGGUUUGUGUCCUAUUUAAAGGACCUUAAGCCUUCAUACCCACCUCCCUUGUCACCUUCAAACUUUGUGAGAAACCUAAUCAAGCUGCAUUCGUUGUGUGUGUGUGUGAGAGAGAGAGAGAGAGGGAGAGAGUAAAAUUAUGUAUUCUUGUGCACUUUUAGAAGGAGGUUAGAGAAAAACAAGGCUUGGAACGAAGAGGGACUUUUGGAUACAGUUCUUCAGUGUUAGCUUUUGUUUGGAGGUAAAAAGCUACCACCUUGAUCAUUUAUUUUGUUAGAUCUCAUUCUAAGGGGGUUUUAGGGCUUUCUUCCAUCCAUCUUUUGGUUAUUGAGACUUUUGAGCAUGACAUCAAAUUGAAACAUCAGAUAUGGACUGUGUGAGGUCCUUUGAGCCCAAAGAUCCAAGCUUUAUCAAGCUAGUGACAAGUGUUUAUGCAUUAAACCCCAUAUAGAGCUUAUUAUGGCAUUUCGAGCCUUAGAUGUCAUGCAUAGAUGUAAAGCUUGUAGCUUUACGUGGUAUUUCAUCCUUAGGAAGCCAUAUCUAGAGUUUGGGACAUUAUUUAUGCUUGGAAUUGUCUGAAUGAAUAUUGGGCUAGAGGGACUUGAUGAGUGCAUGAGCCAACUCGACGUGUCAGCUAGGGUUUUUCCUAAUAGACUGGACACGCUACAACUCGGCGAGUUGAUGAGAUAACUCGAUGAGUUGAGUUGGAUUUCCCCCACUUAUGAGAAAAUGAAGGAACUCGAUGAGUGGCGUAGAUGCACUCGACGAGUUUAGUCAACAUGGACUGUUGACUUUCGUUGACUUUUAGGCUUUGGUCAACUGUGGAUCUUAGAGACCAUGGAGGGGUAAAAUGUUCUUUUCACCCUUUUUGAGAUUCAGUGGAGAAGUUAUCUUAGCAUCUCGGAGUGAUUAUUAGAAAUUUGCUAAUUAGGGAUAAUUAUAUUAUUUAGGCGGAGUCUAGAAUGUUCGUGGGGGGUGCUAGGUCUACUUGCUUACUUCCAAGGUGAGUCUUCUCACUAUACUUACAUGAGUGGUAAUACUGUGUGACUAAAGGGUCUUAUUGAGUUAUCGACUGGAGGAUCAUAUGUGCUUAUACUGAGUUAUGUGAUAUUAUGCAUUCAGUCUUUGUGAUAUAUGCUAUAUUAUUCUGUGCUUUACUGAGUUAGGACCGGAGGGUCCAAACCGAGUUGUAAGACAGGAGGGUCUUCACUGAGAUAUAGGACUGUAGGGUCCAACCCUAGUUGUGAGACUGAAGGGUCCUCACUGAGACACAUGACCGAAGGGUCCACACCGUGUCGUGAGACCGGAGGGUCUAUGCCGAGUUAUAUCCUUGAGAGGCUUAUUAUUUGAGUAUAUGGUAUUUUGGGGAACUCACUAAGCUUCAUGCUUACCAUGUUGUGUGUUAUGUGUUUCAGGUACUUCUCAAGAUCGCAGGAGCGCAGCGGCUUGAUUGUACACACCUGUUCGAGACUAUGUCGAGGAUUCUAGGAUAUUAUCAGUUGUUUUGUUGAAUUGUGUUUUUGACAUUUGAGACAUUAUGGUUUUGAGACAAUGUGAUACUGAUUUUAUAAUAUUUAAAAAUGAAAAUUUUGUUUGAAAUUCUAGAGUGUUACAAAGUAGGUUCGUAACACCUUAUGAAAUGUGGAGUAUUAAUGUUUUCUUACUCUAGCACAUUUGGAAUUGGAAAGUUGUGAUGUUUUGCUUAAAAUAAAUGAUAAACUGAGACCAAUUAUAGGAUGUGUGUUCUUGUCGAGAAUUCACACUAACUUUUGAAUAAUUGAUUUAGCUCGUCAAGGAACGUUCCUUGAGAAAGAAAAUCUUAUAUGUCAAGAAGUCAAUGGGAGUCUUAUUGAUCUUUAGAGUUUCAAGAGUCAAUCGAGAAUAAACCUUUUAGUUAUCAUUAGUAUAAGACCAGAGGUUGAUGACAUAUCAUGUUAAGAUGACAUAUUUUUGUUUUUGCGCACCAACCAGUUGAGUUUGCAAUACUAUGAUUUCUAUGGUUCUCAUUUGAUUGCAAAAAGCAGAGCAUGUUGGCAAGUGAGAGUACAUUGAUCGAUAUGGGUGAGCCACGUAACAACAUGGAAGCACCGGUAGGCCUUUGUGCUACCGGAGAGCAAGAAAUUUAGAAUAUGCAAAGUUCAGUUCAUGAAAGGAAAACUAAAGUUGAGUUUGGUUUUAUCCUAAACCUUAUCUUAUGAUUGUAGGAUGGAAAUGAUAGAUUCACAUGGAUGGGAACAUAUACACCAUAAAACCUAGGUGGCAAAAGGUUUUGUUCUAAUUCAUGAGAAUGAUUAUGAGGAAACAAUUUUGGUAGUAGAUUUUAAAGAUAUGUUAAACAUCAUUAUGGUUAGUAAUUGUGUUAAUUGCAUUCUCAAAUUCGCAAUAUGAUUACGACAUCUCUUUUCAUAGUUCAAAUUCUGAGAAAUGACAAGGAAUUGUUUAAAUUUUCAGGACAUAUGCUAUAAGUUCUAAAAGGGUUUGAACACACGCGCAUAUGAUAUUUAAUAAAGGUGUAUAAUCUUGAGAAGUCUAGUUGAAGACUUAUCAAAGCAUCACGUAUCAGAAAUCUACACUUUAGUAAGAAAGUCAAAGAGUAUUGAUUUCUAAAAGUCCAGUUGAUUUCCAGGUGCAUGUCAAAGCUAGUGCGAGCAAAUUUUUUGUAAUACUAUGAACAUAAUUUUUAUGGUAGUGGGAGAAUAAUUGUUAUGCUAAGUAUUGCAAGUUGGUAGUACUAUUCAUAGGGAAAAAAGUUUUUGAAUUUGCAAGUUGCAAAGCUUGGAAAUUGUUUCUCUAUGAAUAGACUUAAGGGAGAGAGCACUCAUAGUUUGUUUCAAAUAUAAAAGUUUAGAUCGAAGGGUUUGAUAGAGCUUAAUCAUGGACAUAUAUAAAUAUCAUGUUGAAAUGAUUCAACAUAGGAAAUUCGAUAUAUGGAAAUAUUAUAACAAGAGACUGAACAAAUAUUAGGUCUUUAUGAAAGACAUAAUGAAGCGAGUCCCAUAUGCCUUAGAUAUAAGAUUGUUUUCAUAAGAUAUAAUAUUCACUUGUUUUGAUUUUUCCAAAAAUGCCUUGGGCGUUGAGAGGGAAAAAGGACUAUAACUUUGUAAGACUAAAGUUGUUAAACAACUAUUAAGAACAUUCUGAGGUUAUACCAAAAGAUUGGUUACUUGUGGACAGUUGGAAGUAUAGUAUUGUUUGGAAGGGCCAUAGUGACAUAUUUUAGAUUGAGAUAAUUUUUGGUCAAAAUUGAUGGUCAUAUGGGAAUAUGGAAAUGUUUCCGUAGUGAGAGUUGAUUAUUAAAAUCAACAUUUGAAUUGGAAACUUUAAUGCAAGAAAGGUGCUCAAGGAGUGUAUCUUGAGUUUGAGACUUCGUUACCAUGAAAAUGUUUUUAAUUAGAAGCAAAAUUCCAAUGCAACAUUUUGGAAUAUCAUUGGCUAAGUCUUUAUGACUUUUAAGCCUCGACAUCACACAAGGACAAUGUAUGUAAGGUUGGAAUUCUAACACAUUUAGUAGUGACAAGAAGUUGGAAUUUUGAAAUGAGCAUCAUUGGAAUAAUGUCCAGUUGAUCUGUUCCAAACGAAUGACCAUAAAGAGACAUAGUAUGCAUGUUCAUAACAUGGCUUCUAUGCAGUUAUAGCAGUUCAAAAUAAAAUAUCGGUCAACGACCGAUAUUCGAUAUAUAGAUUAUCGUGGUGGGAUAUCAGUGGGAUAUCGGUAUUUUUAUGUUAUGUAGGGCCUUUGUAACCUUGUGUUUUAUUGAAUGAAUACAUGGUCAUUAACUAAAACAUAUAGUAAAUUAGAAAAUGUUUGAACCAAAUGUUUAUCAAUCUCAUAAAACGGCCACCAUAUAUCUACGUUUUAAUAAUAAAUGAAGUGACUUAAUAAAAUAUUUAGCUAUAAACGCUAUUUCACCACUAUCCCACCGAUAUUUGUCAAAUAUCAGUCAAAUAGUGGUCAAAUAUCGGUCACUAUCGCCGCUAUUUGCGGUACCGCUAUUUUGGACGCUAUUUAGUACCGAUAUUUUACCACCUGUCGAUAACCGCUAUCCCACCGCUAUUGACUGCAUAGCAUGGCAUGACUAAUGUUUAAUUCAAGUGGUUAGUUAAUUACUCAAAACAUUAUACAAUGAAUAAAGUCUUAACUAAUAUGGUGAGUAAAUAAUAAGAGUUUCAUUUAUAUUCAAUACUUUUGAGACCAUAGUUAAUUAGGUUAUUAUUGUGUUUCACUUUGCUUGUUUUACUUCCUAAAUAAUUUGAUUAUUCAAAAUUCCACAGUUAAUCGUACUUUUGGAAGUAAGUAGCGAAUUAAGACUGUCAUGAACUAGAUUGUAGAUUGUCUAAGGGUUUAGACAUAACAAUAGUUUUGCUGCAAUGUUAAUGCGUACUUAGUAAUGAGGAUUUUAAGUAUUGGAUAAACCUACGCUCAAAGAAUUACUUCAUGGAUUUUAUUACGAGUAAUUAUGAGACGAUAAUAUCUUAUAUUCUUGAAGCGGAGAUAUAUGAGGUGUGGUUUACAAGUCAGUUGUGCAUUGAUAAUACAUAAAUGCAUCAGUAACUUGAUGUUAUAAAAUGUAUUAUUGUGCAUGAUUUGAUAAGUAAUUAGUGAAAAAAUAUCAGUCAAAGUUUAUUCGUUCCAUUUUCCCUAGUGAGAAAAGCGAUAUCUUUGGGCCCCUCGAUGAUUUGAUGUUGACAUGUGAAGUGCUUGGCCGAGCCCAGAUUAAAUUGAUGUGUUCAAUUAGUAGUCUAAGUUCAGUCGUCAUAAAUAGGGAAAUCAGGAAACAAAAUUUUAGACAAUGAGAUUGAUUUCAAUCCAUGUCUCGUGCCCAUAUGAUAUCAUGUACAACGAAAGAAUAUUUGAUCACUUAUCUUAGGAAAUGUAAUUGUCUGGGUCAGAGUUCAACAAUGACUUUUGGUAGCUACAAUUCGCUGAUCAAUUCGGAAGUUAUAAUGGCGGUUAUAGUUAUAGACUUAUAAAAGUAGGAGACUAUUGGAUUAUGUGUCUAAGCCAUUAACUAUAAUUUGUAUAAACUUGAAUUGAUGGUAGCAUAGCCUUUUGGACUGCCCUCAAACCUAGCAAUUGACUAGGAUAACUUUUAGAGAGAGAAAUUGAAUUAAUAAUUUAUUAUAUGGUCAAUAAAUUAAGUAGAAAUCAAAAUAAAUAAUUUGUUAAUAUAUUAUGAGAAUAAUAUAUUAAUUGGAAAUAGUAUUAUGUAAUUAAUAAUCCAUCAAAAAUUAAAUGGAAUUAAUUUUGAGAUUAAUUGUAUUAAUUAAAAUAGGAGGACUAAAGGUAACAAUGUUUAAAAGUUGAUCAUUGGGCAAUUCUAGAAGCUCCCUAGGUAGGGGACGAAUUCUAGAAAGCCUUCUAGGGUUUCCUUGGGCAUUAAGUGUGUCUUGGAUGUCUUAGGGAGGAAGUUAAGGGAUUAGGGUUAUCUUGGAGAUACUUGUCUUAUCCAAUACCUUCCUAGACUCAUAUAUAAACCCUUAAGGGUUUAGAAUUUCGUCCAUGCAUUCUUUAGAAGAAUGGGAAAGAAAUUUCUACUCCUCUCCUCUUUUCUUCAAGUUCCUUGGUUGCUAGGGUUUGUGUGUGAACCAUUAGAGGCACGACACUUGUGGUGCUUGUUGCCAAAAGAUUUGAAGAAGGAUUCAAGGUUGUUUGCAAUAACAAUCAUCAAGGUAAGUUUCUUGUUCUUAUGAAUUAGUUUUUCAUAGAAUAGUUUUGUAGGAUAAUAAGUCAUAGUAUGUUGCCUAUAUGAGAAAGACAUAGAUCUUUGUUAGGUUGCAUGUGCCCUAAUCAUUUAAUUUUUUAAAUGUUUUUCCGCUUAGUGCAUUGUAUUUGUAACCUCCAUAACCCAAUAGUAUUGUCUUCUUAAACCUUUGUGUUGAUAUUUGGUGUGACACACUCACAUGAAAGGUUUUAUUAAACCUAAAUUGUUUCGGGAAUUAUAAUUUGAGACCGUUAUCAACAUUUGAACAAUGAAAAUGUUUUAAAUUAAACUUUGGGAGCGAUUUCCGCAAACAAAUACUACGAGAUUAUUUUAAAAGAUUUGAUUAUUUAUUUCAAAUAUGCUCUUGCGAAGGGUUUUACAUAAACCAUGAUUAAAGGAGGUAGUCAAGUUUGAGUAUAAAGUACUUUUAGUGAUAUGAUUCCAAUCACUUUUUCCAUAGUUUGAUUUGUGUAUGCUUUUAUUCAAGAUAUGCAUUUAUAAUCAAAUUCCCCUUCUUUGCUGUAUGUGUGUUCGUUUAACCUUUAAUCAAAGAUUCCAACGUUAAUUUACUAGCGUUCCCUUAGAAUUUAAUAACUCAAUCUUACCAAAGCUAUAGUGUCGUACACUUGUCCAGUUGUGUAAUAGUCCAAAACGUUUGUGAUAUCGAUCUAUAAAUUUAAGAUUAGAUUUAUCACAUUAAGUUUUUUUGCGUUGUUUUCGGGGAAUGAUUUUCAGUUAAUUUAGUUUAGUUCAAAAUUUGUUAUGUUUUCAUAUUUUUUAUUUAUUUUAUUUUUUCUUUAUUUCGAUAACAUGACACUUCUCGGAAAGGUUUCUACUGUUUUUUUUUACCAUAUUUGAAUUAUGAGAAUGCACGCGAGGAAACCAGAAGCAAAUAUAUUAAGAUACUAAAGUUUGCACUUUGUGUCGCGUCCGAAUAGAAUAUGAACCACGUUUAGUUAAAGGAUCACAAUAUGGCAUCUCGUGACCACAUCCAAUAUAAUGUGUACCAUAUCACAUUUGCUCGACUGUUUCGAGGAUUUCUUCCAAAAAGCUCCGAUUUUUUUCGUUAUCUUUUGCUUAAUCUCCACUAAAGGUAAGCUUUUGGAAACCAUGUUUCUUAAUUGAUGGUUUAUUUUGAUAAUUUUGCUACAUUAUGCUCUCGUUAACUUGUUUAGGGUUUGUAGUAAUACCUACGAUUUUGAGCCAAUUUUUUGAAAUUUAUGAUUUGUAACCCUUAUACGAAUUGAUAUGAACUCAAAAUGCAUAUUCUUGAUGAACCAUGUUAAAUAUUUGUCUUUGUGUGUGUGAGAGAGAGAUUAUUGUAUUAUGAAAUAACUAAAGGAAAUAAAAAAAAAAUGUUAAUCCAAUAAAAACAAUUAUAAGAAUUAAAAAAAGAAAAGCAAAAGAAUCAUUUUACUAUAAACUUUACAUCAAAACUAUAUUUUUAAAAUGAAUGUUGGAACAAUAAAAACAAUUAAAAUAAUAAAAGAAGCAAAAAGAAUCAUUUUACUAUUAACUUUACAUGAAAAUUAUAGUUGUUGGAAAAUUAUUUUGAAUGUGGACUGAAACUGUGAUAAUCCGACAACAAAGGACCAUUUCUGUAAUUUACAAUCGCGCCCGGAUGAAACCAUCCGUUGGCUAAAUUUUUGGAUGAGACGGAAACAUAUGAACGUCGUUCACUCACCUCGAAAUCCUCUCUUUAUUUGCUCCUUGUUGUCUCAACUCUCCAACACCUACCAAUAAUCCCUCUCUUCAACCCUAUAAUCCUCACUUGCUCCAUUCUUUCUCUCCACCAGCUACCAAUAAAAGCGUUGAAGUCAUCAGGAAAACUAGAGGUGUUUAAUUAGUGUUCGUUAGACUCCAAUUUAGAAGCAGUGGGUUAGAAAACAGGGUUUUAAAACCACCCGUUGCAUUAGAAUUGGAAUUCCGUGAAUGUUCUGAUUCUGGUUCUAGAAGUUAGGCGCAGAGCAUAGAAACUCAAUGGUCAUCUACUAGUAGCAAAAGAACCACACAAAAUCAUUGGUUAUUCAUCCACAAGUCUGGAGCUCUGUUUUGGAUAGAAUUGUUAUCGUGAAGAAUCAAAGGCCGGUGCCCGAGAAUGUCAGAUGCACCUAUCAAUGAUACCAACUCCUCAAUCCUACUGGGAGAACAGACAUGUCAACAGUUUACUCUUGCUGAGAUUCAACUGGCAACCAACAACUUUGACGAGACUUUAGUCAUUGGGCGUGGUGGAUUCGGCAAUGUUUAUAAAUGUCCCAUCAAUAUGGGGUUAGUAAGGGAAGUUGCAGUUAAAAGGUUGCACUGCAUGUCCACCCAAGGGGCCCAUGAAUUUGAGGCGGAAGUUAAGGUUCUUUCUAAGCUGCGACAUGGUAAUCUUCUAUCUCUGGUUGGUUAUUGCAAUGAAGGAAAUGAGAUGCUCCUAGCUUAUGAGUUCAUGCCUAAUGGGACACUUAAAGAUCAUCUUUGCAAAGCUGAUUCCACAUUAUCUUGGUUACAACGACUCAAGAUAUGCAUAGGUGCAGCUCGGGGAUUAGACUACCUUCACACAGGCACAUCAACACAAAAUGGAGUUAUACAUCGCGAUGUGAAGGGGUCCAAUAUUUUGUUGGAUGCAAACUUUGCUGCUAAAAUUUCAGAUUUUGGAUUGGCGAAAGUUGGCCCAAUAGAUCAUACACGAACUUAUGUCAGCACCAAUGUCAAAGGGACAUUUGGCUAUAUGGACCCGUGCUACUUCUAUACUGGAAAAUUGACAAGAAAAUCUGAUGUUUACGCGUUUGGAGUUGUAUUGUUUGAGGUGUUGUCCGGGAGGCAAGCGGUAGAUUCAACGCUUGAUGAAGAGCAAUGAGGCUUAGCACCUUGGGCUCAAGACAAAAUCAAAGAGGGAAAAGUCAAUCAAAUUAUUGACUCAAAACUGAUGGGAUAGCAAUCCAUUGUUUAGGUACCAAACCAAAAGAACGCCCAAC
RNAcentral lists this long non-coding RNA (220896 nucleotides) under Lactuca sativa (garden lettuce). Its description in RNAcentral is "long non-coding RNA (LSAT_LNC007310)". The record is from RNAcentral. Lineage: Eukaryota; Viridiplantae; Streptophyta; Magnoliopsida; Asterales; Asteraceae.